UGUAGACGUCUAAAUAUUGAUCCUCUGUAUCAUCAUUAUAUGAUUACAAACGGAGCUCCGAGCAUGUCUUUGGCUUUUUUCAAAUUAAAGACGAGGUUUCCCUGAGGUUUAAACUUACGGACUUGGGAUUGAUGAGGUAAAGAUCAGGGGCAGAUGUAGAGGAAUUUCCAAUCCAUGAUUUAUCUGAUGGAGGAAAGAGGUCUUGUGUGCUGUUUAAACUCUGGUCUGUGACCUGCUGAUAGUGGCCUUUGACACGUUUGGAGUAUAAAUCAUCACCAUAAAUGCUAGGAUCUGAGGUCACCUCCGGGAUGCUGGUCUGUCCUUCAAGCAUGCUCACCACUUCUGACAUUGCAGGCCUUAUAGAUGGAGAAGCAUUGGUGCAUAAGAGAGCCGCUUUGAUCAUCCUCUCAGCCUCUUCCUUGUUGAAUUCAGACUGCAGCUUUGGGUCCACUAUCUCCAUUAAAUUUUCCUUUUUUCGCAAUACAUGAACCUGUGACGACAAUUUCAAAGAAAAUAAGAAGGAAGCUAUGAUAUUUUACCAAAUGUACCAUGUUUUGCAUUGAGAACUGAUGCCUCACGCGUCAUUAAUUCAGGAUAGCAACAGAAACAGACUGACGAUGAUUUACCCAGUCAAGAAGACAAGCAUUUUCGUUCUCUGGCCUGUAACUUGAGUUGCUCUUUCCACCGACAAUUUCUAAGGCGACAACAACCCAAAACUAUAAACAUCUGCUUUAUCUGUUAGAUAGCCCCACAGUGCAUAUUCUGGAGCCAUAUAUCCUCUGAAAUAUAUAUAUUUAAAAAAAAUGCAGAAUUAGUGCCCUUCAGAGACUUGAGGAGUAUUACUAUCAAUAAACUUCACGAAUUAAAUUAGUCUCAAUACAACAUACAUUGUUCCAGCAACUCGAGUGCUAAUAUGAGUGUUCUCAUCUUCAUUGAGCUUAGCUAGUCCGAAGUCUGAUAUCUUGGCAUUUAGAUCUUUGUCCAGUAAUACAUUUGUACUUUGAUGUCCCUGUGAACGAUCCUGAUUGCAGAUCCUUCAUGGAGAAAUGCUAAACCUCUGGCUAUUCCAACACAUAUCUUAUACCUUGUUGGCCAAUCCAGCAUCAGAGCACUUGUUUCGGAACCUGCUCCUAAUAGGAUUGUUGAUAAGAUCAUUUCAUGUUUGCUAGUUGAUGCAGUGUUAUAAAAAAUAUAUUUUACUGGAAAUUUAUCAACAAAUGCUACUAUGGUUACCAAAAAGUGCACGAGAGAGGGAGUUGUUUUCCAUGUACUCGUACACCAGAAGCAACUGGUCUCCUUCAAUACAGCAUCCAUAAAGCCUUACAAGAUUGGGAUGCUGUAAGCAAGAUAUCAUGCCUAUUUCGUUCACAAAUUCACGGUUUCCUUGCCUGGAUUUUGGAGAUAGCUGCUUAACAGCAAUAAUAGUACCAUCUGCUAAUUCACCCUGCAUUGGAAGUAAAUCACGCAUCUAAAUGCUAUAAUGUCUUUGCGGCGGAUUCACCCAUGCAUGAUUCCAAUAAUAAAAUUGUGAUAAUAUGAAAAAUUCAUUAGAUGACAAACCUUGUAUACAGAUCCAAAACCACCCUCUCCAAUCUUGUUUUCUGAAUUGAAAUUGUCAGUGGCCGCUUUUAGCUGCCUCAAGGUGAAGGAACCAGUUUUCAAAUCCAGCCCUUUAAGCUCUGCACGUAGCAGUUGGUAUGGGAGGAUGACAGUCAGGAGACAUAUCGUGAAAUAAUAAAAAUCCUUGAAAAUCAUAUAUCCAUGCACUACGCGCAUUCUCUAGUGUGAUUCGCCAUUAUUUAGAAAAUUAAGAGAAGACUCAGUUUACGGAACAAUACCUCGUUCUCUUGUGUUUUUGUCUCCAUAGCAGAGCUUCCAAUAAAUGACACCCAUUACCAAGAGAAUAAGGAAUGCUGCUGAAGUGACAACUCCGAUCUUAAUAGGUUUCUUACUUCUUCCUCAGGUUCUGAUAUUAAAUAAAAUUGCAAACGCAAAGAAGGCUAAACAUCCCAUCAAAUGGAUAAUAACAUUAACGCUGUAAAGACACCGACCACUAUAGCACAGUUCAAUUCUCACCUUCACAAUAAGUUCUGUAACCUGAAAACCACAGAUCAUGGAAAGAUUCUUAGAUGGGAUAAUGAAGUGAGUGGAAGAAGCUUACAGUUACAGUGACAACAAAAAUCAGGCUAAUCACUUAUGCAGAUUGGUUUAUGAGAAACAUUAGAUGUGUUUAAUCUUAUCAGUUAGGGGAGGGGGGAAAAAACCCAGAAAGCUCAGAAAAUUGAAAUAGAAAUGAAUUCAAGUCUGUAAGUUUCAAAUGAGAGGCAGAAAAGGAGCAUGUAACAUACCUGAACAUACGGAUACAGCAGAAAUUAUAGGACCAUAAUUUCCUCUUAUUGGAAUGACAGUAGUGCCUUUUCCAGCCCAGUAUAAUCGGAUCUCCAGGGUACGGUCUGUCACAGUGGUGUUGAAUGCUAUUGUGAAAUUUCUGUUAGAUCCUUUGGCUUCCUCUGUAAAGUUAAAAUCCUUUGCACUUGUAUUCCCUGGAACAAAGUUUCCUACUCAAAGGGUUCCUUUGAAAAAGAAAAAAAGGACAUCCACAAUCUCUUCGGAAGGAAAAGAUAAUUAAUUACCUGAAUGUAAAUAUCAAAAACACGCCGCUUGCAACUUUGUUGUACAGUUUUUCAUCUGUGAAUUCUAUCUCAGCAAAGUGGAGUCUGACAGUGUAAUUCCCAUUUCUAGACAAUAUCCAUAAUAAGUGAUAGACAGGGGAGUUUACGUGCUGUUGCAUACAAUCCAAAGUCAACAGAGAAAUAUUAGAAUUUGAUUGAAGCGUAUAUUUGUUAUCAUAGAAAAUUCCAUCAUCCAUGAAAUCUCCUGUGCUGCUGAAUCCCCAGUUUGAUCCUGCUCUAUUAUAACUCCUUGCAGCAUUACUUCCACCAUCUUGAUCACCUUCAUACAAGAUUUUCCCAUUCUUUACAUCUGGUCCACCACAGUUUAUAUGGAAUGAACGAUAAUCUGCAGCACAUAAAACUAGUAUACCAUUAGCAUAUCAAGGGGGAAUGAGUUUACUUUACUACAAAGCUUCAAAACUAUGAUUAGUCACUGGUCAACACUUCAUCAUUGUCAGAUUAGUUCAACUCAAUGAAUUCACUCUGUCAAAAUUUUGGUUUCUGACGGUGAAACCAGUGACCAUGAAUUGACCUUAUUAGUUUUUCGAGAUAGAAUCUUAUUAAAAAGCUAACAAUCAUCAAUGUCAUUCAAACAUUGAAGUACACAAAUAAAUAUGGUACAUCGAUCAAAUUUAAUGGCACACUCGGAUUUUAUGAAGUGCACAGGUUCUUAUUAUGAAAAAAAUAAAAUAAAAAACCAUACAUUUUGGGCACCGAGAUAUCUCUGAGCAUGGAAGAAGAUCGCUUCUGUAUAUCAUGGAAAUUAUAGUAUGUUAGAAUAAUAAAGGAUUUUUUGAAAUCACAUGCAGCAGAAUCUCUAUUGCUAAAUUUCAUCUCCAGAAAUAUAAAUACGAAGAACAUUGCAGUCCACAGAGUAUAAAAGAAUAGCCUUACAAUUUAUUAUUGCUGGACGAGCUUCGAAACCAGUUUAUAUUAUUCCUGAUUUAUAAACUCAAAUCAUUCAGUUUCAAAAUCACCAAGAAUAUCCCAUUUCAAAUAUUUAUGAACUUCCUUACUCGUUACUGCUGCUGCAUCUUGGUGCCCGUGAAAAGUUAUUGUACGAAACAUCGCUGGAAAAGAUCAAGAAAACCAUAAAUCUAAAUACAAACUUCCACAAGGUUAACAAAUAAAGAGAAUAUAUAAACUUCACGAUGCAAGCGCUAGAAAUGCACUAGUUUUCAUAUAAUGGUUUUUCUUUUAUUGAUGGUGAUGGCUUGGAUGACUAAGAUUUAAUUGUUUUCAAGGGAAAUGGUUUAUUAAGUUUUUUUAGAAUUCAUCUGCUAGAACUGAUGGAUUAUUUAAGGGGUAUGAUCAAAUUUAUUAUUAGGUUGAAAUUUUUUUUUAAAUGAUUUUUUAUAUAAUUGAUGACAAUUAAAUUAUAUUAAUUUAGAUUGAAUAAGUUGGAGCAACUGAUAUACCCGAUAGAAAUCAGGUAUAGGAAAUGAUAUAUAAGAGCAGAUUGUAGUGUAUAUAUUAUAAGCAUCCUACGAUCUAGCUAGAAAUUAUUGUUGUUACAGCAAAUCUAAGGGCCCAAAUAGAGGCGCAGUAUGAAAAAUGAAAUAGGAAGCAAUAGGAGAAGAUGAUGAUAAACAUGUCAACUCAUUAUCCUUCUUCUUAGAAGAGCAUUUCCAAGGAAAGAAACUGUUUAGAAGAGCUAAAUUGUUAAUGUAAAUAUGAUAUAUUUUUAUAUAUAUGCACUCUAAUGGAAAAAAAAAGUUAUUUAGAAAAGCCUAUUGUAUUUUAAUAUAUUUGAAAUUGAUACAACUAUUUAUUAAUUAUAAUUAACUAAUACAACUCCAAUCAAAACCUCUCUUGAAAUCCUAUUUUAUCUCUCAAAUAUAGCUCUCCCCUUGGAGCUAUAAACAUGAGGGCUGAAAAGCAAUUUGUUGGGAUUUGCCGUUAAUAGGCAAUAAAUGGUGCAACCUACCCUUAGAAGUAGGGUACCAUUGUCAAAUAGUAGUUGCACCCACCAUUUAACAAAAAUGGUGCAACCCAUGUGUUGCCACCAUUUGUGCCAUAAUUGAUGGCCUAUUGUCUGUCAUGAAAUGCCUAUAAAUACAGGCAUUAUUUGAGAGCAAAAAGAGAGAGAGAUUGUGAGUGCAAUAGAGAGACUAAGAGAGAAAGUGAAGGGCUGCAAUGGUAGCAGGUUGCUGCCAUUGGAGCAGCUGCAAUUGCAGUAAUGAGAGUUGGGAGUAGAGUAGAGUGAAGUGAUCCUCCUCCUCCAUGUAUUUGUUUUGUAUUCUUUCUCUAUCUCUAAUAAUAUUGACUCUCCCGUGGAUGUAGGCAAUUUGCCAAACCACGUUAAAUAUUGUGUCCGUAUGUGUAGCCUCCAAUGAGCAAUUAUCAGUACAUCACCGGUCGGAAUUCCCAACAAUUGGUAUCAGAGCACAUGGUUUAAAGUGGUGUUUGAUUUUUCUAAAAAAUAAAAGUUGUCAAAAUUAUGUUUUGACCAUAUCACCAUGUAGAGGAGGAAGAGACGAAGCCACUAGUGAAAACGUUGUCGAAAUCGGACGUCAGAAUCGCCGUCAUGCGCCAUCCCGCGCUGGCAAGGUGUCUGGCCACGCGCACAGACGCGUGCCACAUGUCGCACGCGUCUUCUUCGCCCGGAUGGGCUGACCCCACCCGAAUACUAGACGACCCAACCCACGUGGCUGACCCGGAUAAGGAUGAUGUCAACAUGAUGUAAUUGUGACGUCAUCUUGCACAGUAGGCAUGAUUAUGAUGACAUCAGCAUGAUGUAGUGGUGACGUCAACAUGCACAAUCAGCGUGUCAUGUCAGCGACCAGUCAACAAGCACGUCAUCUCAGUGGGACCCACCUGCCACGUCAUCAGUUUCGAGCCGAGCCUAGUCGAAUUGAGCCGAGCUGAGAUGGAGCCAAGUCGUGAGCUAAUGAACAGGAUCCAGUGUAGUCGAUUCUAUGUGCAACCGGAUUUGAGAGUGAAUCUAAGCCGUCGAUGAAACUAGAAUUGUUUUGAUCAAAUCUUAGCCAUCUGAAGUGUGAUUUGGACGAUUCCAGACUUGUUUCCAGCUAAUUUGAUCGUUUCAGAUGCAAUGGUACGGUUCGAUCAUUGAGAUUUGAGACCAAAAGUGGCGGUGGUGAAUUAUUAAAGAGAGAUUGCCCCGAUCAGAAGGCAUCUAAUGGUCUUGAUGGAGGUCGAUGAAGAUGAAGAGGAAAAAGGUGCACAUGUUUUCCCAAUUACAUGUGCUAAACUGUUAAGUGGGGAAUUUUUAAUUGCCUUGAGGGAAGGCAAAAUUGGGACACUCUAGACACCCGAUCAUGUGGACGAUUAGAGGUGUAGAGUGAAAAUUGAUGAAGACCAAUUUCAACGAAUCUAAGCACUGGUAGUCUCGCCAGAUGUUGAGAAAUCAGGUACAAAACCAGGAUACCUAGAUCACUUGUAAAGAAUAGCCGCAAAAAAGCUAGCAAAUGGUUGUAUAUACGGAAAGACAAUACGAUGGAUAUAUAUGGCCUAAGAAGUUCUGGCUAGGAUAUUGGGUUUUAAGCGGAACUGUUGUGACCCCUCCAAUCUUUCUUGGGAACUUGCUUAGUGGAAGGAUUAUCCAUACGGUACUAUUUUCAUAUAUGUAAUAGUUUGUGAUGAAACUGGUGAAGACUAGUAGGAUAACGACACAAGGGGAACAGUUGGGUUCCGUAUGAUCAAGGAUUUGAUGGAGUGGUGAUUUCUCCAAAGAAAUUAGAUUCAGUGACUAUAAUUUCUUGAAGGGAGAAUUGAUGAAGACCUUGAUAAUGGAAGAAAAAUAUAGCAAGGGGAUAUAGAUUGGCACCGUAUUUUGACUUGGAUAGGUGUUGUGACAGGAUGAGCUGAUGUCAAACAUAAGCAAGGAAUAGGGAGAAAUCUGGAGAACAAAAAUUGCACGAGGGCACACGGAGAUUGUGCAAGAGUACCCGAAGGAGCCAACGAGGUACUGUAAUGAGACAACAGGUGCAAGGAGAAGAAGAGUUCCUAGACGAAGCUCAAAGCAGAGACUGUGUACAACAGGAAGUCUCUUGUGCUCUUGAUGAAGACAACACGCGAGGACCUUUUCAAUGCAUGCAAGGAUGGAAAGAUGAGUUGUUGCAGAAGCACCUUAUCGAGGGGGUGCCAACACCUGUGACAAAAGGCGACCGCCUAUUGUGAAAAGUAAAGAAACCAAAGAAGAAUUGGUGUAGGUGGAGUUAUCAAGCAGAAAUGCGUAGAAGCUCCAAACAUAGAAAUCGAGGUGGAGGAUUCUGAGGAGUAUACCGCAACUUUCUCUUUCUAUGUAAUUAGUGGCAGUGAUCUCUCCCAAGUCCACAUGGUGGUAGAGAAUCUUGGAGCCACUAGAGUCAUCCCAGAUGAAGGAGGAUGAGACUGUUCCACAACGAGCGGAGACAUCUUAGGAGAAGGUGUGAGGGCCAUGAUAUGAGCCCAAAUUCAAACCGUUGUAUGACGACGAGCGGAGACACCUCAGAUGGAAGGUGUGAGGGCCAUGAUAGGAGCCCUAAUUACAGAACGGCCCAGAGCUGAUGUGAUGGCUAGAUAUGAGUGGACAGGUGUAUGGAUAGCCAAUGAAGUGGCUAUGAUGAGUAUAAAGACAAAUGCAUGAUUGACCUUCAUGGAUAUUGCCCCCAUGCUAAAGAUCAAUGAGCUAAAAGACAUUUUCCUUGGAUAAUAAGUGGGUGACUUGUGGAGCAUUAAGACGUGGUUGCUAGGAAUGAGCAGAGGGCAUGCGCAGGUUCCUGUAACAAGUUGACUCUUGUCAAGGUGGUGAGCUCGGUGAUGGCAUUGUAAUACUUAGAGUAUAAAGACAGAUAUGGAUCAACCUUUAAUGGGCUGCCCCCAUGGUUAAAGGUGGAAAGCUACCUAGACUCUUGAGACUAAGAGUGAGAGACUCACGGAGAAGUAAGGUGUGGUUCCUACGGUGGAACAGAGGGCAGACGCAACUCCUGGAUGAGGAAACUCUUGGAAGAGUGGUGACCUUGUGAUCACAUUAAAAUACUCAAAUAAUGACUGUCGCACUUGGAAAUAUCUGCUUGAGGGGGUGCUAUAAGCCUUGGUGUGAAGCUUGAUAAAUCAUUCCGGACCGAGCAUGGUUGAUACACUCGAAGGGGAAUGUUGUGUCCUAGAGACAAGCGUUAACACUCUUCAAAUGUGAUGUGGGAGACCAUCUGGUUGAACUGCUUUGGUGACUCUAGUGAUUGAAAGGUUUAGCAAGUACCUAUAAACUUGGUCACAGACGCUCUCGGAAUGGUAAGCUUGGAAGAGCUGCAGGAUGCAAGCUUAUGCUGAUGGAGCAAGAGGAUAAUUGCCCAUUUAAAUAUCAAAAGGGGUGAUUGUUGGGAUUUGCCAUUAAUGGGCAAUAAAUGGUGCAACCUACCCUAAGAAGUAGGGUACCAUUGUCAAAUGGUAGUUGCACCCACCAUUUGACAAAAAUGGUGCAACCCAUGUGUAGCCACCAUUUGUGCCAUAAUUGAUGGCCUAUUGUCUGCCAUGAAAAGCCUAUAAAUGGAGGUAUUAUUUGAGAGCAAAAAGAGAGAGAGAGAUAAUGGAGAGAGAUUGUGAGUGCAAUAAAGAUUGUGAGUGCAAUAAAGAGAGAGAUCGUCAUACAUCUCAAAAGUUGUAUUGACAGAAUACAUUCAUAAUGUGACGUCAACACAUUUCACUUGAUGAUAAGAUAUUUUUUACUACAUCCAUUUUUCUAUUAGUUUUUUUUAAUAAAUAUAUUGAAUUGACAAUAUUUUUUAUUGGAUGCUAUUGUUUUUGUAUGCGAGCCAAGCUUGAUGAAACUUUUUGUUGAAAUGCAUGUGCAGAGUGAUGACCGUCAAAAAAAGAUGUAGCAAUUCGUUGAUAGCCAAGCUCAAUAUUUUGUGGUAUGUUGGUGUUUAAUUAUUUUUUACUUAAGUUAUUAUGUCCUUGAUGAAUUUAUUUUUUCUUUACAUGAUACAUAUAACAGCCGGUUGAAGGAGAGAUACGAGGAUGAGCCUUCGACCCAUUUGGAUAUCGAUCUGGAUUUGUGGUUGAAGGGAGAAUCAUUUGGUGGACCUGAUAGAAAUCGAGUAUAUGGACUCUCUAACACUGACUAAGAAUUUAUGAACAACCCAUAGUACUUCAACUGUUGGAUGCUCGCAAUCAAACUUUGGAGUUCACAAUGAUGUUAGACCAACAGGUACAAAAUCAGACAACCUAUCUUAAUGAUAAAUAUGAUGACUCACUACUGGUUAUGGAGAAUUUUGUCGAUUGGUAAUAAAGAUGCAAUCACAAAUGGAUGGUUCAUGUUAGGGGUGAGCAAAAAAACCAACAAAUCGAUUAAAGUGAGAAAACCAGAAAACACAACCAAAAAAACCAAACCCUGAAAAAAAAACUAAGUACACUGAUUAUAAUAUUUUUUAAAAAAUUCGAUUCAGUUUUAGUUUCACAAGCUUGAAAUUAAAAAACUGAAUCAAACUAGUUUAGUUAAGAAAUAAACCAAACAAAACCACUGAACUGAAAAAACUCAUUAGAAAGUCUAAAAAAACCCAAAAAACAAUAUAAUUUUUAGUUUUUAAUAUCAAAUAACCGAAUCAAAUCAAAUUGAACCGAAACCAAGCAGUUGAGUUUCAGUUUUUAACUUAAAAUAACAAAACUGAACCAAAACCGGUUUCAAUUUGAUUUUUGUUUUUUUUUUUUACAAAAUUUAAGUUUGAUUGUUUUUAUAGGUAGAAACCGAACCGAACCGAAAAUGAUCACCCCUUGUUCAUGUGCACUCCUUAAUUUCCCCUACAUUCCCGGUGACAACCCACCUCCUCCUCCUCAUCCAUUGUCGCCUUUAUUUUAGAUUUAUUGUAUUCAAUCAUUAAAAAAAUAAUUAUUGGUAUGAUUUGUCCGUCUGUAAAUUCAUCGAUAUAUUUAUUAUCGACAGACUCACCGACAAUCUAUAAAUUACCGACAAUAGUUUUUUCGAUAGACCAUUAUCCGUGAGUCUUUCGUUAACAUACAUAUCGAUGGAUUGCUAGUGUAACCACCGAAAAAUUUUAUGGGUAAAACGAUUAAAUCCAGUAGUGUUCCAUGUUAAAAAAUAUAAUUUAUCUACAAGUCUUGUUUCUGGGUCUCUGUACUUAUUAACCUCUUGUGAGUAUGAAAUAUAAGCAUAAUAUAUGAAGAAUUAUUUAGGGGGUGUUCGAGAGUAUGGUAACGGUUGCAAUUUAAAGUGAUUUUUACUCGGAAAUACAUUAAAAAUAAUAUUAUUUUUUAUUUUAAAAAAAUUAUUUUUUAUAUCAACACAUAAAAACAAUCUAAAACUAAAAAAUAAAAUAAAAUUAGAAAACACGGUUUCUACUGCCAAACUUACAGGCAUUAGUCAUGGAUGUUCAAGGAAAAAAGGCAAAGCAUAUCAAUAUUCAAAUAAGUACUGAAUCCAAUGAUGGGUGUAAUUUAGGAACCUACAGAUUUGGGCUGUUUUGGAGGAAUGAAUCCUGCACUGUUCCAGUCAGCUUGUUGCCACUCAAAAACCUGGUAAGAACCACACUCUAUCAGCAUAAUUUAUUGCGCCAUCCUUGGAAAGAUUUCAAUAACCAAAUUUCAAAAUAUCAGAAUUUAGCAUUGCUCACGUAAACUGUCGUCGUCGUAUUGUAUUACGAGGAAUCUCCCCAACCAACUUGUUAAAAGUUAAGUCGCUGCAAGAAAUUACAGCAAACAAAAUUUUAGGCUUCAGUUUCUGAAGAAGAUUUUACAUCUUUGUAAAUAUAAUGGCAAUAAACAGGUGGAAAAAAAUAAAUAUAUAUAUAUAUAUAUUAUUAAAUUCUUUGAAGUAAUCCUCUAUUUAUAUUCUUCCUUGGAGAGUUGCAGUUGCUUGAAAUCACUACCUUCUCAUAGGAGCUCAUCCGUUGUGAAAAUAAGUUAAUGUUAUGUUAGAAGGUAGUUGUGAUUCUUCUACUCACUCUAGUAGGACUUUAGUUAUUAUAUACCCAGGAUUAUAUAUUAAUGUAGGAUCUUUAACUUAUACUAACGACCUGAUGAUUCAGGCAGAUCCCACGCACCAGCUGUACAUGGAGAUCAUAUUGGAAAAAUGUAGCAGAAUUGAAAUGUAUAAAAAGAAAUUCUAAUUUGCUUAGCAGCAGAUGUAAGGCGAUGAGUGAAGUUCACACUUACAGUGUUGUUUCCACUUUCCAUGCGUUUUCUGGGAUUGUUCCAGUUAAAUUGAUGUUCCUCAGAACCCUGACAACAAGUUACAGGUUGGCUAAACAGUCUGAACAGAACAUAUCCUGAACUCUACUGUGAAAAGUUAUGAAGCAGUUAAUUCACAUACAGGGUAUCCCUUCGAAUCGUCACGUUAGGUAACUGAAACUCUGGUCCAGGCAUAUCAGCAAUCCUCCUGCAUAACAGUAAGAGACCUUGAAAACAAGUUAAAUGUUCAAUUCCCUUCAUUUAUCUCUCCCUAUCUCUCACACACAAAGAGAAUUAUUCAAUAAUUAAUACAGCAGGAGGUAUGCAGCACAAGAAAGUGGUUUUACUUACAAAUCAGACAACUUUUCCAAAUGAAAAAUCGCAAGAGGUAUAGGUCCUUGCAAUCCAGUCGCGUACAAAUCACUUCAUUAGUCACGAAAAGAACAAAAAUUCUCAAUAAAGUGUAUCAUGUUGCAUUAGAAUGAAUUAAGAUCUUGUGAAGAUAAACAUCUCACAGCUUUUGAAGUUGAGUCCAGUUCCCAAUGAACUCGGGUACGGUGCCAUUAAGAUUAUUAUCACUUACGCGACUGCACAUUGAAUAUGUUAAAUUAUAUAUAUAUAAAAAAAAAUGUGUUCAAGGAAAAUAAGUGAGGGCUUACAAAUCCUUCAAGUCUUUUAUCUGCGCAAGUGCCUCUGGCAAGGUCCCCACUAACUUAUUGCCGGAGAGUAUCCUGCAAUUGUUAAUUCACGGCAUCAAAGCAAAGAUUUCAACUAAUGAAAACGAAAUCUCUAGCAAGUCUUCACAAUGAAGAAUUUAGUUAAAAUUUCUUACAGUGUUUCUAAGUUGACAAGCUUGCCAAGCUCAGGUGGGACAACACCAGAAAACUGAUUUGAUUCAAGGCUCCUAUAUUUUAUAAUUGCAGUUGAUAAAGUGAAAUAACCAUUAGAGAACAAAGUAAACUAGCAUUGCUUGCAAUAUUCGAAUAACUCAAACUAGAGGUAGAGCACUAUAACAGAUUCAAGCCAUACAAGUAGGUGAGGGAAGUAAAACUUCCCAAAUGUCCUGGAAUAUUUCCUGACAAGCGAUUUGCAGUGAGCGAGCUGCACAAGAGGUUAGUUAGGAAGGAAGUUUUAAGCUCACUCUUACAUAGAAAAUAAGAUAAACCAAGAUGAGGGGUGAAUUUAUAAAUGAGCUUACAUGAAAGACAGAUUUUUCAUCGAAGCCCAUUCCACCGGAAUUGUGCCGUAUAGAUAGUUGCGAGUGAAAUCUCUGUCAUAGUCAUUGUUGUUGUAUAAAAAUUAUUUUUCCAUCUUGAAAAUUGCUCCAAAAAUUAAUAUAAACGCUUGAAAUUUUAAUAUAAACUGUGACAGACAAUGGCAAACUCAUAAUCACAUAACAUCUGAUGAGUAUUAAUUAUCAUCGAGGCAUCUCAAGAUUCAUAAUCAUUUAAUGGAUUCAGAAUUGAGGCCUCGAAGCAGAAACAUGAGCCAAAUAUAUAUGUCCUUAAUUAAGGGUUCUUACAUUUUUUGGACAUAAGUAAGGCUGGCCAAUUCCCGAGGAAGCCUGCCUGGAAGACUGUAAUCUUUGAGCAGGCUUUAUUGCAAGCAGGAGAGAGAGACAUCAUUGGUCACAGUUUAGGAAAGCUAAGAUAUAUUUAACAAAGAAAAACAUAAAAAUGUAAAGUAAUUAAGAGGCUUACAAUGAAGUAAUGUGACAGUAAUUAUCAUCAGUGAUGCUGCAGUUACAUUUCGAUGGUGCUGUUCCUUGCAGGAGUCGGUUCUGUCUCAACGACUCUGCCUGAUUGACAACGACCGACGAACUUCAAGGAUGGUUGGCCAUCCUCGUUUACUGUCUUACCGAUUUGUGUUAACGCUUCAACUGGUGGGGUUUUAUUUUUCAAAAAAGAUUAAUUCAUGAGGAAUGUGCACUAUUCAAAACAUUCUUAAAUAGUUGUUAGAUUAUUAAUAAUAAUAGUAAAUAGAUUAUGGGUUUUUCAUAUAGGUAAAGGCCAUACACUCUAUCGACCAUUUGGAUAAAGUUAACUGGAGCCAUGUUUAUCGCGUCCGGUCUGUCUGGAGCUUAUUCCAUCAAGUACCUCGAGACACGCAAUCAUAUAUCAAUUUAUCGUCAUAGUUAUCACUCAGCGCAGGAUUUAAUUUGGUUUAAAAUCUGUAUUGGAUGUUUGGACGUCAACUUUAAGAUUAUAUUCCUUUCAGUUUUUUUUUAAUGAAAUUGUUUGCAAUUAAAAAAAAACUAUAAACAAUAUUAUUUUAAAUAAAAAUUAAAAAUAAAAUAUUAUUUGUUAACUAUUAGCUUAACUUAGAUUUAACUAUAUUAACUUUUAAAUUAAUUUAAAAUAAAACACAUUCUAAAUUAAACUCUAGAUUAAUUGAGAGGUUAUCUCUAAAUAAUAUGUUCAAAAACUAUGUUGUGGGUUUGGUGGAUUAUUAAAGUGAAUGAUGAUAAGAAUUUGUAAUGUAUAAAUAUUAUUUUAUUGUUAUUUGUACCAAUAGAUAUAUCUUAAUUGGUAUCUGAUCAAACGAAAGAAAGAAAUCAUGAGUUCAAAUUCUACGGUGAGGAUGUCAUUUCUUGAAAAAGAAUUAGAUACAAAACAAAAUCACAACUUUUUAGGUGCUAAAAAAUUCAGAUGCCUAUAAAUGAAUCUAAUUAUAUAAAACAAAACACCCAUAGAAGCUAUUUUUUCUUAUAUACAGCCAAAGAUACAUUUUACUGUUUUUCAAGCAUUUGCAAUGUUUCGGUUAAUGUUGUUUAAUUGUUCGAGUCUCUUGAAGUUUAAUCCAAGAAAUACAAUUAGUAAAUUUUAUUUGUAAAAGUUAUAUAUUCAUAUUAUUUUAUAUAAUAAUAACUAAAAAUAAUUUAAAAAAAAACGAGUGUAAUUUGAUUAACCUCUCCUCUCAAAUCAUUGUUAAUUGGGAUAAUAAUUUGUUUUUUUAUAUAUAAUUUUAAUUUUAUCUUUCGAUAUUAGAUUUAUUAGAAAUUAAGUUUUAUAAAAAAAAAUUAAUUUUUUUUCUAUGGAAUUAUUCUAUUCUCAUAACCUAGAUCAUAGGUUUUGCAGAUUAAUUUCAUUAACUUGAUUUUUUUGUUAUUUUUUUAAUUGAAUAUUUUUUUCAGUAUCUCCAUCAACAUUGAGUUAAUUGAAAUUAUAUUUCUAUUUUUUUAUUUUUUUAUGAAGUUUUCUAACCUCUUGAUACAAGUUUAAAGGUUAACUCGAAUUGACUCAAAUUAUUUUAUUUUAUUUUAUCCUUCAAUAUUUAAAUUUAUUAGGAACUGAAAUUCAUAAUUAUUUUUUAUUUUUUUCUAUACGUUAUCAUGGCCUUAUAACAUAUGUCUUAGAUUUUACUUCUUUUUUUUUAAUUAACAAGAACUAAAAAAAACAAGGGUACUUCACUAACCCCUCCUCACGAAUCAUUUUAAUUGAAAUAAUGAUUUGUUUUUUUUCUUAUAUUAUAAUUUUAUUUUUAUUUUUUAACAUUAAAUUUAUUAAAGAUUGAGUUUAUAAAAAAUUUAAUUUUUUUUAUGAGGUUAUUCUAUUCUCAUGAUCUAUGGCAAAGAUACCUAUAAAUGAACCUAAUUAUAUAAAACAAAAUAACUUUAUAUGUAUAGAAGCUAUUUUGUUUUAUCUAUAGACAAAGAUAUAUUUUACUACUUUCAAGUUUGUGUAAAGUUAAAAACACCUGCAUUUAAUUGCUACAAUAAAUUCACCAUACAUUUUAGUUUUGGUUAAUGCUAUUUAAUUGUGCGUCAAACUACUCUCUUAAGUUUAAUGAAAGAAAUACUAGUAUAUUUUUAUACGUAAAAGUUAUAUAUUCAUAUUAUUUUAUAUAACAAUCAUUAAUAAGAACUAAAAAAAAAAAACAAGGGUACUUCACUAACUCCUCUUCACAAAUCAUUGUUAAUUGAAUAAUAAUUUUUUUAUAUAAUUUUAAUUUUUUUUUUAACAUUUGAUUUAUUAGAUAUUGAGCUUUAUAAAGUUUUUAAAUUUUUUUAUAUGAGAUUAUUCUAUUCUCAUGACUCAAGUUAUGGGUUUUGCAGAUUAAUUUAAUUAACUCGAUUUUUUUAAUUGAAUAUUUUUUUUUCAAUUUCUCCAUAAACAUUGAGUUAAUUGGAAUUAGAUUUCAUAAUUUGUUUUAUUUUUUUGAUGAAUUUAUCAUAAUCUUGUGAUACAAGUUUGGAAGGUUAACUCGGGUUGAUUCAAGUCAUUUUUUUUAAUUGAUUUAUUUUUUAAUUUUAUCCUUCAACAUUGAAUUUAUUAGGAAUUGAGAUUCAUAAUUAUUUUUCUAUUUGCUUUCUAUAGAGUUACCAUGGCCACAUAAAAUGUGUCUUGGAUUUUACUUUUCUUUUUUUAAUUGAAUUUCUUUUUUUCAAUUACAUCCUUCACUAUUGAGAAUUAAUCUUUAUAAUGUUUCUCAAAUUUUUUUCUAUGCGAUAAUCCCGGUCUCAUGAUCUAAGUUCAAUAAGUUAACUCAAGUUGUUUUUUCGUUCUUAUUUUUAUUAAAUUUUAUUUUUCAUUUUAUCUUUUAACAUUGGACUGGUUACGAAUUGAGUUUUAUUUUUUUCUUUUUAUAGGGCUAUCACGGUCUCAUGACCUGGGAUGUGGAUUCAACAAGUUAACCUGAGUUGAUUAAAAUCAAUUUAAUAUGUUUUCUUCUCAAUAUUUACAAAAAAAUAUCAUAUGGAGUUUUUUGAGUUAAACUAGCUAUAUUUUUAUGAGACUGGAUAACAUCAAGUCAAUCUCUACACUAUUAACUUUUUUUUCCUUAAAAAACAUGUUAAUAAUGUGCGAUAUUUCUUUACAUUCAAAAUUUGUGUAUUCAACUCGCAUAGCAGUGUAAUGGGAGAUGAUAAUCUGGUAAUAAACUAUUAAGUCAAGGUGCAUAUUGCCUGAACUAAAUUGGGUUGGAUCUCAUUCAAGCUAGCUUGACAAUUACAGCCAGAUAUUAGCUAAAUUACUGUCCUUACCUAUUAAAAACUUUAGAAGACACGUACAAAUAAACAAUCACCUCAAACAUAAUUUGUUUUUCAAAAAAGUAAUAAUAAAUAAAUAAAUAAAUAACAUAAUCUUUUUUCAAAUAAAUAAAUAAUUUGAGCUUCUCUAAUAAUAAAAAGCCUAUAUACUGUAUAGUUCGAAAAGAUCACAAAAAUUAGAUAUGACUAAGCCCAACAAGGGUCGAAAUAUUGUUAACCAAAUUCAAACAAAGAUGAUAUACUAGGAAGUGAAGGGGAAACUUUCAUCUGGCCCAAAUGCCUAGUUUUCACCCUUUUUUAUGUUAUUCUCGUUCCAUCAUUUAGUAUAAAGUUGAAAAUAUAAUAAUAAAUAUGUCUUAAUAUUCUUUAAUUUUAAUUCUAAAAAAUCCUUUUAAUACUACUCUCAAAAUAAUAAGAAGAAGAAAAAAUUACAAAAGAGAAGAAGUAACAAGGAAUCUAAAUUAUCUUUAAUAUUUGUAUUUUUUUUUUAAUUUACUAUAUAUAUUUUCUUAAAUAUUAUAUUUUGAAGAAUCUAAAUUAUCAAACUAGAUUAAUAUCUAUAAUUACAGUACUUUUUAGUUCCAACUCAUCUUUAAUAGUAAAGUCAUUGCAUCAUAAAACAAUAAUAAAUAAUAAAAUAAUAAAAUUGGUUAUGAUAUUUGGUACUAAAAACAUUUAGGAUUAUGAUCAAUUGAGUUAUUUGUUCAUAAAAUUCACAAUAUUUACCAACUCAAUGUUGAGUUUGUAAGGAUAAAAAAUUUACGUUGACUUUUUUUUAUAUUUUUAAAAAAUAAAGUCAUGAAUAUUAAGGAAUAAUUUAAUAUAUUACCUUCUCCUGGAUGUAGCUGAUCAGAAGCAAGCAAAGUAAUAGAGCUCGAGAAACUGAUCAUCACCAUAACUUGGCAAAGCUGAAACAUCGUUAACAUCUUGUGCUGAAAAUUGGCUGCAAAAGCUCGAAUAAGUUUUUGUAUUUGUGAUGAGAGGUUAAUUAAUUUGAUUUAUACUUGCCAAAUCUUAAAACGUCACCAUCAAUGUGCCUACUUGUAUCCUACGUUAUUACUUGGGUGAUAUUUGAAUUCAAUCUUCACCUGGUAUUUUCUAUGGUUCUCCUAGUUAGUUGCAGGUUGCAAGAUGUUGGAACUUAAAAGAUAAGGAGGCAGGCACGUAUCGAGGCUUUUGAGCCACAAAUUUAAUGACUACAAGCUAUUAUGUUGAAUGAUUCACAUCACCAGGGCCGUCGGCUGCUAAAAGGCAUUUUCAUGGAAAACCUCUUAGAUAUUUAAACAUGCUAAGAACAUACUGAAAGCGAGAGAGAUUCCAAGUAGAAUUUUCUGCCCUUUUUUUUUUCUUUAAAUAUUGAGUUUUUUUAUUUAUUUCUCAAACGAAAACUAAAAUAGUUCCAUGACCUGUGGGUUGUGCAUGUAUUAUAAAUAAUAAUAAUUAAUAAGUACAGUUGUUUACCCACCUACCUGUGGAUUGUGCAUGUAUUAUAAAAAAUAAUCUCGUUAUUUUUCAGAAAAUAUUUUGUGAAUGUUAAUUUUUUUUCAAAUGAACAAACUCUCGAUAAAGUGUAAUCUUUUUUAUUACUUAUCCACCAAUGGUCUGUUCUAUUUUAUUUUUCCAAACUUUUUGGUAAAGUGGAAUUUUUUCAAUUUCAAUAUUAAUGUCGCACCAGAAAUUACGAUGAAGUUUAGAAUGUAAAAAUGGAUAAGAAAUCACCAUUUGAAAGAAGAUGAGUUUACAGUGUGGGUUAAAUGCCCCCAAGCUUUAUACACAGGUCUAUAUUAAUUUAUAAUUCAAAAAUCUCAUACAAAAACAAGCUGAUUCCUUCUUUAAAUUUAAAUUUUAUUAGAAAUAUUCAUAAUAUCCAUCCCCAUAUAAAAUUAAAAUAUUAUAGGUUAGUUAUUGUUUUUCUUUUUUUUAAUAUCCUAAGUGUCGUUAUAAUUUGUGCUUCUUCUGCCACCAUUUUUACAGGUCACAAUCUCAAGAUUUUAAACAAUAACGUUAAAAAAAAAAAAUCAUAACCCAUUUAACAGAAUGAAAACCACGAAAAGUAUUUAUUGGCCUUUUAACAAAACAGCAACCACCAACCCAGAAAAGUAUUAUUCUACACGCAACAAGUAAAGUGUAAUGUAUUAAAAUAUAAUUGCUUUCAACAGGUACAAGUAAUCUUUCCUUCUUUUUACUUUUGAUAUAUCUAAUUGUUCAAGCAGCAAAACGAAAGGGCGUAGAAUUUUCCGCAAAGACUUUUCACAACUUUAAUGCAUUCUUGGAAGUAGCAAUGUGAACUCAGGUAAUCUCAUGGAGGCAUGGAUCAAUCAAUAUUGAUGCUAUUUUUUCUCUCUGUAAUAUAGACAUAGGUAGAAAGAACUUUCUGCUUUUAAAUGCUGAUAGGUUGAUUGAUGCAGACGUGACUUCGUCUUUUUUAUUUCUAGACUUCUAGAUGUUAAUGAAAAGUAUGCAUAUAAAAAUCUACCAUUACCAAGUAGGUACUCAGAUAUGAGUUGGGUGUUUCACGCAUUUAGACUCUGACCAAUAGUCUUAGGGUAAAUCGCUAAUUCCCCACUUAACUUAAAGCUUGUGUGUGCUUUUCAAAAUUAAAACAAGUGAUGCAUGAGACAAUUGUAUACAAUGCAUGAAUAAUAUGAGUAAAAUAAAAUAAAAUAAAUACGCAAAUAAAAGGAAAGGCAUAUUAACAAUAAACACACAAAAACACAAACAAAUCAGACAAAAACAAAGCUUAGUCUACAAGGUCCCCAGUGGAGUCGCCAUUCUGUCGCACGUGUGCGGCGUCGCGGCGAAAAUCUAAGUUUUUCCAUUUUUCUUAAAUCUACAAUGCGAACAUCUAUAUCUAUGGGGAUACAAGAAAAUAUUGUCUUUUAUUGGUAGAAAAUGGAAUGGGAGUCGCCACCUAGUAUUUUGGUCACUAGUAUUUUGGUCACCUAGAAAAUGGAUUGGGUACGGAGACUGGUUGCUUAAAGGGAAGGUAUUAGCACCCCAAAUACGCCCUACCUAAGGUAAGCUGCAUUGUUUUAUUGUCUGAUAAAAACUAAGGUGUUAUUGUACUUCUAGUCGUUGGUCUGUCUAUGGUUCAAGAAAAAAUCCUCCUCGGUAAGAAGGUCUUUUAUCUUAUCGAGUAAAAUCCUAACCGUUCUAACGUCUAUACCAAAACUUUAUUAAUAAUAUUUAGGAAUAUAUUUUACGUAUGAAGUCGUAAUCCCAAAUACUAAAAAGAAAACAAAAAGAUUUUUUUGAAUUUUUGAAAUAUUGGCCUAGUUCUCAUGGCUUAAAUAAACUGGUUAUUAAAGCCAAAAUGCAUGUUAAUACAUAUAUUGUUUUGAAAAUUUCCUUUGUUGUGUGAAAAUAUGAUGUUAUAAUAUUUAUAUAUAUAUAUAUAUUGGAGAGACUAGGGCGUAUUUUAAAACAAAACAAUUUUUUUGAAAAUAUUAUUAUUAUUAUUAUUUUUAUGCUUUGACGAAAAUCGGGUAUUUAAAUACUAAGCUUGUAUCAUUAUAGUAUAAAAAUACAACCCAAUAUUAAUCCACUUUAAUAAAAAUAUGCAGAAAAAUCAACAACAUUUUUAGGGAUUUUUUUAAAAAAAAUUUGAAAGCAAAAACAUUUUUUAUUCUGAAAAUCUUUGAUAUUUUUACGAAAACCAGGUAUUUUUAACAUUGGUUUUGUAUCUUUACAGUAUAAAAAUAUCAACCAACAUUAACCCAUUUUGUCAAAAAUAUUCAGGGAAAUCAACAAUAUUUUUUAAGAUUUUUUGAAAUAUUUUUUUUUUAAGUAAAAAUAUAUAUACACAAUAUACACACAUAUAUAUAUUAUAAUAUACUAUAAUUCAUAAUAUAUAAUAAAACAAUUCGGGCUGGGCCGGCCCAGCUAUAUGGGCCGAACCCAACCCAACCGGAAUUGGGCCGGGUAGAUGGGCCAAACAUCAGCCCGCAAGGAGGUCGGGCCGAUCUCGGCCCGACAAAAUAUCCCUUUGGACUGGGCCAGACCCAAAAAAAUAUAUAACAAAACUGGGCCGGAAACCCGGCCCAGUGAAAAAAAACCCAACGGGGAAGGGAAAAUAAUUCCCUUCCCCUACCUCCUGCAUGCAGAACGAUUCUGCAUGCAGGAGGACAAUGAGUAUAAUGGCACACGAAAAUGCAGGGGGGAGAAGAAUACCUGGCACGGCGGAGGCGAUGCUACUGGUCGAACGUCCGUGUUGAUGGGGGUGCAGCGGAGGUUGGUGGCUCAAAGCGACGGUUCCCAACGGUUCGGUAACCCGGCGAUGCUACUAGGUCUUCGUUUUCUCUAAGCUCUCCCACGGCGUCUAUCCUCUUCCCCCUUUCUCCUGGUUCUGUUUCUUUGAGUUUUAAGUAUUUAUUCCUUUAGUUCAACGGUUUCUCUCUCCUUCUUCUCUCUCUCUCUUGGUCUCGUUUUCUAAGCUCCCACGGCGUCUAUCUCUUCCCCUUCUCCUGGUUUGUUUCUUUGAGUUUUAAGUAUUUAUUCCUUUAGUUCAACGGUUUCUCUCUCCUUCUUCUCUCUCUCUCUUGGUCUCGAGUUUUUUUCUUUCUCUUUUCUCCCCCGUGCUUCAAGUCUCCCCCCUUCUUUUAUAGGCGGGCAAAGGGAGCGGGGCUGCAUGGGCUCAGCAGGGCAACGUGGGUUGAGCUGGGCAACGUGGGGAGCAGAACAGCGCCGGUCGGCGAGCGUGGUUGAUCAAGGCGUGGCCCUCCUAGCUUCGCGUCGUCCGAGCUGUAUUGGCUCCGGGUUCUGUCAGCGCACGCGAGGAGAGAGCACCGGCUGAUUAAACAAGCUUUUUUCCAUGCUGCUGCACGUUCGGGGAGGAAGAAGAAGGGGAACAGUGCCGUUCAAAACGGCACCGUUCGUCCUUUUUAUAUAUAUAUAUAUAUAUGAAACGCGUCGUUUUGGGGAAAACGCGCCGUUUCAUUUAAAAAUGGCGCCAGAAUGCGCCAAAUUUCAAACUCAGCCCUCAAUUAUCUUUUGUUUCUUUCAAUUGCGUCCCUGCCAAUUUCGGUCCUCGCCCCCAUAGUUGGCCGCGUUUUUCACCUUGGUCCUUGGCCUCUGAUUUAUGCAAUUAAGCCCUCAAUUGAUCAAUAAACUUCCAAUUUCUUCAAUUACGCCCCUGGAUCAAAAUCAAGACAGCCCCCUCUAUUUACCCGUGCUUUCCAAAUUGGUCCCUGGUUUCGGAUUUUCACAAUUGAGCCCCUAAUUGGCCAUUAAACUUCAAUAUUUAUGCAAUUAAGCCCCUGAUUUGACCUAAUAAAUUCCAAAAAAAUAUAUUUUGGCCCCAGAACUUAAAUUUCUUCCAAUUAAAGCCCAAAUUGACUUAAAAAUCAAUUUUUCUUGCACUCCAAUCCUCUAUAAAUUCAAAUAAAAUCCAAUUAAGUCCAUAAACAUCCAAAUUUGGGCUUUUCUCCUCAAAAAUUCAAAUUUUCCUUCUCAAUAGGGCUCUCAUCUUUCAAGAAUAUACUGUCAAAAAUCCAAUCUUUGUAUUUUUUAACCUCCUUGACCAAUCUUCCGACCAUUUUCUGAGCGCUUCUGCCUCCUGUUAUUUUUCUAACCUUCUUUGGCUAUUUAUUUAUUAUUAUUUUAAUUAUUAUUUUUUUGUGGGGACUCAAAAAUGGGUUACAACAAGUGAGAUCAAGUUUUUUAGAAAUGCUGAACAUGACUUUGGUCAAGCGUCUGCAAUAAAUAAUUGCACCCUUAUACCUCCAGGUAUAUAAUUUUUAUAUUUAAAAUUAUUAUUUGGCAUAGUCUUACACUUUUACUUAUUAUUUUUUUGUAUAGAUGAAUGGUGGAUGACAUAUGGAACCAGUGCUUCAAAUCUACAACAAUUAGUUAUACGAGUGUUAAGUCAAACUUGUAGUUCUUCGGGAUGUGAGAGAAAUUGGAGUCUGUUUGAACAUAUUCAUUUUAAGAAGAGAAAUAGAUUGGAGCACCAAAGGCUUAAUGACCUUAUUUACGUCCACUGCAAUCUAAGAUUGAAACAAAAGUAUUUUUCUUUUCUCUAAUUCCUUAAAUAUUAUUUUAUCUUGUUUAGUACCAUUAUUAAUAUUUAUAUUGUGUUUACCUUCAUUUUUAAUAUAUAGGAAUUAUUAGAAAAGACGAAAUUAUGAUCCAAUUAAUAUUGAGAUAACUUUUGAUAUUGAAAAUUGGAUACAUGAAGAUGACCUAUCAAUCUUGACAAUGGAAGAAGUAGAGAGUUUUCACAAAACUCUAUCAACUAUGACCAUACAAGAUACUUUAGAUGAUGGUAAUUAAUGAUUAACUAUUUAGUAAUAAAUAUUAUUUAAAAUAAAUAUUUAUUUAACAUAUAAUAUUUAUUUUUUAAUUAUGUUUGAAAUGUAGAUGGAUAAAUAUCAACCUGACUUGUCGUCAGUUUCUUGACUUUUAAAACUUGCAAAGAACAUACUGAAAACGAGAGAGAUUCUGCCUCAGAAAAGAGAGAAGGAAAAAGGAUUUAUCCUUGUAUACAUUGUCUCAGCCUCUCAGGUAUUAAUAAAAGAGAUCCACAUUGCUUGAAGUUCAUUCCAUACUGCUGUAAAAGUGCAAGCUAAGAACUUCAUCAUCACUUGUCCUUACCUCCUGCUCUGAUUGUUGACCGCUGGCUAUAAAGUGCACUAAGAACACGAAGGCUUUUUUUUUACUUUCAAUGCUGUAAAGUGCACUAAGAACUUCAUCAUCAAUUGUUAACUAAUGCAAGUAGAAUUUUCUGCCUUGUUUUUUUUUCUUUUCUUUGAAUACUGAUUGACGUAGACAUAGACCAAUCUCUUUUCCACCUGGUCCUGAAGGACAACAAACUAUUUGAAGUUUAUGAUGACUCAAAUGCAUGCAUUAUAUAGCUAGUUGGUGCCUAAUAGACGGUUUCAUACUUGUAACGGGAUUAUUUCAUGUUUUAAAAAAAAUUAAUUUUUUUAAUAUUGUUUAAUUUUAAAUUAAAUUUUUGAUAUUUUAGAUUUUUUUAAUAUGUUAUAUUAAAAAUAUUUAUUAUUAUUAUUUUAAUAUAUUUUUAAAUAAACAAUACUUUAUAAAUAACUGCCAGUAUUUAUAAAACCACCGUCAGUUUUAAUGCUCCUGGUAGCCAGCAUUUGCUUUGAAUAUUGAGUUUUUUCUAAAACCGUGAGCAAAUUUAUUCUCGAAUGAACACAUCGUUAUAUCACAAAAAUAGUCUCGUAACACGUGUGCAUGUAUUAUAAAAAUAAUAUUAAUAAUUAUAGUUGUCUACGUACUUACAGUAGGGUGAGAAAAAAUCAAAAAAUCAAUUAAACUAAAAAAAGUAACCGAAAAACCGAUUAAACCGAUUAAAAUUUAAAAAAAACCGACUGGUUCGGUUUCGGUAUUUUAAGCAUGAAACCGAAAAACUCAAACCGAACCGAACCGAACCGAACCCAAACCAAGAAAAAACCUGAGUCAAACUGGAAAAAACACCGAGCCAAACCGGAAAAAAAAACUAGCCAAAUCAGAAAAAAAAAAAAAAAAAAACUGAGCCAAACUAAGUCAAAACCGAGCUAAAUCGAAAAAAUCGAGUCAAAUCGGUGUGAAUCGGUUUUUGUCCUAAAAAACCGAACCGAACCGAAACCGGUCGGUUUGAACCGGUUUAGGUUUUUUAAAAAAAAAAUUUGGUUUGGUUAGUUUUUUAUAUAUAAAAACCGAAUCAAAUCGAAAAUGAUCACUUAUAUUUAUAUGUGGAUUGUGCAUGUAUUAUAAAAAAUAGUCUUAUUAUUUUUUAGAUAAUUAAAGAGAUACAAAACUUUUCUAGUUAUUUAGAUAAUUAGAAACAACUCUAAGAUCUAUAGAUAGAUAUUGAUGUGAUAAAUCACUAUUUUAGAUAUAUAGUUUUUAAUUUUAAAUCUUUUUAAAUAAAAUACUAUUAUAUUUACUUGACUAAUUAAUAAAUAUAAUAUCUUAAAAUAUGUAAAUCAAGAAGAUAAUAAUAGUGGCAAGAAUCUUCACCUGGUAUUUGCUUUGGUUCCCAAGUUGCAGGUUGCAAGAUGUUGAAAUUUAAAAGAUAAGGAGUCAGGCAUAUAUAGAGGCAUUCGAGCCACAAUUUUAAUGACUACAAGCUAUGUUGAAUGAUUCACAUCACUAGUGGUGGUUGUGAAGGGGAAUGUUUGUUUUUAUGUUUUAAAUAUUUUAUUAUUUUUAAUGUUGUUAGAUAAGAAUAUAAAUCAUAUCUUAAGAUCUUCUUUAAAAUCUUAAGUUAUUAGGUUGAGAUGGUUUGUUGGCAUGGUAUCAGAGCUUUGAUAACUAAGUGAUCACGAGUUUGAAUCUCACUAUCCUUAUUUAUUUGAUAAAAAUUAAGCAUAAUAUAGUAUUGAUCUGUGCUGAUGACUAAGUAGUCAUGAAUUUGAAUUUCACUAUCCUUAUUUGUUUGAUAAAAAUUAAACAUAAUAUAGUGUUAAUCUAUGCAAGUUUCAAGUUUAAAAAUUUUUCAAUUGAAAGAAUAUAUUAAAAAAUAAUAUCAAUUAUAUUUUAAAAUUUUAUUUAAAAAUUUAAGCUAUUAGAUUAAGCUUUGUUAUCAAUUAUUGACUUAUUACAAGUAGAAUUUUCUGCCUAGAGAGAUUGAUAUAGACAGGGACCAAUCUCUUUUCCACCUGGUGGUAAAGGACAACAAGCUAUUUGUAGUUUAUGAUAGACUCAAAUGCAUGCAUUUAUAUAGUUAGUUGGUGCAUAAUUGACAGUUUAACAGUCACUGAUCUGAUUUCAAUGUAUAUAUUGAAAUAUUAUUAGAUUUACCUGAUGAAUUAGUAAAUGUAAUAUAUUCAAAUAUUCAAAAAAAAUUUGAAAAUCAAGAUACUAAUUCUCGUAUAAAUCUUCACCUGGUAUUUUCUUUGGUUCUCCUAGUUGCAGGUUGCAAGAUGUUGAAAUUUAAAAGAUAAGAAGGCAGGCACAUAUAGAGGCAUUCAAGCCACAAAUUUCAUGUUGAAUGAUUCACAUCAGCAGGGCCGUCGGCUACUAAAAGGCAUUUUCAUGGAAAACCUCUCAGAUAUUUAAACAUGCUAAGAACAUACUGAAAACGAGAGAGAUUCCAAGUAGAAUUUUCUGCCUUUUUUUUUUUUUUUUUUUGCAAAUACUGAUUGAUGCAGACAUAGACCAAUCUCUUUUCCACCUGGUGCUAAAGGACAACAAGCUAUUAUUUGAAGUUUAUGAUAGACUCAAUUAUAUAGCUAGUUGGUGCAUAACUGACAAUUUAACACUUGUAGCAGGUUGAUUUUUAUGUUUUAAAAAUGUUUUUAGAGGAAAAAUGAAUUUUUUUAUUGUUUUUUUUGUUUUAAUGUUUGUAUGUUUAAAAUACUUUUUUUUAAAAAAAAAAUUUUAAUAUAUUUUAAAUAAAAAAAUACUAUGAAAUAAAGCCGCCAUCAGUUUUAAUACUUCUGUUAGUCAUCAUUUGCUUUGAAUAUUGAGUUUUUUUUUUUAUUUCUCAAACGAACACUAAAAUAGUUUCAUGACCUGUGUGGGUUGUGCAUGUAUUAUAAAAAAUAAUCUCGUUAUUUUUUAGAAAAUACUUUGUGAAUGUUAAUUUUUUUUCAAAUGAACAAACUCUCGAUAAAGUGUAAUCUUUUUUAUUACUUAUCCACCAAUGGUCUGUUCUAUUUUAUUUUUCCAAACUUUUUGGUAAAGUGUAAUUUUUUCAAUUUCAAUAUUAAUAUCGCACCAGAAAUUACGAUGAAGUUUAGAAUGUAAAAAUGGAUAAGAAAUCACCAUUUGUGGAGAAGAUGAGUUUACAGUGUGGGUUAAAUGCCCCCAAGCUUUAUACACAGGUCUAUAUUAAUUUAUAAUUCAAAAAUCUCAUACAAAAACAAGCUGAUUCCUUCUUUAAAUUUAAAUUUUAUUAAAAAUAUUCAUAAUAUCCAUCCCCAUAGAAAAUUAAAAUAUUAUAGGUUAGUUAUUGUUUUUCUUUUUUUUAAUAUCCUAAGUGUCGUUAUAAUUUGUGCUUCUUCUGCCACCAUUUUUACAGGUCACAAUCUCAAGAUUUUAAACAAUAACGUUAAAAAAAAAAAAUCAUAACCCAUUUAACAGAAUGAAAACCACGAAAAGUAUUGAUUGGCCUUUUAACAAAACAGCAACCACCAACCCAGAAAAGUGUAAUGUAUUAAAAUAUAAUUGCUUUCAACAGGUACAAGUAAUCUUUCCUUCUUUUUACUUUUGAUAUAUCUAACUGUUCAAGCAGCAAAACGAAUGGGCGUAGAAUUUUCCGCAAAGACUUUUCACAACUUCAAUGCAUUCUUGGAAGUUGCAAUGUGAACUCAAGUAAUCUCAUGGAUGCAUGGAUCAAUCAAUAUUGAUGCUAGUCUUUCUCUCUCUGCAAUAAAGACAUAGGUAGAAAGAACUUGCUGCUUUUAAAUGCUGAUAGGUUGAUUGAUGCAGACAUGACUUCUUUCUUCCACGUUGGGUCCUGUUAAUCUCAUGGACUUGAUCAAAAAGAUGCAUGGAUCGAUCGAUCAAUAUAGAUAGUACGUGAAGUGUUGAUUAAUUUUAGUAAUUCCCAUUCCUGUCUUUCUUCUUCUUCUUUUCUAAACAUAGGUUCUUUAAAUCUAGGUAAAUUUGGUUCAAACCUGGUUAUUAAACAUGACUCGUUCAGUAGGUCACUCUAGAACUUAGUUGACUUAAUGGCUAGAUUGAUCUAGGUUUAAUCUAUUUUUUAUCAUAGUAUUUUCAUGAAAACUAAAAAAAUUACUCCAAGUCAAGUAACACGCAACAAAGAAUUUAAGAUAAUUUAUUUUAAUUUUUUGACUCUUUUAAUAGAUAAAUAGGAAUGAUUUUUAUUUGAAAAAAAAGUCAUUUUGGCUCAUGAUUUGGUUUUCUCUGCAAAAUCAAUAAAGAACUGAAAAAAUAGUUUUUAUUUCUUUACAAAGAAAGUGAGGUAGAUAUGAAAUUGCUUGCAAAAUUGUGUGAUGCUGCUGAGGUGUUUUGUUACUUGCAGUUGUUGUAUGAUUGUUAAUAAAAAAAAUCUAAUUAAUUAAAAUUUAAUAAUAAAAAGAUGUUGGAUAUAAUUAACCCGGUUGUGCCACUUACAUUAUAUAAGCUCUUUGUAUUUAGAUUAAAGGAUGUUUUUUUUACAAAUCAAUUCAGAAGAAUUUUAGUCUUUCCUCUCUUUUGUAUUCGUAUUUAUUUUAUGUAAUUGAAUUGUUUUAACAGCAUGAAUCCAAAAAACAAAUCUCACCUUUUUUCAUCUACUCGCUCUACUGGGACUGACAAAAAUAAUCAAUGAAUAAUUUAUGUGCAAGAUACUAACCCAGAAAGACUCUAGGAAUUUUAUUUUUUAUUUUUUAUUUUUUAUGUUGUACCAGUCUUCUACGGUUAUGAGUGUCAUGUGCUGUUUACCUUUGCCUCCUGGAGUCUAUUUGUUCUCCUUAUAAUUUACAAGGAAAAAAAAAAAGACAAAAGGUUGAUUGGAGUAGACAUUACUCACUCUUUCCACUUGAUUCCUAUCUUUAUCAUAGACUUAAUCAAAUGUGUGAAGGUGAAAUGUUGAUCAUCUCGUACAUGAUUUUUAAUGCUUGUCAUUUCUCUGUCUUUCUGAUUUACUGCAUUUGUCUUGUAUAUAGGUACUUUAAAAUCUUUGAUCAAUAUGGUUCGAACAAAAUUCACCAAGCUACGAGACUAAAUUCAUUUAGUUUUGACUGAGUAGUUAAAAAUGAAGAAGAAUUAUGGAGGGGAGGUGGUUCUGAAAAACACAAACAGAAAAGAAUGAGGCCAGUUGGCAAUUGGCAGGUCCUGAGACGAUAAGCCAAAAGGUGAGGCUUGAAUGCGGCACCGCUGCUGUAGAGGCCAUAUAUGUUUACGAUGGUGUAAAACAAUAUUUAUAUCUUAAGCUGUUCUUCGGUAACAAAGUUACCUGGCGAAUGCAAGUUAAUGUAUAGAAACUCUUAUUUUUGUCGGGUUUUUUCUUCCUCUAGUCCUUUCAAUUUUUUCCUUACUAAUAAGUACACCUGACAGAGCAGUCAUCAAUGUCACUGCUAUUCAUUAAAGGAACUGCCAGCAUAUGGAACCAUUAAUGGCGGCAAAACUUCAGCCGCAACCUGUGAUGCAUCCCACCAGUUCUGUUCAAAGUUAUCUUGGAAAAUGGAACAAAACAUGAUCUUUACAAAGUUUUCCCAUUGAACUGGACAGCAACAAAACAAUCAGGAAUGAGAUUCGAAAUUUCCAGUGUACAUACAGAUCCGUCUGAUAAACUUGAAAUUUGCAGUUUUAUAUAAAAAAUAAUUAAGCCUCUCCCUCUCAGAACUUGGAAGAAAAAAAAAACUGUAGUCACGCUGAGUUAAAUUUCAAAUAAAUAGCAGAAACCCAACAUCACAACAGUGAGAGAGCCAGUGCAUCGUUUCCUCAUGUCAAGGACUCUUUGAGAACCCCAUAUGAUCUGUGGUACAUGAUUAGAGCUUUGGUUCCGAGCUUAUCUCAUAACUGCUGUUCUCAGAUAUAGAUGAAGAGCUUAAAGUUUGAAUAGAGGCUGACUUUUGUGUUUGUCUCCCACUGAAUCUAUGACUUUGCUCGUGCUGACGGAGGUCUCUCAUGGCUUUGAACCUCAGAUCUUCAGUAUAUGAACUCAGUUCUGGAAGCGUGUCAGGAACAGCCAUUCGUCCUUCAAGCAUGCUCACUACCUCAGUCAUUGUAGGUCUAAUUGUAGGGGACGCAUUUGUACACAAGAGAGCUACUUUAACCAUAGUUUCUGCUUCUUCUAUGUUAACUUCAGAUCCUAACGUCUCAUCAACAAGCUCUAUAAAACUCCCACUUUGUUGCAAAUGGCAGGCCUGCGAUGAAGUAAUUUAAGACUUCAGCACUAGACUUGCAAGCAACAAUAUGAGUGCAACGUAUGAAGCAUGAAAGAAGAUUACCCAAUCUAAGAGACAAACACAACUGCUGUUGCUUGGCAUGUAGUUAUUGUUGUUCUUCCCACUAAUAAUUUCCAAAGCAACAACCCCAAAACUGUAAACAUCUGCUUUGUCAGUCAAGUAACCCCAUAGCGCAUAUUCUGGUGCCAUAUAUCCUCUGCAUGUCAAGAUAAAGAACACUUGUAAUUUAACAUUGAAAAGUAAUACCAAAAAUCGCAGCUUUUUUUAAAGCAUGUGGUGACUAACANNNNNNNNNNNNNNNNNNNNNNNNNNNNNNNNNNNNNNNNNNNNNNNNNNNNNNNNNNNNNNNNNNNNNNNNNNNNNNNNNNNNNNNNNNNNNNNNNNNNUUGUCAAAUCAGAACGUGAAAAUAACUGUUUUAGCAUCAUCAAUGAUGUUCAUGUUAUCACCCAUAUUCAUGCGGUGAAGUGUGCAUUUGAGCUUCAAAACGAAUGGUCCCACAGUCAGUCUUGGUAGGUGCAUCCUUCCAGCAUUCAUGCACAUGCAACUAUGUGAUAACAUCGUUCAAAAAUCAUAACCAUGUUGAAGAUAUUCUUUCUUUUCCCCCAGCUGAUUAGAAUGUUGUUUGUUCUUCUAAGGGUCCACUGUAUUGCCCCCAGGUGGUCAACUUUCAAGGAGUUGAGAAAUGUUGAUGUCUUUUGUCAAGGAUUUUGCAAACUCAAUGAUGUUCUUCUUGUUUGAAAAUCUUUCUUGUUCUGGAAUCAAAUCUACAUUUCAACGAUCAUGUCUAUUCAAGUCUAAUUGUUGAAAUGAAAUCAGAGAGAUGUCUGUUUUUAAAAUUUUUUUUUUUUUUUUGAAAUUCAAACUUCUUUGGUCAAAGACCCAACACACUAUUCAAUGCAGUCCUUUGAUUGUCUUGUAUUUUGAAAACAGAAAUGACCCGUUGUAAGAUUUAAAAUGACUUUUUCAUGGUUCUUUGUGUCCACUUUAAACUCUGAUUUUGGGUAUAUCUUUUGAUGGUUUAUGGUGAGGUGAUAUUUUUAUGAAUUUCAAAAACAAGAUGCUCAGACUUUAUCAAGAAAGGUUGUUUUUGUUCUUGGCAUUCAUUUUAUCAGCAUGCAUAAUAACCAGUAGGUUAAUUCAUGAAGUCACGACCCUUAUGGAAAAAACUCUUCAAGUUUUGAGAGUGCCAUUUAUCGAUUCAAAUUGCUUUCUUGAUUAAAAAGGGCUUUUAAAAGCACGUAAUGCAGGCUAUGGUUCAUGGCUAUGAAAGAAAAGAAUUUCAAAGGCUCAAAAGGUGUUUGAGGGUUUCAACGACUAGGAUCAACAUUAACUAUUCAUCGAUUCUCUUUCUCUUGUCGUCAUUGUAGAGAAAGUGACAUAUAACCUUGUUAAUCUCAAUAUCAGAAUUCUCUUAACAUAGGUCAUAAUCCAACUUUUUCUUUGAUGAAUAACUAAUCUAAUUUUGAAGACAUUAGAGGCUUUAUCCUAGACACACCAAAAGAUAUGAAGCAUCGAUUUUUCUAGUGUUGACUUUUGGCAUUUAUUGUCUUUUCUCAUUUGAAAGUUGUCUUGCCUCUCUUAGAAUUGGUAGGCAUUUUCUUUCAUUUCCUCAAAGUUUUUCUUGGAUGGCCCUCAAUCUAUGGAUUUUCUUCUUCUAGCCCUUUCUCAAACAUUGGACUUUUGUUCUAAGCUUUUCUUUGAUCCAUUGAUUUUAUCCGUGUCUCCAAAAUAUUUCUCAUUUGCCCCCAGUGUGGGGUGUGAUCCUAGUCAGGGUUUUUAUAAAAAAUAUUCUAUCCAGCUCAAAAUGGGACUACAAGGGAGAUAAUUUUUAGAAAGUGACAGGAUAUCAAAGAUGGCCUUUUCUCAUUUCAAGCAAGGUCGGUUAGAACCGAUAAAUUUUGACCUCAUCUAGUGUAAUGAUUUGGACUUGUAAGAGUCAUGAUUCACGAGUCCAUAACUACCGAAAUCCACUACAUGUCAUUAUGCAUACUGUUAAAACUUAGCUACAUGAUGUGUGGUUCAGUUUCAGGAAGUAUGAGUUCAAAAUUUGUUUGGUCACCUCAUGUCAUUUCAACAAGAAUCGAGUCAUUUCUGCAAUCAAAACACUUUUAAUCUUCAGGAUUGAUUAACCUUUAUCGCAUGUUGGAGUUUGAUCAAAAUAUUUUGUCAAAAUACCCUUUGAAAGAAGUAUCUCUUGAUUUCAAAACAACAAGAAGACAAAGAAAAGACAUGUUUCGUUCAAGGAUGAGAUGUGAUCCCAAAACAAAAAUGCAAAAUGGCAAAAAUCCAUAACAAAAAUGCUUGACAGUUUAACUCCUUCUUGGAUCAGCUUCUCUGGCAAUAUCUAUGUUUUGCCUAGCAAUUCCGAUCACUUGUCAUUCUGAAAAUGAUUGACGACAUCAUCUUUCGCAAAUUGAGCUCGACUCUUGAAACUCUUGCAUCUGUUUAACUAAAAUGGCCGAGGACCCCACCAUGAACACACUGUCUUGUCCAGGAUUGAACCACCUAGAAAUGGUUGCAUGGGAUUUGUCGGAGUCAAGCAAAAUUCUGGAAUCUGGCAGAUGCUGGUCGACAAAAAGUGGCAGAGGAAUGUCAAUCUUGGCAAAGACAUUUGAGCAAUUGAUGCUACCGUGAGACUGCUACCAAAAUAAGGGUUCACAUCGAAGUCAUCUCUGAUUCACCUCUCAUCAUUGUUCUGGAAUCCAUGGCAGAUCCUUCAAUCUUUCCUUCUUCAUAGCUUGUUCAAUUCUUCGCAAAUCUCACAACAUUCAAUCUUCCAAUGUUGUUGUGGUUGGUUGAGGAUUGUUAGAAAACUUUCCAACAGCUUGGUAAUCUUGGCAGCGCACAGAAACUUGUAGUAUCGCCACUACCGACGUGUGGAAUCACACAUUGUCUCUAUUGGAAGAGCACCUGAUGAAUCUAAAACUCCUUUGUCCCCUCUUCGAUUUCUCACUGACAGUGCAGCAAACAAACACCUAUAGAGGAAGUCCUGCUCUGUUGAAGUUUCAGUAUUCUUCAUGUUUUUCAGUCUAGGCAUGUCUCUUCUCUCUACUUUUGUGUUUUAAAAAAAACUGACACUGUUGGAGGAAAAUCAUAGAUGAUCUGAAACUACUGUAUUCCUUCUUGGAUUUCCCACUUGCGGAUCCACAAACAGAUUCCUGCCGAGAGAGCUCUGCUACGUUAAAGUUUGAUGUCUGCUCAUAUUUUUCAGACCAGGUCUGGCUCUUCAACCUACUAAAGGUCUUCGUGCUGAACUGAUGAGAGAAAUAUUUGUAGCAUAUGCAACUUAUAAAUCCCCUCUUGCAUUCCCAAUUUGCAGAGCCAUAAAUGGAUUUUUGUAGAGAGAGCUCUGCCACAUUGAAGUUCAGUGUUUAAUCAUGGUUUUUCAGACCAUCUUGUGCUGCUGAACUGGAAUUGAGCUCAUAAUCGGGGUAACUUCAAAGCAGACUAAUGCACCAUGUACAGGAGGCUAGUAGUCGUUUGGUUCCAUUAGAUGAUGUGGAGGCGAUGAACACUUAACAGUGCAACUGGACAAGAAUCAGAGUUGUCAUUAGUUGAUGACUGAAGGCAUUGCUGCUGUUGUUCAUGACUGAAAAGGAGAGGCAGCUUCAAUUGGACGUGACAAGUAGUGUUCCCACAGAGACUGUGCAGACAUUCUCUUUCCAUUUGAUGCUCAACACUUGUUCGAGCAGAUAUGAGUCCAGCUAUUUCACCUUUGAUGCUCUCAAACUCAAACUGAUAAAGAUCCUCUAUCUGACAUCUUUCUUCACUUCCAUCCUUUCUUUAAUCACUCGUAGCACAACUUGUGUAGGGACCUACCUUUCAACCCGGUACAUGCAUGAUAAAUGUAUGAACAUGUAAUCUAUAUGAUGAACUCACCCUUCGAGCGGUGACAAUAUGGUCGUGACUCUUGUAUGAUGGACAAGAAUCGUGAUUUUUGCCCAAACUCUACAAUGAAAAAUUUCUAAGUGACGACCAUUGUGUCACCCACAAGUCUUGAGUUCAAGAUGCUUCAAGAAGGGUUUGCUCGGAUGCAAAACAAUAGCACACACAUCCUAAAAACAUGUUCUAUUCAUUUUACGUGAGACAGGGUAGGUUUGCUACAUGGUCUCUAAAAGGGUCUCUUGUUGUCCCAGUGAUCGCCUUCGUAAAGGCAAUAUAGGGGCCCAGUAGGUAAUUGGUUGGCACGUGUCCAACUAUUACCAGUCUAAGCACUCAACAAAGAGUUGGGGUUUACACAAACUUAAACCUUGACUCAAGUCGUAAGGUAAGCUGCUAGUCCCCCACCUAACCUAAAGCUGGUGUGUGCUUUCAAAAAUUAAAACUUGUGAUGCAUGAGAGAAAUAUAUACAAUGCAUGAAUAAAACACAAAUAAAUAAAACAAAGCACAAAAAAAAAAAAAUUGAACACAUCAAAACACAAAGCUUAGUCCGAUAAAGUUGAAAACAAUACCUUUCCCCAGUGGAGUCGCCAUCCUGUCGCACCCCAAAAAAUCCAAUCUGGCGCGCGCGGCAUCGGCUGACGAUUUUUCUUGUAUGUUGCAUUAGCUUUGAAUUCGUUCGUGGGAGUCGCCACCUAGUAAUUCAUUGAGGGCUACUAGGAAACCUGAUGUACUGGUCUUGUUAGAGAUCGCGGGUAAGGGACUGGUUGUGGUUAGGGAAGGUAUUAACACCCCUAACACACCCUACCUGAGGUAAGCUGCUUUGUGUUCUGAUGUGAUUUGAAAAUUUAAAAUAUUAAUCAAAUUCUAAGGCUUGAAUAAAUCAGUUAUUAAAUCCCCGAAUAUAUGUGGAAACUUGUUCUCACAUUUUCAUGGAAAAUACAACUUGAUUUUAUUUGUCCUUGAGAUAUUUAACCAUAUUUAAAUUAACAAUUAAAUCUUUUUGUUUUUUUUAUUUUUAUAAUUCAAUAACAUAAAAUAAAAAUACAAACACACACAACUUUCUUUUUAUCAUUUAUUUAUUUUCUUUUCUUUUUAUUUUUUUUUCUUUACAACACAAUGCAAAUACAAAUAAAAAAUCAAAAUCAAAACAAAUAAAUAAAAAUUACAUUAAUUAAUUCAAAAUUUACACAAUAGUCCCUAAAACUCCAAAAAUUGCAGGGAAGGACUUCUGGGGACUGCGUGAACAGUCCCGGCGCGUGGGUCCACGCGCCGCCGUGAGAAAGAAGCUGGAAACGGUGCGAUCUGUCUCAGCCUCUUCUCCCCCUCGUUUCCUCACCGGCGGUGAGAACAACGUCACCUGCAAAACACCAAGAAACGCAAACAACAAUGUUCCCGGAUCUGUUUCCUUUUUAGAUCUAUUCUCCUAUCUUUUCUGUUUUCAUUUCGUUGUUCUCUCCUUCUCCAGGUGAUAGAUCCGGUGGUUGUGGAGGAGUGCUGGAGACCGGAGGCGGACAGAUCGGAGAUCCGUGGGCGCCGCUGUUUCGGGCUGCUAUUGGAGGCUCCGAUCCGGUUGAGGAGCUGCGAAGAACAAAGGGAGCAGCUGAGAGGGAGGAACUGUGGAGGAGGAGCUGCUGCCGUUGGAGGACGCCGCUGAUGGUCUGGAGGAGGAGAAGACGACGGACAUAUAUGGGUCCGUGAGCACCGCUGUGUUCGGGCUGAAGAGAUCGCCGGCGAAGAAGACGCUGUUGAGGGGGAAAGCUUCGGGUUGAUGGAGAUGAACAGGAACGGCUGGGGGGGGGAUAAGGAAGUUGUCUUGGCCGGCUGGUUUAGGUCCGGUGAGGGAGAAGAAUGGGAAGAAAAACAAAUGAUCUGGGGCUGUUUGGCUGGGGUCUGUGUGGGUGAGGCUGGCUUUAAUUUCAAAGAGAGGGGAAAACCGUGAAGAUGGGGACCCGACUGCAGGUUGAAGAUGAGAAAAAAAUGGCCGGCUGCUGGGGGAGAAAAUAGGAAACGGGGAGAAGAAGAAAAUCCCCAAAGGGAUUGGGGACUGUGGGUGCUGCCCCCUACUGCCGGGACCCGAAAAAUGGCUCCAAUCUCCCCCCAGGUACAAGGCUGGGGAUGAGAAGAAAUAUGGGUUUUUUUCAUUAUGAGGAGGGCCACCAUGUCGGCGGGAAACAAGGAAAAGAAGACCAUGGGUGGGGCUAAGUCCUUAAUUUUCAGCCGAAAGAGAGGGAUUAAAUAAUGGUCUUGGGCCAGGGGCAACGGCUAGUUUCAGGUGAAGAGAAAAAAAUUCUUAGGCCCCCCCUUCUUUCAAAAUUCAAAAUUCCCUAUACAUAGGUAAAAAUAUUGUUUCGGCCUCAAAAUUGGUCCCCUUAAUUUUCUUUCUUUUUGUAAAAUUUGAUUUUUCUUGUUUUUUUGUAUUUUUUUGAAAACGAGCAAUAUCAACGUCGACUCAAAUACGGAAAAUCAAUUAUUUUAAAAAUGACGCGUGAAAAGUCGAACGCGUUCGAAAGACCCUUAAAAAUUCAAAUUCUUUUUUUUUAGACGACGUUGAAAAUGCUAAAAUAACGAAAAUAUAUUAAAAAACAUAUUUUUUGGAUUUUCUUUGUUUUUCUCUAUUUUUGGAUUUUUUUGAAAAUAUAUCAAAAACAUGGGUCAAAAAUUGGGUAGCAACAUGUUAAUUGAAUUGUUUUAACAGCAUGAAUCCAAAAAAAAAUCUCACCUUUUUUCACAUACUCGCUCUACUGGGACAGACAAAAAUAAUAAAUGAGUAAUUUAUGUGCAAGAUACUAACCAGAAAGACUCUAGGAAUUUUAUUUUUUAUUUUUUAUUUUUUAUGUUGUACCAUUCUUCUAUGGUUAUCACAACAAGAAUUUACAGUUUUACCGACGGAAAUAUUCCGUCGGUCUGUGAUUGAUAGUACGUCGGUAAAAUAUUUACCGACUAAAUUAUCGAGGGAAUAAGUCUGUCGGCUUAUCUUUCGUCAGUGAUUCCCCAUUCCGUCGCUAUAUCGGUCGGCAAAACAAAAAAAACCAUUUACCGACGUUUUACAGACAGAAUUUGCGCACCAAAAAAAAAAAAUUUCCCGCUUCAAUAAUACCGACGGAUUGUUAUUCCGUCGGUGAUAUCACAAUUCACCGACAGUUAAUUUCCGUCGGUAACUUAGUUGGUGAAUUGUUGAAAUACCGACAGAAUAUACCGUCUGUAAAUUCGUCAGUAAGUUAUAAUACCGACUGAUUAAUGUCGUCGGUAAAUCUGUUGGUGAGUCAUGAAAACACUGACCGAAUUUAUCCAUCUAGAAAUUUUUCGGUGAUGGUCGCGGCUACUGUCUAAUGCCAACAGAUUUAUUCCGUCGGUAUCCCUUUGUAAUGUUUUUUAUUUUUUUUUAUAAUUAUUUAGAAUACAUAAUAUAAAAUGAUAUAAAUUAAUGGUAAUAAAAACCAAUUAUGAAAAUAAAAUUUAUAUUAAGCAUCAAAAACAAAAAAUGAAAGAUAAAUAAUAUUCAUUACAAAAUGAAAUGUUUCAAAAAAACAUUAAAUGAAAUUUUAAAUGUAAAUAAUGUUUAUAAAAAAUUAAUAUAAAGGAGGAUAAGGAGGAGGAGGAGGAGGAGGCUGGCUGUUAUACGACCAACUUGGAUUGGGUGCACAUGUUCCACCUUGUGACAUGUUUAUGACCAUUUGACGAAGCUCUUCAUAAGCUGCUCUUUGUUGUGUAGAUUAUGCUGUGUAUUGUUCUUUGAGUUGUGUGUACGCCUCUGAUAGGUGGUCGCACCUUUGCUACAAGGCCACGAACUCCUUAGAUUGGGAGCUCGAUACUGAUUGGGAGCUCCUGAUGGUUGAAGCAGUACGGGUCAUCCGCAAAUUGUCGGCCCUAGUGUUGGAGAGCCCGUAAACCCGAUUCUUAUCGGAUCCACCUGACGAUCCAACCUCCAUCCACAAAUCCAGAUCGAAUUCCGGAUGGGUCGAAGGAUUGUCCCCGUAUGUCUCCCUCAACCGAUUAUUAUAGAUCUCCUGAAAAUAAAAAAAAGUAAUCAUCAUAUUCAAUUCAAUAAACAUAAUAAUAACUUACAAAAUAAAAUGGUUGAAUAAGCAUACCACAAAAUGUUGAGUGCGACUAUCAACGAACUAUUGCACCCCCUUUUGGCGGUCUUGAUUCCGCACGUGCGUCUCCACAAAUAGCUCUAUAGGGCUCGGCUCAUGUCCAAGAGACGUAGCCUAUAAUGAAAAAAAUUUAUUAACAAAAAUUAAUUGAACGAUAUAUUUCAUUUAAAUUAAUCUUACCUUCCGUUUCGCAUGUGCAGCAAACGGAAUGGAGCCACCGGUGUGCGUUGUCACCGAGCCAUGAAUUGGCCGAUUCCGGUUUCCAGUACUGGACUGUGAGCGUCAUGUGAACCGCUCAAACGUCACGUGCUCAAGAUAGUGCGGCCAUAUAUCCUCCGGGAUGUAUAUCGAUUUGAAAUCCCUCCAAACCGCAACAUUAUUCCAGCCUUGGAACCCCCUAUCCCUCGCUGUUUUUUUUUGCCUUUUUUUGGGCUUCGUACCAAAAAUCACGCAACCUACUUAACGCAAUCAAAAAUUACAUUUCGAAACAUACAUUUUUUUGUAAAAAAAAGUUGUAUUGUUUUCGAUGUUACCUAGUUGCCGCGUGAUUUUCCCACACCCUCCUCACAACAUUGUUAUGUUCUUCGUUCCAGCAGAAUCGAUUCUGUGUAUAAAAAAUAAUUUUUAAAAAUGUUAAUAAUUUAUUUACAAUUAUAUUAAGAAUUUAUUAGAAAUAAGCUGAAAAUUAUAUAUUAACACGAAUCUCAAAUCUGGAAAACCAUGCAUUGAUUUGAGGCAUCCAUUCAGGAUGCCUGGAUAUCUGACUCCAUUGAAACAAUGGAAUCUCCAUCGACGCUUUAAACGCUGAUGGUAUUACUCGGGCGGCCUCAAUGUUUGUGAACCUGAAAAGAAUUGAAAUUAAUUAAAUAGUGACUUCAUAAAUUUGUUUCAAAUUUGUUUUUUUUUUUUAAAAUUAAAACCUUAACAAACUUACAUUGAAAGAUCAUCCUUCCAUUGUGCCUCGUACUUGCGGAUCCAUCAAUUCCGCUGCGAAGGCAUGCCGCUUCUGUGACGUGAAACAUCGCUGGAAUAGGCAGCAUCAGCUGACGGUACAAGUGAUGUAGGUGUCUCUUCUUGAGAGGCACCUAAGGAAAUGUCUUCGUCGCUGCUAGACGAACUAGAUGCGACCAUACGUGAAGAUCUGGUUUUCAUUCUCUGCAUCUAACCAAUUUUAUAUAAAUAAUUAUAUAAUUCAAUUGAAAUGUUAAAAAAAAAUUCGGCAACGCCUCCCCUAUACUUGGAUACUACCCAAAUCCACAAACCUGCAAAUAUUAACAAUAGCCGCAACCAAUUGACCCAAUCUAUACUAAUUAUUCCAACAUAUUCAAUUACUAAUCCUAAGGUAAAUUCUACAUUAACAAUUACAAUUCAACAAAUUAUUCAAUAAUUAUGUCAAUACAACAAAACUAUAAAUUCAAAAUAAAUAGAAACAAUUAAACACAAAUCAUUAAGUUAGAGUAAAAUUAAUAAUUCUUCCAACAUAUUCAAUUACUAAAUCUAAGAUAAAUUCAACAUUAACAAUAUUAAUUCAACAAAUUAUUAAAUAUUCAUUAUGGCAAUACAACAAUAAAAUAUAUUCAAUAAAUUUUUAAAAAAUAUAAACUAACAAUUAAAAACAUAUGCAAUUACUAAUUAUUCCAACAAAUGCAAUUACUAAUUCUAAGGUAAAUUCAACAUUAACAAUAUUAAUUCAACAAAUUAAUCAAUAAUUAUAUAUGGCAAUACAACAAUAAAUUAUAUUCAAUAAAUUAAAAAAAAAUAUGGACUAAAAUUAAAAUCAAUGGAAAUAAUUAAAUACAAAUCAUGCAAUAAUAGAGUAAAAUUACUAAUUAUUCUAACAUAGUCAAUUACUAAUUCUAAGUUAAAUUCAAAUUUAACAACAAAUAUCCAAUAAAUUAACUAAUACCAAUUAUAACAACACAACAAUAAAAAAUAUUCAAAAAAUUCAAAAAAAAAACCUACAUCAAGAAAAGGAACGAAAUAUACAUACCUUAAUAAUAUGUCCAAUUCAAAAUUUUAUCUACAUUACAAAAAAAUACACCAAAACAACAAAAUAAUAAAAAUAAAAACAACUACAACUAAAAUAAAAUAAAAUAGAAAAAACCACAUACCUUUAUUCAAAUCUUGCAAGAGAUUCAAGGUGAAAGCCUUGAGGAUUGAGAGCAAAAAACUGAAAAUUAUAGGGCAACAGAGGAGAAGAAAAACGGAGGAGAAGAAAAAAUGAGGCGAAGCGGCGAGCGCUGGAAGUUAUAGGUUAUAUGGAAGAUUUACCGUUGGAUAUUAAAAAAAUAUUAUUAAUUUUUAAAUCCGUCGAUAACAGGUUAAAAAUCCAUCGGUAAUUUUUUAAUUUCGCACCGAAAUUUUUAAUCACCCUCCAUAUUUUUCGCGGUCCGUCGGUGAUUCCGUCGGUAAUCUGACAUGGUCAGAGGUGCAUUCAAUUCACACCCUUUGGAAUUCACAUAUUCCGUCGGUAUUUCUGUCGGUAAUAUUUGAGACCAAAAAAUUACGGACGGACGUAUUCCGUCGGUGUGUCCGUCGAUGAUUGUGGUAUUUUGUUGUAAUUAUUUUCGAACUCUCUGUGAGAUACCGACGGAUGUAGGUCCGUCGGUGUUGCUGUCGGUGAUUGUGGUAUUUUGUUGUAAUUAUUUUUGAACUCUCUAUGAGAUACCGACGGAUGGAGGUCCGUCGGUGUUGCUGUCGGUGAAUGUGGCAUUUUGUUGUAAUUAUUUUUGAACUCUCUGUGAGAUGCCGACGGAAUAUAAUCCGUCGGUGUAGGUGUCGGUGAAUCCGUCGGUGAUUGUGGCAUUUCGCGUAAUUAAUUUCGAACUCUCUAUGAGAUGUCGACGGAUGUUUAUCCGUCGGUAUGGACGUUGGUAAGUUUGCAUUUUGCAGGAAAGGUUGUAUUUGUAUUGCCUAUUUACCUUCCUGCAAACACGUAACUGAUAAAUUGUCCAUCGUAUAAAACAAUAACAACAUUGCUUAAACAAUAAAUAUUUUGUUUUACAAAAUACAUCAUCCAUAAUGUAAAUUACAUGAAGAAAAGGGUUUUACAUAGUGCUUCAUUUUGAUAGUUACUCAGAAUUAUCUUCUUCUUCGUCAUCUAUUGAAUAGUCAUCACCUUCAUCGCAAUCUUCAAUAUGGAUAUCAUCUUCUUCAUCGACAUUUGCUUGUCCGCUAGAGCUCAAAACAACGUUCAACUCCUCUACGUCAACAUCAACAAGACUAUGAUCGGAAACACGAAAAUUUGAAUUUUCCUCCAAUUCAAUCGAAGGAGCAACUCGAUAUGGUUCAACCAACUCACUAACUUAAAAGACUUUAUCCCGCACACUUGUUUCUUCGUUCUCAUCCUGAACAACCUCGACAUGACCCCGUGGUUUUGUUUUUAAAACGGACAACCAAUCAACUCUUGAUCGAUCAUUUUUAAAUGAAGGGGUGUAUGUGUAAUAAACUUGUUGACAUUAGUUUGCGAAAACAAAGACAUCGUUUAUGUUGCGGAGUCUAGCUUUUGAGUUAAUUUCGACCAGACCAUGGUGCGUAUCAACUCUGAUUCCUCUGUCCGUAGUGUCAUACCAAUAGCAUUUGAAUAAAAACACUGUAUUCUGCUCGCUAUGAUAUUGGAGUUCGACAACCUCUUCUAAUCUACCAUAGUACUCAACUUCUAACUCACUACUUGUGGAUCCUUUAACACAAAUACCGCAGUUGUAUGUCUUUCUUCCUUACCCGUAUUCUUCAGUAUGGAAAACAUAUCCAUUGACAAAAUGCCCGUUGUAGCACUUAACUUUUCUUUCAGGCCCGAGGCUUAGUGAAGACAAUGACUUAGACGCACUUCUUCCCAUUUGAUAAACCUUGUAUACAUGUAAUGUACAUCAAUAAACGGUAAAUGAACGAGAAUCUCGUAAUGGCAUGCAUACGUACAAUAAUUUUGCAAGUUAGAAUGAGUUUGUGAUAGUGCUUACAUGUGUUCUGAACCAUGUGGCAAAUUGUUCAUCUUGUAAUUGAAAGAUCUAGGAGUCGGUCAGCUACGAGUUAUUGGAGAGCAAAUAUUGUCGAUGUUGCCUGCAAGUGAUAAUGAGUGUAUGAUUUCACAAUAUAUAAUUAACAGUGUCGCACCCCAAAAAAAAUCCGGCGCGCGGCAUCGGCUGGCGAUUUAAGUCUUGUUUUUGUUGUUUGCUUGAAUUUGGUUCGUUGGAGUCGCCACCUAGUAAUUGAUUGCGGGCUACUAGGAAACCGGAUGUACUGGUCUUGUCAGAGAUUCGCAAGUAAGGGACUGGUUGUGGUUAGGGAAGGUUUUAGCACCCUAACGCACCCUACCUGAGGUAAGCUGCUUCGUGAAUUUGAUGUGUUAAAGAAGUUUUAAUAAUUGUCUUUUCAUCGGAAAUUAGAAAUAUCACUUACGUAUAAGUUAAUAAUUCUUAACCGUGAUCCGAUCAAAAUUUUAAAUUCUUCUUUAAUAUAUUUACAAUUUUAUCAUUAAAAAAUAUAUACAAAUAAAUAAAACAAAAUACAAGCACACACAUACACUUUCACUAUUUUAUUUUUGUUUCUUUUCUUUUCUUUUCUUUUUCUUUUACAUCCAUAUUUACUAGAUACAAAUAAAAAUUCAAUACUAAAUAAAAAAAAAUUACAUCAAACAAAAAUUACAUUAAAAUUACAAUAACAGCCCUAAAACAAUUUGGAAUUCACAGGAACAACUUCUGCACCACUGAAACAGUGCUGGGAGCAUUUUGAGGGCAACUGAACGGUGGUGGCGCGUCUGCUCCACGCGCCUCCACCACUGGCGGCGCGUGGGCUCACGCGCCGCCGGAAAAAAAACAACGCAGCAGGGGAGAUCCUCCCUUCUUCCUCGCCGGCGGUGAAUACUACCUUUACCUGCAGCAAGAAACGCAAAAAAAAGGACACAAACAGUUGAUUUUAGAUUUUAUUUCCGUUUUCUUUAAAUUUGCUUCGUUUUUUUCUUUUUAUCAGAUCAGCUUCUCCUUUUCUUCUUCUCGGUUUCGGAUCUGUUUCUUCUACAGAUCGGUCUGUUAUGGGUUCCUUCUUCUUCUCCAGUGGUAGAUCGGUCGUGGAGGAGGAGCUGUCGGUGGUCGUUGGGUUUCGUUGUCUUCUCCUCUGCUUCGGGUGGCAGAUCGGGCGGUUGCUCCGUGGCUGCUGAAGCUGUUGUUCGGUGGCCGGUUGAAGGCAGUGGAGCGAGCGAAAGUGUUGCCCCAGCGCUGCUGUUCGGCCGUCGCUGAGGAAGGAAACCGAAGGGGAAGCAGCCGUGGCUGAGGAGGGUGUGGGAGAGUGAGCGGCUGUGCAAGGGCUGAGCCCUUGACUGGCGAAAAGAAAGAAAAAAAUCUGAUGAGUGAGGGGGUGGCGGCCGGUUCUCCUGAGGAAGAAGAAAAGGAUGGUGGCCGGCAGAAAGAAGAAGAGCUUGUGUCUGUUUUGGGAGAGGAUGAAAGUCAGAUCGGGUUGUUGCUGUUUUGGUGGAGGUUCAGAUGGCUGGGAAAAAAUCAAAAACAGUGGGGGGCCGGCGGCUGGAAUGGUUGGGGCUGGGGAGAGGAAGAAAAAAAAAGAAAAAAUAUAUAUAUAUAUAUAUAUAUACCCCGGGGAAGGGGGCUGCACCGAUUGAGUGAGAAGAGAAAAAAAAUUUAAAAGGUGAGGGGGGGGGGCUGGCUUGGUUCAGCGGCUGCAAGGGGGGAAAAAUCUUUUAGGUUUAGGGUUUUUUUGUUCUUGUAUUGUCUCUCCCCCAAUUUCAAAAUUGCCCCCCCCCUAUUGAAUGUGUUGAAGACCAGUAUUUAUAGGCAGAAUGUUGCUAGGUUUUUCAACUUGGUCCCUCAACUUCUUUCUUUUUUUGUAAAUUUUGAUUUUUCUUAUUUUUAUGUAUUUUUUGAAAACGAUCAAUAUCAACGUCGACUCAAUGAGGAAAAUCAAUGAUUUUAAAAAUGACGUGUGAAAAGUCGAACGCGUUCGAAAGUCUUUUGAAAAUUUAAAUUCUUUUUUAGACGACGCUGAAAAUGCUAAAAUGACAAGAAAAUAUUAAAAAAACAUGGGUUAAAAAAUGGGUAACAACAGAUGCCCCCUCUUUACAAUGCUUACGAAGCGAAAAUCCUCAAUGUUUUGCAUAGUAAGCUUUGUAAAGAAAAACUUGUCUUUUUGUUUGCUCAAUGUCCACUUCAUCUAAAAACCUUACUCUGUUUUUUUUUUUUCUCUUUUUCUCUCUUUUUUUUUCAUUAUCUUGAGAUCCCAUCUGGCGACCUCCUUUAACCAAAACCAAAGAAUGUGUGUAACUCUGUCAACCUGAAAUCCCAUAUGGAGAUUCUCUUUAACCAAAGCUACAUGAGAUCCCAUCUAGCGACCUCAUUUGACUAAUAUCGCAAUACGAAAUCCCUUCCGGCGAUCUCAAUCAACUUGGAGUCCCAUCUGACGAUUCCUCUUAACCAAAUUAAACUCUGUGUGUGGUUGGGUUAACCAAUACAAAAAUGCAUGUGUGGUCUCAUUAUGAUGGGUGACCUGCCCGAGUGGAAAAGUGGAAGAGUAGUCUCAUUCUUAUGGGUGACCUACCCAGAAAAUGGUCUCAUUGUAUGGGUGACCUACCCAGAAAAAAAUGAAGUGGUCUCAUUGUAUGGGUGAUCUACCUAGAAAAAUAAUGGUCUCAUUGUAUGGGUGACCUACCCAAGAAAAAUGAUGGUCUCAUUGUAUGGGUGACCUACCCAAGAAAAAUGAUGGUCUCAUUGUAUGGGUGACCUACCUAAAAAAAAUGAUGGUCUCAUUGUAUGGGUGAUCUACCCAAGAAAAAUAAUGGUCUCAUUUUAUGGGUGAGCUGCCCAAAUGGAAAAAAUAUGAUGAAGUGCGGUCUCAUUGUCAUGGGUGACCUACCCAAAUGGAAAAAAUAUGAAGUGUGGUCUCAUUGUAAUGGGUGACCUACCCAAUGGAAAAAAUAUGAAAGUGGGUCUCAUUUUAUGGGUGAGCUGCCCAAAUGGAAAAAAUAUGAUGAAGUGCGGUCUCAUUGUCAUGGGUGACCUACCCAAAUGGAAAAAAAUAUGAAGUGUGGUCUCAUUGUAAUGGGUGACCUACCCAAUGGAAAGAAUAUGAAAAAGUGGUCUCGUUGUGAUGGGCGACCUACCCAAAUAGAAAGAAUGUGAAGUGCGGUCUCAUUGUCAUGGGUGACCAACCCAACUGGAAGAUGUGAUAUGACAAGUGUGAAAAAUAGGACUUACCUGGUGAAGUCUUUGAGGGGAUGACAGAAGAAGGGCUGGAAAACUUGGUGCUUCCUGAUAAUUCCCGAUCAUAGGAUUUGAAAACUCGGUGUUUCCUGACUGCAAGAGUUGAAAACUCGAGGCUUCCCGAUUGCAAGGUUGAUCUUUUCAUUUCUUUGGGAUUUUCCUAAUGUAGGGUUCAUCCCAUCAUCCUUUUAUUCCAUGAUCAAAAUCGAUUCUUUAUUAUCAUCACCAUAAUGCUUCUUUCUUUUUCCAACAUCUUGCUAGACCUUAUUAAGGAUUUUCCUGUAACAAAAAAAUAUGUGCAAAUAUAUUUUUUUUUUUUGAGGUUAGAUGAUAUGCAUGCAUCCUUACCUGAUUUGAAAUAAUAGGUCCCCAUUUCUUCAUGGUGUGUUUCUUUUCUCAAAAGUUGGAGUGUUGGCAGUGAACUUCAAUGGCUUUACGCUCUUGCUUACUCGAGUCAUUGCUUGUGAUUUUGACCUCUAGAAAAGACUUGAUAUCAUCAUACUUCUUUGUCCUCCGCCUCUUUAUCUUAAGGGUUGUCAAUUUGACAUUUCUUAGAAUGGGAAUCAUGGAGCUAGCCCUAUCAUAUGUUUCGUUAUUGCCCCCUAGCUUGAUCAUGCCCCCAAGUAUUCAAAUCAAGUUUGGGGAUAAGGCUAUGUGAAGGAAGGUUUGACAAGGAAUUGUUUUCAUGCAAAAUUUUUUGGAAUUCCAAAGUUAUUCCAGACAUAGAAAUUAGUUUGACAUUGAUUCAAAGCAAACUCAUUCUGAAGAAAUUCAAGUGUUUCCUAUGGAGAGGUUAUCAGAAGUGAUGAAAACUUUUUUUUUUUUUUUUUGGCUUUUGGUAGAAAAAAUAUGGAGUGACAUCUGGUUUGUCGGAAAAGGUUUAAAUUUCAAUUUGAGGGUUAUUGAGAACCGAGGUUCAAAAUAUUUAUUUUAUUUGCAUGAAUAAUGAUUUGGUUCACAUGAGAAAGCAUUGCCUACCGAUCCAGAUUGCUUGCCUUUGAUCAGAAAGGGCUUGAUUAGGCACGUAAUGUAGGCUUGGGCUCUUGGUUAUGAAGAAAAUGAUAUUUGUAGGCUCAAAAGGUGUUUAAGGGAUUUGAAGACUAAGGAUCACUUGUGCUUGUUUCUUGACCUUUUGUCAUUUGACUGUCUUUCGAAAAUUGUCUAUCGUGCCCCCUUGUGUUGGGCUUGGGCUUGUUCUCUUUGUUUUGUUUUCUUCAUAUGGUUUUGAGCAUCAUAUAUUGUUUUUUUUUUUUUUGCUCAAAACUUUUGAUCCUUUGGAUUUUUCUUCAUGCCCCUAGAUUUGUUGGGCACCUUUGAUGAUUGAGAAUUUUCUUUUAUGCCCCCUAGUAUUGCUUGGGCACUUUCGAUCAUUGAGGUUUUCUCUAUGUCAUCGCACUUGCCCCCAGUGUGGGGUGUGAUCCUAGCCAAGGUUAUUUUUCAAGAAAAUAGGCUCAAAAGGGGACUACAAAUGAUAUAUUUAGCCUCGUGAAAAGAUUAUCAAAGAUGGCCUUUCUUCAUUUCAAAUCAUGCAUUUAGGAUCGGUAAGCCUUGCUUUCAUGCGAGUAUGCAAAGUGAUUUCUCAUUAUUCAUGCAAUCAAAACUCAGCUUUAGAGUCACUUCAUGGUGUUUGUUUUUUUUUUUUUUGGGUUUUUCUAGGUGUAUGGUUACCUUUCUAAGGAAUCACCUGAAUUUCCAGAACUCGUUUGUUUUGGACAAACAUCAACAUGAUUUCAGUUUUGUACUAAACUUUGAAUUCCCAAAAAUCCUUGUGAACAUGUGCGAUCAUGCAUAGUUUUGAAAGAAAGGAAAACACACCCAAAGAUUCUUGGUGCUCAAUAUGUUAUUUGCAUGAAACAACAACAAAAAUGAAGGUAUGUUAUAAACACACAUGAUCUUAUUAACAAGAAAGGCUCAUUUGACAAGGAAAAUGUUGCGAAAUUUUGAGCCAAGUUACCAACAAAAACUGGAAUAGGUUGAAACAAAAAUCAAGAAAUUUUACAGGCAUGAUCAAACUAAGGUUUUUUUUUUUUUGCAAAACAAGAAUAGGCUCCAUUAUGCACCAGUGGUGCAAUUCCCUUCGGUCAGUCUUCCCACCAAAGCUUUUUGUAGAAAAUACAUGAUUGCACCGAGGCUCUUGACAAAUUUUGCCCCCCAAUUUCUUCGGGCUGAGUCAUUGUUGGGUUUUGAACAAAGAUGAUAGGUCGAUUGGAAGGAACUUUCCUAGAGUUAUUUUUCAGUAUCUACCCGAGUAAGCUAGAAGCAAGUCACACAUGUCUUCAAAAAUUAUGACGAGCAUACUCUUCAUCUUCCGUGUUUUUCUUCAUUCAAAGUCGGAUGUUGUGGACUCGUAGGGGACCUACUUUUCAUUCUGGUGCAUGCAUGACAAAUGUAUGAACAUGUAAUCUAUAUGAUGAACUUGCCCUUCGAGGGGUGACAAUAUGGUCGUAACUCUUGUAUAAUGGAGCAAGAAUCGUGAUUUUUGCCCAAACUCUACAAUGAAAAUUUUCGGAGUGACGACCAAUGUGUCACCCACAAGUCUUGAGUUCAAGAUGCUUCAAGAAGGGUUUGCCCUGAUGCAAACAAUGAUAGCACAUACAACUUUAGGACAGGUUCUAUUUAGUAUGUGAACAUGGGUAAGUUUUCUAUCUGGUCUCAAAAGGGUCUCAUAUCUGCCCAGUGACGUUCUUCGUAAAGACAGUGUGGGGGCGUUGCAAGGAACAGUUAAGACACGUAUGCCCACCAUUACCAAGCAGGCACUCAGAUAUGAGUUGGGUGUUUCACGCAUCUGAACCCUGACCAAUAGUCUUAGGGCAGAUCGCUAGUUCCCCACCUAACCUAGAAGCUUGUGUGUGCUUUCAAAAAUAAAUACAGGUGAUGCAUGAGACAAUUCUAUAAAAUGCAUGGAAAUAAAUAUUAACAAAAAAGAUAAAAAUGCAAAAACUUAAACACAUCAAAUACACAAAGCUUAGUCCAAUAAUGUCAGAAACAGUACCUUCCCCAACGGAGUCGCCAUUCUGUCGCACCCAAAAAAAAUUUGGCACGCGGCAUCGGCUGGCGAUUUAAGUCUCGUUUUUGUUGUUUGCUUGAAUUUGGUUCGUUGGAGUCGCCACCUAGUAAUUGAUUGCGGGCUACUAGGAAACCGGAUGUACUGGUCUUGUCAGAGAUUCGCAAGUAAGGGACUGGUUGUGGUUAGGGAAGGUAUUAGCACCCCUAACACACCCUACCUGAGGUAAGCUGCUUCGUGAAUUUGAUGUGUUAAAGAAGUUUUAAUAAUUGUCUUUUCAUCGGAAAUUAGAAAUAUCACUUACAUAUAAGUUAAUAAUUCUUAACCGUUGUUGUAACCCAUUUUCGGGUCCCCACAAAAAUAAAAAUAAAAUAAAUAGCCAAAGGAGGUUAGAAAAAUAACGGAAGGCAGAAGCACUCAGAAGAUGGUCAGAAAAUUGGUCAAGGAGUAUAAAAAUACAAAGAUUGGAUUUUUGACAGUAUAUUCUUGAAGGAUGAGGGCCCUGUUUAGAAGGAAAAUUUAAAUUUUGAGGAGAAAAGCUCAAAUUUGGAUGUUUAAGGACUUAAUUGGAUUUUUAAUUGGAUUUAUAGAGGAUUUGAUUGCAAGGAAAAUUGAUUUUUAAGUCAAUUUGGGCUUUAAUUAGAAGAAAUUUAAGUUAUGGGGCCAAAUUAUAUUUUUUAGGAUUGUAUUGGGUCAAAUCAGGGGCUUAAUUGCAUAAAUAUUGAAGUUUAAUGGCCAAUUAGGGACUUAAUUGAGAAAAUCCGAAACCAGGGAUCAAUUUGGAAAAGGCGCGUAAAUAGGGGGGCUGUAUUGGAUUGAUCCGGGGUCAAAUUGAAGAAAUUGAAAACUGGAGGACUAAUUGAAAAAACGGCGCAGGGAAACCAGGCGACACGUCGCAUGUUACUGUUCACUUUCUUCCUUAAAAAGCAGCCUGAGUGGCUGCUUUCCAGGCGCAUUUUCCGGCGCGUGUGGCCUCCAAAUCCGACAAAAAGUGCACCAACAUGUCCACAUGAAACCCGUUUAUCCCGGAGAAUGGUCCGGUGGGGUCGAAAAGGUUAGAAACGGCUCCGUUGAGUGGCUCAAAGUGGCCACCUCGGGCAGUUCACAGCCUGGAGCUGCCAAAUUUGGCAGCUCGAGGUGCACACUUUGAGCCAACGGUUGAGAUGCUUCCCAACUGAAUCAAGGGCUGCAAUUUUUCCCCAACAUAGACAAGAUUGCCCUCUUCCACAGCCUAUAAAUAGAUUCAUAUUUGAUGAUCUGAAAAGGGAGAAAUUCCGGUCCAAAGUCAGCCAAAAACCAGCAUUUUCGCCCAAUUUCUGCAGAUUUUUCUUCUUCUUCUUUCUUCCUCUGCAACAGGAAACCGACCCCGUCUUCCUCCAACUCCACCGCUGCAACCACCGGCUGAACCACCUCAUCACAGCAGCCACAACCCUUUCGGCCAAGUGAGCCCCUCUUCCUUUCCUCCUCCUUCCUCUUCCUUUCCUCCUGUUCUUCUUCUUCCUCCUUACCUACUGUUCAUUGCAUGACGUGAAUUAUAUAUAUAUAUAUAUAUAUAUAUAUGUGUGUGUGUGUGUAUUAUAAUAUUAUAAAAUAAAAAUAAUAAAAAAAAUUCCAAAAUCAUUUUUUGAAAAAAAUGUGAUUUUCUCGCAUCUUUUUCUACCAAUUUUGCAGGAUAUUGGGUUGUUUUGAAUGUUCUUUUUAUAUAAAAAAAAUAUAUUGGAAGUUUUAAAAAUGUGUUUUCGCAUAAAUUUCUUAAACACAAAUUAUUUUCUUGCAUUUCUGGAUUUUACAACAUGUUUGUAAAACUCCAAAGGGUAUUGGCCAAUAUUCCAAAAACUAUAAAAAUCUUAUUUUAGGGGAGGAAUUCAUCUAUUAUUCACCGCUAAUGUUUGGAUAAAAAAAUCCUUAAAGGAUGAAUAUCCAAAAUAUUAUUGGGAGUAAUAAAUCCGCACACAUCCUUAAAAGAAGCCUUGAUUAUAAUCGAGGACAUUUCAAAACUUCAAAUUUUUUACUCCCCGGUUUACGAGCCGUGAAAGUAUGAAAUACUAAGGCAAAAGGAGGCUUUUAAAGCGCUUUGAAUUUCCUUAGAUUUCUAAAUUUUUUGUCCCUCCUUCUUGCGAUUUACGAGUCGCAAACUCUUGAAAUACUAAGGGAAAAAUGAGCUUUCAAAGCACAUGGAAUCUCCUUGGAUUUCUAUCCAAAUAAAUUUUAUUUGAAUCAAACCUAGAAAAAUUGAUGGGAUUAGAAAACACCAACACCAUAGCAAUUAUAGAGCAAACCAAACACCAAGCAGCUUACCUUAGGUAGGGCGUACUAGGGGUGCUAAUACCUUCCUUUUACGCAACCAGUCCCUUACCUUAGAAUCUCUGAAAGACCAGUUAGGGUUCCUAGUGACCAAAAUACUAGGUGGCGACUCCAAAGAACCAAAUCAGCUAAACAAACAAAAAAUCGCCAGCCAUCGCCGCAUUGGAUUUUUUAGCAUACAUCUUUACAUUCUAUCAUACAUGGCAUAGUCAUGCAUCACUGUAUUAUUAUUAUUAUGUUUUGGAGGGCACACACAUGUAACUUUAAGAUUAAGUGGGGGACUAGCAGCUUGCCUUAUGACUUGAGUCAAGGUUUAAGUUUGUGUAAACCCCAACUCUUUGCUGAGUGUUUAGACUGAUUGUGAUUGGUACACGUACCAUCCCACUAUCUGCUAGACCUCCAUAUCGCUUUUAUGAGGGUGAUCACUGGAACAGCAAGAGACCCUCUUUUAGAGACCCAGUAGUAAACCUACCCAAUGUCUCACAUAAAGGAACUAGAGCCUAUCCUUAGGAUGUAUGCUCCAUAAUAUCGUUUUGCAUCCAAACAAGCCUAAGCUCAAAGCAUCUUGAAUCUCAAGACCUUUAUUCAAAAGCUAGCCAAGGGAGAGAUGUUCUAGAAUUGGGAGACCUAAGAAGCUCCAUUGGUGUUCAAAAUUUAAUCGACAAUGCUUGUUUGAUCAUGAUAUUGUGUUGUUUUCCUUUUUCAACUUUUUAAAUCGAGGUUCCAAAUGCCUUUUCAAAAGUUUAUCUUGGUGUUUUUACACAUCAUUUUUCUUUUCAAAACGAAUCUUCCAUAACUACACCUGCACUUUACACUGAGAAUGAAUGGCUGGACUUUAAAGAAUCCAUAUUAGUUGUAGAAGAGGAAGAAUGAUAGGAAAAUAACAUUAGGGGAUUCACAAAAACGAACAACAUGAACAAGCUUGGAAACCCGCUACAAGGUCAUGUCGUUUGGGUUAAAAAACGUUGGGGGCACCUACUAAAGCGCUAUGUUGACUCUAUUUCACGACAUGAUGCAUAAAGAGAUUAAAGUAUACGUGGAUGACAUGACCUAGAGAGGGAGAGAAUCAUGUCCAAAUAUUGAAGGAAUUAGUUGAAAGACUAAGAAAGUACAAGUUGAGGUUUAACCAUGCAAGGUGUUCAUUCGGGGUGAAAUCUAGGAAGUUGUUGGAAUUUAUGAUGAGUGACAAAGGGAUAGAAGUGGACCCUGAUUAAGUAAAGGUUAUUCAACCUAUGCCAACUCCCAAGACUAAGAAGGAUGUAAGGAGGUUCUUGGGAAGGUUGAAUUACAUUGCUCAAUUUAUAUCCCAAUUAACCACGACUUAUGACCUCAUCUUCAAUUGUUAAGGAAGAAGAAUCUUGGAAUUUGGAAUAAGAAUGUGAAGAAGCUUUCACGAAAAUCAAGCAAUACCUACUGAAUCCACCCCUAUCUAUCGAGUUGAAUUGAAAAAUAGCAAGUUCUACUAGCUGAGUACAACAUAGUAUAUAUGACAAGGAAAGCCAUGAAUGUCAUCGCCGAUCACCUAGCUGACCAUGUUGUGAAAGUUUAUGGGCUGUUAAAAUUUAAUUUUUCGGAUAAAGAUAUGCUUUCAGUCGAGGAAAGGAAAUCAGAUUGUUGGAUUAUAUACUUUGAGGGUGAUAUGGUAAUAGAGUGGGGGAAGUGCUAAUCUUUCCUAAUAAGAAACAGUAUCCGAUUUUAGUUAAGUCGCAAUUUGGGUACACUAACAACACAACUGAGUUUGAAGCUUGCAUUCUCGAUUUUAAAGGUUAGAUUAGAGCUAAACAUUAGAAAGAUAGAUGUGUAUUGGAGACUCAAUUUUGAUUAUUUGUCAAGUGAAAGGAAAAGGGCAAACCAAGGACGAGAAGUUGAGACCUUGCCAAGAAUACUUGUCUAAAUGGGCUAGAGAAUUUGUGGAAAUAAAGUUCACCCAUCUAGGAAGGGAAGGAAACCAUUUUGAUGUGUUGGUCACGCCAGCUUCUAUGGCUAGAAUAGACUUUGGGCACAAGGUAUAACCACUACACAUUGAUAUAAGAAAUAACUUAGCUCAUUAUUGCUCAGUUUGAAAGAGAAAUAGAUUGGCACUAUGAUAUCAAGAAUUUCAUCCAAAACCAGACAUAUCCCAUGGGGGCAUCCAAAAAUCCUCAAGAAGACGUUGAGGAGGUUGGCAAUGGAUUUCUAUCUUGAUGGGGAAACUUUGUAUAAGAAAUCAUCUGACGAAACUUUGUUGAGAUGUUUCGAUGACGUGAAAAAAAGUGGUGAAGAAAUUUAUGGAAAGAUAUUUGAGCUAUCGAUAUGGUCCACUAGAAAAAUUAAUAAUGCCCAGAAUUUCAACGGCAAGAUGAUAAUGGAGCUCUGCACUAAAUGGAAAAUCAAGCAUUCCAAUUCUUCGCCAUAUAGACCAAAGAUGAAUGGUGCGGUAGAAGCUGCUAACAAGAAUGUCAAAAAGAUUAUUCAAAAGAUGGUAGUCACCUAUAAGGAUUGGCAUGAGAUGUUGUCAUUUGCCCUUCAUGCAUAUCGCACCGUAGUUCGAACCUUAAUAGGAGCCACCUCGUAAAUGUUGGUAUAUGGAAUGGAGGCGGUGAUGCUUUUAAAAGUGGAAAUCCCCUCAUUAAGAGUAUUGAUAGACUUUGAGCUAGAAGAGUUAGAAUGGGAGAAGGUUAAAUGUGAACAGUUGAAUCUGAUAAGUGAAAAGAGGAUAGCCGCAAUAUGUCAUCAUCAACUUUAUCAAAAAAGGAUGGCCAAAUCAAAAAGAGGAUUCGACCUUGAGGAUUCCACGAAGGAGAUCAUAUAUUGAAGAAAAAUGUUGUCUUUUACCAGGAGAAGAUCAGAGUAAAUGGACGCCAAACAAUGAGGGCCCUUUAGUGGUAAAGAAAGCAUUUUGGGGAGAAGCUUUAUUGUUAUCUAGAAUGGAUGGAGAAGAUCUAGUUAGGCCCGUGAAUUCUGACUCUGUAAGGAAAUAUUACGCUUGAUGUAUUUCAUAAUUUCCCAAUCAAUAAAAUUAAAGUUCGGCCAUGAAUUCUCUUUGUAAAGAACCUCUUUUUUUUCAUAAAACAUAUGAUCUCAUAGCAGUUGAAAUGCUUUUACUAAAAAGAACCUUUUUUUGCGCAUAACCAAGGAGUUGACUCCAUCAAUUGGAGCGAACCAAAUCAAAUCUACUUGACAUAUAGUUGCACAUCACACUAGGGGGCAAAAGGUGCACGAAGUGCACAUAAGGGUCCAUAGUGAACCCAAGCCCAAAAGGGGCAUCAUAAUAAAAACUUCUAAAAAAAGCAUCUUUUAUAAGAUUUGCUAAUUGCAUUAAAAGUUUCAGUUUUCAUGAACAAAACCAAUUUUUUCCUUUUAAAAUAAUAAAGCACAAUACUCAAUGGAGCAAGAAAGGGCCCCAUAAGGAACCAGAGAUCUCUUCACUAAGAGGAUAUGAAGUAUAUUUCGGUUCAUGAGAAAAAAUGGAAACAAGAGCUUGAAGAAGUUUACAACGAAAGGGGGACCUAUGUUUCCAAGAUAGGUAACAAAAACAUACAUGUAUAUUGACCAUAAUGCAUUGCUUUCAAUACUUGUCAGAUCGGUGUUUCAUCACCAUUUCUCAGGUAGUGCGUUUUCUAACCAUACUUCAUUUUGAGUGCGCCUUUGAGCCCUCACCUUUUGGGUAGUGCGUUUUCUAACCCUACCUCUUUUCGAGUGCGCCGUUGAGCCCUCACUUCUCGGGUAGUGCGUUUUCUAACCCUACCUCAUUUCGAGUGCGCCUUUGAGCCCUCACUUCUGGGUAGUGCGUUUUCUAACCCUACCUCUUUUCGAGUGCGCCGUUAAGCCCUCACUUCUCGGGUAGUGCGUUUUCUAACCCUACCUCGUUUCAAGUGCGCCGUUGAGCCCUCACUUCUCGGGUAGUGCGUUUUCUAACCCUACCUCAUUUCGAGUGCGCCUUUGAGCCCUCAUUUCUCGGGUAGUGCGUUUUCUAACCGUACCUCAUUUCGAGUGCGCCUUUGAGCCCUCACUUCUUGGGUAGUGCGUUUUCUAACCCUACCUCUUUUUGAGUGCGCCGUUGAGCCCUCACUUCUCGGGUAGUGCGUUUGUUUUUAACCCUACCUCAUUUCGAGUACGGCUUUGAGCCCUCACUUCUUGGGUAGUGCGUUUUCUAACCCUACCUCUUUUCGAGUGCGCCGUUUGAGCCCUCACCUCUUGGGUAGUGUGUUUUCUAACCCUACCUCAUUUCAAGGGCGCCUGUGAGCCCUCACCCACAUUUCUCUAGGUAGGUCACCCAUUACAACGCGACCACUUCUCCAUGUUUUUACUUGGGUAGGUCACCCAUUACAAUAAGGCCAUUCUUCCAUUUGGGUAGGUGGUCAUUACAAUGAGACCACUCUUUCCUUUUUUCUUUGGGUAGGUCACCCAUCACAAUGAGACCAUUAUUUUUUCUGGGUAGGUCACCCAUAAGAAUGAGACCAUUCUCCAUCUUUUUUUACCUGGGUAGGUCACCCAUAAGAAUGAGGCCAUUCCUCCCCCUGGGUAGGUCACCAAAGAAUGAGACCACUCUUCCUUUUUCCAUUUGGGUAGGUCACCAAUAAGAAUGAGACCAUUCUCCAUCUUUUUUUACCUGGGUAGGUCACCCAUAAUAAUGAGGCCAUUCUCCUCCCUGGGUAGGUCACCCAAAGAAUGAGAUCACUCUUUCCCUUUUCCACUCGGGCUGGUCACCCAUCAUAAUGAGACCACACACGCAUUUUUGUUUUGGUUGUGGAAUCGCCAAAUGAGAUUCCAAGUUUGAGAUCGCCAGAAGGGAUCUUGUAUUUUGAUAUUGGUCAAAGGAGGUCGUCAGAAGGGACCUCAUAUUUUAGCCUUGGUUAAAAGGAAUUGCCAGAUAGGAUUUCAAGUUUUUUGGUUAAAGGAGAUCGCCAUAAGGGAUCUCGAGAUGACUAAAUUUGGAUCAUAGUUUUUUGGGUUGAGGAGGAUUGCGGUUAAGACAAAGUUUUAGAGCGAUCAAGCUCCAACCAGAUCAGUUUCGGGAGUUCAGUUGUGGUUUAUCUUUAUAAAUCUUACUGCGCAAAACCCCUGCUCCGUAAGCUUUAUAAAGAGGGGGCAUCUAUUGUAACCCAUUUUCGGGUCCCCACAAAAAUAAAAAUAAAAUAAAUAGCCAAAGGAGGUUAGAAAAAUAACGGAAGGCAGAAGCACUCAGAAGAUGGUCAGAAAAUUGGUCAAGGAGUAUAAAAAUACAAAGAUUGGAUUUUUGACAGUAUAUUCUUGAAGGAUGAGGGCCCUGUUUAGAAGGAAAAUUUAAAUUUUGAGGAGAAAAGCCCAAAUUUGGAUGUUUAAGGACUUAAUUGGAUUUUUAAUUGGAUUUAUAGAGGAUUUGAUUGCAAGGAAAAUUGAUUUUUAAGUCAAUUUGGGCUUUAAUUAGAAGAAAUUUAAGUUAUGGGGCCAAAUUAUAUUUUUUAGGAUUGUAUUGGGUCAAAUCAGGGGCUUAAUUGCAUAAAUAUUGAAGUUUAAUGGCCAAUUAGGGACUUAAUUGAGAAAAUCCGAAACCAGGGAUCAAUUUGGAAAAGGCGCGUAAAUAGGGGGGCUAUAUUGGAUUGAUCCGGGGUCAAAUUGAAGAAAUUGAAAACUGGAGGACUAAUUGAAAAAACGGCGCAGGGAAACCAGGCGACACGUCGCAUGUUACUGUUCACUUUCUUCCUUAAAAAGCAGCCUGAGUGGCUGCUUUCCAGGCGCAUUUUCCGGCGCGUGUGGCCUCCAAAUCCGACAAAAAGUGCACCAACAUGUCCACAUGAAACCCCUUUAUCCUGGAGAAUGGUCCGGUGGGGUCGAAAAGGUUAGAAACGGCUCCGUUGAGUGGCUCAAAGUGGCCACCUCGGGCAGUUCACAGCCUGGAGCUGCCAAAUUUGGCAGCUCGAGGUGCACACUUUGAGCCAACGGUUGAGAUGCUUCCCAACUGAAUCAAGGGCUGCAAUUUAUCCCCAACAUAGACAAGAUUGCCCUCUUCCACAGCCUAUAAAUAGAUUCAUAUUUGAUGAUCUGAAAAGGGAGAAAUUCCGGUCCAAAGUCAGCCAAAAACCAGCAUUUUCGCCCAAUUUCUGCAGAUUUUUCUUCUUCUUCUUUCUUCCUCUGCAACAGGAAACCGACCCCGUCUUCCUCCAACUCCACCGCUGCAACCACCGGCUGAACCACCUCAUCACAGCAGCCACAACCCUUUCGGCCAUGUGAGCCCCUCUUCCUUUCCUCCUCCUUCCUCUUCCUUUCCUCCUGUUCUUCUUCUUCCUCCUUACCUACUGUUCAUUGCAUGACGUGAAUUAUAUAUAUAUAUAUAUAUAUAUAUAUAUAUAUAUAUAUAUAUAUAUGUGUGUGUGUGUGUGUAUUAUAAUAUUAUAAAAUAAAAAUAAUAAAAAAAAUUCCAAAAUCAUUUUUAAAAAAAAUGUGAUUUUCUCGCAUCUUUUUCUACCAAUUUUGCAGGAUAUUGGGUUGUUUUGAAUGUUCUUUUUAUAUAAAACAAAUAUAUUGGAAGUUUUAAAAAUGUGUUUUCGCAUAAAUUUCUUAAACACAAAUUAUUUUCUUGCAUUUCUGGAUUUUACAACAUGUUUGUAAAACUCCAAAGGGUAUUGGCCAAUAUUCCAAAAACUAUAAAAAUCUUUAUUUUAGGGGAGGAAUUCAUCUAUUAUUCACCGCUAAUGUUUGGAUAAAAAAAUCCUUAAAGGAUGAAUAUCCAAAAUAUUAUUGGGAGUAAUAAAUCCGCACACAUCCUUAAAAGAAGCCUUGAUUAUAAUCGAGGACAUUUCAAAACUUCAAAUUUUUUACUCCCGGGAUUACGAGCCGUGAAAGUAUGAAAUACUAAGGCAAAAGGAGGCUUUUAAAGCCCUUUGAAUUUCCUUAGAUUUCUAAAUUUUUUAUCCCUCCUUCUUGCGAUUUACGAGUCGCAAACUCUUGAAAUACUAAGGGAAAAAUGAGCUUUCAAAGCACAUGGAAUCUCCUUGGAUUUCUAUCCAAAUAAAUUUUAUUUGAAUCAAACCUAGAAAAAUUGAUGGGAUUAGAAAACACCAACACCAUAGCAAUUAUAGAGAAAACCAAACACCAAGCAGCUUACCUUAGGUAGGGCGUACUAGGGGUGCUAAUACCUUCCUUUUACACAACCAGUCCCUUACCUUAGAAUCUCUGAAAGACCAGUUAGGGUUCCUAGUGACCAAAAUACUAGGUGGCGACUCCAAAGAACCAAAUCAGCAAAACAAACAAAAAAUCGCCAACCGUCGCCGCAUUGGAUUUUUUAGAGGUGCGACAACCGUGAUCCGAUCAAAAUAUUAAAUUCUUCUUUAAUAUAUUUGCAAUUUUAUCAUUAAAAAAUAUAUACAAAUAAAUCAAACAAAAUACAAGCACACACAUACACUUUCACUAUUUUAUUUUUGUUUCUUUUCUUUUCUUUUCUUUUUCUUUUACAUCCAUAUUUACUAGAUACAAAUAAAAAUUCAAUACUAAAUAAAAAAAAAAUUGCAUCAAACAAAAUUACAUUAAAAUUACAAUAACAGCCCUAAAACAAUCUGGAAUUCACAGGAACAACUUCUGCACCACUGAAACAGUGCUGGGAGCAUUUUUAGGGCAACUGAAAGGUGGUGGCACGUCUGCUCCACGCGCCGCCACCACUGGCGGCGCGUGGGCUCACGCGCCGCCGGAAAAAAACAACGCAGCAGGGGAGAUCCUCCCUUCUUCCUCUCUGGCGGUGAAUACUACCUUUACCUGCAACAAGAAACCCAAAAAAAAGGACACAAACAGUUGAUUUUAGAUUUUAUUUCCGUUUUCUUUAAAUCUGCUUCGUUUUUUUCUUUUUAUCAGAUCAGCUUCUCCUUUUCUUCUUCUCGGUUUUGGAUCUGUUUCUUCUACAGAUCGGUCUGUUAUGGGUUCCUUCUUCUUCUCCGGUGGCAGAUCGGUCGGUAUGGACGUUGGUAAGUUUGCAUUUUGCAGGAAAGGUUGUAUUUGUAUUGCCUAUUUACCUUCCUGCAAAAACAUAACUGAUAAAUUGUCCAUCGCAUAAAACAAUAACAACAUUGCUUAAACAAUAAAUAUUUUGUUUUACAAAAUACAUCAUCCAUAAUGUAAAUUACAUGAAGAAAAGGGUUUUACACAGUGCUUCAUUUUGAUAGUUACUCAGAAUUAUCUUCUUCUUCGUCAUCUAUUGAAUAGUCAUCACCUUCAUCGCAAUCUUCAAUAUGGAUAUCAUCUUCUUCAUCGACAUUUGCUUGUCCGCUAGAGCUCAAAACAACGUUCAACUCCUCUACGUCAACAUCAACAAGACUAUGAUCGGAAACACAAAAAUUUGAAUUUUCCUCCAAUUCAAUCGAAGGAGCAACUCGAUAUGGUUCAACCAACUCACUAACUUAAAAGACUUUAUCCCGCACACUUGUUUCUUCGUUCUUAUCCUGAACAACCUCGACAUGACCCCGUGGUUUUGUUUUUAAAACGGACAACCAAUCAACUCUUGAUCGAUCAUUUCUAAAUGAAGGGGUGUAUGUGUAAUAAACUUGUUGACAUUGCUUUGCGAAAACAAAGACAUCGUUUAUGUUGCGGAGUCUAGCUUUUGAGUUAAUUUCGACCAGACCAUGGUGCGUAUCAACUCUGAUUCCUCUGUCCGUAGUGUUAUACCAAUAGCAUUUGAAUAAAAACACUGUAUUCUGCUCGCUAUGAUAUUGGAGUUCGACAACCUCUUCUAAUCUACCAUAGUAGUCAACUUCUAACUCACUACUUGUGGAUCCUUUAACACAAACACCGCAGUUGUAUGUCUUUCUUCCUUACCCGUAUUCUUCAGUAUGGAAAACAUAUCCAUUGACAAAAUGCCCGUUGUAGCACUUAACUUUUCUUUCAGGCCCGAGGCUUAGUGAAGACAAUGACUUAGACGCACUUCUUCCCCUUUGAUAAACCUUGUAUACAUGUAUUGUACAUCAAUAAACGGUAAAUGAACGAGAAUCUCGUAAUGGCAUGCAUACGUACAGUAAUUUUGCAAGUUAGAAUGAGUUUGUGAUAGUGCUUACAUGUGUUAUGAACCAUGUGGCAAAUUGUUCAUCUUGUAAUUGAAAGAUCUGGGAGUCGGUCACCUGCGAGUUAUUGGAGAGCAAAUAUUGUCGAUGUUGCCUGCAAGUGAUAAUGAGUGUAUGAUUUCACAAUAUAUAAUUAACAGUGUCGCACCCAAAAAAAAAUCGGGCGCGCCGCAUCGGCUGGCGAUUUAAGUCUCGUUUUUGUUGUUUGCUUGAAUUUGGUUCGUUGGAGUCGCCACCUAGUAAUUGAUUGCGGGCUACUAGGAAACCGGAUGUACUGGUCUUGUCAGAGAUUCGCAAGUAAGGGACUGGUUGUGGUUAGGGAAGGUAUUAGCACCCCUAACGCACCCUACCUGAGGUAAGCUGCUUCGUGAAUUUGAUGUGUUAAAGAAGUUUUAAUAAUUGUCUUUUCAUCGGAAAUUAGAAAUAUCACUUACGUAUAAGUUAAUAAUUCUUAACCGUGAUCCGAUCAAAAUAUUAAAUUCUUCUUUAAUAUAUUUGCAAUUUUAUCAUUAAAAAAUAUAUACAAAUAAAUAAAACAAAAUACAAGCACACACAUACACUUUCACUAUUUUAUUUUAUGAAGCUGUUGUUCGGUGGCCGGUUGAAGGCAGUGGAGCGAGCGAAAGUGUUUCCCCAGCGCUGCUGUUCGGCCGUCGCUGAGGAAGGAAACCGAAGGGGAAGCAGCCGUGGCUGAGGAGGGUGUGGGGGAGUGAGCGGUUGUGCAAGGGCUGAGCCCUUGACUGGCGAAAAGAAAGAAAAAAAAUCUGAUGACUGAGGGGGUGGCGGCCGGUUCUCUUGAGGAAGAAGAAAAGGAUGGUGGCCGGCAGAAAGAAGAAGAGCUUGUGUCUGUUUUGGGAGAGGAUGAAAGUCAGAUCGGGUUGUUGCUGUUUUGGGUGGAGGUUCAGAUGGCUGGGAAAAAAUCAAAAACAGUGGGGGGCCGGCGGCUGGAGUGGUUAGGGUUGGGAAGAGGAAGAAAAAAAAAAGAAAAAAAAAAUAUAUAUAUAUAUACCCCGAGGAAGGGGGCUGCGCCGAUUGAGUGAGAAGAGAAAAAAAAAUUUAAAAGGUGAGGGGGGGGGCUGGCUUGGUUCAGCGGCUGCAAGGGGGGGAAAAUCUUUUAGGUUUAGGGUUUUUUUGUUCUUGUAUUGUCUCUCCCCCAAUUUCAAAAUUGCCCCCCUAUUGAAUGUGUUGAAGACCAGUAUUUAUAGGCAGAAUGUUGCUAGGUUUUUCAACUUAGUCCCUCAACUUCUUUCUUUUUUUGUAAAUUUUGAUUUUUCUUAUUUUUAUGUAUUUUUUUAAAACGAGCAAUAUCAACGUCGACUCAAUGAGGAAAAUCAAUGAUUUUAAAAAUGACGCGUGAAAAGUCGAACGCGUUCGAAAGUCUUUUGAAAAUUUAAAUUCUUUUUUAGACGACGCUGAAAAUGCUAAAAUGACGAGAAAAUAUUAAAAAAACAUAUUUUUUGGAUUUUCAUUGUUUUUCUCUAUUUUUGGAUUUUUUGAAAAUAUAUAAAAAACAUGUGUCAAAAAAUGGGUAACAACAAACAGUAUAUUACUAACAAAGUUUAAUUAGUAUUACACACAUAUAGAGUUACUGAAUAAAUGGUCUCAGCUCAUCACAAUUAAAUAGAACAUAGUUGUGUGCUUAUUUGAAUUCUAUUUCCGAUAAAUAUCUUCCUCUUAUGGUAUUUUUAGGUGUGGGUCGUCCAGUAUUGAAGAAUAUUAACAAGUUCCCACUGGAAGCCUCUCAAUAUGCUCAACAUUCAACUUGCUGGAGCAUAUAUCUCUAAAGAAAUGAUUGAUCUCCAUCAGUGCAUCUCAUAUUCCCUUUGACAACAAAUCACAAAAAGCUAAUGGGAUAAGUGUUUGCAUAAACACGUGGCAAUCAUGACUCUUCAUUCCAUACAAUAUGCAAUCCUCUAUGUUAACAAGCCUUGAUAUGUUCGAUGCAUGUCCAUCCGGAAAACGCAGACUCUUAAGCUAUUUGUAGACUAGCAGUUGUGCGUUUUUCUCUAACACGAAGCUUGCCCUUGGUUUUGCGACCCGUGACUCCUCAUAAACCAACUCCAUAUUUUUACAGUUACAGUAUAAAGCUAUAUCCAAUCUAGACUUGAUGUUGUCCUUUGUCUUCCCCUUCACAUCCAUGACGGUGUUGAAAAUAUUCUCAAACACGUUCUUUUCGAUGUGCAUGACGUCAAGGUUAUGGCGGAGAAGAUUGGUCUUCCAAUAAGGAAGCUCCCAAAAGAUACUUCGCUUUACCCAAUUAUGGGUCAAACCAAAACCAGGAAACUUUUGCUUACCUGAUUGAAGGCCAAACACAAUGUCACCGUACUCUGAUACAACAUGAUGCAAUUCUUCACCAGAAAGACGCGGGGAUGCAACAUCUUUUUCAACUCUGCCAACAAAGAAAUCUUUUAUGUUCUUUCUGAACCUGUGAUUAAGUGGCAAGAAGCGACGGUGACAGUCAAAAAAAGAAGCUUUACCUCCGUUUGCUAGCGUGAAUGCCUUGUUGUUUUCCAUGCAGUAUGGACAUGCGAGUUUCCCAUGUGUGCUCCAACCAGAAAGCAUUCCAUAAGCUGGAAAAUCAUUGAUAGUCCACAUGAAAGCCGCCCUCAUAAGGAAAUUUUGUUUCCUCGAUAUAUCAUAAGUCAGAGCUCCGGAGGACCACAACUGCGCCAGCUCAUCAAUCAACGGUCGAAAACAAACAUCUAUAUUCCGCCCCGGCCUGCUUGGACCGGGUAUGACAGUAGAUAAAAACAUGAACUCCGACCGCAUACACAUUCUCGGUGGCAAGUUAUAAACUGUGAGUAUGACCGGCCAAUAAGAAUAGGGAGCAGCAAAUGACCCAAAUGGGUUGAAUCCGUCUGUACACAACCCAAGACGGACAUUCCUUGAUUCAGCUGAAAAGUCAGGAUGAACACUGUUAAAGCGUUUCCACGCUUCACCGUCAGAAGGAUGCACCAUCACACCAUCAACCGCAUCAUGUGUUUGGUGCCAUGUCAUGUGCUCAGCAGUCCUUCGUGACAUGAAUAACCUCUGCAGUCUAGGUGUGAUCGGGAAAUAUCUAAGUUUUUUAUACGCCACUAGAGUCUUUCCCCUGCCAGUUCUGGGUUUGUAACGCGAAUGCCCGCAUGUCAUGCACUCGGUCAUCUCAGCAUUUUCAAGGUAGUAUAACAUGCAGAAGUUAGGGCACAUGUCAAUUUUCUGGUAUCCUAAACCGAGGGGUUUCAUCAUGGACUUCGCAGCAUAGAAGUUCUCUUUGAGCCUGUUCCCUUCAGGUAAAAUGCUUCUUGCCCAAUCAAUAAUUUUGUCAUACCCGGCCUCACUCAGCCGUGAUCUGACUUGAUGGUGAACACCUGUGUCACGGCCGACAAUUUACUGUGGUUUGUGCAGCCAUCCCAUAAUGGUUCGUCAGAAUCUUUCAACAAAUCAAAAAACCUAGCUGCCUCUGCAUUAGGUUCUUCUUCUACGAUUGGACAUUGACUGACAUUACCUUGAUUCAUUCUCAUUGCAUCCAUAACCAUGUUUCUGUAAGGAUUAGUGUUGUCAUUUGCCGCUUCAUGCACGUUGCUAGCACUAGAAGUUGACCCAACCACCGUUUCUCCAUUCUCCUAUUACUAACAAAUACCUCUCCAUGUGCAUACCAACACUCGUAAUCCUCCACAAACCCUUUGUGUAGAAGAUGCAUCAUUACAACAUCUGGAUGCAGAUACUUUUUAUUUUGACACUUCCUGCAUGGACACCUAAUACCGCCUCCAGUAAAAUUUCUGGGAAUAGAUGUUGCGAAAUUAAUAAAACCCUGAACCCCGUUACAAUAAUCCAUCCUCCGCAAUCCUUGGGGUGAAUCUAGAUACAUCCAUGAACGAUCAUCCAUGACUUCUAUCGAACCUCUAUAAAAUUAUGAUGACAUCAUGUAUAUAUUAAUUAACUAAGUUAGGUAAAUAAACUUGUAAAUAUAUUACUUUACCUCGAGAUUAUCCAACAAACCAAUCACAACUUCUCAUAAAUAUUAAAUAUUCAUUAUCAUUUAUCAACGUCCAUACAAAUUAAUAUUAUAUUAUAUAUAUUAACAGAAAUUACCACUCUGCAAUACCAUCGAUAAAACUUAAAAAGGACCCAUUAAGAAGCUAUUAAUUAUUUCAAAACAUAACAUGUAAUUCGGUAAUUCCACAAAGUUUUAACAUUUACAAACAAAUACAAUCUUACAAAAUCUAAAACAAACCAUAACAGGUAUAAAAAUUAUACAUUCAUAAACUACAAGUUUGUUUGAGAAAUAACAAUAAAACAUGUACAUCUACUAAUAAAAAUACAUAUACUAAACAAAUAAUAAAAUUGACAUUUAAAUGUUAAAAUUUUAAAAGAUAGAAUUACUUAUAAAAAUUGAUAAAAUCUGUCGGUAAAUCAGAACAUGAAUGCUGUGACCACAAAACUUCAAGAAAUACAACUGCUGAGAUGAGAAAGAUUUUUGUUUGGGGGCGAGGGGGGGCUGGUUAUUUGCAGAUGGGGAGACUUAGGAUUAGGAAGAAGAAGGAGAAAUGGGAGAGGAGAGUGUCGGCAGGGCGGCCAUAUAUUCACUUUUUUCGACGGACUCACCGACGAAAUAACACCGUCGGUGACUUCGUCGUUAAUUGUGACGGGGAAUCGACACGUCACCGCACGGACCUGCUUUUUCAAAUCCCUCGGUGAUUCUGUUUGUAUUUUUUUACGGUGCUCCUGUCACGUCACCCGUACGAAUCUGGCAUUCAAAUCCGUCGGUGAUUCCGUCGGUAUUUUUUACGGUGAACCGGUCACGUCACCCGUACGGGUCCCAGGUUUUGAAUCCGUCGGUGAUUCUGUCGUAAAAAUCACCCGCCAAAACCUCCACCUCAGGUACCUGCCCUUUUCUAAUUAAUUCUGAACUUUCCGUCCGUAAUUCGGUCGGUAAUUACCGACGGUUCGAAUCCGUCGAUAAUUACCGACCGAAUUACAGACGGAAAUAUUCCGUCAGUAAUUUUGACCGAAAAAUACCGACAGAAAUAUGCCGUCGGGGAUUCCAUCGAUAUUUAGCGAGUUUCUGGUAGUUUAUGAGUAUCAUGUGCUCUUUACCUUUGCCUCAUGGAGUCUAUUUGUUCUCCUUCUUAUUUACAAGGAAACAAAUAUAGAUAAAAGGUUGAUUGGAGUAGACAUUACUCACUCUUUCCACUUGAUUCCUAUCUUUAUCAUAGACUUAAUCAAAUGUGUGAAGGUGAAAUGUUGAUCAUCUCGUACAUGAUUUUUAAUGCUUGUCAUUUCUCUGUCUUCCUGAUUUACUGCACUUGUCUUGUAUAUAGGUACUUUAAACUAUUUGAUCAAUAUGGUUGGAACAAAAUUCACUAAGCUACGAGACUAAAUUCAUUUGGUUUUGACGGAGUAGUUAAAAAUGAAGAAGAAUUAUGGAGGGGAGGUGGUUCUAAAAAACAGAAACAGAAAAGACCGAGGCAAGUUGGCAAAUGGCAGGUCCUAAAACGAGAAGCCAAAAGGUGAGGCUUGAACGCAGCGCCACUGCUGUAGAGGCUAUAUAUGUUUACGAUGAUGUAAAAAAAUAUUUAUAUCUUAAGCUGUUCUUCGGUAAUAAAGUUGCCUGGCGAAUGCAAGUAAAUGUAUAGAAACUCUUAUUUUUGUCGGGUUUUUUCUUCCUCUAGUCCUUUCAAUUUUUUCCCUACUAAUAAAUACACCUGACAGAGCAGUCAUUAAAGAGGUCGGUCCAGCAUAUGGAACCAUUAAUGGCGGCAAAACUUCAGCCGCUACCUGUGAUUCAUCCCACCAGUUCUGUUCAAAGUUAUCUUGGAAAAUGGAACAAAACAUGAUCUUUACAAAGUUUUCCCAUUGAACUGGGCCGAUGAGUAAUACAGCAACAAAACAAUCAGGAAUGAGAUUCGAAAUUUCCAGUGUACAUACAGAUCCGUCUGAUAAACUUGAAAUUUGCAGUUUUAUAUAAAAAAUAAUUAAGCCUCUCCCUCUCAGAACUUGGAAGAAAAAAAAAACUGUAGUCACGCUGAGUUAAAUUUCAAAUAAAUAGCAGAAACCCAACAUCACAGCAGUGAGAGAGCCAGUGCAUCGUUUCCUCAUGUCAAGGACUCUUUGAGAACCCCAUAUGAUCUGGGGUACAUGAUUAGAGCUUUGGUUCUGAGCUUAUCUCAUAACUGCUGUUCUCAGAUAUAGAUGAAGAGCUUAAAGUUUGAAUAGAGGUUGACUUUUGUGUUUGUCUCCCACUGAAUCUAUGACUUUGCUCGUGCUGACGGAGGUCUCUCAUGGCUUUGAACCUCAGAUCUUCAGUAUAUGAACUCAGUUCUGGAAGCGUGUCAGGAACAGCCAUUCGUCCUUCAAGCAUGCUCACUACCUCAGACAUUGUAGGUCUAAUUGUAGGGGACGCAUUUGUACACAAGAGAGCUACUUUAACCAUAGUUUCUGCUUCUUCUAUGUUAACUCCAGAUCCUAACGUCUCAUCAACAAGCUCUAUAAAACUCCCACUUUGUUGCGAAUGGCAGGCCUGCGAUGAAGUAAUUUAAAACUUCAACACUAAGACUUGCAACCAACAAUAUGAGUGCGCAACGUAUCAAGCACAGAAAGAAGAUUACCCAAUCUAAGAGACAAACACAACUGCUGUUGCUUGGCAUGUAGUUAUUGUUGUUCUUCCCACUAAUAAUUUCCAAAGCAACAACCCCAAAACUGUAAACAUCUGCUUUGUCAGUCAAGUAACCCCAUAGUGCAUAUUCUGGUGCCAUAUACCCUCUGCAUGUCAAGAUAAAGAACACUUGUAAUUUAACAUUGAAAAGUAAUACCAAAAAUCGCAGCUUUUAUUAAAGCAUGUGGUGACUAACAUGGUUCCAGCAACUCGGGUGCUGAUGUGGCUCUUCUCUUCUUCAUCAAGCCUAGCCAAUCCAAAAUCAGAUAUUUUAGGAUUCAGAUUCUCAUCAAGUAGCACAUUUGUAGCUUUGAUGUCUCUGUGAACGAUCUUAAGUCUUGAUUCUUCAUGGAGAAAAGCUAGACCUCUAGCUAUCCCAAUACAGACCUUAAGCCUUGUAGGCCAAUCCAGAUUAAGCUGAAUGUUUUCAUGACCUACAAAUCAUCCGAUAAGAAAACAGUGUUAUCAUAUGAUCAUUUGAAUUAGCAUUAUAAUAUUUUAGGUGAAUAUUCUCAUUUAAUAUUGAUGAACACUCACGAAACAGAGCGCGUGCAAGGCUAUUAUUUUCCAUGUACUCAUAAACCAAUAAUAACUGGUCACUUUCAAUGAACAUCCAUGCAGCUUGACAAGAUUCGUAUGCUGCAAACAUGAAAUCAUGCCCAUCUCAUUUAAGAAUUCACGAUUUCCUUGCCGUGAUUUUGAUGAAAGUUGCUUCACUGCUAUAACAGUACCAUCAGGUAAUUGACCCUGCACGCUGAUCUCUGUUAAGAAUUUCACAUAGUUGUGACAUAAAAGAGAGAGAGGAGGGGGCAGAGGAUACUCCAAACAGGAUAGUUGAGAUCUUUUGCAAAGUACCUUGUAUACAGGACCAAAACCACCUUCUCCAAUCUUAUUAGAAGCAUCAAAGUCAUUAGUGGCAGCUCUAAUUUGCUUCAGAGAAAAUGUUCCCUUCGGAAAAUCAAGUUCUUUAACAUCUGUUCAAGUAGGAGACAGGACAUAAAGUGCCAACGAAUUGUCAGUCUUUUGAUAUAUUUACGAGUCAAAAUCAGUUCUGGAGAAAAGUAGACCAUGAAACUCUAUUGAAAAGAGGCAUUUUUCAUUCUCCAACAUAAGCAUGUCUACCCUGAACUUUCCUCCUCCUCAGGAAAGCACCCUUACUACAUACAAUGUCAAUCAAACUUGUACAAUUAAUAAUUGUGUGUAAUCAUCUUGAGGUGAAAUAUCGCAGCCACUUGUAUCAGAAUAAAAGAUAAGCCCAUGAAACUUGAUGCUUCUUUUGCUUUUCUUUUCCCUAAAUGUCCAUGCAUAAUUUUAGCAAAGAAAUCUCAAGUGGUUUCCAUCUAGUUCAUAAUCUCAUACUAGAAACAAAACCAAAUCCAUAGGAUGUUGUUUGAGGCUGCAGUGUUUGGGCAGCUAUGCAAGUUAUACCUUCUUACACAAACAUGGGUAAAUAAUAUUAGACUACUGUUGUCCAGAAUCAGAGUAUCCCUGGUGUUUCACAGAACUCAGUGGGGAAUUCAAUGGGACAAGGGAUUCCGUCCACUAUGUUUGUCAAUUCUCAGAGGCAAAUGCCAGGUAAUGCUCUUUUUGGUAGCUUUAUGUGCCACUGCUUCCCCUUAUGGCAUUAGAAAUGCCACUGGUAUUGGAACUAUUGCAAUCACACAAUGCCCUACAGUGCGGUGCACCAACUGUUCACCUCUCAUAAUGGUUCAAGUCAGCAAUACUCUUUUAGGUAGCUUUAUGUGCCACUGCUGCCACUUGCGGCAUUAGUAAUGCCACUGCUAUUGAAACCAUUGCAAUCACACACGCAUUUGUUACCACAUCAUACCCUCCAGUGCAUUGCACCAGCUGUUCACCCUCUGAUUCUGCAUUUAUAUGAUUACAUUACAUUUAGAUGAAGUUCCUAAUACAAAAAGGACUUGUAUUCCUAUAUAGGAAAAUACUAAUAGUCCUAUCUAGAAUAGGAAAAACCUAAUGAAGCUCGCUAUACUUUGGGAAUAAUUAAAUACUAAAUGGAAAAUAAAACUGAGACUUGCAAUAUUUCAUAAUUUUCAGCAAGUGUUAAAAUUACAGAAAUACCCUUGUAUAUGGAAAACACACAAAAAUACAUGAAUUCAAACAUUUUGUUGUCUGCAUUGAAAUUUUUGUAGCAUCCCUAGAUUCUACAGCACAGACUGGACAUGCAAAAGGCGCUGAUUGGCAAGAGGAGAUCUAUCAGAAGGUAAUUUCUUUGAUUUACUGUUCAUUAGAUGGAGUUCAUGUAUGCCAUAGUCUUGCAAGAUUUCAAUGGAAAAAGGUCUCAAGAAAAUAAGUGGGGAUUAUUCCAUUGAAUCAUGACCAUAUCCAGUAUUGUUGAAUUUUAUAGAAAAUGAGGUUGAAAUUCUGAAUGUCUCAAGUCACAGCUGCAUGUUUGACAAGGACAAUUUUAUUUUUUUGUGCUUAGGAGACCAAUAUUUGCUGAGCAAUUCUAUAAUGAAAAGUUGGUUACUGAUGUUUUAGAAACUGGAGUUAAGGAAUGGCUUAGAGUGCAUGGAGAUCAUGUUAAAAGUGAAGCUGUAGAGAAGGCAAUCACUCAAAUUAUGAUGGGUGAAGAAGCAGAGGAAAUGAGUAGCAGAGCAAAGAAACGGCCAGGAAGGCUGUUGAAGAAGGUGGAUCUUCUUGCUCCGAUUUCAAUGCUUUGAUUGAAUAACUGAGGUGGGGUCGCCCUUAAAACAAAGGCAUAGAAUAUUUUAUUAGACUACUAACACAAACAUGGGUAAAUAAUAUAUAUGGCGUUACCUCUUUUCCUGCGCAAUUUUCCUGACAAGUUUCCUUUCCACCAAAGAAUUACCAGUAUAAUGGCAACCAGGCAUGAUGCUCCAACAGCUCCAACAACCACAUAAACAGUUACCUUCUUUUUCCCACUAGAACAAACAUUCAAAUCUGCCCAUUAAACAGAAAAAUUAGUCACAAUCACACACACAGAUUGGAUAUUUAAACUAAAAUAUGACACUUCCUUAAAUUACACGAGUUUCUCUGUAAUGAUUUACCCAAAUGGGACUUAGAUGCCAGAAUCUGAAUAAUACUCUCUUGAGGUACCAAACUAUUUUAUCAUAAUAUUGGAGAACUUAUGUUCUUAUGUUCUUCUUUAAUUCAUCCAGCAUUAAUUAACAACGUAAAUAAUUGAUGAUUUCUAUUGAUUUUAAAAGCUACAAGGACAUGGCCUGGUAUAUCUGAUCCUAGGAUACCAAGUUUGUGCUGAGAAAGAAAAUCUGGAUAGGGUUUAAAGAUACAGAUAUAAAUUGCAGGUUUAACUCCAAAGAUAUUCAGUUAAAAUCCUGCUUAGCAUCUGAUAUAUAAUGUAUUUUUUUCCCCUAAAAACUAUGUAUGAACAUGACAUGGUUUACAUGAUUAGCAGCAUAUUCUGUUAACGCAGGUUCCACCAUUGCAAAGAUGUUUUUAGUCUUACGGGGGUGAGUUUUUAUAAGGGAUACUUGUUCGAAAAGAAGGACAGAGUGUUGUAGCUAAUUUAUAAGAACAAAGCUAAAAAACAAAAAGAAAAAUAAGAUAAAUGAUAUUUUAUUAAGAGUUUUAUGUAAAGAUAUACCUUUUUAGCUCUUCUCUAUAUCUAUUAUUCAAAGGAAAUCAUAAUCUAACAAGGAUUCUAAUAAACUAGAGUAUUACAACUCUUUCUUCAUCAAGAUUCCUAUAUUAACUAGAAUUCCUAUUUUAGCUAAUAUUAAAACUUUCAUUAAUUUCAAAUUCUAUUAAUCUAAAUCUUAGUUGAUAAUAAACUUCAACAAUAUUUACCUGCCUUCAUUUAAGAAAUCCCUUUAAAAUAUUCCAGAAGGGAAUUUUUGAAAUUUUAUCCAUGGGAACUCAUUUCAUCCUAGAUUUCUGCUAAGCAUAUAGACACCUCUUUUACGUUGUAUCAGUUGUGGUUCUUUUCCUUGGAACAAGAUUAUUGAACUUGGUAUGACAACUAUUAGAUUGGAUCUCCAACAACAUGAAAUACUAAAAAUAUCGCUAUCCAGAGUGUAUAAGAGGAGCCUUACAAGUUAUUCUUGAUGAAUGAACUCCUGUACGUGUUUAUAGAUUCAAAUCAUUAAGUUUCACAGGAACCAGGAGUAUCCCAAAUUUAAGAAAAUAGAUAUCCUUACUGGUUAUCUUGACAGCUUGGCAGCAAUGAAAAGUUAUUGUAGGAAACGUCACUGCAAGAAGCCAAGGGAAUCAUAAAUAUGAAUAUGAACCUCAACAAAAUUAAGAAUAAUAAGUGGAACAAAUGAAAUGCUAAGCAAGAUUAAAAAAAAAAAAAAAAACCCACAUAUUUUCAGAAACUAGGCUUUCGUUGAGGCCCUACCGGGAUAGAUAAAAAUGCCUAUGGCAUGAAUAUAUAUAUGUAGCCUUAGAGUAUCAAGAUUCACUCAGAAGACAACUUUAAAAAUAUUAAUGGUUGAUCAAUCAUCAGCGCAGUUAUAUCUUUACAAGAGAGCAGAGAAGUUGAACAGAAUAUCUAAACUAAAAUAACUGAAACCUGUGAUACAUUUCAGAAACAUACAUUUUUUUGCGGCCUGUUUUGAAAAAUGAGUGUCACACGUCACCCGCACAGCGGCAUAUGGCUAUUUUUCAUUUGUUUUGCUGAUUUUGUUCUUUGGAGUUGCCACCUAGUAUUUUGAUUAUUAGGAACCCUAACUGGUCUUUCAGAAAUUCUCAGGCAAGGGACUGGUUGCGUAAGGAAAGGUAUUAGCACUCCUAGUACACCCUACCUAAAAUAAAAAAAACACAAACAUCACCAUAAAUCACAAUUAAAGUCAACAAACUACAUAUUAGUCAAACUCUUAAGGCUUUAAUAAAUCAGUUAUUAAAUCCCAACAAAUUAUGUAGAAACGUGUUUUUAUAUUUUCAUGGAAAAUACAACAUGAUUUUAUUUAUCCAUUAAAUACUUGACCAUAUGCAAAUUAAAACAUUAAAUUAUUAUUUUUUACCCUUUUGAUUUUAUAAUUCAAUAAAAUACAUUAAAAAAAUACACACACACACAUCUUUUUUUAUUAUGCUUUUCGCACACAUUAUUUUUACAUCAUACAAAAUACCAUAAAUUGACAACAAAUCUAAUGACAUAAUAUACAAUUCAGAAAUUGCGAAAUAGACCCCAAACAUUCAAGAUUUACAGAAGUAGACUUCUAGGAAUGCAGGAACAGUGACGGCGCAUGGGUUCCACAUACCACUGCCACUAGCGGCGUGUGGGCUUAUGCGCCACCGUCAUAACAACACUGGGAACAUGGGGUCUGUAACAGCCUCUUCCCCUCUUCACUUUCCUGCCGGCGGUGAGGACCAUUGUCACCUGCAAAAGAAAAAAAAACACACAAGCCAGUUGAUUUUAAUCCUUGUUUAGAUCUGUUUUCUCUCGGUUUGCCGUUUCCUCCUUCUUCUUCAGCUGGUAGGUUUAGUCUCAGUCUUCUCCUUCUUCAAAUCUGGCACCUGUUGUUUGUGGAAAAGGGAAGAUCGGUUGGCUGCGGUGCUUUUUGUGGAUGAGAGAAGAGAAGUUGAGAAGGAGGAGGCCUGGUGCGUGGCUGGCCGAGUCAGGGGCUUUGGUUUUGGGAGGCCUUGGCCGAGAGAGAUUUUGGUGAGAGGAUAUAGUUGAGGAUGAAAGGAGUGUGUGGUGGUCGGCUGGUGUUUUCUGGAGAUGGGGAGGAAUGGACCGACUGUGGGGCUAUUAGGUGGAGGAGCUGGGUGUGUGAGGGUCUGGGAGGAGAAGAAGAAGUGAGGGAGGAGAUCUGGUUUUGGUUUCAAAGGGAGAGGGGCUGCUGCUCUAAUGGCCGGCUGAAGAGGGAAAAUGAAAUGGCCUAGGGGAGAAAGUGGCAGCUGAGGGGGAUCUGGUUUUUUUCGGUUUCCAAGGGAGAGGGGCUUGUCCCUGUGUAAAAACAAAAUCGCAAGGCCAAGGGUGGAGGCACGGCUUGGCUUCAGCGGUCGGGAGAAAAAAAAAUAGGUUUAGGUCUUUUGUGGCUUGCCCUUUUUUUGUUUUUUAAAUAUUCUCCCUUUUGUAAAUUUACCCCCCCUUUAUUAUGACUUGAUGUUCAUUUAUAUAGAAAAUCUCUACAUGUGUUAUUUAAGGAAAUAUUGUAAUAAUUAUUGCAGAGAUUAUCUUCUAUAACCAUCACCAACAAAUCCCAUAUAUAUGGUAUUUUAUAGUGCAUUAAUUAUUUUCCAUAACCAGUGUCGCACGUGUGCGGCGGCGCGACGAUCAUCCACCCUCAUGGAAAAAAUCGGAAAUAUUUAUUCCUUAAGAAAAAAUGGAGAGACAAGGAAUUCUUGUCUCUACAAGUGAAAAUAUGGACUGGGAGUCGCCACCUAGUAUUCUGGUUACUAGGAACCUUAACUGGUCGUUAGAGAUCGGGUACGGAGACUGGUUGCGUAAAGGGAAGGUAUUAGCACCCCAACUACGCCCUACCUAAGGUAAGCUGCAUUGUUUUAAUGUCUGAUAAAAUCUAAGGUCGUGUUGUGGUUUUUUAUUGUUCGAAAUACGCAUUACAUGUAAUGUCAUACCCCAGGUUCUAUUGUCCAAAAAAAAAAAAAGAAUUAAAUAUCCGGAAUAUGCAUUACGUGUAAAGUCAUACCCCGGAUACUAAGAGACAAACAAAAUAAAAUUUUUGUUGUUUUUGAAAUAUUGGCCAAUAUUCUCUUGACUUUAAUAAACGGGUUAUUAAAGCCAAAAUGCAUGCUAAAACAUUUUGUUUUGGUGUAUGAAAAAAUACAACAUAAAUUUUUAGCUUUGAGACACUUGGCCGUAUGCACAAAAACAUUUUUUUUUUUAAAUUUUUUUUGUAUUUUGUUGAAGUUUUUGACGAAAACCGGGUAUUUAAAAAUCAGAUUUUUGUAUUUUUAACAACAUAAAAAAAUACCACCAAAUAUUAAUCAAAAUGACAUAAAAAUUACGCGGAAAAAUUAUAAAAUGCUGAAACAAAUAUUUUUUGAUUUUUUUCUUUGAAAUGGGCCGGAUCAGGCCCAAAUAUAUGGGUUGGGCCGAACCUGGCCCAAAGAAUGGGCUGGUUACUGUGCACAUAGCAACCGGGUUACUGUGUGUACAGUAACCAGAGAAUUAAUCUGCGGGUUACUGUGCACAUGCACAGUAACCGUGAAUUAAUUAGCGAGUUACUGUGCACAACACAGUAACUCGCUAAUUAAUCUUUCAUCUGCAUGCAAAACAGAAAAACGACGGGAAAGGCUACCUGCGGUGGUGAUGUUGGACUCUCUUCUCUGCUUCUUCUUCUUCUGCUUUCUUCUCUCCCCCCUCCCCUUCUCUUCUCUUCUCCUCCAUUUAUAGCCCGUGAGCAUGUGUUUUUUUUUUUUUUUUUUUUUUCAUCGUGGGGUCAUGCGGCGGCUGGUCGGGCGUGGCUGUCCAGGCGUGCCUCCCUCAGUUUCGGCGGUGCGGUAGGCGGUCGGCCAAUGUCUUCGGUCGGUGGGCUAGAGGGACCGGCGGUCGGUGGGCUGGAGGGACCAAGCCAUUAAAUAUACAUCUUUUUUCCUUCUUUACUGCUGUAUGUUAGGCGGGGAAGAAAGGGGAACAGUGUCGUUCAAAACGGCACCGUUUAGCCCUUUUCUGUUUUUUUUUUUUUUUUUUUUGCAUGGGCUGGUUACUGUGCACAUAGUAACCGGGUUACUGUGUGUACAGUAACCAGAGAAUUAAUCUACGGGUUACUGCGACCAGUACUGCGCACAUUUUUUUUUUUUUUUUGUAUUUAUUAUUUUUUUAUGGGGACCCAAAAAUGGGUUACAACAGUUGCCCCCCUCUUUACAAUGCUUACGGAGCAAAGAUUUGUGCAUAGUAAGUGUUGUAAAGAAAAAAACAUUGGUCUUCCGAAACUGGUCGUCUCAAAAUUUGAUUGACCUAAAACUUGAAUCGGACCCAAAGUCCUGUGUAUGGUUGGGCUAAACUGAGAUUCCUUUCGCCAAUCCCCUUUAACCCGAAAAAAAGGAAAGAAUGUGAAGUGUGGUUUCAUUGUAAUGGGUGACCUACCCAGAUAUAAAACAUGGAGAAUUGGUCGCAUUGUAAUGGGUGACCUACCCAGAAAAAUGUUGGUGAGGGCUCAAAGGCGCACUCAAAAGGAGGUAGGGUUAGAAAACGCACUACCUAAGGGAUGAGGGCUCAAAAGCGCACUUAAAAUGGAGGUGAGGGCUCAAAGGCGCACUCAAAAGGAGGUAGGGCUAGAAGGCGCACUCAAAAUGGAGGUGAGGGCUCAAAGGCGCACUCAAAAGGAGGUAGGGUUAAACGCACUACCAAAGGGAUGAGGGCUCAAAGGCGCACUCAAAAUGGAGGUAGGGUUAGAAAACGCACUACCAAAGGGAUGAGGGCUCAAAGGCGCACUCAAAAGGAGGUAGGGCUAAAACGCACUCAAAGGAUGAGGGCUCAAAGGCGCACUCAAAAGGAGGUAGGGUUAUAAAACGCACUACCAAAGAUGAUGUUGAAACAAUGAUUGUCAAUGUUGAAAAGCAAAUGCAUUAUGAUUGAUAUGCAUGUAUACUUACCUGAGAAAUAUAGGCCCCCAUUUCUUCAUGGUGUCUUUUUUUUUCUCUCAAAAGUUGUAGUGUUGGUAGUAAACUUCGAUGGCUUUUCCACUUUUGCUUACUCGGGUUACAUUUGUGAUCUUGACCUCUGGGAAGGGUUUGAUGUCAUCAUACAUCUUUGUCCUUCACCCUUUAUCUCAAGAGUUACCAAUUUUGCCCGACAUUUUCCUUAGAAAAGGAAUCAUGGAGCCAGCCCUACCAUGUGUUUUUGAUUGCCCCCCAGCUUGAUCAUGCCCCCCAAGUGUUCAACUUGGGUUUAGUUUGGGGUGAGGAUAUGUGAAAGUAAGUUUGGGUUUUUUGUACAAUGAAAUGUUUUCAUGCAAAAUUUUUGGAACUUCCAAGUUAUUCCAAUCACAAAAUGAUUUUGAUAUUGGUUCAAAAUAAACUUGUUCUAAAAAAUUCAAGUGAUUCCUAUGGACAGGUUUCUUGAAGUGAUGAAAGCUUUUUGCUUUUGGUUUAAAGAUGAAGUGACAUCUGGUUGGUCACAAAAGGUUUAAAUUUCAAUUUGAGAGAAAAUUGAUUCAAAGCAUUUAUUUUAUUUGCAUGAAUAAUGAUUUGACUCGCACGAGAAACUGCAUACCGAUCCAGAUUGCUUGCCUUUGAUCAGAAAGGGCUUUAUCAGGUAUGUAAUGUAGGCUUUGGCUAUUGGUUGAAGAAAAUGGAUAUGUUGCAGGCUCAAAAGGUGUUUAAGGGAUUUCAAGACUAGGAUCACUUGUGCUUGUUUCCUGACCUUUUGUCUUUUGGAUUUGUUUUUUUCAAAAUGUUUUCUGCCCCCAGUGUCGGGUUUGGGCUUUUCUCUUUGUUUUUUCGUUUUUGUUUGGUUGAGCACAAUCAUAUCAGUUGUUUGUAUGAGAAGCUCAAAUCUUUUAGAUCCUUUAGAUCUUCUUCUUUUCUUUUCUUAACCAAUCACUGCUUCAUUUAGAUGAUAAUGAAAGAUUAAAAAUUACAUGAUCAAAUCCAGCACCCAUCUUCACUGCUUUGUCUGGAUGGGUAAAAACUCUUUAUUUUGCCCCCCAGUGUGGGGUGUGAUCCUAGUCAAGGUUAUUUCCAAAAAACAUUACUAGGCUCAAAAUGGGACUGCAAGGAUAUUUUUAGCCUUGUGAAAGGAUUAUCAAAGAUGGCCUUUCCUCAUCUCAAACUCAUGCAUUGAGGAUCGAUAGGUCUUGCUUUCAUGCGCGUAUGCAAAUGAUUUAUUCAGUCAAAUAAAACUCAGCUUUUGAGUCACCUCAUAGUGUUGUUUGUCUUUGUUGUCUUUUUUUCUUUCAAGUUUUCUAGGUAUAUGUGUACCUAUUUAAGGAAUCACUUGAAUUUUCAAAAUGCAUUUGUUUUGGACAAAUAUCAACACGAUUUUUGUUUUUGUACUCACUUUGGAGGUCCCAAAAAAAUAUCCUUGAAAACAUAUGAGAUUAAUGUAUGGGUUUGGAAGAAAGGAACACCAAAGGAUUCUUCAUGUUGUAGUGUUGUGAGCAAAGUUGCGCUCAAAAUGUUAUUUACAUGUAAUAACAACAAAGAAGAGUGUGAUGUGAACACAAGAAAACACAUGAUCUUAUUUCACAAGAGAAGCUCAUUAACAGAGAAAGUCUUAUUCAAAAGCAUUAACAAAAGGCAAUAACAAGGCAGGCUUCAUUCCUCUAUUUUGGCGAAUCUGUUCAUAGGCUAACCUCCUCUCAAAAGCUCUGUGCAGGGGACUCAAAGACAAUGCGGAACAACACCACGGUAAAAAUUCAAGCUAUCAUGCUGGACCAUUGAUGCUUUCCAAUUCCCCAAACAUUCCAUCCUAAUAUGCUUCAAGCAUGAUUAGGCAGUAUUCACAUUGGGGGUCUUCCAAUUCUAUCCACCAGCCUUGAUUAAUUGCAGAAGCUUUCUCUUGAAGGCGUUGCAGGUAUAGAUGCUAUGCCCAGUAAUACCGGCAUGGUAUUCACAAUUGAGUUCUGGCUUGUACCAAUUAGGAUAAGGUGGCUGCAGAGGUGUUAGAGGUUCUGGAGCUAUUUGCCCGAUGCUCAAUAGCUUUUGAUACAUCUCAUUCAGGGGUAACGGUAGUGGAGGUAGUUGUUCUUGAACCCUUUGGAAAUUUCCAAUUUGGCUUUUGGCUUGAAAGUUUUGGGGUUCAGGUUUUUUGAUGUUGGCAAUUUGGGAUGGAGUAUGGUAAUUUUGGGAUGUAUUUUUUUACCCAUGUAGCCAUCUUCAACAUGGUGAACCUCUUUUCUUUCGAGCCUCUUUUCUCGGUUGGUGUGCAAUUCUACCACUCUUGACACCUUGCUCUAUGCGUUCACACACUAUCACAGCAUCAGUGAAUUGUUGGGCUGAACUACCCAUCAUAUGUUCGUAAUAUGGUGCUUUGAGUGUGUUGGCAAAUAAAGAGACCAUCUCUUUGUCCAGAAGUGGGGGAUGUACUUGAGCAGCUAAUUCUCGCCAUCUUUGAGCAUAUUCCCUUAUGCUUUCUUUAUCCUUUUUCUCUAUAUUGGACAAACUGGUUCUGUCGGGCGCAAUGUCCAUGUUGUAUUUGUAUUGCUUGACGAAAGCAUCCACAAGAUUUUUCCAGUUGCGAAUUUUUGUGUUAUCCAAUCUCAUGUACCAACUCAAAGUUGCCCCACUUAAACUGUCUUGGAAAAAGUGCAUUAGUAGUUUUUCAUCAUGUACUACCUCAGCCAUUUUAUUGCAGUAGGACCUGAGAUGAGUCAUGGGGCAUUGUGUUCCACUGUAUUUGAUGAAUUCAGGAACACGAAAUUUCUUUGGGAUAACCACAUUUGGGACCAAACACAUCUCUGCUGCCCGGUCAUAUAAGUCUAUCCCUUCAAUGGCUUUGAGUCUGGCUUCCAGCGCCUCUAUCUUAGCUUGAUCAAUGCUAUCAGAUGACUUAGCCUUGUGGGACUCAUUAGCAGAUGCCUUCACGACUGUUGGGGAUGGUGCAGGUGUCGUUGACUGCACAAAUGUUGGAUUUUGCUGAGGUUCUUGACCAUGUUCGCUCAUUCUUUCCUCAGGCUGAACUGUAGUAGGAGCCGGAUCAAAGGUGAUCGGUUGAUUAGAAGGACCUUCAUCAGAGGUAUUUCUUAGUGUUUGCUUGAGUAAGCUAGUGAGGUGAGCCACACUUAUUUUCAGAGACUCCAACUCCUCGUGCAAAUAGGCCUCACGUUGAGCACGCUCUUCAUCUUCCAUGUUUCUUGCUCGAAGUCGGGUGUUGUAGACUUUUUGGGGACCUAUAUUUCAAUCUGACAUGUAUGCAUGUUAAAUGUAUGAACAUGUAAUCUAUAUGACGAACUCGCCCUUCGAGGGGUGACAUAUGGUCGCAACUCUUGUAUGAUGAAACAAGAAUCUUGAUUCUUGCACAAACUCUACAAUGAAAAUUUUCUGAGCGACGGUCAUUGUGUCACCCAAGUCUGGAGUUCAAGAUGCUUCAAGAAGGGCUUGCUCGGAUGCAAAACAAUAUACGAUACAUCCUAAAGGAGGUUCUAAUCUUUUUAAGUGAGACAAAGGGGUUUACUAUUUGGUCUCUAAAAAAGGAGUCUCGUUGUCCCAGUGAUCGCCCUCGUGGAGGCAAUAUGGGGGCUUGUAGGCAACGAGAUGGCACGUGUACCAACCAUUACCAGUCUAAGCUCUCAGCGAAGAGUUGGGGUUUACACAAACUUAAACCUUGACUAAAAGUCGUAAGGUAAGCUGUUAGUCCCCCACUUAACUUUAAAUGAUGCAUGACACAAUCUAUAAAUGAUGCAUGACACAAUCUAUAAUGCAUGAACAAAUAUGUACAAAUUUAAAGCAUAUGAGCAAAUAAAAAAAUAAAACACAUAAAUCCAAAGAGAAAAAAUUAAACUAGACAAAACAAUGCUUAGUCCACAAGGUCCCCAAUGGAGUCGCCAUUCUGUCGCACGUGUGCGGCGGCGCGACGAUCGUCCACCCUCAUGGAAAAAAUCGGAAAUAUUUAUUCCUUAAGAAAAAAUGGAGAGACAAGGAAUUCUUGUCUCUACAAGUGAAAAUAUGGACUGGGAGUCGCCACCUAGUAUUCUGGUUACUAGGAACCUUAACUGGUCGUUAGAGAUCGGGUACGGAGACUGGUUGCGUAAAGGGAAGGUAUUAGCACCCCAACUACGCCCUACCUAAGGUAAGCUGCAUUGUUUUAAUGUCUGAUAAAAUCUAAGGUCGUGUUGUGGUUUUUUAUUGUUCGAAAUACGCAUUACAUGUAAUGUCAUACCCCAGGUUCUAUUGUCCAAAAAAAAAAAAGAAUUAAAUAUCCGGAAUAUGCAUUACGGAAUAUACAAAAUAAAAUUUUUGUUGUUUUUGAAAUAUUGGCCAAUAUUCUCUUGACUUUGAUAAACGGGUUAUUAAAGCCAAAAUGCAUGCUAAAACAUUUUGUUUUGGUGUAUGAAAAAAUACAACAUAAAUUUUUAGCUUUGAGACACUUGGCCGUAUGCACAAAAACAUUUUUUUUUUUUUAAUUUUUUUUGUAUUUUGUGGAAGUUUUUGACGAAAACCGGGUAUUUAAAAAUCAGAUUUUUGUAUUUUUAACAACAUAAAAAAAUACCACCAAAUAUUAAUCAAAAUGACAUAAAAAUUACGCGGAAAAAUUAUAAAAUGCUGAAACAAAUAUUUUUUGAUUUUUUUCUUUGAAAUGGGCCGGAUCAGGCCCAAAUAUAUGGGUUGGGCCGAACCUGGCCCAAAGAAUGGGCUGGUUACUGUGCACAUAGCAACCGGGUUACUGUGUGUACAGUAACCAGAGAAUUAAUCUGCGGGUUACUGUGCACAUGCACAGUAACCGUGAAUUAAUUAGCGAGUUACUGUGCACAGCACAGUAACUCGCUAAUUAAUCUUUCAUCUGCAUGCAGAACAGAAAAACGACGGGGAAAGGCUACCUGCGGUGGUGAUGUUGGACUCUCUUCUCUGCUUCUUCUUCUUCUGCUUUCUUCUCUCCCCCCUCCCCUUCUCUUCUCUUCUCCUCCAUUUAUAGCCCGUGAGCAUGUGUUUUUUUUUUUUUUUUUUUUUUCAUCGUGGGGUCAUCGGCGGCUGGUCGGGCGUGGCUGUCCAGGCGUGCCUCCCUCAGUUUCGGCGGUGCGGUAGGCGGUCGGCCAAUGUCUUCGGUCGGUGGGCUAGAGGGACCGGCGGUCGGUGGGCUGGAUGGACCAACGCCAUUAAAUAUACAUCUUUUUUCCUUCUUUACUGUUGUAUGUUAGGCGGGGAAGAAAGGGGAACAGUGUCGUUCAAAACGGCACCGUUUAGCCCUUUUCUGUUUUUUUUUUUUUUUUUUUUUGCAUGGGCUGGUUACUGUGCACAUAGUAACCGGGUUACUGUGUGUACAGUAACCAGAGAAUUAAUCUACGGGUUACUGCGCCAGUACUGCGCACAUAUUUAUUAUUAUUUUUUUUUUUUGUAUUUAUUAUUUUUUUAUGGGGAUCCAAAAAUGGGUUACAACAACCAGCACGAAUCAAAUCAUAUAUCUAUGGUAUUUUAUAUUGCAGUAAUUAUAUAUGAUUUAAUAAUUAUCUCCUCAACAUAUUGCUUUCUUAAUAUUAGCCCUGAUGCUCUAAGUUAUCGCCACAUGUAAACCCUUAUUAUUAUUAUUAUUAUUAAAAAAAAAAGUUAUCAAAACAUAGGUUAAAAAUUGGGUAGCAACAAUGAGUCUGGGACAAUUCCAGUCAGCUUGUUUCCACUCAAAAACCUGGUUUUCAAAAGCCAGAUUGAUUUUUUUAGCAUAAUUCACUCAUCCAUCCAUAGUCAGAUUUCAACAUUCUGAUUUACAAUAUUCAAAUCUAAAUACUUACAUCAAUUCACGUGUUUUUGCAUAUGGAGGAAUGUCUCCUUCCAACUUGUUGAAAGUUAAAUCCCUGAAAAAUAUUACAGUAAAAGAUUUUCCAGCUUUAGUCUUCAGAAUAUCCCUUGCACCUUUGUAAGUAUUUUUGCAAUAGACAAACUCCUUCUGUUUUUACUUAGGUUUCAUUUGGUUCAUGGUUAAACACAAACCGAGUUAAAUGUCAAGGAUGUAAAAGUGCUUAGAAUGUUUGGAAGAAAGUUUAGAAAUAAGGUUCUAAAAGUUGAAAGUAAGAUUUUGAAAAUUAGUUGAACUAGUCGAUUGGUUGGGAACAGGUCAACUAGUUGAGACAGGGCGACCGGUUGGAUUAAAUCAAUCGGUCGACCGGUUCAGUUGACAAAAUACAAUUCCUAUUCAAAUUAAUAUUUUCUAGUUUUAGUUCAAUUCCUUGAUUGUUUAUGACUUGAUGGCUAUAAAAAGGCUUGCAAUUUAGCAUUAUUAUAAGUACAAAAGGGGAGAAAUAAUUAAGAGAGCUUAAAGAUAAACACUUAACAAAAGUAUUUAUUUCUCCAAAUCUUCUUCUUGUUCUUGAGUCUUUGGCCUUGCAUUAUUGUGUUGAUCUUAUACCACACUUGUUUUACUUCCAACAAGUGGUAUCAGAGUUCUAGGUUUGAUUAUUUGACAUAGUCAAUCCAAACUUCUCACUUCAAUGUUCUAGGUAGACAAAGAACAACUAUGAAAUUUGAUGUAUUCGAAUAAAAGUUUGGCUAGGUUUUCAAGGUAUAUGAGAGAAUGUUGAAAAAGGCUUUGAGGAGCCUAUAGUUGGAGCAAUGUUGACUUCAGCCUAAAGUGAGGUCAUGCAAAAGACACGAAGAAAGAAUUAACAAGCAGUUACAAUCACCCACCAAUGUCUAGAUGAUGUCACUUUUGAGAUAGUAUUCAACGCAAUAACCACCAAGCAUGCAUGGAAAAUUUUGCAUGAAUCAAAUUAAAGACUUGACAAUGUGAGAAAGGUGUGUUUAAAAAAGGUAUGUGGUGACUUUAAAAAGAUAAUUAUAUAUGAUUGAAUAAGAGAAUACUUUAGAAUACUUUGCAAGAGUAUUGCAAGAGUAUUGACCAUAUAUAAUCAAAUGAAGAGAUAUGAAGAGAAAAAGAGACACGUGUGGUAGAGAAGAUCCUAUGCUCGCUACAAAAGAAGUUCUAUUAUGUGGUUAUCGCGAUACAGAAAUCACAAAAUAUGGAUGUUCUCUUAAUACAAGGUCUCAGGGGAGAAUUACAAGCUUAUCUAUAAAAAUAAAAUCAAUGAGACUCAAAAAGAUAUGGAAGCACAAUCAAUUAUUUCAAAACAAUAUGAUUUUAAAUAUUGCCAUGAGGGUAGAGAACAGGGACAAAACAAAGAAAAAGAAGAGGCAAAUUUGGAUUUUUGAAUUUUUAACCUUGUUGAUCUUACACCACACAUGUUUUAAUUCCAACACUAAACCACAAUUUUUUUUUCAAAAUCUUUGUAAUACAAGAAGAUAAAACUGUUCAGCAAUUUCUUUCAACUUAAUUCGAUAGGAGUGACAAACGGCUGAACUUGAGGAGAUGAUAGUCCCAGAUCAUCAGGAAGGGAAAAAAAAAGAAUUUGAUGAAAUGGGGGGGCGAUAAUUAUGUGAAUUCCCUUUAGGCCACUUGUAGCACUUUAGCCGAUGCAUGCAACCAGGGAUGGAUUGAAAUAGGUCCUGAUUCUAAUUAAUCUCUAGUAGGCUAAGUAACUUGAUCAAUGAAAUGCAAUAGACCACUUGUGAGAAUUUUGAUGGUGGUUUCUUAAAGAAACAGAAUGGGAUUUAAGAGGUGCAAAGGGAAUCGGGAUUGUGCUUCUACAAACUAUAUAUUUAUGUACGAGUGUUGGUUUGAGAAACAUGUUUCAUUAAUUAAGCCCUUUUCAGUGUAGUAAAUAUGAUUCACAGGCAAUUUUCAAAAAGGGGAAAAAAAUGAUCACAUGACUGUUGGUCAUGGUGGUUGGCAAUAGUCCAGAAAAGCAUUUGGUUAGGAUAGAGAGUAUAGUCAUAUGGAGCUCUCUCAAACUUCCUGCUAUGAGAAUUAAUGCCAUAUGUCCCUAUAGAAACUUACACUGCAAUAUUAUGUAAUGCAACACAUAACUUUCUAUUCAUUUGUUGUAGCAUUUAUAUAGUCUUGGGAGCUUGAUUUUAGAAUUCAAAUGUGUGUAACCGAAGGAUAUUUACAAUCAGAAUUAAUAACAAUAUGUUAAACGGAUCCUAUAAUUAAGGAGAGCACAAAAUCUGGCAUAACUCAUGGUAACAAAUGUGUUUGAAUUGGUUGUGAUUUGAUUUCAUCAGAUUCCUUGAUACGCCCCCGCAAGAACGGGCUACCAUCGAAUAGGCCGAUCUUGUCACGCAAGAAAUCGAUUCUUUGUCUGGAGAGAGGCUUGGUGAGCAGAUCUACUAGCUGAUCAAUUGUGUGGACAUGUUGAACAUUGAGAUUAUUUUUCGCAACCAAAUCUCGCACAAAGUGAAUAUCAAUCUGUAUAUGUUUCAUCCUGGAGUGCUGAACAAGAUUAAAACAUAGUUGAGUUGCACCUGAAUUAUCACAUAAGAGCAGUGGUGGUUGUGAUAGACAAAACUUCAGUUCCUGGAGCAGGGAUAACAGCCACACACUCUCAGCAGCAGUCGUUGCCAAGGCUCUAUAUUCAGCUUCAGUUGAUGAUCUUGCAAUGGCACGCUGCUUUUUAGAACUCCAGGAAAUUGGUGUGGUUCCAAGGAAUAACAGAUAAGCAGAAGUAGAUUUCCUAUCAUCCAAACUACCAGCCUAAUUAGCAUCCGAGAAACAAGUUAACAUGCUGCUGAAUGUUUUGCUAAUAGUUACUCAAUGCAAGAUUGUGUUCUUCAAAUAUCGCAGCAGUCUUUUUGUUGUUGUCCAAUGAAUCUACGUGGGACGAUGCAUAAACUGGGAGAGUUUAUUGACAGCAAAACUAGUGUCAAGUCUUGUAAGAGACAAAUAUUGCAAAGCACCAAUAACUUGAGAAUCUUCGGUGGAGUCAACAGAGGAAGAACCAUCAUCCAAUUAUAAAGCGACCGAUGUUGAGAGGUGUGUGGUGACAUCUCUAGCACCAGCUAUAUUGGUAUUGGCAAGUAAAUCUCGGAUAUACUUGUGCUGAGUUAGAAACAAGCCAGCUGCAGUAGGAAUAACCUCAACACCAAUAAAAAAAUAUAGUAACCCCAAGUCUUUGAUAGAAAAUUUCUGGCCAAGAUGAUUAAUAAUACUUGCAACAAAAAUUGAAUUAUUGCGUAUGAUAAUCAAGUCGUCAACAUACACUAGGCAAUAAGCAAGAGUGGAACCAUUAUGAAACACAAAAAGAGAUGAAUCUGAUUUAGAAUUAAGGAAGCCAAACUCGAUCAAUGCAUGCUUAAGGGCAGAGAACCAAGCACGGGGUGCCUGUUUUAGGUCAUAGAUGGCCUUGGUUAGGCAACAAAUAUAAUCAGGAUUUUCAAGAUUUUUGAAGCCAGGAGGUUGCUUCAUAUAUACUAUUUUGGUGAGAUGCCUAUGAAGGAAUGCAUUAUUAACAUCCAACUACCUCAAAGACCAACCCUGCAUCACAACAAUAGUCAAGACAGUGCGUAUGGUGAUCGGCUUAACAACAAGGCUAAAUGUUUCUUUAUAACCCAGUCCGGGUCGCUGAUUGAACCCUUUAUCCACUAGUCUGGCUUUGAAUCGAUCAACAAACCCAUUAGCAUGCCUUUUCACCCAAAACACCAAUUUACAACCCACAAUAUUACAAUCAGAAGGAGGGGGCACCAAUUGCCAAGUAUUAUGAUGCAUUAAAGCAGUUAAUUCAAAGAACAUGGCCUCACGCCAUCUGGAAUCAGCGAGUGCAGCAACAACACUCGAGGGUUCCAAAGAAGAUGGAAGGGGAUGUUUGGUAACAAGGAAGGAUUUUUUGGGUUUAUAAAUGUCAUUCGUAGACCUAGUAGUCAUCCUAUGAACACGCACCGCAACAGAUUCAAAGAUAGUAGAAGCAAGUAAUUCUAUGGAAGUAGUUGAAUCUAAAAGCAGGGGAGAAGAUGGAAUACUUACCUGGAGAGGAGACGGUGCAGAGGGCGACCCAUGCUCAGAAGAUGGCAAGACUUCAGUACCCAUAACCAUAGAAGUGCUGGGACGAGGUGAAUCAAAAAGUAGCUUUGGUGAUGAGAUAACCAUAGAAGAAUGUUGCUCAGCAGAUGGAGAAAAAAGGACACUGUUAUGACUGGUCUAUUGAAAAGGAAAUGUUGCUUCAUGAAAGAUGACAUGUUGGGAGGUGAUUAUUUUUUUGGUAGAGGGCUCAAAGCACAAAUAUGCAUUUUGGGAUAAGCUAUAACCCAUGAAUGUGCACGGUUUUAAUUUCAGCUCAAGUUUGUGUCUAUUGUAUGGUCGGGUUAAUGGAUAACAGAGACAACCAAAUUGUUUGAGCUAGAGAUAGUUGGGUCUUUGAUUGAAUAAUUUUUCAAACGGGGAUUUAUUAUUCAAGGUGGUAGUGGGCAUGCGAUUGAUAAGGUAGGCAGCAAUUCGAAAUGCAUAAGGCCAAUAAGAGAGAGGCAUGUGAGCAUCGGUGAGCAAGGUAAGACUAGUUUCAACUAGGUGACGAUGUCGCCUUUCAGACAUACCAUUUUGUUGGGGAGUGUGAGGAGCAGUAGUGUAGUGACUAAUGCUAUGAACAGAGAGAUAAGUUUUGAGACCAACAUAUUCCCCAUCAUUAUCAGAAUAAAGACUUUUUAUUUUUGUGUUGAAACGAUUUUCCACAAGAUUUAACCCUAACAAUACUCCUCUAUUGCAGCCUUCUUCUGUUGCUGCCGCUGCCAUUGUCUUCCUCUCCCAUACUCACCAAGUCAUCUCUCUCAAAUUAACAAACACGAAUUACCUAUAUUGGAGAAUGCAGAUGAAACUGUAUCUCAUAGGCCAAGGUGUUUUCGGGUUUGUUGAUGGCUCAAAUUCUUGUCCUUCUUGACAUGUACUUGCUACCGAUAGUACCUCUUUUCAGGUAAAUCAGUCUUUUGUUCGUUGGAAACAGCAGGACCAACUCAUUCUAAGUGCUAUGCUUUCUUCAUAAUCCAUGGAAGUCCUCCAUCUUGUUAUUGACUGCCAAACUUCAAGUGCUGUCUGGCGCACUCUUGAGCACGCUCUAGUUUCCAUGUUAAAUUCUCAUAUUAUGCAACUUCAUGGCUCCCUUCAAGAUCUUCGACUAGGUGAUAAGUUCGUAACUCAAUUUAUGCAAAAAGCUAAGUUAUUAUUUGAUAUGUUAGUCACUGCUGGCCAUCCUGUUUUGUUGGAGGAUUUCAACUUAGUAACAAGCCUUGAGCCCAAGGCAAAACCCCUCUCGUAUGCCGAUCUUCAUAGUCAUCUUCUAACGUAUGAAUUGCUUCACAAAACAUCCCUUACAUCCAUGGGGUCUGCUGCCCAAUGCACCUUUAUUGCCUACACCUAACACCCCCCCCCUUUUCAGCCUUUGUUUCUCAACGCUAGUCCUCUGGAAAUUAUGGGUGCAACAGGGGUUGUUUUCAUGGUGAAUGGCGUCCCAACCAGUUCAACAGCAGAGGGAACAGGUCUGCUGCAUCUAGACUAGAUUUUCGCAACUUCCAUGGACCCUCCAAUAGUGAUGGCAGGCAAGGUAAGGCAGGGAGAUUAGCAAGGCAAUAAAGGGCAGAAUAGACGUUGCCAAUUAUGCCAAACCUUCAGCCAUAAAGCCCUUCACUAUCCUCAACUUCAGCACUGUGAUAUGGACAACAACCUAGUGCAAAUAUGGCACUGAGUAAUGUCUCCUCAACAGGUAAUGCCGACUGGUUUCUUGGACACUGGCGCUAAUAAACAUGUUACACCUGAUCUUGCAACUUUGGCUGCAGCAGAACCAUAUCUCGGUAAUGAUAAUUUACAUGUUGGUGAUGGUAAGAGACUUUCCAUAUCUCAUAUCGGUCAUACUAAAAUACAUGCACCAUAUCGUACAUUCACUUUAGCUAACGUUCUUCAUGUUCCACAUAUUGCGAAAUCUUUGCUCUCUGUUCAAAAAUUUUAUCUUGAUAAUAAUGUUUAUUUUAAAUUUCACACGUUUGUGUUUUAUGUCAAGGAUCUCAAUACUAAAGAAGUACUCCUCUCAAGUCAGAGUAAAGAUGGUCUUUAUACUUUGACCAGGUCUUUCGUCACAUUAAUUCCUCAAGCCUAUUGCUUUCAUUACAUCUCUACUUCUGCUAAUUUAUGGCAUCGUCGACUAGGUUAUCCUACUUCUCGUAUUUUUUAAUUGUUAGUCUAAAAAAAUAAGAUUAUUUGUAAUAAAAAAUGUCUUAAUUUUUAGUGUUAAAGUUGUCCAUUAGAAAAAUCGUCAAGUCUCUCUUUAGGACCUACAGGUCAGAAAACUUUUGCUCUGCUUGAAUUAAUUUUUAGUGAUGUAUGAGGUCUUGCUCCCCUUUUUUCUACGGAUGGUUAUCAUUAUUUUGUUAUCUUUGUUGAUGCAUACACAAAAUAUAUAUGGUAUUACCCUAUUGUUGCCAAGUCUGAUGUUUAUUUUAUCUUUCAUCAAUUUCAAACUCCUAUUGAGCGUUAAUUUUUACUAAAAAUAAAAUAUGUUCAAAAUAAUUGGAGCGGCGAAUACCGCACACGAUCCACUUUCUUUCAGACCAUCAGUUCAUCAUCGUCUGAUUUGCCCUCACACUCAUAAACAAAAUGACACAGUAGAAAGUCGUUAUGUAUAUAUUGUGAAAAUCGGACUUACUCUUCUAGGAUAGUGUAAAACACCAUUAUGAUUUUGAAAUUAUACUUUUAAAACCUCUGUUUAUCUUAUAAAUCGCAUGUCUGCUCUUUUCCUCGAAAACUAUGGAAGGAAAACAAAUAAAAAUCUUACAGUGACGUGAUAUUACAAUAACCAUCAUUAUUGAGGGUGCUAUUGCACAUGACGGUGCUAUUGGCUUUUGAAUCUUGUUUCGACAGAUUCAUAUCGUGCAUAGGUCCUGGUUGGUUGCAAGCAUCGCCCACCUCGAAGGGUUGCCAACCAUGCGUCAGUGUCUCGCCAAUUUGUUUUAACGCCGUCACUAGUUCAAGGAUCAUGCAUCCACGGAAAAUUUUAUCAAAAUAUAUCCAUAUCCAUAACAUCGGUUAAUAUUAGCUCUUAUCACCGGGGGAAAAAAAAAAACUUAUAGUUUUCGAGUGGUAUUCUAACACAAUAAAAUGGUCGGAAUCUUGAGUACAAAUCCAGUAAAAAUAGAAAUAAAUCGUGAAAAAUAUAUAAAUAUAAUACAAAUCCUUUUCAAUUUGUUGCACGUAUUUUAGGAUAAUUUAAAAUCAAAAACCACCUUUUUAUUAACUCAUUUAUAUGUUUUAAUUUUUUUUUACUCAAUAUAUUUUAAAAAUCAUGUCCCAUUUUCUUAUAUUCUUUUUCUUCAAGUAUUCUUUUUUAGUUUUUGAUUUAAAUCUCUUUUUUAAUAAUAAUUAAGGGCAUUUUUUUGGUAUAAAAAAGGUUUCUGUAAUAUUUUCUUAAAAGUUAGAGAGGUUUUAUUAAAUCUUCAAACUUUUUUUCAUACUCUUUGUAGUUUCCAAAUACCUUGAGAAUUGCUGUAAUUUGUAGAAAAAAGAAAUCUGAUACAAAUUAAAUAAUUUAUGCGUCUUUAAUACCAUCUUCACUGUCAUAAUCCAAUUUUUUGAAUAAAUAAUACAAAAUCAAUGAUUAGAAAUAUAUUUGAGAAUGAGGUUAAAAUAACACAAAUUCAAAGUUUAGGGAUGAAAUUAUCAGAUUUAAGAAUAAAUUAGUCAAAAAUUAAAGAAUUAAUGAGUUUGAAAAUUUACUUAAAAUUUGAAUUAGUUUAAUUAAUGAAAUUAGAAGAAUUAAUAAGCUUGUGAACUUAAUUAAACUUUGAUUUAAUUUAUUAAAUAAAUUCAAGUACUUAAUUGAAAUUUAUUCAAAAGGAACAAAAUUUAAAAAAUUAAUUAAGGACCAAAUUGAAUAUCCAGGAAUUAAGGACUGUUUCAUAAAUAGUGCACCAAUUUAGGGAUUUGAUUGAAAUUUAUCCAAAAAAGGACAAAAUUAAAAGAAAUGUUUAAUUUGUUUAGGGGUCCAAUUGCAAAAUUUCCAAUGUUCGGGGGUCAAACUGAAACUGUCCACGGGUUGCUUGAAAACGUCGCCGUUCCUGGUGGAAUCCCUUUCUGCCAAAACGCUGUCGUGGCUGGUGGAACAGUCGUGUUCGUCUUCUCCAUCCCGAUUCAACAGGCUGAAGAUCUGGAACAGAUUUGAUCGCCAUGGACCACGUCUCUCGCCCCAGAUCAUGGCAUGGAAGAUAAGAGUCCUGCCUAUAAAAGAGAGGCAGAAAUCAACACACAGGGAAGGAUGAGGAGGAGCAAAACCCAGGAGAUUGAGCAAAAAACACUGGGAAACAGAGGAGGAACCCAGCAACAGGGGAGGCAAAACCGAAGCCAAACCCAGGCUUAAAAACAGAGGCAGAAACCCAGUGAAAAAAACAAAGGAAGAAACCUAGAAAACAAAGCAAUCAACCCAGAAACAGAGCAAUUUACAGCACCCGACAGUAACAAAAGAAAUCAACCCAGAAAAACAGAGCAAGAAACCCAGAAAAACAGAGAAAACAAAACACAAUCAAAAAAAGAAAAUACAGGGAAGAACAGCAACAUCAACCCAACUUCCGUCCCUGCAAGAAACCAGUUUUCGUCCGAAAAAUAUAUCGCCAGAAAAGGAGAGAAAGGCAGAGGAUCAUGGUUUAACGCUGUUUUCGUCCCUGCAGGAACCCAAUCGAUCACCGAACCAUUGGCAUCUGACAGAAAACAGUCGAACCCACACCGGCGUUGCAACCUUCCUCAGCAUCGCUAGAAACAGAAAGCAGUCGAACUCCACCAGCGUUGUAGCCUUCUUCACAGUCGUCUGAAACAGGUGCGCCCAUUUCCAUUUGUUUUCGCUCCGGUGUUGAAAUGCAUUUGAACAGUGCGAAGGUAAUUUAAUUACCUUCGCACUAUUGAUGCACGCGUGAAAGUGCUUCACGCGUGCAUCAUCAGUUUGCUCAGCUGGUCACUGGCUCGGCAUAAAAUUUAUUUUAUUUUAUUGUAUUUUGCUUUUAUUUAUCUACGUAAAAAUAAAAAUAAUGUGUAUGCGUAAAAAAAUAAAAAAUAAAUUGAUUUUUAUUUGUUUAUUCACCAACGUCAAAGUCAGGAUUAAAAAGAAAUAAUUAUUUAAAGUUAUUCACUUUGAUAUCUACGUAAUAUUUACCAAUGUGAGAGUUGGAAAUAUCCGUAGUUGAGUAUUCACUAGCACCGGAGUCAGGAAUAUUAUAAGCAAAUUAUCAUAGCGUGAACUAAUAAAUAUUUAGCAAUUUAAGACGAAACUAGCAAUGCAGCCUGCCUCAGGUAGGACGUUUAAGGGGUGAUAAUAUCUUCUCUUUUACGUAACCAGUCCCGAACCAUAGAAUCUUUGUUGACUAGUUAGGAUUCCUAGUGAUCAUAAUACUAGGUGGCGACUCCUUAAACAAGACCUUUUCCCCAUUAAAGAUCUGGAUGCCAGAAAUCCAUUUAUAAGGUUGCCGCGAUGUUGGGUCCGAUAGAAUGUCGACUCCACUGGGGACCAAUGGACUAAGCUUUGCCUUUUGUUUAUCAAUUGCUAUAAUGUUUGUUAUGUUAUGUUAUGUUUAUUUGUUUAUUUUUCUUGAAUUUACUACUUUAGCAUGCAUCCAUGUUUAUAUUGUCAUGCAUCACGUUCAGAGCACAUACCUGAAAAUCUAGGAUAGGUGGGAAAGUAACGGUACCCCAACAGCUUUAGCCUGGGUAAUACUCGUGAAACCAUCCAACUCUCGCUUGAUCGUUUACUUGGAAGUGGUUGAUAUGCCAAACUGAUAUUACUCAGCGCCUCUAUUUUCACACUACUUGUAAGCCUCAUAUCGACCUUCCAUGGACGAUCACUGAGCAUGCGAGAGACCCUUUGAAACUAGAUAAUGACCAACCCUUUGAUGCACUCAACAAUUAGGAUCUUCCUAUUAGGUUUUCAUCCCGUGAAGGGCGAGUCUACAUUUCAUAUGCAUUUUUUUUGCUUCAGCAUUUUUUGCAUAAUUGCAUGAUUUACAUUUAGCAGGUUGAAAUAUAGGUUCCCCAUUGAAACCCAUUUAUAACACUCGUUCGAGAAAGAUAAAAAUAAAAAACGAAGAAAGAGCCCAGUUGGAAGCCCAACAUCAAAAAAAGUUGGACAAUCUUAAAGAAGAAGUCGCAAGGCUUACUAGUCUACUCGAGCAAGCCUUGAGAGAUAAAUCCGGAAAAGCAACACUUAUAGCUCAGCCUGAAGAUAUGCAUGUAACUCAUUUCGAUUUACAAAAUCUAGGGGCAAAUAGGGUGUCAUCUGAAUUUCAACAAGCUAUGCAUUUCCAACCAUCAUACCCUACAAGAAUUUCUUCCACCAUUGAUUCUACAGAGAAGGGAUCUCAAAAAAGCAAUAUGGUAAAAGAAGAUGAUCUGACCAAAUUCAUUGCCCUAGAGCAAAGGAUGAGGGCAUUUGAGGGAAUUCACCUAUAUGAUCCUAUAAAGGCUGCUGAGAUGUGUUUGGUGCCUAAUGUUGUCAUUCCCAAAAAUUUUAGAGUGCCAGAAUUUGUUAAAUAUACGGAAACUCAAUGCCCUAUAACUCAUCUCAAAGCAUACUGCAACAAAAUAGCUGAGGUGGUUGAUGAUGAAAAGCUACUAAUUCAUUUCUUUCAAGAUAGUCUAAGUAAUGUUGCCCUUACUUGAUAUAUGCGGUUGGACAAUACCAAGGUUAAAAAAUGGAAAGAUUUAGUGGAUGCCUUUAUGAGGCAAUAUAAGUUCAAUAUAGACGUGGGCCCUGAUCGGUUAAGCUUGUAAGCUAUAGAGAAGGACAACAAGGAGUCCAUAAGAGAAUACGCCCGGAGAUGGAGUGAGUUAGCUACACAAGUUAACCUUCCCAUGUUGGAAAAAGAGAUGAUCAAUUUAUUUUCCAACACCUUUAAAGCUCUAUACUUUGAAUACUUGGUUAGAAGCUCUGCACAACAUUUCACUAACCUGGUUGUUAUAGCUGAGAGGAUUGAACAAGCCAUUAGGUUAGGUAAGAUUGCUAUCCUGACUGAGAAGAACGAUUUUACUGAAAGUGGUUGCCAAGGCACUUAUCAUUUCUAUAGCUAAUUGCUUCACAUCGACUCCUAGAAAUCAACUAUCUUGAAGAUAAAGCUAUGAAAUCAACUUUCAACUAUCCUAGAAAUCAACUAUCUUGAUUUCUAUCUUGAAAUCAAUUAUCAAAUAUUAUGUCGGUAAAUCUGUUGCUAUUAAGCGAAUUUCUAGUGGUGACUAGUCAAUUUAAUGAUUUGAAACAUGCUAAGAACAUACUGAAAAUGAGAGAGAUUCUAAUCAGAAAAGAGAGAAAGAAAAAGGAUUUAUACUUUAAUCUCUUAAUAAAAGCUAGAGACCCACAGUGCUUGAAGUUCUUUGCAUUGUGAUUUUUCAAUGGUUUUUUUUAAUCCGUGAGUGUUGACCGCUGGCUAUAAAGUGCACUAAGAACACGAAGGUUUUUUGUUACUUUCAAUGUUGUAAAGUGCACUAAGAACUUCAUCAUCAAUUGUUCACUAAUUGCAAGUACACUUUUCUGCUUUUUCUUUUUCUUUUUCUUUUUGCAAAUACUGAUUGAGGUAGACAUAGACCAAUCUCUUUUUCACCAGUCCUAAAGGACAACAAGCUAUUUGGAGUUUAUGAUACACUCAAAUGCAUGCAUUUAUAUAGCUACUUGGUGCAUAAUUGGCAGUUUCAUACUUGUACCUGGUUUAUUUUUAUGUUUUAAAAAUGUUUUUAGAAAAAAAUUCAAUUUUUUAUAUUAUUUUUGUGUUAAAUUAAUUUUUUGGUAUUUUUAUAUCGUUUUAAAGUAUUUCUGUUAAAAUUUUUUUUUUCAAUAUUAUUUUAAUAUAUUUUCAAAUAAAAAAUACUUUCUAAAUCAACUACUCGUAUUUAUAAAACCACCCUCGAUUUUAAUGCUUCUUAUAGUCAUUAUUUGCUUUGAAUAGAGUUUAUUUCCCAAAACCGUGAGCAAAUUUAUUUCUCAAAUGAACACACUCUUGUUAUUUCACAAAAAUAGUCUCGUGACCUGAUUAAUACUUAAAAGUGCAUGUUUAUCAAAGGUUUAUAACAUUAUUUUGCGCUUGAAGUAUCAAUAACUCCUUAACUAAAGCAUGUUUUAUAAUAACAAGUCUAAUACUAUAAGAUACCUUAAUAUAUGUUAAAUGUUCAUCUUAAAUGCAGGCAUAUCACAUAAAUCAAAGGAUUGAUUGAUGAAUUCAACUACUGAAAUUUGUGAAGAUAAAGAGAGGGUAAAGCUUAGAAAAGAGAUGUUGGUGCAGUUCUAACUGGAACACUGUUAGGUAAUUGGGUCUUCUCUCGAGUUCUAAGAGUCCAAAUGACCUCCAUUUGUUUUUCCUGGAAAUCCGAGUCAAUUUCCUAUAACUUUCAUGUUUUCCAGUGGACCCAGUUCUGAUGCUAGCAUUUUCUUUUUAUUCAGACAAGAAGAUAAGGAUUUUCAACAAGUCAAGAGUUGGUCACCCACUUAACAAUUAGUCAUCAAAUCAAUCAUUCCGAAUUUUGGCCUAUAAAAGGAGGCAUUUGCCAUGUAUUUAGGAGCUUGGUUGUUCAGAUCAAGUUCAUGCUCUUUAUUUCUCUCUUUAUAUAUUUUUUUUUGUAAUUUUUAAGUUUUGCUUUCAUUAAUAUCUUGUUUAUGCUUUUCAUUUUCGUUCCUUUACUUAGUUAACUUGUAUUUUCUUUAUGUUCUUGUUUUGUUUAUUUAUGUUUCUCUUCUUCAUUAUGUUUAGCUAAGUUUAUUAUGUCAAGGUGAAAAGGUUACCCUAAUGGUGUAAGAAUAAGUAUGGUGUAAACUCAACAUGGACCUUAAUGUUUAAUAUUAACAUGUCUUAUCUUUUUGUCUUACUAAUUCUUAAUACCUUGCUUGUUAAAUGGUUAAUCUAGAUUUGUGUUGUAUAACACUUGGUACAACAAAUGCUUGGCACUCUCAUAGCCCAACCGUAUGGUAUUACCUACACCUGGGCUAUGAAAAGAACUUGAUUUGUUGUUAACAUCAGUUAACAUCAUGAAUUCCUGAUAAUAUUUAAAAGUUUGGUGUUAUGUAAAUAAGAUAAUUAAUAUGAUCAUGUUAAUAAUUUAUAAUGAGCUAUUAAUGACAAAUCAUCCGAUUUGAACCUCUUUCGUGUGUGGUUUCCAAAUUGAGUAAUAAGAGUUUAUAUUAUACUUGUUUGAAAUACCAUUAAUGGAUCCUCUAACCUUGACAUUUGUUUUUAUCAUUAUUUAAUCCUUACAUUAAUCUUCCAUCUCAAAGUUCUCAUUAAUUUCUUCCUCCUCUUCUUUUUACUACUACUACUACUACUACUACUACUACUACUACUAUUAUUAUUAUUAUUAUUAUUAUUAUUAUUAUUAUUAUUAUUAUUUACGUUCUUGUUAUAUUUUAUGUACGUUAAGUAUGCUCAGUGUUUGAUCAAGGAUCCUAACAUUGUUGGUCUUGCCUUGUUCAUUCGCAUCAGAAAUUUGUUUAUAUUAUAUAAUAUAUUUCUUUGAUCUUUUCAUAAAAUCAGUAUAUAGGCUAGAAACCUGUGACCCGAUCUUUUAGAUCAUUCUCAGGUAUAACAAUGCCACGUACUGAGUAUUAUUAUUAUUAUUAUUAUUAUUAUUAUUAAUAUUAUUAUUACUAUUACUAUUAUUGUUAUUAUUGUUGUUGUUGUUGUUGUUGUAUUGUUAUUUAUAAUUUAUACAAUUAACCUCUAUGUGGUUCGACCCCGGUCUUGCUGAGUUAUUUAUUACUUCGACACUCCUACACUUGGGAGAAGACAUCAAUCUUUUGGUCGUGUCAAGUUUUUGGCGCCGUUGCCGGGAGGUAAAUUCUUGUACAAAUUAUAAUUUUUUAUUUUUUCUCUUUCACUUUUCUUGUAUCUAACUUUGUUUCUUGUUUUGUUUUUUCUUUUUCUUUUUCUUCUCUUCUUUUAUUCUUUUCUACACGUGCAUGAGUGUUUGGUCACGUACAUUAAGUGGUAGACUUUGUAGGGUAUCCUCAUCUUUUUAGAAAAUAUGAAGAAGAUAACCAGUCACUUAUAAUGAGAAUAAUCGGUUAUAACACUUAGAGACCACAUGAAUCCACAAGAACAAGCUCGAUCAUGCAUAGUUUUCCCUCCUGAUGCAUCUCAUUUUAAUUUUAAGCCAGCAUUAUUCAACUUUUACCUUCUUUUCAUGGCUUAGAUCUAGAAAAUCCAUACUUGCAUUUGAGAGAAUUUGAAGAAGUUUGUAAUACCUACAAUGACUCAAAUUAUAGCACGAACACCAUUAGAUUAAAGCUUUUUCCUUUUUCAUUAAAAGAUAAAGCUAAAACAUGGCUACAAAAUCUUAGACCAAGAUCCAUUCGUGCUUGGGAUGAAAUGCAACAACAAUUUUUAAAGAAGUUUUUUCCAUCUCACAGAACCAACUUCAAAAGACAAAUCACCACUUUCACUCAAAAAACAAGUGAAACAUUUUACCAAUGUUGGGAUAGGUAUCGAGACUUGCUUAAUACUUGCUCUCAUCAUGGUUUUGAAACAUGGAGAUUGGUUUUACAAUUUUAUGAAGGAUUAACACCUAAAGAUAGGCAAAUGGUUGAAUUAAUGUGCAAUAGAACUUUUAAAGAUAAAGACCAUAAUGAAGCAAUGGAGUACCUAGACUUGCUAGCUGAAAAUGCACAAAAUUGGGACACUAUAGGAACUGAUGAGGCACCAAGUAAAACCUAACCUCAUACAUCUAAUGGAGGUAUGUAUAAUGACACGACCAAAAGAUUGAUGUCUUCUCCCAAGUGUAGGAGUGUCGAAGUAAUAAAUAACCCAGCAAGACCGGGGUCGAACCACAGAGUGGUUAAUUGUAUAAAUUAUAAAUAACAAGACAAAAACAACAACAACAACAACAAUAAUAAUAACAAUAAUAGUAAUAGUAAUAAUAAUAAUAAUAAUACUCAGUAUGUGGCGUUGUUAUACCUGAGAAUGAUCUAAAAGAUCGGGUCACAGGUCUCCAGCCUAUAUACUGAGUUUAUGAAAAGAUCAAAGAGAUAUAUUAUAUAAUAUAAACAGAAUGUAAAUAAUAAUAAUAAUAAUAAUAAUAAUAAUAAUAAUAAUAAUAAUAAUAGUAAUAGUAAUAGUAAUAGUAGUAGUAGUAGUAGUACUAAUAAUAAAAAGAAGAGGAGGAAGAAAUUAAUGAGAACUUUGAGAUGGAAGAUUAAUGUAAGGAUUAGACAAUGAUAAAAACAAAUGUCAAUGUUAAAGGAUCCACCAAUGGUAUUUCAAACCAGUAUAGUAUAAACUCUUAUUACUCAAUUUGGAAACCACACACGAAAGAGGUUCCAAUCGGAUGAUUUGUCAUUAAUAGCUCAUUAUAAAUUUUUAACAUUGUCGCACGUCAAAAAAUCCCGCACGCGAAAUCGACUGGCGAUUUAUGUCUCGUUGUUGUAUUGCUUGAAUUGGUUCGUUAGGAGUCGCCACCUAGUAUUUAAUUGAGGUUACUAGGAGACCCUGAUUUACUGGUCCUGGUCAGAUAUUCGUGGGCUGAUUGUGGUUAGGGAAGGUAUUAGCACCCCUAACACACCCUACCUGAGGUAAGCUGAUUCGUGGAUUUGAUGUGUUAAAGAAGUUUUAAAAAUUUUGUCUUUUAAUCAGAUUUUAGAAAUACAACUUCCGUACAAGCUUGUACUUCUACACCGUGAUCCAAUCAAAAUAUUAAAUCCUUCUUUAUUCUUGCAAUCUCGUCAUAAAAAAACUUUCAAGCUUCGUGAGCUUGAUAUAAUUUAAAAAAUAAAAUUUUAGCCCAAUUCUAAGGCUUUAAUAAAUCAGUUAUUAAUUCUCAAAAUAGAUGUAAAAACAUUUUCACAGGAAAUACAACAUGAUUUAUUUAUCCUCAAAAUUUGUGCAUUAAAUUAAACACUUAAUUCUUUUUGUCUUUUUUUAUUUUUAUAAUUCAAUAACAUAAAUAAAAAAAACAAACACACACACACAUCUCUUUUUAUUAUGUCUUUUUUUUAUACACCCACAUUUACAUAUUACAAAAUAGCAAAAAUUCAAAAUUUACCCAAACAAGGCCUUAACAGUUUCAAAAUUACAGAAAAGACCCCCCCAAAACACAGAAUUGCAGGAAAGCCUUCUGGGGUCACUUUGACAAGUGGCGGCGUGGACCUCACGCACCACCGUCACUGGCGGCGUGUGGAUUCACUUGCCGCUGCCGAUGAAGACCAGCAACCUAGUGGAUCAAGAUCGUCUCCUUCUUCUCUUCCCGUCCGUACCGGCGGUGCAUCUCCUAGUCACCUGCACAAGAAGCAAAAACACACAAACACAACAAAUGGCAGUUGAUUUUAAUCUUUUUUUUUCUUUGCAGAUCUGUUCUCGGGUCUGUUUUUGAUCUGCUUUGCUGCAGAUCGGUUUACUUGUUCGUCAUCUUCUCCUCUGUCCCAUGAACUGGCGACGAGGAGUGCUGGAGGAAGAAGGAUUGGAAGUCAGAUCGUUCGGGGAGAGAGGAGCUGUGGUUGAUUCUCCAUAUCUGGCGAGAAGAAAGGAAAUCUUAUCUGGGAGGGGCUGUGCAAGGGCCCUGGGCGAGUGGGAGUUGACGGAAAAAUGGCGUUCGUCUUCAACAGGGAAGCGAAAGAAGAAGAUGGGGCUCCGGUGGAUUUUUUAGGGCCAGCAAAAUCAAGAAAAGGGGCGGCCAGUUUUGAAAGGGAGCGGGUUCGGUUCUUUCGCAAAGAGGGAGUAUUGUUUUUUUUUAUCCGGGGGGUGAGCAGGGCUUAAGGUGAACCGGCUGAGGGAGAAGAGAAAAAAAAAAUCAACAGGGGAAGGGUCUAGGGGAGCUGGCAGCUGUGAUCGAAGAAUAAGGAAAACAUUUCCCAAAAGGGGGGGGUCUCCCUGGCGGCUAGUUUCAGUAGGGAAGAAGAAAAGUUUAGUUUUUUAGGGUUCUCUCUUUCCUCCCAAAAUUACAAAAUGAACCCCCUUAACUUUGAGUUAAAAGGUGCUAUUUAUAGGCAAAAUAUUUUUUUGGGCUUCCAAAUUGGUCCCUCAAUUUUUAUGUUCAAUUCAGUUGGUAAAAAUUAAAUUUGGUCUUAAAAUUUCAAUAUUUUCAAUUCAGUCCAAAUUAAGCUCCCAAACUUAAUUUUUCACCAAUUAAGCCCCCAAAUUAAUUUGACCCAUUUAAAGUAUAAUUAAGUCCUUGCACUUAAUUAAAUCCUUCAAUUGGACCUAAAUUAAUUCUUAAACAUAAUUAAAAUUUAAUUUGGCCCAUGAUUAAAUCAAAUUGGCCCAUUAAAAAUUUAAUUAUGUCAUUUGACUUAAUUUUUAUGCAAAUUCAUCCAAUAAUCAUUUAAUUUGACCUUCGAAUAUGCAUUUAAUUUGACCUUUGAUUUUUGCCUAUUUUUGCAGUCCUUUUUUAUCAGCUUUCUCCACAUUGCCAGCCUUUAUUUUAAUUUUUUGAUUUUUUAUUUUGAAAAAAAGUGAAUUUUGGGGAAUAACCCAAAUUUGGGUUAUGACAGUUGCCCCCCUCUUUACAAUGCUUAUGAUAGAAAGUCUCGUAGGAGACUCUAGAUAGUAAGCGUUGUAAAGAAGAAAAAAGGAAGAUUUUUUUUUUUGAAAAUUCAAAGAUUUUGAAAUGGUCGAAUUGUCAUGGGUGACCUACCCGGGUGAAAAACACGAAGAUGUUUUAAAGAGGUGAAAAAUACAGAGAUUUUUCAAAGAGGUGAAAAAUACAGAGAUUUUUCAAAGUGGUGAGAAAUGCGAAGAUUUCUCAAAAUGGUGAAAAAUGAACAGAUUUUUCAAAGUGGUGAAAAAUGCACAAAUUUUUCAAAGUGGUUUUGUUGUAAUGGGCAACCGGCCCAAGAUGGAAAACAAAAAGAGUUUUCAAGGUGGUGAGAAAUGCAAAGAUUUCUCAAAAUGAUGAAAAAUGCAAAGAUUUUUCAAAGUGGUGAGAAAUGCGACGAUUUCUCAAAGUGGUGAAAGAUGCAAAGAUUUUUCAAAGUGGUUUUGUUGUAAUGGGAAACCGGCCCAAGAUGGAAAAUGAAAAGAGUUUUCAAGGUGGUGAAAAAUGCAAAGAUUUUUCAAAGUGGUUUUGUUGUAAUGGGCAACCGGCCCAGAUGAAAGGUUUUGAAAAAUACAAAGAUUUUUUCAAAGAGGUGAAAAAUGCAGAGAUUUUUCAAAGUGGUGAAAAAUACGAAGAUUUCUCAAUGUGGUGAAAAAUUUUGGAGGUGGUGAGAAAUGCAAAGAUAUCUCAAAAUGGUUUUAUUGUUAUGGGCAAUCGGCCCAAAUGGAAGAAUUUUGAAGGUGGGGAGAAAUGCAAGGACUUCUCAAAAUGGUUUUAUUGUUAUGGGCAACCGGCCCAAAUGGAAGAGUUUGAAGUUGGGGAGAAAUGCAAGGAUUUCUCAAAAUGGUUUCAUUGUUAUGGGCGACCGACCCAAAUGGAAGAAGUUUGAAGAUGGGGAGAAAUGCAAGGAUUUCUCAAAAUGGUUUCAUUGUUAUGGGCAACCGGCCCAAAAUGGAAGAUGAAAAGAGUUUUGAAAGAGAUCUGAUUAUAAUGGGUGACCUACCCGGGCAAAAAGGCACAAUGUCUGAAAGGGACGACAUGAUAGGACUCGAUGGGGAACGAGGGCUGAAGAGCGCACUCGAAAGGAGGUAGGGUUAGAAAAACACACUACCUAAGAGGUGAGUGCUCCAAGGCGCACUCUAAAGGAGGUAAAUAGGGCUAGAAAGCACACCACACAAGAGGUGAGGGCUCGAAGGAGCUCUCAAAAAGAGAGGCAGGGUUUGGAAAACACACUACCUAAGAGGUUAGGGCUCGAAGGCGCACUCUAAAGGAGGUAAGGUUGGAAAACGCACUACCUAACGUGGUUGAUGGCCCUAAGGCGCACUUAAAAGGAGGCAGGGUUGGAAAACACACUACCUAAGUGGUUGAUGGCCCUAAGGCGCACUUAAAAGGAGGCAGGGUUGGAAAACACACUGCCUAAGGGGUUGAUGGCUUUAAGGCGCACUUAAAAGGAGAUAGGGUUGGAAAACACGCUACCUAAAGUGGUGCGGGCUCAAAGGAGCAUUAAAAAAGAGGUAGGGUUAGAAAACACACUACCUAAGAUGGUUGGGUCUCGAAGGAGCUCUCAAGAAGAGGCAAGGUUGGAAAACGCACUACCUAAGAGGUGAGGGCUCGAAGGAGCUAUCAAAGGGAGGUAAGGUUGGAAAACGCACUACCUAUAGGUGAUCGAGGGCUCAAAGGUGCACUCGAAAAGAGGUAAGGAGGUAAGGUUGGAAAACACACUACCUAAGGUGGUUAAUGGCCCUAAGGUGCACUUAAAAGGAGAUAGAGUUGGAAAACGCUCUACCUAAAGAGUUGAUGGCCUUAAGGCAUACUUAAAAGGAGGUAUGGUUAGAAAACACAUUACCUAAGGGGUGAGGGCUUUAAGGCGUACUUAAAAGGAGGUAUGGUUAGAAAACACAUUACCUAAGGGGUGAUGGCUAAAAGACGCCCUCAGAAGGAGGUAGGGUUGGAAAACACACUACCUAAAAGGUUGUGGCUCGAAGGCGCACUAAAAAAGAGGCAGGGUUGGAAAACGCACUGUCUAAAGGGUUAAGGCUCGAAGGCGCACUAAAAAAGGAGGCAGGGUUGGAAAACACACUACCUAAAGUGGUUGAUGGCCCUAAGGCGCACUUAAAAAAAGAGAUAGGGUUGGAAAACACACUACCUAAGAGGUUAGGGCUCAAUGGCCCACUAAAAAAAGAGGUAGGGUUAGAAAAACACAUUACCUAAGGCGCAUUCAAAAGGGGAGGUAGGGUCAGAAAACACACUACCUAAGAUGGUUAAGGGCUCUAAAGCGUACUAAAAAAGAGGCAGAUAGGGCUAGCAAGCACACUAUCUAAAAGGUUAGGGCUCGAAGACACACUAACAAAGAGGUAAGGUUAGAAAACACACUACCUAAAGGGGUGAGUGCUCCAAGGGGCACUCUAAAAGAGGCAGAUAGGGCUAAAAAACACACUAUCUAAAUGAUGAGGAUUCAGCAACCCACUCAAAAAGAGGUGAUGGUGAGACACUAACCUGUCCAGGAUGAAAGAAAUGCAUCAUGAUCAAUAUGCAUGUAUACUUACCUGAGAAAUAUAGGUCCCCUUUUCUUCAUGGAGUUCUCCUUUUCUCAAAAGUUUGAGUCUCUGAUAGUAAGUUUUGAUGGCCUUUGUCCCCCUUGCGUACUCGAGAAAUAUCUUACGAUCUUGGCCUCUAAGAAAGACUUGAUGCCAUCAUUUCUUUGUUCUCCGCCCCUUUUAUCUCAAGGGUUGCAAAUUUUGCCCAAUAGUUUCUUCGAAAGGGAAUCAUGGAGCAAGCUCUACCAGAUGUUUUUGAUUGCCCCCUAGCUUGAUCAUACCCCCAAGUAUUCAAUUCGGGUUUGGGGAUGAGGCUAUGUGAAGGAAGGUUUGACAAGGAGUUGUUUUCAUGCAGAAUUUUUGGAAUUUCAAAGCUAUUCCAGACACAGAAAUCAUUUUAACAUCGAUUCAAAGCGAACUCAUUCUGAAGAAAUUCAAGUGAUUCUUAUGGAGAGGUUUUCAGAAGUGAUGAAAACUUUUUGUUUUGAUUUUGGUGAAAAAAUAUGAAGUGACAUUUGGUUGGUCACAAAAAGUUGAAAUUUCAAUUUGAGGGUUAUUGAGAACCGUUGGUGAAAAUGUGAAGAACACGAAGUGACAUCUGGUUGGUCACAAAAGGUUUAAAUUUCAAUUUGAGGGUUAUUGAGAACCGUUUUCAAAGCAUUCAUUUUAUUUGCAUGAAUAAUGAUUUUAUUUCGCAUGAGAAAGCACUGCCUACCGAUCCAGAUUGCUUGCCUUUGAUCAGAAAGGGCUUGAUUAGGCACGUAAUGUAGGCUUGGGCUUUUGGCUAUGAAGAAAAUGAUAUAUGUAGGCUCAAAAGGUGUUUAAGGGACUUUAAGACUAAGGAUCACAAAUGCUUAUAUCCCAAACUCUUUUGUUCAUACAUUUCUGGACCUUGGAAUUGAUUUGUAAAAUGGUCCACGGUGCCCCCCAGUGUUGGGCUUGGGCUCUUUCUCUUUGUUUUUGUUUUCUUCAUUUGAUUUUGAGCAUCAUUGCAUUGGCCUUGUUUUUUUUUUAUGCUCAGAAUUUUGGAUCCUUUGGAUUUUUUUUCAUGCCCCCUAGCUUUGUAUGGGCACCUUUGAUGAUUGAGAAUUUUUUUUAUGCCCCCUAGUAUUGUUUGGGCACUUUCAUCGUUGAAGACUUUUUCAUGCCCCAAGAGUUAUUUGGGCACUUUCAAUCAUUAUGGAUUUUUUUGCACUUGCCCCCCAGUGUAGGGUGUGAUCCUAGCCAAGGUUAUUUUUCAAGAAAAAUUUAUUAGGCUCAAAAGGGGACUGCAAAUGAUAUAUUUCAGCCUUGUGAAAGGAUUAUCAAAGAUGGCUUUUCUUCAUCUCAAAUGCAUGCAUUUAGGAUCGGUAAGCCUUGCUUUCAUGCGAAUAUGCAAAGUGAUUUCUCAUUAUUCAUGCAAUCAAAACUCAGCUUUGGAGUCACUUCAUGGUAUCUUUUUUUGGGUUUUCUAGGUGUAUUGUUACCUCUCUAAGGAAUCACCUGAAUUUCGAGGACUCGUUUGUUUCGGACAAACAUCAACAUGAUUUCUGUUUUUGUAAUAAGCUUUGAAUUCCCAAAAAUCAUUGUGAAAACAUGUAUGAUCAUGCAUUGUUUUGGGAAGAAAAGGGCAAAAGCACCACAAGAUUUUGGGCGCUGUGGUUUCAUGCUUAAAAGUUAUGCUCAAUGUGUUAUUUGCAUGAAUCAACAACAAAAAUGAAAGCAUGUGAUGAACACAGCAAAACACAUGAUCUUAUUAACAAGAAAGGCUCAGUGGACAGGGAAAGUCUUAUAGUAUUUUGAGCCAAAUUGCCAACAAAAACUGGAAUAGGUUGAAACAAAAAAAAUCAAGUUUUUGGAGGCAUGAUCAAACAGAGGUAGAUAUUUUGGCAGAGUAAGAACAGGCUCCAUUCUGCGACGGGCAUGCAAUUCCCCUUCAAAUUGUGUUGAGGCUCUUGAUCAUGUGGGCCCCCAAUUUCUUCGGGUUGAGUCUUUGUUGGGGCUUUGAACAAAAAUGACUGGCCGAUUGGAAGGACCUUCACUAGAGGCAUUUCUAAGUGUUUGUUCGAGUAAGCUAGUGAGGUGAGCCACACUUGCUUUCAGAGACUCUUAACUCUUCUUGGAAAUGGAUGCUGCGGUGAGCACGCUCUUUGUCUCCAAUGUUUUUCUCUCAAAAUCAGGUGUUGUAGACUCGGAAGGGACCUACUUUUUAUUCUGGUGCAUGCAUGACAAAUAUAUGAACAUGAAAUCUAUAUGAUGAACUCGCCCUUCGAGGGGUGACAACAUGGUCGUAACUCUUGUAUGAUGGAACAAGAAUGUGAUUUUUGCCCAAACUCUACAAUGAAAAUUUUCCGAGUGACGACCAAUGUGUCACCCAAAAUCUUGAGUUCAAGAUGCUUCAAGAAGGGUUCGCCCGAUGCAAAUAAAUGAUAGCACAUACAACCUAAGGACAGUUCUAUUCAUUGUGUGAACAUGGGUAGGUUUUCUACCUGGUCUCAAAAGGGUCUAUGAACUGCCCAGUGACACCUCACGUGAAGGCAGUAUAGGGGUUUACAAGGAAUGGUUGGGGCAUCGUGUGACCGCCAUUACCGAGUAAACACUCAGCUCAUAGUUGGAUGUUUCACAAAUUUGAACCCCGACUGAAAGUCAUGAGGUAGACUGCUACUCCCCACCUAACUUAGAAGCUUGUGUGUGCUUUCAAAAAUAAAUAUGUGAUGCAUGAAACAAUUCUAUAAAAUGCAUGCAUAAAAUAAAACAAGACAAAAAUGACAAAAUUUAAACACAUCAAAUACACAAAGCUUAGUCCAAUAUUGUCAGAAACAGUACCUCCCUAGUGGAGUUGCCAUUCUGUCGCACGUCAAAAAAUCUCGCGCGCGGCAUCGACUGGCGAUUUAUGUCUCGUUGUUGUAUUGCUUGAAUUGGUUCGUUAGGAGUCGCCACCUAGUAUUUAAUUGAGGUUACUAGGAGACCCUGAUUUACUGGUCCUGGUCAGAUAUUCGUGGGCAAGGGACUGAUUGUGGUUAGGGAAGGUAUUAGCACCCCUAACACACCCUACCUGAGGUAAGCUGCUCGUGGACUUGAUGUGUUAAAGAAGUUUUAAAAAUUUUGUCUUUUCAUCGGAUUUUAGAAAUACAACUUCCGUACAAGUUUGUACUUCUACACCGUGAUCCAAUCAAAAUAUUAAAUCCUUCUUUAUUCUUGCAAUCUCGUCAUAAAAAAACUUUCAAGCUUCGUGAGCUUGAUGUAUUUUAAAAUAAAAUUUUAGCCCAAUUCUAAGGCUUUAAUAAAUCAGUUAUUAAUUCCAAAUAGAUGUAAAAACAUUUUACACAGGAAAUACAACAUGAUUUAUUUAUCCUCAAAAUUUGUGCAUUAAAUUAAACACUUAAUUCUUUUUGUCUUUUUUUAUUUUUAUAAUUCAAUAACAUAAAUAAAAAAACAAACACACACACACACAUCUCUUUUUAUUAUGUCUUUUUUUUAUACACCCACAUUUACAUAUUACAAAAUAGCAAAAAUUCAAAAUUUACCCAAACAAGGCCUUAAUAGUUUCAAAAUUACAGAAAAGACCCCCCCAAAACACAGAAUUGCAGGAAAGCCUUCUGGGGUCACUUUGACAAGUGGCGGCGCGUGGACCUCACGCACCACCGUCACUGGCGGCGUGUGGAUUCACUUGUCGCUGCCGAUGAAGACCAGCAACCUAGUGGAUCAGGAUCGUCUCCUUCUUCUCUUCCCGUCCGUACCGGCAGUGCAUCUCCUAGUCACCUGCACAAGAAGCAAAAACACACAAACACAACAAAUGGCAGUUGAUUUUAAUCUUUUUUUUCUUUGCAGAUCUGUUCUCGGGUCUGUUUUUUAUCUGCUUUGCUGCAGAUUGGUUUACUUGUUCGUCAUCUUCUCCUUUGUCCCAUGUACUGGCGCCGAGGAGUGCUGGAGGAAGAAGGAUUGGAAGUCAGAUCGUCCGGGGAGAGAGGAGCUGUGGUUGAUUCGCCAUAUCUGGCGAGAAGAAAGGAAAUCUGAUCUGGGAGGGGCUGUGCAAGGGCACUGGCCGAGUGAGAGUUGAGGGAAAAAUGGCGUUCGUCUUCAACAGGGAAGCGAAAGAAGAAGAUGGGGAUCCGGUGGAUUUUUUAGGGCCAGCAAAAUCAAGAAAAGGGGCGGCCAGUUUUGAAAGGGAGCGGGUUCGAUUCUUUGGCAAAGAGGGAGUAUUGUUUUUUUUACCCGGGGGGUGAGCAGGGCUUAAGGUGAACCGGCUGAGGGAGAAGAGAAAAAAAAAUCAACAGGGGAAGGGUCUAGGGGAGCUGGCAGCUGUGAUCAGAGAAUAAGGAAAAACUUUCCCAAAAGGGGGGGGUCUCCCUGGCGGCUGCUUUCAGAGGGAAGAAGAAAAUUUAGUUUUUUAGGGUUCUCUCUUUCCUCCUAAAAUUACAAAAUGAACCCCCUUAACUUUGAGUUAAAAGGUGCUAUUUAUAGGCAAAAUAUUUUUUCGGGCUUCAAAAUUGGUCCCUCAAUUUUUAUGUUCAAGUCACUUGGUAAAAAUUAAAUUUGGUCUUAAAAUUUCAAUCUUUUCAAUUCAGUCCAAAUUAAGCUCCCAAACUUAAUUUUUCACCAAUUAAGCCCCCAAAUUAAUUUGACCCAUUUAAAGUAUAAUUAAGUCCUUACACUUAAUUAAAUCCUUCAAUUGGACCUAAAUUAAUUCUUAAACAUAAUUAAAAUUUAAUUUGGCCCAUGAUUAAAUCAAAUUGGCCCAUUAAAAAUUUAAUUAUGUCAUUUGACUUAAUUUUUAUGCAAAUUCAUCCAAUAAUCAUUUAAUUUGACCUUCGAAUAUGCAUUUAAUUUGACCUUUGAUUUUUGCCUAUUUUUGCAGUCCUUUUUUAUCAGCUUUCUCCACAUUGCCAGCUUUUAUUUUAUUUUUUUGAUUUUUGAUUUUGAAAAAAAGUGAAUUUUGGGGAAUAACCCAAAAUUGGGUUAUGACAAACAUGAUCAUAUUAAUUAUCUUAUUUACAUAACACCAAACUUUUAAAUAUUGUUAGGAAUUCAUGAUGUUAACAACAAAUCAAGUUCCUUUCAUAGCCCAGGUGUAGGUAAUACCAUACGGUUGCGCUAUGAGAGUGCCAAGCAUUUGUUGUACCAACUAUUAUACAACACAAAUCUAGAUUAACCAUUUAACAAGCAAGGUAUUAAGAAUUAGGAAGAUAAAAAGAUAAGAUAUGUUAAUAUUAAACAUUAAGGUCCAUGUUGAGUUUACACCAUACUUAUUCUUACACCAUUAGGGUAACCUUUUCACCUUGACAUAAUAAACUUAGCUAAAAAUAAUGAAGAAGAGAAACAUAAAUAAACAAAACAAGAACAUAAAGAAAAUACAAGUUAACUAAGUAAAGGAAAGGAAAUGAAAAGCAUAAACAAGAUAUUAAUGAAAGCAAAACUUAAAAAUUACAAAAAAAAUAUAAAGAGAGAAAUAAAGAGCAUGAACUUGAUCUGAACAACCAAGCCCCCAAAUGCAUGGCAAAUGCCUCCUUUUAUAGGCCAAAAUUCAGAAUUAUUGAUUUGAUGACUAAUUGUUGAGUGGGUGACCAACUUUUGACUUGGUCAAAAUGCUUAUCUUCUCGUCUGAAUAAAACAAAAAUGGUACCAUCCGAACUGGGUCCACUGGAAAACAUGAAAGUUGUAGGAAAUUGACUGCACUUUCCAUGAAAAAAAAAAUGGAGGUCAUUUGGACUUCUAUAACUCUAGAUAUGGGCCAAACACUGAACAAUGUUCGGGCUGAAGGACAGAUUCAGACUUCUCCGUUGUUGCUAUAAUUUGGACUUGCAAACGGCCUUCUUAGAUCUUGAUGAAAACAUGAAAGUUGUAGGCCUAUGUCUUACCAAAUCUUUGUAACAAUAUGAGGUCAUUUGGACAUCUAGAACUCGAGAUAUGACCCAAUUACCGAAUAGUGUUCCAGUUUGGACUGCACCAACAUCUCUUUUCUAAGUUUCACCCUCUCUUUAUCUUCACAAAUUUCAGUAGUUGAAUUCAUCAAUCAAUCCUUUGAUUUAUGUGAUAGGCCUGCAUUUAAGAUGAACAUUUACCAUAUAUUAAGGCAUUUUAUAGUAUUAGACUUGUUAUUAUAAAACAUGCUUUAGUUAAGGAGUUAUUGAUACUUUAAGUGCAAAAUGAUGAUAUAAAACCUUGAUAAAUAUGCACUUUUAAGUACUAAUCACACCCCCAACCAGCUUAUUACUAGUCCCUAGUAAUCAAAGCGUUAAAAUAGAAAAAACAAUUUGCAAAUUCCAUAAAUCAAGGCAUUCAUCAUUCAACUUACUUUAAUCUAUCCAGAUAAAAAACUCUCAUUAAAUUCAUAUAUCUGCUCAAUACCUCUUAAACAAGAUAUUACUAAACCUUUUUUUGUGCUCAAAAUAUCAACAUAUAGUUAUGGGGCUUUACUUGGAAGAAAAACAAAUUUUGUUCUAAUGUUUAAGGUUAACUUCCUUAGUUGGGAUUAUUUUUUCUUUAUAUUUAUUAUUUAUAUACACAUACAACUUGAAACACAAUGUAUCUUUAACCCAUGUAACGAGUUUUAGGCUAAUGACUCCCAGACCAGUUGGUCUUAGGCAUUAGGUGUUGAGACACCCCUACGAGCUUAGCAACUCGGGUUGCAGAUACUGAUACGUAGAUAGUGCAAUGUUUGAUUCCCUUAAGCUUUUCUCCUCAACCCAUGUAACAAGCGUUGGGCCAAUAGCUCCCAAGUCAGUUGACUUUAGGGUAUUAAGUGUUAAAACACCCCUUCGGGCUUAAUUGCUUAGGUUAGGGAGGCUACGAAACCAAACUUAUCUACCUUUUUAUUAUCAUUUGUUUUUGUUUUUUUUUUUUGCAAAUUAUGUACUAUCCCUUUCCCUUAGUUGUUACCUUUAACAAAAGAACAUAAAUAAUAUAAUAAUCUAAUGUGCAACCCACAAUCAUAUGUUAAAGUGUGUGUGUGAAAAUGAGGAUUUAAGAAUACUUGUUAAAUGAGCAUAUGAGCAGAAUCAAGUGCUACCAAUACGAGAGUUUGUAAACCUGAAUAUUUCAAGAAGUAUUCUGAUAGACCUUGUUAAGAAUGUUUACUAAGAUGCGUCUCAAGAGUCACUUUAACAAAAGAACUCCUUUUACUCUGCCAUCCUAGUAACAACAGUUUUGCAAAUAGUUUAUGAAAUAGAAAACACUUUUUUUUUUUUAAUAUCAACUACUACCCUUUCCCCCCAACCAAAAUGAGACAUUGUCCUCAAUGUCUUAAGGUAGAAAGAUAGAGUAUAGAAGACAUCACCUGAAAUAGCAAACACUAACAAACCUGAAACACACUUAAACAAAUAUAAGAAACAACAAAACACAAUAAUAAAACCAAAAGACGCAAAUAUUUAUAGAUGAGAAAUUGAAAAUGCAAUCACACCACCUAUAUGUAGGCCAGUCGUAGUCUCACUCUCUCUCUCUCUCUCUCUCUUUAUUAUUUAUUUAUUUAUUUUGAAAAAGCAUGUGUAUGUACAGGUAGUUGUGAUUGUGGCUCACAUCUUUCUUGGUUUUACGUCCAAGAACGGCUUAAACGCCCUCUAUGGGUCGGGGAUAGGCUUCCCAUCCAGUUUUCUUAAAAACUGGCAAACAGGUCUUUUUUAGUCAGAUUCCCAAGACUAAGUCGAGCAUGUUCUUUAUGGAAUUGUGGCCAUAAAUCAUAAAUUGCAUGAUGCACAUCUCCACUAGGGUGCGUCUCAAGAGUCAAUAGAAGAUUAUCUAAAGACCCCUUACUCAGGCCAUCCUUAAUGAAUUGUAUUUUAUCUUCACGGUUUACAGAUACCAUUCCUAAAGAACGACAUGUCGCAUUACAAGUCCAUCUGGCACAUCUGUGACAGACUUUCAGUCGUUUUGCACGACGUUUCUUUGCAAAAGUGCUUUUACCUGUUCCAGGCAUGUGUGAAAUGAAAGAAUUGGAGGACUCACCUGAUAAUCAGACCUUUGCUUCAAUCAGCCAACGAAUAUCUUCAGGAAUUCCAUGGUUCAUUAACAACCUCAAUCUUGCACAUCUAGCACGGUAAAUUUUUGUAAUCGCAUUCUAAGGCAGAGCGGGAAAAUACUUUUUCAAUUUUUCAAGAGUGGUGUCCAUUUUCAAAUGAGAAUUGGGAGAGAUUCAAAGAAAGAGAAAGAGCAAAGAAUUGCACAAAUAUAUACACAGAUAUCAGUUAUCAUGGGAAACUGAAAGAACCGACUUAAGAGUCACGGAGUACCGUUAUCCGCCAUUUGACCGGGGUGAGAGAAACUAGCAAAACAAAAGUCAAAAAAAAAACACAAAAAAAUGUGAGAAAAAAAAAUAAUCAACCUUUAUAUACAAGAUCAUUCAAACCAAUGGAUUCAUUUUCACUAAAACUCAUCAAAGUAAGCUUUCAACCGAUGCCCAUUUUCCUUCAAAACAUUGUCAUUCUUUGAAUUCUCAAUAUCAAGGGUCCCAUAUGGAUAUACAUGUUUCAAAAUAAAUGCACCGCUCCAUGUUGAUCUUAUUUUUUCAGGAAAUAAAUGGAGUCGAGAAUUAUAAAGCAAAACUUUUUGACCAGUAUCAACUUUUUGACAAUUUUCACAAGUUUUGCAGAAUGCAUGCGUGUCCUUGAACAUGGUGGGCCAAUAAAAUCCUUUUUGUAAGAUUUUUGCAGUCGUCUUUCUUGAUGAGAAUUGACUCCCACAUGCUUCAGAAUGACAAAGUUUAAUGACACUACUUACCUCAUUGUCAGGAAUACAUCUUUGAAAUUUUUGAUCAGGACAAUAUUUAAAUAAGUUAGGGUCAUCCCAAUAAAAGUUCUUCACUUCAUUCAAAAACUUUCCUUUGUGUUCAGUACUCCAGUGAGCUGGAAAAUCUCCUGAAGCAAGAAAAUUGAUAUUUUUAGCAAACCAAGGCAUUGAACUAAGAGAAAGUAAGGAUUCGUCAAGAGAGUAAUCAUCGAUUGGUGGGAUGUCAGAUGUCAAAUCUAUUGUCACUCUUGACAAAAGAUCGGCAUCAACAUUUUUUAUGCCUUUUUCAUCCAUGAUUUCUUCCCGAAAAUAAAUCAUUUAAAAAUCUUCAGAUUCAUCCAACUCAAUUUUACUCAAAGUAGAUUCAAGUUGAUCAUGAACUAAUUCUUCAAUAUGAUCUACUUCUUGUAAAUCAUUAUCAUCUCCAGGCUGCUUGCAAACGUUGAAAAUAUUCAUCUCUAAUGUCAUGUUUCCAAAAGAUAACUUCAUGAGUCCAUUCCUACAAUUAAUCAAUGCAUUAGAAGUUGCAAGAAACGGACGUCCUAAAAUAAUAGGAAAUGAAUUACAUGCUUCAACAGGUUGCGUGUCCAAGACAAUAAAAUCCACAGGAUAAAUGAAUUUAUCGACUUGUACUAACACAUCUUCAAUUAUUCCUCUAGGCACUUUUACAGAUUUAUCGACAAGUAAAAGAGUUACAGAAGUUGGUUUUAACUCACCUAGAUUGAGACUUUGAAAAAUUGAAUAUGGAAGUAAAUUCACACUAGCUCCAAGAUCAAGUAAAGCUCUUUCAAUUUUAUGUUCUCCAAUAAAGCAAGAAAUUGUAGGACAACCAGGGUCUUUAUAUUUCAAAGCAUUAUUGUUCUGAAGAAUGGCACUUACUUGUUCGGCUAAAAAGGCUUUCUUUUUCACAUUCAGUUUUCUCUUCACAGUGCAUAGAUCUUUCAAAAAUUUAGCAUAGGAAGGUACCUGUUUAAUAGCAUCCAACAAAGGUAUAUUGAUCCUUACCUGUUUGAAAAUUUCAAGAUUUCAGAAUUGUGAUUGACUUUCCUUUGUUUGGUCAUGGCAUGAGGAAAUGGAAGUGCUGGCGGAGAAUCAGUCUUUUCUUCACAAUGUUCAGAUUCAACCCCUUCCUUACCCUCAGAGAUUGACUCAUCAUCUUUCUCACAAGGUUCAAGAGUGGGUUUUUCAAUAACCUUACCACUGCGAAGAGUGAUGACUGAUUUGACUUGAUCCAUGUGUUGGCUUCCAGAACUACUUGCAUUUGCAUUGUAUUGCCCCUUUGGAUUUUGUUGUGGUUGAGAUGGAAACUUACCUUUCUCUUGAAAACUGAGAGCAGAUGUUAACUUUGCAAGAGUAUCUUUAAAAUCUGUCAUGCUUUGAGCAAGUUGAGUGUUGAUUGUCUCUUGCUUUUCAAUGAAUGCAUGCAAUGUUUCCUCAAGAUUUCUUCUAGGAGGUGGAGCAUAAGGAGGUGCAUAUCCAUGAGAAUUUUGGAAAUUAUGGUGUGCUUGAAACGGUGGCUGUGAAGUUUGUGCAUUAUUGUUAUCACUCUUCCAACUGAAAUUUGGGUGAUUUCUCCAACCAGGAUUGUAUGUUUGCGAGUAUGGGUUAUGAUUGGGCCUUUGGAAACUGUUUAAAGCAUGGGCUUGUUCAUGGAGGCAUUCCUUGAAAGAAGGCAAAGUUGGACAUCAUUGGUUGCAUGUUCAUUUGUUUCACAGAUUUGACACACAAUGUCUUGAACAGAUUUUAAUUGACCACUCUUUUUCAAUUCUAGUGCCUCGACUUUUCUAGCUAAAGAUGCAAACUUGGCUUGGAGGUCAUGAUCUUCCCUAAGGUUAUACAUACCUCCACUAGAUGUAUGAGGUUGGUUUUACUUGGUGCCUCAUAAGUACCUGUAGUGUCCCAAUUUUAUGCAUUUUCAGCUAGCAAGUCUAGGUACUCCAUUGCUUCAUUAGGGUCUUUAUCUUCAAAGUUCCAUUGCACAUCAAUUCAACCAUUUGCCUAUCUUUAGGUGUUAACCCUUCAUAAAAUUGUGAAACCAAUCUCCAUGUUUCAAAACCAUGAUGAGGGCAAGUAUUAAGCAAGUCUCGAUACCUAUCCCAACAUUGGUAAAAUGUUUCACCUGGUUUUUGAGUGAAAGUGGUGAUUUGUCUUUUGAAAGAGUUGGUUCUGUGAGAUGGAAAAAACUUCUUUAAAAAUUGUUGUUGCAUUUCAUCCCAAGCACGAAUGGAUCCUGACCUAAGAUUUUGUAGCCAUGUUUUAGCUUUAUCUUUUAAUGAAAAAGGAAAAAGCUUUAAUCUAAUGGUAUUCAUGCUACAAUUUAAGUCAUUAUAGGUGUUACAAACUUCUUCAAAUUCUCUCAAAUGCAAGUAUGGAUUUUCUAGAUCUAAGCCAUGAAAAGAAGGUAAAAGUUGAAUAAUGUCUGGCUUAAAAUUAAAAUGGAUGCAUCAGGAGGGAAAACUAUGCAUGAGGGUGCACUUGUUCUUGUGGGAUUCAUGUGGUCUCUAAGUGUCCUAACACGGUUAUUCUCAUUAUUCUCAUUAUGAAGUGACUGGUUAUCUUCUUCGGCCAUAUUUUCUGAAAAUGAUGAGGAUACCCUACAAAGUCUACCACUUAAUGUACGUGACCAAACACUCAUGCACGUGUAGAAAGAGAAUAAAAGGAAGAAGAAAACAAAAGAAAAAGAAACAAAACAAAAGAAACAAAGUUAGAUACAAGAAAAGUGAAAAGAGAAAACAAAAUAAAUACUAUAAUUUGUACAAGAAUUUACCUCCCCGGCAACGGCGCCAAAAACUUGACACGACCAAAAGAUUGAUGUCUUCUCCCAAGUGCAGGAGUGUCGAAGUAAUAAAUAACCCGGCAAGACCGGGGUCGAACCACAGAGAGGUUAAUCGUAUAAAUUAUAAAUAACAAGACAACAACAACAACAAUAAUAAUAGCAAUAAUAGUAAUAGUAAUAAUAAUAAUAAUAAUACUCAGUACGUGGCGUUGUUAUACUUGAGAAUGAUCUAAAAGAUCGGGUCACAGGUUUUCAGCCUAUAUAUUGAGUUUAUGAAAAGAUCAAAGAGAUAUAUUAUAUAAUAUAAACAGAAUGUAAAUAAUAAUAAUAAUAAUAAUAAUAAUACUAAUAAUAUUAAUAGUAAUAAUAAUAGUAAUAGUAAUAGUAAUAGUAGUAGUAGUAGUAGUAGUAGUAGUAGUAGUAGUAGUAAUAAUAAAAAGAAGAGGAGGAAGAAAUUAAUGAAAACUUUGAGAUGGAAGAUUAAUGUAAGGAUUAGACAAUGAUAAAAACAAAUGUCAAGGUUAGAGGAUCCACUAAUGGUAUUUCAAACAAGUAUAGUAUAAACUCUUAUUACUCAAUUUGGAAACCACACACGAAGGAGAUUCCAAUCGGAUGAUUUGUCAUUAAUAGCUCAUUAUAAAUUAUUAACAUGAUCAUAUUAAUUAUCUUAUUUACAUAACACCAAACUUUUAAAUAUUAUCAGGAAUUCAUGAUGUUAACAACAAAUCAAGUUCUUUUCAUAGCUCAGGUGUAGGUAAUACCAUAUGGUUGGGCUAUAAGAGUGCCAAGCAUUUGUUGUACCAAGUAUUAUACAACACAAAUCUAGAUUAACCAUUUAACAAGCAAGGUAUUAAGAAUUAGUAAGAUAAAAAGAUAAGACAUGUUAAUAUUAAACAUUAAGGUCCAUGUUGAGUUUACACCAUACUUAUUCUUACACCAUUAGUGUAACCUUUUCACCUUGACAUAAUAAACUUAGCUAAACAUAAUGAAGAAGAGAAACAUAAAUAAACAAAACAAGAACAUAAAGAAAAUACAAGUUAACUAAGGAAAGGAAAGGAAAUGAAAAGCAUAAACAAGAUAUUAAUGAAAGCAAAACUUAAAAUUACAAAAAAUAUAAAGAGAGAAAUAAAGAGCAUGAACUUGAUCUGAACAACCAAGCCCCAAAUGCAUGGCAAAUGCCUCCUUUUAUAGGCCAAAAUUCGGAAUUAUUGAUUUGAUGACUAAUUGUUGAGUGGGUGGCCAACUUUUGACUUGGUGAAAAUCCUUAUCUUCUUGUCUGAAUAAAACAAAAAUGCUAGCAUCAAACUGGGUCCACUGAAAACAUGAAAGUUUAGGAAAUUGACUCAGCUUUCCAGAAAAAAAAAUGAGGUCAUUUGGACUUCUAUAACUCUAGAUAUGGGCCAAACACUGAACACUGUUCGGGCUGUAGGACAGAUUCGGACUUCUCCGUUGUUGCUAUAAUUUGGACUUGCAAACGAGCUUCUUAGAUCUUGAUGAAAACAUGAAAGUUGUAGGCCUAUGUCUUACCAAUUUUGUGUAAACAUUUGAGGUCAUUUGGACAUCUAGAACUCGAGAUAUGACCCAAUUACCAAACAGUGUUCCAGUUUGGACUGCACGAACAUCUCUUUUCUAAGUUUCACCCUCUCUUUAUCUUCACAAAUUUCAGUAGUUGAACUCAUCAAUCAAUCCUUUGAUUUAUGUGAUAGGCCUGCAUUUAAGAUGAACAUUUACCAUAUAUUAGGGCAUUUUAUAGUAUUAGACUUAUUAUUAUAAAACAUGCUUUAGUUAAGGAGUUAUUGAUACUUUAAGUGCAAAAUGAUGAUAUAAACCUUUGAUAAACAUGCACUUUUAAGUACUAAUCAUAUAACCAUAGGGAAGAUCAUGACCUCCAAUCCAAGUUUGCAUCUUUAGCUAGAAAAGUUGAGGCACUAGAAUUGAAAAGGAGUAGUCAAUUAAAAUCUGUUCAAGACAUUGUGUGUCAAAUCUGUGAAUCAAAUGAACAUGCAACCAAUGAGUGUCCAACUUUGCCUUCUUUCAAGGAAUGCUUCCAUGAACAAGCCCAUGCUUUAAACAGUUUCCAAAGGCCUAAUCAUAACUCAUACUCGCAAACAUACAACCCUGGUUGGAGAAAUCACCCAAAUUUUAGUUGGAAGAGUGGAAUAGUCUUGAUAAUUUCAAAGGAAAUAAUGCUGGAAUUUUUUAUUAUAACUUUUCUUUAACCUGAGCUUAUAGGUAAAUGGAAAAUUGAAAUAACAAGUUCGAAAGGAAUUAUUUUAGAGAAACUGAAUAAAAAAGAACGAUGCUGAAUUGAUAAAUCCUAAUCUAGAUUUCUGAGCAGUUUCGAGGUAGCCCGGGCCUCCUGGGUGAAUGAGAUUUACUUCAAAGUAAUUUCUUGCCUCUUGCUACGCCUCCCUUCCCCCUUUUAUUGUGGCUUUCGUACCUACAUGUGGGUUGUGCAUGUAUUAUAGAAAAUAGUCUCGUUACUUUUUAGAUAAUUAAAGAGAUUUGAAAGUUUAAUGGUUAUUUAAAGGUUAAAUUAAACAAAUUCAAGAUCAAUGUUCAAAAUAAAAAAGGUGUUGAAAUCCAAGGCUAAAAUUGAAGUUUAUCAAGGGCAAAAUUACACAAAAUUUAAAGCUCAAAGCCGAUCAAGGGUGUAAUUAAGAGAAAUCACAAAUCAAAAGACUAAAUUGAACUUUACCAAAAUGGCGCUGUUUUGGUUACUAUUCAUUUUCUUCUUAUUUUUUUCCUUGAAAAGACUGCUCAUGAAUUACUUUUCAAGGACAUUCAAUGUAUGCUUCAUUUCUCUACCAAAUUUGACAAAACUUACACGAAAAUGAUCGUCUAACAUCUAAUUACACCUCGGUGUGGUACUUUAUGGCCAAUUGACACCAUAACUGUCGUGGUAACAGCCCAAAGAGGCCUAUUUAGGUAGCCUUCAACUGUCAAAUUUAAUAGUUCAUGAUGCCAACUUUGAGCCAAUGGUUGAUAUCCUUCAGGGUUGAAUCAAGGGCCAAGUUUGACAACACAGGAACCCAACCACUACCUCAGCAUUGUCUUGUGCCACUAGCAAUUCCACCAUCCUCUACAAGACCGGUGACGACAGUCGUGACCCAUCUACUAGGUGAGCUCCGUCUUCUCUUCCCCCUCUCAUAUGCAUGCAGGAUGUGAAAUAAUUCACGUUCUGCAACUGCUGGCUUCUAACAGUAGAUGCAAAUUAGGUUGGACUCGUUUUGGCCUUGCCUAGAUGGUUGAGACGGAUCUAACCCACCCCUAAAAGGAGGAGGAGGAGGAGGAGGGUCUGCUGGGCCGCUAAUUGGCUAACUCGAAUGAGUUGGGCUGGACCAGGUCAAGCUCAAUUUAUAUUUCACAUAAUAAUAAUAAUAAUAAUAAUAAUAAUAAAUCCCAAAAAAUUUCAAGGGUCAUUUCAAAAUAUUUAUGAUUUUACGCAAGUUUUUUCAAUAAUUUUGUAUAAUAUUAGGUUGUAUAUUAUUAUAAGAUACAAAUCUGAUAUUAAAAUAUCAGGUAUUCUUCAAAACAUUUCUUUAAAAAUUUAAAAAAAUCUCAAUUUUUUUAAAAUUAAUUUCAUCUAAAAAAAUAAAAAAUAUUUUAUUUUCAUGCAUACGACCGAAUCCUAAAAGUUUUCCAAGCAUAUUUUCAUAAAAAAAAAUACAUCUUUCUCAUGUUUUAAAAUAUAAAAUGGAUAUCAUGACUAGCUUAUGAUUUUCUCUUAGGGUUUAGCCAAAGCACUAAAAAUCCUUCACUAAUCAUUUUGUUCAUUUUAUAUUUAAAGUGUUAGGAUUUAAUUGUAGACUUUAAUAUUUGGAGGUAUAAAACUACAUUGUAAAGUAUAUACCUUUAGGUAUUAAAGAUACAUAGUGCAAAAUAAAUUUGAUGCUAAAAUUUAGACUUUAAAAAGAUUAAGAUUUAAUUUGAUAAGAUAGAGACUUUCUUAUGAAGAGAAAUCUACUUUGAACGUUAGACAAGACCAACAAAUAGAAAUACAAAAUAGAAAAACAAUCAAUUAUUACAAUUAUAAGUUUAUAUAAAAAUAUUCCUAAUUUAUUAAAUUUAUAAGUUUACUAAAAGUAAAAGAAAAGCAUACUAAAAGGAAGAUAACAGUUUGAAUACAUAAUAAAAGAUAAAACUAAAGUCUACCUAGCUAUAACAAAAGAAUACAAACAAACAAAUUGUGUUUGUGUGUGUGUAAAGGUUAGUUAUCAAUUCAAAUAUACAAACAAAUUGAGUAAUACGCAACUAAUAUUAAUAUUAGGGAAUCGCAACAAUUCCCAUACACCAUCAUUAAAACACAAUUCUUUUUAUUUUAUUUUGGCCUCUUCUUGACUAUACUAUCUAUUUCCUUUACUCUUCAUUUGUAAUUCUUUGCCAAAAAGCCCUUACUCUUACAUAUAAUUAUAAAUACUUCACACUAAUAACUUUAUAUCAUGUGGUAUAUUGGAUUAUCAAAGUUGUGGCCUUAUAAUGCAGUUAGCUUAGUUCUAUCUGAUGUCUUUGAUUUCCCUUCCUAGAAUAUUCUAAAAGGCAUAUGAUAUGUAGAUCCUCACUCGAAUGACCAACUCAUAAACACCCGACCCAUAAUCUCCACUCAUGUGGUCAACUUAUCAAUUAAUUUUAUAUUUCUUUGAUAUUUCUUUUUUUUUUAGAUGCAAACACAAUAACAAGAAAUUUAAAAGUAAUAUUGCUUUAAAUAAAAGUAAGGUGGAUUGCAUCCACUUGCUCCUUUCAAUGAUCUAGUUUCUUAUGUGGAGAAUACAACUACUAGUGCCUCUCUUUAUAAAAAGGAAGAUGCAAACAUCAGUUUAUAGAAUUUCAUUAUACCUUAAUUUAUACGCCUUUUAAAUACACUACAACAUUUAAUAGUUUUAUUGACGGUCCUAGUCCACAUUCUGUUGGUAAAAAAAAAAUACCGAUGGUUUUACAGACGGAAAAUACUGGCAAAAAAAAAAUCCCGCUGGAAAUAUUCUGUCGGUGAUCGUGGCAUAUGAAGUAAAUAUUUUUCAACUCUUAGUAAAAUGCCAACGGACAUUAUUUGUCUGUAUAGGUGUCAGUAAUUAUGGCGUAUGCGGUAAAUAUUUUUCAACUCUCUGUAAAAUACCAACAGAAUGUUUCCAUUUGCAGAGACGUCAAUGAUUGUGGCAUUUCCAGUAAAUAUUUUUCAAUUCUCUGUAAAAUACCGAUGGAGAAGGUCUAUUUGUAAAUCAAUCGGUGGUGUUUUAAAAACAAAAUUUUUAAAAAAUUAUUUAGAAUAAAUAAUAUAAAAUUAUAUAAAUUAAUAGUAAAAAAACCAAUUAUGCAAAUAAGAUUGUAUUAAACAUCAAAAAUAUAAAAAUAAAGUUUAAUAAUAUUUAUCUAAAUAUUCAUUACAAAAAAAUUAAACUAGAACAAUGGCGGAGCUGGAGGAGGAGGUGGUGGUGGAGGUUGGUCGUUCCCGGGACUAAACGACCAAAAAGAAGGCGCACAUGUAUCACCCAUGUGUGAUCUAAUGUCCAUGACCAUUUGACGGAGUUGGUCAUAAUUUGUCGAGAGUCACUCGUAUUUUUCUAUGAGAUGAGUCGUGUGUUGCUGCAAGGCAACAAACUCCUUAGAUUAGGUGCUCAAUACUGAUUGGAAGCUCCCAAUGGUUGAGACACUAUAGGCCGCCCGCAAGUUCUCGGCCGUAGUGUUGGAGAGACUGUACACCUAAUUUGUAUCGGUCCACUAGACAAUCACACCUCCAUCCAUAAAUCUGGAACGAAAUCCAGAUGGGUCGAAGGAUCGUCCCCAUAUCUCUCCCUCAAUUGGUUAUAUUAUUGGUCUCCUGAAAAUGAAAAAAGAAAUCAUCAUAUUCAAUUCAAGAAAAAUAAUAACUUAUAAAAUAAAAUGGUUGAACCAAGGUUGUCAACUCCAUUUCGGUAGGUGUUUCGUUUUUUCAAUUGGAAUGGAAUGUUUCGGUUUUCGAGUGUUUCGGAUUGUACUAUUUAUAUAUAUAUAUAUAUAUAUUGUUGUAACCUAAUUUUUGGACUUACCAAGAUUUUCUUGAAUAUUAUUUUAUUUCUAUUAUUAUUUAUAAAAAUCCAAAAAAAAAUCAAUUUCUUUUUCAAAAAUAAAAAAUAAAAAAUAAAAUAAAGGCUGACAAUGUGGAGAAAGGAAAUCGGGGAAUCAAGCUGCAAUUUUGGAGGAAGUUCAAGGCCUAUUGUACCUUAUUGUGCCCAAAAAUGAAGAAAAAAUGAAAUUCAAGGUCAAAUUAAAUGAUUAUCUGGAUGAAUUUGCAUAAAAUUAAAUUCAAUGACAUAAUUAAUUUUUUAAUGGGCCAAUUGAUUUAUCAUGGGCCGAAUUAAAUUUGAAUUAUGUUUAAGAAUUAAUUUGGGUCUAAUUGAAGGAAUUAAUUAAGUGCAAGGACUUAAUUAUACUUUAAAUGGGUCAAAUUAAUUUUAUUUGGGGCUUAAUUGGUGAAGAAUUAAGUUUGGGAGUUUAAUUUGGGCUUAAUUGAGAAAAUCCGAAUUUUAAAGGACCACAUUUAAUUUUUACCAAGUUAAUGAGGGGGUUAAUUGCAUUAAAUAAAAAGGUUUAGGGUCAAUUAGGGCUCAAUUGAAAGAGAGAGGACUGAAAUGAACUUUGACCAAAAAUCACUGUUCAUUAUCUUCUUUAUUUUUUCUGAAAAAGCUGGUCUGGUUGACUACUUUGCAGCUGCAUUUGAUCUACCUAAUGUCCACCGAAUUUAACAAAUCUUAUAUGAAACGGAUUCUAUGCAUUUUGUCUACUACCCCAUGUGAUCAGGUUGGGCCAAAUGACAAUAUAUUAGCACUGGUGGUAGCCUAAAGAGGCCUACUCAAUCAGCUUUUGCCUGCAGAUUUUGUUUUUUUUCUCUGAAAAAGCUGGUCUGGUUGACUACUUUGCAGCUGCAUUUGAUCUACCUAAUAUCCACUGAAUUUAACAAUUCUUAUAUGAAACGGAUCCUAUGCAUGUUUUCUACAACUUCAUGUGAUCAAGUUGGGCUAAAUGAUAAUAUAUUAGCACGGGUGACAGCCUAAAGAGGCCUACUCAAUCAGCUUUGGUCUGCAGAUUUUCAACUCAUGAUACCUACUUUGAGCCAAUGGUUGGGAUCCUUCCCAACUGAAUCAAGGGCUUAAAUUUUUCCUCAAUGUAGACAAGAUUGCCCUCUUCCACCGCCUAUAAAUAGAGGUGGAUUUCAUGGCCUGAAAAAGGAGGAAAUCAGGUCCAAACUCAGCCAAAAACCAGUUUUUCUUCCUGUUUCUGCACAUUUAUUUUUUUUCUAUCUCUCCACCUCUUCCACAGCUGCCUUCUCCGGCGACAAUACCAACACACCCGGCCUACACACCACCAAAAAUACAAGCUCCACCAUAGGAAGUCGGCACAACCACCAAGCAGCCACCGUGACUCCCUCUCUCUCUUCUGCAGACCUGUUUCAUCCUCCUUCUCUGCUACCGCAACUUCAACAGUAGCAGCAGAGGCAGCAACCACAUCUUAUAGGGGCUUUAAUCCUUUGAAACAGCAGCAGAGGUGGUGACUCUCUCGUCAUAGCGGCGACUUGAACAGCUCCAACCGUUAGCAACUCCAGCACCGACUACGGCAGCUCCUGUAACGUGAGCAGCAGCCACUCCUUGGAGCACCACCAACUCUUCUCCAGCCACAUCAUCACAGCAACCACGACUCCUUCAGCCAGGUGAGCCUCCAUUCCUUUCCUACUGUUCAUGCAGGACGUGAGAUAUAGAUGUGUGUGUGUGCAUGUGCGUGUGUGUCUUGUCAUGGAUGUAUUGAACUUGUAUUGGACUAAAAAGGGGGUCUGCAAAUUUAAUUUCUGCCGUCUUCAAUGCAUCUCUGUAAGUAAGUGAUCAUUAUUUGUGAUUUGAUAAAAAUCUUGUCUUCCUGAUCCGUUGCUUCUUGUAUAAUUGUUACUUAUAGCAGUUAGAUUAUUUGACUGGAUUGCAAAAUAUGUAAUGCCGUAAUUAACCAUAAAUUUGUUAAAUAAUACCAUGAUCCUUGUGUUAUAAUAUUAAAAAAAUAAAAAAUAUAUUUCCAGUCGUUUGCUGAACUGAUAAUCGAAGAGGAUCAGCUCGUAGCCGUAAGAAGCCCUUUUUGUAUAAUCGAGAUUUGAAUAAACAAUGGCACGAAAUUUAUAAUAAGGAGCCCUUUUUGUAUGAUCAAGACCUUCCAAACGCGGGAGUCAAACUUUGUUGCAGCAAGUUAGGUUUCCACGUCUGAUAAAUUCUAUUCCAUGUUUGCGUCCUUCUAGUUUAUGGACAUCAGGGGAUCUUUAUCUUCGAAUUCUCACAUUUUCGUCUAGGAUGCUAUUCUUGUUGUCAUAAUAACAUUUAUUUGCAUUUGCAUUUUUAAUUUUUAAUUUUUUUUUAUAUGUAUUGAUUGGUUAUCAAUAGAAUUCGAAAUUAAAUAAAAAUAAAAUAAAAUAUAAAACAAAAAUAAAUAUAAAAAAAAAACGAUGUGGGUCCAACACCCAUCCUAUCAUGUUAUCGUUCAUGGGUCCAAAGCUUAAAUCUCAAAUAUGGUUAUACCCAUUUCUCAACGAUAUAAAAAUAAUUUUUAUUGUAUAAACAAAUAUUGUUCGUCGACACGUCUUUUUUUCAGAAAAAGGACCGAUGUCAAAAGUAUAAAUACUAAAUAUGGAUUAUGUCCGUAAAAUUUUUUUAUUUUUUUUUUUAACUCAGACGUACUUCUCCUUUUUAGGGUUAAACGUCAAUAUUUUAGACAAGUUUCCUAUUUUUAGGAACUGAUGUCAUUUUUAACAAAUUUUAGGGACCGACGUUAACCAUAAAAAAAAUAAUAAAAUUGCAAAUAAGCUCAAAAUAUAAUAGCAUUUAAAUCAAAUAAAAAAACACACAAGUAAGGGUAACCUUUCUUUUGAAAGGAUGUUUUAAGGGUGGUGUCUACCUUCCCUUAAUCAUAACUAACCCAGUACCCGAAUCUCUAGGACCAGUGUCUAAUUUAGGAUUUCUAGUUCCCUCAAAUUACUAGAUGGCGACUCCAACAAAAUUUUCAUUUCUCCAAUAAAAAUAAAAAAUCUUUUUUGUUAAAUAAACAAAAAUGAUAUGGAGCCGUCGCCCGACGUCGUGUAUCGACACAUAUAAUUUAACAAAUAUAAUUCAAAUUCAAGAUAAAUUAAUUAUAAAUUAUGCAAUACAAACACAAUAUCAAACAAAUAUAAUUUUAAAAUUUAAAAUAUUCCAAAAUAGUCAAGAUUAAAUAGAAUUUUAACUUAAAAUAAUUCAACUUAAACAAAAUACCAAAAUAUUAUGAAAGUAAAAUAUUUUAACACAAAAGAAAAAUAAAUCAAACCCAAACUUUUCACUUCUAAAAGAUAAAGGGAAGCCACACAAGCCAUUCGCGUCAAAAUGCUACGACAAUUAAUUAUUGAACGAAGGUAGAGGGAGUUGGAAUCUGAGUGUCACAUUUAGAUUAAUACACGAACACCACCCAAUUAGUAUUUUUUUUAACCCUUAAUUAAACUAUAAGUUUUGUUUGUCACCCCUUUAAAUUCCCUUGAGUUUACUCAUUCAAUAUCGCGAGGAUGUCAUGCUUUUCUUAAGGAUAAUAUGAAACAUUCCAGUGCUUUUUAUAUUAUAAUCGUAUUGCACAAUAUAUUUUUAUUGUGAUAUUAAUGGAGAAUGAUUUUUUGAUAUCUUAACAUUUUAUAAAAAUGAUGUGCAACUCAUGUUUUAUUCAACCAAAGAAAUGGAAGGAAUGUAAUAGAUAUUGGUGUCAAUGAAGGUUUGUUAGGAGAUGGGAGUUCAAUGAAGAUGAAUUUGUCCUUUUACCAUGCCAAAAAAAUAGAUUAGGGUCCAUAAAUUUAUUAUUAUUGUUGUUUUUUUAUUAUUAUUUUUAGAUUGAUUAAAGAUUGUUUUGUAGUUGAAAAUGGAGUUAUUAAUAUUUAUAUGGUAUUUUUACGAUUUGUUUUGGUUAAAAUAAAUUGAAGUUUGAGUUUGAUUCAAAGGCUUUUCAAGCCCGAAACGAAACAUGUGAAAUGAAACUAGAACAUUCCAGCUGAAAUUUAUCUCGAAAAUCCAGAACAGACCGAGAUUUAAAAUGAGAUGAAAAUUGUUUUAUUUUACUCUGUUUUUUGAAUUGGUAUGAAAUGUUUCGAUCAUUUGGGACAAAACAAAACAGAAUUGACAACCUUGGGUUGAACGAACAUACCACGAAGUAUUAAGCGUGGUUGUCAAUGAACUGUUGCACCUUGUUUUGGCAGUCUUCACUCCGCACGUGCGUCUCUACAAACAACUUCAUUGGGCUCGGCUUACGUCUAAGAGACAUAGCCCAUAAGAAAAAAAAUUAAUUAAGUAACAACAAAUUAAAAAACGAUAUAUUUCAUUUAAAUUAAUCUUACCAUCCAUUUCGCAUGUGCAGUAAACAGAACGGAGUCGCCCAUUUACAUGGUCACCGAACCAUGAAUUUGCCACUAUAUAGUCCGUUUCUUAUUCCCAUUACCUUAUAUAUUAAUUUCCUUGUUUUACAAUAAUACACAAUACCAUAUUAGAUUUCUUUACAUCAAAGUUUACCGUAAACUUGACUUAUAACCCUUACAUUGACAUUAUUACGCAACAACAUUUACAAGCAUCAUUUUUCUUUUAGUUAAAGUAUUAUUUAUUUUAUUUGACUCAUUCCCAAUCUUUAAACUUAGUCAAAUCUUUAAUUUUAUUUAAUAUGCUAAUAUUUUCCACAUUGCAUUGCAUAUACAACUUUUCAAAAUUCACAACUUACCACUUGAUUUCCAUAACUACCUUAAAAUUUCUAAACACACAAAGUCAACACAAUAUAUUAUAAUGAGUAUUCAUGCACUCAAUAAUUUUUAUCAAUAUCAAUUUUAAUUCUUGUUUUUUUAAUUUUGUUUUUACACUAAUUAGAAAUUAAAUUAUACAAAAUUUUCGUUCCAUUUAAUAAAGAAAAAUUAUAACACAACAUAAACAAGGGAUAAUUGCAUUAACAGUACACCAAUUUUACACCUUUUUAUCAAUCAAAUGCAUGAAUUUAAUUUAAUUUAAAUUUUUUUUAAAUACACCAACUCAAUUAAGAAUUCUAAUCAAGCACUUUCAUCCAAACUCAGUUAGUUACUCCUUUUUUCUUUUUUUCUUUUUUGUUUACGUGUACUUUGGCAUUUAUUAAAAAACAUUGCAACAUUGAUAUACCAACUUUCAGUUUUCAUCAGUCAAGUAAAUAAACUUUUUUUUUUUCAUUUUAGUACACCAUUUUUCAAAAAUCUCAUACAAAAACAAGCUGAUUCCUUCUUUAAAUCUAAAUUUGAUUAAAAAUAUUCAAAAUAUCCAUCCCCAUAAAUCGGGAGUAAUAACCACUGGCCAGCUGGAAAGGUGCCUUGGGCUCUGAAAUCUCACAACCACGGAGAUAGCUUUCAGAGACCGUUUACAUAUAUAGAAUUAUAAAUCCAUAAGCAUACCAAGAUGGAUGGUAAGCAAUAAAACGUUGUGUAGGCGUCUAAAUCUUGAUUACAAAUGAAGCUCCAAGCAUGUCUUUGGCUUUAUUCAAAUUAAAGACGAGGUUUCACUGAGGUUUAAACUUAUGGACUCGGGAUUGAUGGGGUAGAGAUCAUGGGCAGAUGUAGAGGAAUUUCCAGUCCACGAUUUAUCAGAUCGAGGAAAGAGGUCUUGUGUGCUGUUUAAACUCUGGUCCAUGACCUGCUGAUAGUGGCCUUUGAGAUGUUUGGAGUGUAAAAUCAUCACCAUAAAUGCUAGGAUCUGAGGUCACCUCCUGGAUGCUGGUCUGUCCUUCAAGCAUGCUCACCACUUCUGACAUUGCAGGCCUUAGAGAUGGAGACGCAUUGGUGCAUAAGAGAGCCAACUUGAUCAUCCUCUCAGCCUCUUCCUUGUUGAAUUCAGACUGCAGCUUUGGGUCCACUAUCUCCAUUAAAUUUUCCUUUUUUUGCAAUACAUGAGCCUGUGACGACAAUUUCAAAGACAAAUAAGAAGGAAGCUAUGAUAUUUUACCAAAUGUACCAUGUUUUGCAUUGAGAACUGAUGCCUCACGCGUCAUUAAUUCAGGAUAGCAACAGAAACAGACUGACGAUGAUUUACCCAGUCAAGAAGACAAACAUUUUCUUUCUCUGGCCUGUAACUUGAGUUGCUCUUUCCACUGACAAUUUCUAAGGCCACAACGCCAAAACUAUAAACAUCUGCUUUAUCUGUUAGAUAGCCCCACAGUGCAUAUUCUGGAGCCAUAUAUCCUCUGAAAUAUAUAUAUAAUUUAAAAUGCAGAAUUAGUGCCCUUCAGAGACAUGAGGAGUAUUACUAUCAAUAAACUUCAGGAAUUAAAUUAGUCUCAAUACAACUUACAUAGUUCCAGCAACUCGAGUGCUAAUAUGAGUGUUCUCCUCUUCAUUGAGCUUAGCUAGUCCGAAGUCUGAUAUCUUGGCAUUUAGAUCUUUGUCCAGUAAUACAUUUGUACCUUUGAUGUCCCUGUGAACGAUCCUGAUUGCAGAUCCUUCAUGGAGAAAUGCUAAACCUCUGGCUAUUCCAACACAUAUCUUAUACCUUGUUGGCCAAUCCAGCAUCAGAGCACUUGUUUCGGAACCUGCUCCGAAUAGGAUUGUUGAUAAGAUCAUUUCAUGUUUGUUAGCUGAUGCAGUGUUAUAAAAAAUAUAUUUUACUGGAAAUUUAUCAACAAAUGCUACUAUGGUUACCAAAAAGUGCUCGAGAGAGGGAGUUGUUUUCCAUGUACUCGUACACCAGAAGCAACUGGUCUCCUUCAAUACAGCAUCCAUAAAGCCUUACAAGAUUGGGAUGCUGUAAACCAGAUAUCAUGCCUAUUUCGUUCACAAAUUCACGGUUUCCUUGCCUGGAUUUUGGAGAUAGCUGCUUAACAGCAAUAAUAGUACCAUCUGCUAAUUCACCCUGCAUUGGAAGUCAAUCACGCAUCUAAAUGCUAUAGUGUUUUUGGGGAGGAUUCACCCAUCCAUGAUUCCAAUAAUAAAAUUGUGAUAAUAUGAAAAAUUCAUUAGAUGACAAACCUUGUAUACGGAUCCAAAACCACCCUCUCCAAUCUUGUUUUCUGAAUUGAAAUUGUCAGUGGCCGCUUUUAGCUGCCUCAAGGUGAAGGAACCAGUUUUCAAAUCCAGCCCUUUAAGCUCUGCACGCAGCAGUUGGUAUGGGAGGAUGACAGUCAGGAGACAUAUCGUGAAAUAAUAGAAAUGCUUGAACAUCAUAUAUCCAUGCACUACGCGCAUUCUCUAGUGUGAUUCGCCAUUAUUUAGAAAAUUAAGAGAAGACUCCGUUUGCGGUACAAUACCUCGUUCUUUUGUGUUUUUGUCUCCAUUGCAGAGCUUCCAAUAAAUGAUACCCAUUACCAAGAGAAUAAGGAACGCUGCUGAAGUGACAACUCCGAUCACAAUAGGUUUCUUACUUGCUUCCUCAGGUUCUGAUAUUAAAUAAAAUUGCAAACGCAAAGAAGGCUAAACAUCCCAUCAAAUGGAUAAUAAACAUUAACGCUGUAAAGACACCCGACCACUAUAGCACAGUUCAAUUCUCACCUUCACAAUAAGUUCUGUAACCUGAAAAACCACAGAUCACGGAAAGAUUCUUAGAUGGGAUAAUGAAGCGAGUGGAAGAAGCUAACAGUUACAGUGAAAACAAAAAUCAGGCUAAUCACUUAUGCAGAUUGGUUUAUGAGAAACAUUAGAUGUGUUUAAUCUUAUCAGUUAGGGGAGGGGAAAAAAAACCCAGAAAGCUCAGAAAAUUGAAAUAGAAAUAAAUUAAACUCCUUGAAGUCUGUAAGUUUCAAAUGAGAGGCAGAAAAGGAGCAUGUAACAUACCUGAACAUACGGAUAUAGCAGAAAUUAUAGGACCAUAAUUUCCUCUUAUUGGAAUGACAGUAGUGCCUUUUCCAGCCCAGUAUAAUCGGAUCUCCAGGGUACGGUCUGUCACGGUGGUGUUGAAUGCUAUUGUGAAAUUUCUGUUAGAUCCUUUGGCUUCCUCUGUAAAGUUAAAAUCCUUUCGCACUUGUAUUCCCUGGAACAAAGUUUCCUACUCAAAAGGGUUCCUUUGAAAAAGAUAAAAAAGGACAUCCACAAUCUCUUCGGAAGGAAAAGAUAAUUAAUUACCUGAAUGUAAAUAUCAAAAACACGCCUUGCAACUUUGUUGUACAGUUUUUCAUCUGUGAAUUCUAUCUCAGCAAAGUGGAGUCUGACAGUGUAAUUCCCAUUUUCUAGACAAUAUCCAUAAUAAGUGAUAGACAGGGGAGUUUUACGUGCUGUUGCAUACAAUCCAAAGUCAACUAGAGAAAUAUUAGAAUUUGGUUGAUGAAACGUAUAUUUGUUAUCAUAGAAAGUACUGUCCAUGAAAUCUCCUGUGCUGCUGAAUCCCCAGUUUGAUCCUGAUCUCUUAUAACUCAUUGCAGCAGCAUUAAUUCCACUAUCUUGAUCACCUUCAUACAAGAUUUUCCCAUUCUUUACAUUUGGUCCACCACAGUUUAUAUGGAAUGAACGAUAAUCUGCAGCACAUAAAACUAGUAUACCAUUAGACAUGUUUCAAUUUUCCGUUUUGUCAUACUUAUAGAAGCGUAUCAAUGGGGAAUGAGUUUACUUUACUACAAAGCUUCAAAACUAUGAUUAGUCACUGGUCAACACUUCAUCAUUGUCGGAUUAGUUCAACUCAAUGAAUUCACUCUGUCAAAAUUUUGGUUUCUGACGGUGAAACCAGUGGUCAAGUUCCACUUCAAACCACGUUUUGAUGUAUAAAUUUUCCAACAAAGUGACCAUGAAUUGACCUUAUUAGUUUUUCGAGAUAGAAUCUAAUUAAAAAGCUAACAAUCAUCAAUGUCAUUCAAACAUUGAAGUACACAAAUAAAUAUGGUACAUCGAUAAACUUUAAUGGCACACUCGGAUUUUAUGAAGUGCACAGGUUCUUAUUAUGAAAAAAAUAAAAUAAAAAACCAUACAUUUUGGGCACCGAGAUAUCUCUGAGCAUGGAAGAAGAUCGCUUCUGUAUAUCAUGGAAAUUAUAGUAUGUUAGAAUAAUAAAGGAUUUUUUGAAAUCACAUGCAGCAGAAUCUCUAUUGCUAAAUUUCAUCUCCAGAAAUAUAAAUACGAAAAAAAUUGCAGUCCACAGAGUAUAAAAGAAGAGCCUUACAAUUUAUUAUUGCUGGACGAGCUUCGAAACCAGUUUAUAUUAUUCCUGAUUUAUAAACUCAAAUCAUUCAGUUUCAAAAUCACAGAAUAUCCCAUUUCAAAUAUUUAUGAACUUCCUUACUCGUUACUGCUGCUGCAUCUUGGUGCCCGUGAAAAGUUAUUGUACGAAACAUCGCUGGAAAAGAUCAAGAAAACCAUAAAUCUAAAUACAAACUUCCACAAGGUUAACAAAUAAAGAGAAUAUAUAAACUUCACGAUGCAAGCGCUAGAAAUGCACUAGCUUUCAUAUAAUGUUUUUUCUUUUAUUGAUGGUGAUGGCUUGGAUGACUAAGAUUUAAUUGAUUUCAAGGGAAAUGGUUUAUUAUUUUUUUUUAGAAUUGAUCUGCUAGAAUUGAUGGAUUAUUUAAGGGGUAUUAUCAAUUUUAUUAUUAGGUUGAAAUUUUUUUUUAAAUGAUUUUUUUAUAUAAUUAAAAAUAAUUAAAUUGUAUUAAUUUAGAUUGAACAAAUUAGAACAACCGGUUACCCCGAUAAGAAUCAGGUAUAGCUAGGGUAUGAGAUAUAAGAGCAGAUUGUGAUGUCUACAUCAUAAGCAUCCUACGAUCUAGCUCAGUCAAGCAGGGGUUGGUUCAACAAGAAAUUAUUGUUGUUACAGCCAAUCUAAGGGCCCAAAUAGAGGCGCAGUCUGAAGAAUGAAAUAGGAAGCAAUAGGAGGAGAUGAUGAUAAACAUGCCAACUCAUUUUCCUUCUUCUUAUAAGAGCAUCUCCAAGGAAAGAAACUGUUCAGAAGAGCUAAAUUGAUAAUGUAAAUAUGAUAUUUUUUAUAUAUGUGCACUCUAAUGAAAAAAAAAGUCAUUUAAAAAAGCCUAUUGUAUUUUAAUAUAUUUGAAAUUGACACAACUAUUUAUUAAUUAUAAUUAACUAAUACAACUCCAAUCAAAACCUCUCUUGAAAUCCUAUUUUAUCUCUCAAAUAUAGCUCUCCCCUUGGAGCUAUAAACAUGAGGGAUGAAAGCCAAUUAGAGAUGUCUUGAACCUUUAGGAGCUAUAUUUGAACGUGAAAAAAAAUCUUUUGACUCUUUUGAUCCCUAAUAUAGAAAUCCUAUUUUAUCACUCAAAUAUAUCUCUCCCCUUGGAGCUAUAAACAUGAGGGAUGAAAACCAAUUAUUUCUUUUUCCUUUUGGCUUUUUUUUAUCUCUUCCCUUAGAGAUGUCUUGAACCUUUAGGAGAUUUUCCUCCCCCUCCCCUCCCCUCCCCACCUCCACUUGCAACUCCAACUUCUUUCUAAUAUAUAAUGAGAGUAGCUGUUGCACAAAUUGUUUACUUUCUAUUGCAAACUCUACAUAAGACACAUGCCAGUGUUCUAUAUAUAUACAUAAACAAUAACAUUAACCUUCAAAUUAUUUAUAAAAAUUCCAUUGUUUCAAUAAAAUUAGGUUUUCAAACACCUUAAAUAUAUGAAAACCACAGGUCGAUACAUGAUUUUCAAGGUUUAAGGAUAGAAUUAACUAAAAUAUUUUUUAAUGUUAAUUUGGACUAUUUAUUGAAAUUAUUGAAAUUUUUAUUUUAUAAAUUUUUACUUCAAGGAAAAUUUUGAAUGGGAGAGAGCUUAUAAUAAUUUUACGAGGAAGAUUUAAGAGAAUCAUGCUCCGAUUAUGAAAGAUCCAAUCCAAAAUUAUUUUUUUAUUCCAAAUAUUAAAAUUUUAUUUUUUAUUUACUAAUAAAUAAUUAAUUUAUACCAUAUAGGUUGCAUGAUUUUUGGUAUGAGGCACAAAAAAAAGCCAAAAAUAUAUGAAAGAAAGAGAUCUUCUAGACUAGAAUGAUGUGAUAGUUUGGAAAGAUUUUGGAUCGUCAUACAUCUUAGAGGCUGUAUUGACAUAAUACAUUCAUAAUGUGACGUCAACACAUUCCACUUGAUGAUAAGAUAUUUUUUACUACAUCCAUUUUUUUUAUUAGUUGUUUUAUAUAUAUAUAUAUAUAUAUAUAUAUAUAUAUAUAUAUAUUGAAUUGACAACAUUUUUUAUUGCAUGCUAUAGUUUUUGUAUGCGAGCCAAGCUUGAUGAAACUUUUUGUUGAAAUGCAUGUGCAGAGUGAUGAUCGUGAAAAAAAGGUGUAGCAGUUCGUUGAUAGCUAAGCUCAAUAUUUUGUGGUAUGUUGGUGUUUAAUUAUAUUUUUCUUAAGUUAUUAUGUCCUUAAAUUUGAUGUCAAAUUUAUUUUUUCUUUACAGGAUACAUAUAACAGCCGGUUGAAGGAGAGAUACGGGGAUGAGCCUUCGACCCAUUUGAAUAUUGAUCUGGAUUUGAGGUUAAAGGGAGAAUCAUUUGGUGGACCUGAUAGAAAUCGAAUGUAUGGACUCUUUAACACUGACUAAGAAUUUAUGAACGACCCGUAGUACUUCAACUGUUGGAUGCUCACAAUCAAUUCUAAGCAAUCAAACUUUGGAAUUCGCAGUGAUGUUAGACCAACAGGUACAAGAUGGGACAACCUAUCUUAAUGAUAAAUAUGAUGAGUCACUACUGGUUAUGAAGAAUUUUAUCGACUAGUAAUGAAGAUGAGAUCACAGAUGGAUGGUUCAUGUUUGGGGUGAGCAAAAAAAACCAACAAACCGAUUAAACUGAGAAAACCAGAAAACACACAACCAAAAAAACCGAACCCUGAAAAAAAAAACUGAGUAUACUGAUUAGAAUAUUUUAAAAAAAAUUCGGUUCAAUUUCGGUUUUAUAAGCUUGAAAUUAAAAAACUGAAUCGAACUAGUUUAGUUAAGAAAUAAACCGAACCGAACCGAACUGAACUGAAAAAACUCAUUAGAAAGUCCAAAAAAACCCAAAAUACAAUAUAAUUUUCAGUUUUUAAUAUCAAAUAAACAAAUCGAAACCGAAUCAAAUCAAAUUGAACCGAAACUAGACAGUUGAGUUUCAGUUUUUAACUUAAAAUAACCAAACUGAACCGAAACCAGUUUUAGUUUGAUUUUUGUUUUUUUUUUACAAAAUUUCAGUUUGAUUGUUUUUAUAGGUAGAAACCGAACAAAACCGAACCGAAAAUGAUCACCUCUUGUUCAUGUGCACCCCUUAAUUUCCCCUACAUUCCCGGUGACAACCUACCUCCUCCUCCUCAUUCAUUGUCGCCUUUAUUUUAGAUUUAUUGUAUUCAAUCAUAUAAAAAAAAAAAGGUAUGCUUUGUCCGUCUGUAAAUUCAUCGAUAUAUUUAUUACCGACAGACUCACCGACAAUCUAUAAAUUACCGAUAAUAGUUUUUUCGAUAGACCAUUAUCCGUGAGUCUUUCAUUAACAUACAUAUUGAUGGAUUGCUAGUGUAAACACCGAAAACAUUUAUGGGUAAAACGAUUAAAUCCGGUAGUGUUCCAUGUUAAAAAAAAUAUAAUUUAUCUACAUGUUGUGGUUCUGGGUCUUUGUACUCAUUAACCUCUUGUGAGUAUGAAAUAUAAGCAUAAUAUAUGAAGAAUUAUUGAGGGGGUGUUCGAAAGUAUGGUAAUGGUUGCAAUUUAAAGUGAUUUUUGCUUGGAAAUACAUUAAAAAUAAAAUUAUUUUUUAUAUCAACACUUAAAAACAAUCUAAAAUUUAAAAAAAUAAAAUUAGAAAACACGGUUUUUACUGCAAAACUUACAGGCAUUAGUCAUGGAUGUUCAAGGAAAAAAGGCAAAGCAUAUCAAUAUUCAAAUAAGUACUGAAUCCAAUGAUGGGUGUAAUUUAGGAACCUACAGAUUUUGGCUGUUUUGGAGGAAUGAGUCCUGCACUGUUCCAGUCAGCUUGUUGCCACUCAAAAACCUGGUAAGAACCACACUCAUACUAUCAGCAUAAUUUAUUGCGCCAUCCUUGAUAAGAUUUCAAUAACCAAAUUUCAAAUUAUCAGAAUUUAGCAUUGCUCACGUAAACUGUCGUCGUCGUAUUGUAUUAGGAGGAAUCUCCCCAACCAACUUGUUAAAAGUUAAGUCGCUGCAAGAAAUUACAGCAAACAAAAUUUUAGGCUUCAGUCUCUGAAGAAGAUUUUACAUCUUUGUAAAUAUAAUGGCAAUAAACAGGUGAAAAUAUAAAUAUAUAUAUGUCUCAUAAUUAAAGGUUAUUAAAUUCUUUGAAGUAGUCCUCUAUUUAUAUUCUUCCUUGGAGAGUUGCAGUUGCUUGAAAUCACUACCUUCUCAUAGGAGCUCAUCCGUUGUGAAAAUAAGUCAAUGUUAUGUUAGAAGCUAGUUGUGAUUCUUCUACUCACUCUAGUAGGACUUUAGUUAUUAUAUACCCAGGAUUAUAUAUUAAUGUAGGAUUUUUAACUUAUACUAACAACCUGAUGAUUCAGGCAGAUCCCACGCACCAGCUGUACAUGAAGAUCAUAUUGGAAAAAUGUGGCAGAAUUGAAAUGUAUAAAAAGAAAUUCUAAUUUGCUUAGCAGCAGAUGCAAGGCAAUGAGUGAAGUUCACACUUACAGUGUAUUUACCACUUUCCAUGCGUUUUCUGGGAUUGUUCCAUUUAAAUUGAUGUUCCUCAGAACCCUUGCAACAAGUCACAGGUUGGUUAAACAGUUCUGAAUAGAACAUAUCCUCAACUUUGCUAUGGAAAGUUAUGAAGCAGUUCACAUACAAGAUUUGCCUUUCAAUCGGCGAGUUAGGUAACGAAAACUCUGGUCCAGGCAUAUCAGCAAUCCUCCUGCAUAACAGUAAGAGACCUUGAAUACAAGUUAAAUGUUCAAUUCCCUUCAUUUAUCUCUCCCUAUCUCUCACACACAAAGAGAAUUCUUCAAUAAUUAAUACAGCAGGAGGUAUGCAGCACAAUAAAGUGGUUUUACUCACAAAUCAGACAGCUUUUCCAAAUAAAAAAUCGCAUGAGGUAUAGGUCCUUGCAAUCCAGUCGCGUACAAAACACUUCAUUAGUCACGAAAAGAACAAAAAAUCUCAAUAAAGUGUCUCAUGUUGCAUUAGAAUGAAUUAAGAUCUUGUGAAGAUAAACAUCUCACAGCUUUUUAAGUUGAGUCCAGCUCCCAAUGAACUCGGGUACGGUGCCACUAAGAUUAUUAUCACUUACGCGACUGCACAUUGAAUAUGUUAAAUAUAAAAAAAAAUGUGUUAAGGAAAAUAAGUGAGGGCUUACAAAUCCUUCAAGUUUUUAUCUGCGCAAGUGCCUCUGGCAAGGUCCCCACUAACUUAUUGCCGGAGAGUAUCCUGCAAUUGUUGAUUCACGGCAUCAAAGCAAAGAUUUCAACUAAUGAAAACGAAAUCUCUGGCAAGUCUUCACAAUGAAGAAUUUAGUUAAAUGUCUUACAGAGUUUCUAAGCUGACAAGGUCGCCAAGCUCAGGUGGGACAACACCAGAAAACUGAUUUGAUUCAAGGCUCCUAUAUUUUAUAAUUGCAUUUGAUAAAGUGAAAUAACCAUUAGAGAACUAAGUAAACUAGCAUUGCUUGCAAUAUUCGAAUAACUCAAACGAGAGGUAGAGCACUAUAGAUUCAAGCCAUACAAGUAGGUGAGGGCAGUAAAACUUCCCAAAUGUGCAGGAAUAUUUCCUGACAAGCGAUCUGCAGUAAGCGAGCUGUAUAAGAGGUUAGUUAGUUGUGUUAAGCUCACUCUUAGAUAGAAAAUAAGAUAAACCAAGAUGAGGGGUGAAUUUAUUAAUGAGCUUACAUGAAAGACAGAUAUUUCAUCGAAGCCCAUUCCACCGGAAUUGUGCCGUAUAGAUAGUUGCGAGUGAAAUCUCUGUCAUAGACAAUGUUGUUGUAUAAAAAUUAUUUUCUAUCUUGAAAAUUGCUCCAAAAAUUAAUAUAAACGCUUGAAAUUUCUAUAUAAACUGUGACAGACAAUGGCAAACUCAUAAUCACAUAACAUCUGAUGAGUAUUAAUUAUCAUCGAGGCAUCUCAAGAUUCAUAAUCAUUUAAUGGAUUCAGAAUUGAGGCCUCGAAGCAGAAACAUGAGCCAAAUAUAUAUGUCCUUAAUUAAGGGUUCUUACAUUUUAUUGACAUAAGUAAGGUUGGCCAAUUCCGGAGGAAGCCUGCCUGGAAGACCGUAACCUUUGAGCUGGCUUUAUUGCAAGCAGGAGAGAGAGACAUCAUUGGUCACAGUUUAGGAAAGCUAAGAUAUAUAUAUAUAUAAGAAAGAAAAACAUAAAAAUGUAAAGUAAUUAAGAGGCUUACAAUGAAGUAAUGUGACAGUAAUUAUCAUCAGUGAUGCUGCAGUUACAGUCGAUGGUGUUGUUCUUUUCUAAGUCUGGUGAAGCAGAAUUCAGUUCUGUCUUAACGAGUCCUUCCUGUUGACAACGAUCGACGAACUUCAAGGAUAGCUGGCCAUCCUCGUUUACUGUCCUACCGAUUUGUCUUAACGUUUCAACUGGUGGGUUUUUAAAAAAAAAAAAAAAAAUUAAUUCAUGAGGAAUGUGCACUAUUCAAAACAUUCUCAAAUAGUUGUUAGGUUAUUAAUAAUAAUAGUAAAUAGAUUAUGGGUUUUUUAUAUAGGUAAAGGCCAUACAGAGACUGAAUGGAUAAAGUUAACUAGAGCUUAUUCCAUCAAGUACCUCGAGACACGCAAUCAUAUAUCAAUUUAUCGUCAUAAUUAUCACUCAGCGCAGGAUUUAAUUUGGUUUAAAAUUUGUAUUGUAUGUUUGGAGGUCAACUUUAAGUUAUAUUCCUUUCAGUUUUUUUUAAUGAAAUUGUUUGCAAUUAAAAAAAAACUAUAAACGAUAUUAUUUUAAAUAAAAAUUAAAAAUAAAAUAUUAUUUGUUAACUAUUAGCUUAACUUAGAUUUAACUAUAUUAACUUUUAAAUUAAUUUAAAAUAAAACACAUUCUAAAUUAAACUCUAGAUUAAUUGAGAGGUUAUCUCUAAAUAAUAUGUUCAAAAACUAUAUUGUGGGUUUGGUGGAUUAUUAAAGUGAAUGGUGAUAAGAAUUUGUAAUGUAUAAAUAUUAUUUUAUUGUUAUUUGUACCAAUAGAUAUAUCUUAAUUGGUAUCUGAUCAAACGAAAGAAAGAAAUCAUGAGUUCAAAUUCUACGGUGAAGUAUGUCAUUUCUUGAAAAAGAAUUAGAUACAAAACAAAAUCACAACUUUUUAGGCGCUAAAAAAUUCAGAUGCCUAUAAAUGAAUCUAAUUAUAUAAAACAAAACACCCAUGGAAGCUAUUUUGUCUUAUAUACGGCCAAAGAUACAUUUUACCGUUUUUUAAGCAUUUGCAAAGUUUUGGUUAAUGUUGUUUAAUUGUGCGAGUCUCUUGAAGUUUAAUCCAAGAAAUACAAUAACUAAAUUUUAUUUGUAAAAGUUAUAUAUUUAUAUUAAUUUAUGUAAUAAUAACUAAAAAUAAUUAUAAAAAAAACGAGGGUAAUUUGAUUAACCAGUCCUCACAAAAUCAUUGUUAAUUGGAAUAAUAAUUUGUUUUUUUAUAUAUAUAUAAUUUUAAUUUUAUCUUUUGACAUUAGAUUUAUUAGAAAUUAUGUUUUAUUUAAAAAAAUUAAUUUUUUUUAUGAAAUUAUUCUAUUCUCAUAACCUAGAUUUUACAGAUUAAUUUGAUUAACUUGAUUUUUUGUUAUUUUUUUAAUUAAAUAUUAUUUUUCAGUAUCUUCAUCAACAUUCAGUUAAUUCAGAUACUUAUAAAUGAACCUAAUUAUAUAAAAAAAAAUACCUUUAUAUGUAUUUAUAUGUAUAGAAGCUAUUUUGUUUUAUCUAUAGACAAAGAUAUAUUUUACUACUUUUAAGUUUGUGUAAAGUUAAAAACACCUGCAUUUAAUUGCUACAAUAAAUUCACCAUACAUUUUAGUUUUGGUUAAUGCUAUUUAAUUGUGCGACAAACUACUCUCUUAAGUUUAAUGAAAGAAAUACAAGUAGUAUAUUUUUUACGUAAAAGUUAUAUAUUCAUAUUAUUUUAUAUAACAAUCAUUAAUAAGAACUUAAAAAAAAAAAAAAAAACAAGGGUACUUCACUAACUCCUCCUUACAAAUCAUUGUUAAUUGAAAUAAUGAUUUUUUUUAUAUAAUUUUAAUUUUAUUUUUUAACAUUCGAUUUAUUAGAAAUUGAGCUUUAUAAAAUUUUUUAAUUUUUUUAUAUGAGAUUAUUCUAUUCUCAUGACUUAGGUUAUGAAUUUUGCAGAUUAAUUUAAUUAACUCGAUUUUUUUGUUAUUUUUUUAAUGGAAUAUUUUUUUUUCAAUUUCUCCAUCAACAUUGAGUUAAUUGGAAUUAGAUUUCAUAAUUUGUUUUAUUUUUUGAUGAAUUUAUCAUAAUCUUGUGACACAAGUUUGGAAGGUUAACUCGGGUUGAUUCAAGUCAUUUUUUUAAUUGAUUUUUUUUUAAUUUUAUCCUUCAACAUUGAAUUUAUUAGGAAUUGAGAUUCAUAAUUAUUUUUCUAUUUGCUUUCUAUAGAGUUAUCAUGGCCUCAUAAAAUGUGUCUUGGAUUUUAAUUUUCUUUUUUCAAUUACAUCCUUCACUAUUGAGAAUUAAUUUUUAUAAUUUUUCUCAAUUUUCUUUCUAUGCGGUAAUCCCGGUCUCAUGAUCUAAGUUCGAUAGGUUAACUCAAGUUUUUUUUUUUUUUUAUUAAAUUUUAUUUCCAAUUUUAUCUUUCAACAUUGGACUGAUUAAGAAUUGAGUUUAUUUUUUUUUUUAUAUAGGGUUAUCACGGUCUCAUGACCUGGGAUGAGGAUUCAACAAGUUAACAUGAGUUGAUCAAAGUCAAUCUAAUAUGUUUUCUUCUUAAUAUUUACAAAAAAAAUAUCAUAUGGAGUUUUUUGAGUUAAACUAGCUAUAUUUUUAUGAGACUGGAUCACAUCAAGUCAAUCUCUACUCGAUUAACUUUUUUUUUCCUUAAAAAACAUGUUAGUAAUGUGCGAUAUUUCUUUACAUUCAAAAUUUGUGUAUUCAACUCGCAUAGCAGUGUAAUGGGAGAUGAUAAUCUGGUAAUAAACUAUUAAGUCAAGGUGCAUAUUGCCUGAACUAAAUUGGGUUGGAUCUCAUUCAAGCUAGCUUGACAAUUACAGCCAGAUAUUAGCUAAAUUACUGUCCUUACCUAUUAAAAAGUUUAGAAGACACGUACAAAUAAACAAUCACCUCAUAAGACAAAAAGAAAACAUAAUUUGUUUUUCAAAAAAGUAAUAAUAAAUAAAUAACAUAAUCUUUUUUCAAAUAAAUAAAUAAUUUGAGCUUCUCUAAUAAUAAAAAGCUGAUAUAGAGUAUAGUUAGAAAAGGUCAUAAAAAUUAGAUAUGACUAAGCCCAACAAGGGUCCAAAUAUUGUUAACCUGUUAACCAAAUUCAAACAAAGAUGAUAUACUAGGAAGUGAAGGGGAAACUUUCUUCUAGCCCAAAUGCCUAGUUUUCACCCCCUUUUUUAUGUUAUUCUCGUUCCAUCAUUUAGUAUAAAGUCGAAAAUAUAAUAAUUAAAUAUGUCUUAAUUAUUCUUUAAUUUUAACUUCUAAAAAAAUACUUUUAAUACUGCUCUCAAAAUAAUAAUAAUAAGAAGAAAAUUACAAAAGAGAAGAAGUAACAAAGAAUCUAAAUUAUCUUUAAUAUUUGUAUUUUUUUUUUAAUUUACUAUAUAUAUUUUCUUAAAUAUUAUAUUUUGAAGAAUCUAAAUUAUCAAACUAAGAUUAAUAUCUAUAAUUACAGUACUUUUUAGUUCCCAACUCACAUCUUUAAUAGAAAAGUCAUUGCAUCAUAAAACAAUAAUAAAAUAAUAAAAUUGGUUAUGAUAUUUGGUACUAAAAACAUUUAGGAUUAUGAUCAAUUGAGUUAUUUGUUCAUAAAAUUCACAAUAUUUACCAACUCAAUGUUGAGUUUGUAAGGAUAAAACAUUUACGUUGACAUUUUUUUGUAUUUUUUAAAAAUAAAGUCAUGAAUAUUAAGGAAUAAUUUAAUAUAUUACCUUCUCCUGGAUGUAGCUGAGAAGCAAGCAAAGUAAUAGAGCUCAAGAAACUGAUCAUCACCAUAACUUGGCAAAGCUGAAACAUCAUUACCAUCUUGUGCUGAAAAUUGGCUGCAAAAGCUCGAAUAAGUUUUUGUAUUUGUCGACAUGAGACGGGCAGGGAAAGAGAGGCUAAUUUGAUUUAUACUUGCCAAAUCUUAAAACGUCACAUCCAGGUGCCAGAGUACUUGUAUCCUAUGUCAUUUCUCUUCGGUGAUAUUUGAAUUCAAUUUUAAUUUCUUGCGAUCAUUAUAAAAGAUUUAUUUCUUUUUAAAGAGUUACUGGUUUUUCAUAAUAUGUGUAGUUUUUUUAAUUUUUUAAUUGCAUAUAAUUUAUUUAAAAUUAUAUUAAUAUUUUAUGUUAUACAAUUUAUGUUGGAAUUAAAUUCAACAAAUUAUAUUAACAAUUUGAUUUAUACUUGCCAAAUUUUAAUUUAUAUUCAUGUAAAAGGUUAUUGGAAUUUUAUUUAUAAUAUAAGUAUAUUUUAGAUCAGAUUAAAAGUAAAGUUUAAUUAUUUAUGAAGUAAAAACUUUAUUGAAUUUAAUUCCAACAUAAAUUCUAUAACAUAAAAUAUCAAUAUAAUUUUAAUUUCUUGCUAUCAUUAUAAAAGAUAUAUCUCUUUUUAAAGAGUUACUGGUUUUUCAUAACAUGUGUAGUUUUUUUAAUUUUUUAAUCGCAUAUAAUUUAUUUAAAAUUAUAUUAAUAUUUUAUGUUAUAGAAUUUAUGUUGGAAUUAAAUUCAACAAAGUUUUUACUUUAAAACUAAUAAGCUUCAGUUUUAAUCUGAUCAUUAUAAAUAAAAUUCCAAUAACUUUUUACAUGAAUAUAAAUUAUCUAAUAAGUUUAAAAACAACUUUAAAAUGUAUAGAGAGAUAUUGAUUUAGUGGAUUAUUAUUUUAGAUGAAUAGUUUUUGGCUUUAAAUUUUUUUAAGUUAAAUAUUAUUAGCUUUAUCUAGUUAGUAAACAUAAUAUCUUAAAAUAUGUAAUUUUUUAUAUAUAAAUCAAGAUAAUAAUAGUAUUAUGAAUCUUCAGCUGGUAUUUUCUUUGGUUCUCCUAGUUGCAGGUUGCAAGAUGUUGAAAUUUAAAAGAUAAGGAUGCAGGCGCAUAUAGAGGCAUUUGAGCUACAAAUUUAUUGACUACGUACAAGCUAUGUUGAAUGAUUAAUAUCACUAUAGCGUCGGCUGCUAAAAAGCAUUUUCAUGGAAAAGAAAAGUCUCAUAUACUUCUCAAUUUAUUGUACACUAAAGCGAUGUUUAUUUUUUAAAAAAUAAUUUAUUUUUAUUUUUUUAUAUUUAUUUGUCAUUAAAAAAGUUGGUCAAUAAAAAACAUUUACUAGUUAAAAACAUUUGGCUUUGUUUCCAGAAAAGUAUUUUCCAGAAAAAUUUAACUGGAAAAUACUUUCUAAAAAUUAUAAAAAAUUUAGAAAUAUCUUAUUAUUUACUGAUUAUAUCAAAUUUGGUUCUUAAAUUUUUAAAUAUUUUAUAUAUAUAUAUAUAUAUAUAUUUUAUUUUGAAUAUUUAUUUUUCAAUUUCAUCUCUUAAAAUUUAAUUUUUAUAGUUGUUAUUUGCUUUCCCCUUAUUAUUUUUUUAUUUAAAUUUCUUAUUUAUCAAAUUUGAUCCUCAUUCUUUUGAUUGUUACUUAUUUUAUUUGAAAUAAUUUAUGAAAUGUUAAUUAUUAUUAUUUUAAUUUCUUCAUCUUUUAUUUUUUUAUUUUUUAGAUUUGAUCUCUUUUAUUUUGAUUAUUAUUUAUUUUAUUUGAGCUAAUUUAUGAAAUUAUAUAUUUUUUUUUAAUUUCAUUCUCAUUCAACCUUUUAAUUUGUAAGAUUUGUUCAUCAUUAUUUUAAUAAACUUGAAAAAAAUAAAACAUUAAUAAGUUAUUUUCCAGUUCAUUUUCCAUGACAUAACUAUACAUUGAAAAAAAAAUUUAUUUAUUUUCUAUUACGGUAUCAAAUAUUAAAAAAUAAUUUAUUUUUCUAAAAGUUAUUUUCUAAAAAAAAAUAUUAUUUUUCAAUAAAUAAAAGGAUACAAAACAAAACCCAAAUUGCUUGAAUUCCAUUCCAAACUGCUGUAAAGUGCACUGAGAACUUCAUCAUCAAUUGUUCACUAAUUGCAAGUAGAAUUUUCUGCUGUAAAAAAAAAAUUAUUUUUCAAUAAAUAAAAGGAUACAAUACUGAUUGAUGUAGACAUAGACCAAUCUCUUUUCCAGCUGGUCCUAAAGAACGACAAGCUAUUUAUUUCUCAAACGAACACGGUCUCGCUAUAACACAAAAAUAGUCUAGUCUCGUGACACGUGGGUUGUACAUGUAUUAUAAAAAAAAUAAUUAUUAUAGUUGUCUACCUACCUACCAGUGAGUUGUGCAUGUAUUAUAAAAAAUAGUGUCGUUAUUUUUCAGAAAAUACUUUGUGAAUGUAAAAUGUUUUCACUCGGCAAAACUGAAGAAGUCCACGCGGAGGCUGAAGCAUCACAAACAUGUUGGGUACAGGAGAAAGACAGAUUCUUAAAUUGGUGAGAAUGACCUUUUAGCUACUUAGAUUUGAUUCCUUUUCAUUUCUAUCUCUCCAAAACCGACAAGGGUUGAUUACAAGAAUAUUCCAGCUGGUAUAUAUCGCAACAGGUAAUUAAUUUCUCCACUUCUCUUUUCCUUGAUCAGCCUAAAUUAUUGAUAAAACCAACAACACUUAAUACCAAGUCCAAUUAUGCCUUUUAUGGUAUUAAAUAUUUAUAUUAAAUAUCUUAUAAUUAUAAGAUAUUUAUCUUAAAAAAUAAACAAACAUAUCCAAAGCAUAAAAAAAGAGGCUAGAAGGACAUAGCUCAUCUCUUUGAAUAACACAAUUCUACUAUAAAACUUAAAUAAGAUUUAAGAAAAUAUUUAAGAUUAGAAAAUACUCAUUCUCCCCGUCACCUGGUUAAAUAAUAUACUAACUUAAACAUUAUAAUGUUUUUCAUGCCGGCACACCAAGUCCUUUAAUUUCAAUCUUAUCAGCCCAUAAAAACCACCCACAAUCUUUGUCUUGUGGAUGUUUUCAAUCCUUUGGAUCCAUUUUUAUCAGCCCAUGAAAACCACUUGCAAUCUUUCUCGAAUGAUUUUUAUUUUGAAGUAAAAAAGUUUUAUUCUGAAAUAAAGAAAAAAAUAAAUUUUUAUUUUUAUUUUUAUUUUUAGAAGUAUUUUUAGAAGAUAAAAAUAAAUAUGCUUCAAUAACAAAAUUUAAUUUAAUUCAAUCUCAAAUAAAAAAAAUUAUCAUUUUUUUUUAACUUAAUGAGAAAGUAAAACAAAAAUUAAAGUCUUGGUCGCGCUGGGGUAUUAAUAAAAGAGACCCACAUUGCUUGAAGUUCAUUCCAUACUGCUGUAAAGUGCACCAAGGACUUCAUUAUCAAUUGUUCACUAAUUCAAAGUAGAAUUUUCUGCUUUCUUUUUUCUUUUUCUUUUUGCAAAUACUGAUUUUAUUGUUAACCCUCCUCAGAAUUCAUUGUUAAUUGGAAUAAUAAUUUUUUUAUUUAAUUUUAUUUUUAUUUUUUAACAUUAGAUUUAUUAGAUAUUGAAUUUUAUAAUUUUUUUUUAAUUUUGUUUAUGAUUUUUUUAUUUUAAUUUUUUUAAUUUAAUUUUGAAUUCACUAUUUUAUUGUUUAAUUCAUUGUUUAAUUUUGUUUAUUUUAAUUUUUAAUUCACUAUUUUAUUUUUGUAAUCUAAAUGAUGAGUUUUGGAGAUUAAUUUGAUUAACUUGAUAUUUUUUUAUUUUUUUUCAGUUUCUUUUUUUUUUUUUUUUGCAUAAAUCUGAUAGACUCAAUUAUAUAGCUGAUUGAUGUAGACAUAUAUAGACCAAUCUCUUUUCCACCUGGUGCUAUUUGAAGUUUAUGAUAGACUCAAUUAUAUAGCUAGUUGGUGCAUCAUUGACAGUUUCAUACUUGCAAUUAUUUUUAUGUUUGAAGAAUGGUUUUAGAAAAAAAUUAAAUUUUUAUUUAUUUUUAUUUUAAAUUAAUAUUUUUAUAUCUUUUUAAUAUAUUUAUAUCAAAAAUAAAUUUUUUUUUAAACAAAACCUUUUUAAAGAAUAUGUUGUUAAUACUUUUUUAAACAAAACAAAAAAAAUUUAAAUUAAUAUUUUUUAAUAAAUUACUAUAUCUGAUAAAGCCGCCCUCGGUUUUAAUACCUUUGCUAGCCAUCAUUUGCUUUGAAUUGUCGCACGUGUACGACGAAAACAUCCACCCUUAAAUUUUAAUUUAAUGGCAAAUGUUUAAGAGACAAGGAAAUUCUCAUCUCUUUAUUAAUGAAAAGUUAGAAUGGAAAUCGCGACCUAGUAUUUUGGUCACUAGGAACCCUAACUAGUCUCAGAGAUCGGAUACGGAGAUUGAUUGUGUAAUGGGAAGGUAUUAGCACCCCAAAUACGCCCUACCUAUGGUAAGCUGCAUUGUUUUAUUGUUUGAUAAAAUUUAAAGUUUUGUUGUGUUUUCUAGUUGUUGGUCCGUCUAUGGUUUAAGAAAAAGUUCUCUUCGGUAAAGAAAUCUUUAUCUUAUUGGGUAAAACCUAAUCGUUCUAACAUCAAUAAUUUAAUAUCCGCAAUACAUCUUACGUAUAAGGUCGUAAUCCUAGAUAUUGAAAGAAAAAACUAUAAUUUUUUUGAAAUUUUUGAAAUAUUGGCCAGUUCUCGUGAGUUUAAUAAAUUGGUUAUUAAAGCUAAAAUGCAUGCUAAAAAUUUAUAUAUAUAUAUAUAUGAAGAUAUAAUAUGAUUAUAUAUAUAUAGGAUUCUAAUAUAGGAUGUUGUAAUCAUUACAGUAACUCAUGUAUCUAUCAGAAUAAUAGAAUGUGUUGGGUUGUGCCUUAGCCAACCUUCCUAUUUAUAUAGAGGCAGCAGAACAAUGCAGUAAUUGUAAUGAUUACAACAUCUUAUAUUAGAAUCCUAUUAUGAUAGAUACAUGAGUAACUGUAAUGAUUACAACAUCCUAUAUUAGAAUCAUAUUCUAUAAUAUGCCCCCUCAAGCUGAGGGUGGGGGAUCAACCCGAAGCUUGAAUCGAAAAGCAGUAAAGGAUGCAACAGGAAGCGGUUUAGUGAAGACAUUGGCAAGUUGAUCCCGAGAGGGAACAAAACGAAUCUAAAUUUCUUUCUUGGCAACACGGUCACGGAUAAAGUGAUAAUCUACUUCAACAUGCUUAGUACGAGCAUGGAAGAUAUGAUUUGUUGAGAGAUAGGUAACACCAAGAUUAUCACACCAAAUGGUAGGGGCAGAGACUGAGAGAACUUGCAAAUCUGUUAACAAGUAUUGAAGCCAAAUGCCUUCAGCGGUACCAUCAGUAAGGGCUUUAUACUCAGCCUCAGUAGAGGAGCAAGCAAUUUCAUAAUUUGUAUGGAGUUAUCCUAACUUUUGACACAAGUUCGAAAGGUUAAUUCGGGUUGAUUCAGAUUAUUUUUUUAAUUGAUAUUUAUUUUAUCUUAUUCUCUAGCAUUGAAUUAAUUAGGAAUUGAGAUUCAUAAUAAUUUUUUUUUAUAGGAUUAUGUUAUGAAUCUUGAAUUUGACUUUUUUUUUAAUUGAAUUUUUUUUCAAUUACAUCAUUCUUUAUUGAGAAUUGAUCUUUAUAAUAUUUAUCGAUUUGUUUUUAAUAGGAUUAUAUUGGUCUCAUGAUCUAAGUUCGACAGGUUAAUCCAGGUUGAUUCAAAUUGUUUUUUUUUAUUUACUUUUAUUUUCAAUUUCAUCAUUAAACAUUGAGUUAAUUAAGAGUUAAGUGUUAUUUUUUUUAUUUUUUUUUAUGGGGUUAUCAUGAUCUCAUGACUCGGGACAUAAAUUUGAUAAGUUAACCCGAGUUAAUCUGAAUCAAUCUAAUAUUUUUUUUUCUCAAUAUUUAUAUAAAAAAUAUCAUUUUAAAUUUUCUAGCAUGACAAUUACAGCUAGAUUAUAAAAAAUGACACGUGGGUUGUGUAUGUAUUAUAAAAAAUGGUCUCGUUAUUUUUCAGAAAAUACUUUGUGAAUGUAAAAUGUUUUCACUCGGCAACACUGAAGAAGUCCAUGCGGAGGCUGAAGCAUCACAAACACGUGGAGUGGGACAGAUUCUUAAAUUGGUGAGAAUGCCAUGUUUGUCGUUAUAAUGACAGGGAAGGAUCAUGUUUUCUUUUAUACGUCACAUCCAUGUACGUACAUACUUGUUUUCUAUGUCAUUUCUCUGCUGACCCGCCAUAUUUGAAUUCAAUUUUAACUUUUUACAGUCAUUAUAAAAGAUUUAUUUCUUUUUCAAGAGUUAUUGGUUUUUCCAUGUCAAUAAGUUUUUUAAUUUUUUAAUUACACAUAAUUUAUUUAAAAUCAUAAUAAUAUUCUAUGUAAAAAAAUUGAUUUUAAACAUUGAAUUCCAAUAAAAGUUUUCUUUUCAAAAUGAUUAAAUUCUACUUUUAAUCUAGUUUAAAAUAUACCUAUAUUAUAAAUCAAAUUCCAAUAAUCCUAUUCAUGAAUAUAUAUUGUCUGAAAAAAGUAAAAACAAUUCUAAGAUUUGUAGAGAGAUGUUGAUUUGGUGAAUCACUAUUUUAAAUGAAUAAUUUUUUACUUUAAUUUUUUUAAGUGAAAUACCAUUUAAUUUGCUUGGCUAAUUAAAAAACACAAUAUCUUAAUAUAUUUGAUUUUUUUAUAUAUAAAUCAAGAUAAUAAUAGUAGUAGUAUGAAUCUUCACCUGGUAUUUUCUAUGAUUCUCCUAGUUAGUUGCAGGUUGCAAGAUGUUGGAAUUUAAAAGAUAAGGAGGCAGGCAUGUAUCGAGGCUUGUGAGCCACAAAUUUAAUGACUACAAGCUAUGUUGAAUGAUCCACAUCACUAGCGUCGUCGGCUGCUAAAAAGCAUUUUCAUGGAAAACCUCUCAGAUAUUUAAACCCGACAUGUCAAUUUAUUGUACACCAAAAGAGACCCAUAUCGCUUGAAGUCCAUUCCAAACCGCUGUAAAGUGCACUGAGAACUCCAUCAUCAAUUGUUCACUAAUUGCAAGUUGAAUUUUCUGCUCUCUUUGUUUUUUUUUUUUUUGCAAAUACUGAUUGAUGUAGACAUAGACCAAUCUCUUUUCGACCUCGUCCUAAAGAACGACGAGCUAUUUAUUUCUCAAACGAACACACUCUCGUUAUAACACAAAAAUAGUUUAGUAUCGUGAGACGUGGGUGGUGCAUGUAUGAUAAAAAAUUAUAAUUAAUAAUUAUAGUGUCUACCUACCUACCAGUGAGUUGUGCAUGUAUUAUAAAAAAUAGUGUCGUUAUUUUUCAGAAAAUACUUUGUGAAUGUAAAAUGUUUUCACUCGGCAAAACUAAAGAAGUCCACGCGGAGGCUGAAGCAUCACAAACAUGUUGGGUACAGGAGAAAGACAGAUUCUUAAAUUGGUGAGAAUGACCUUUUAGCUACUUAGAUUUGAUUCCUUUUCAUUUCUAUCUCUCCAAACCGACAAGGGUUGAUUACAAGAAUAUUCCAGCUGGUAUAUAUCGCAACAGGUAAUUAAUUUCUCCACUUCUCUUUUCCUUGAUCAGCCUAAAUUAUUGAUAAAACCAACAACACUGUAAUACUAAGUCCAAUUAUGCCUUUUAUGGUAUUAAAUAUUUAUAUUAAAUAUCUUAUAAUUAUAAGAUAUUUAUCUUAAAAAAUAAACAAACAUAUCCAAAGCAUAAAAAAAGAGGCUAGAAGGACAUAGCUCAUCUCUUUGAAUAACACAAUUCUACUAUAAAACUUAAACAAGGUUUAAGAAAUAUUUAAGAUUAGAAAAUACUCAUUCUCCCCGUCACCUGGUUAAAUAAUAUACUAACUUAAACAUUAUAAUGUUUUUCAUGCCGGCACACCAAGUCCUUUAAUUCCAAUUUUAUCAGCCCAUAAAAACCACCCACAAUUUUUGUCUUGUGGAUUUUUUCAAUCCUUUGGAUCCAUUUUUAUCAGCCCAUGAAAACCACUUGCAAUCUUUCUCUAAUGAUUUUUAUUUUGAAGUAAAAAAGUUUUAUUUUGAAAUAAAGAAAAAAAUAAAUUUUUAUUUUUAUUUUUAUUUUUAGAAGAUAAAAAUAAACAUGCUUCAAUAACAAAAUUUAAUUUAAUUCAAUCUCAAAUAAAAAAAAUUAUCAUUUUUUUUUAACUUAAUGAGAAAGUAAAACAAAAAUUAAAGUCUUGGUCGCGCUGGGGUAUUAAUAAAAGAGACCCACAUUGCUUGAAGUUCAUUCCAUACUGCUGUAAAGUGCACCAAGGACUUCAUUAUCAAUUGUUCACUAAUUCAAAGUAGAAUUUUCUGCUUUCUUUUUUCUUUUUCUUUUUGCAAAUACUGAUUUUAUUGUUAACCCUCCUCAGAAUUCAUUGUUAAUUGGAAUAAUAAUUUUUUUAUUUAAUUUUAUUUUUAUUUUUUAACAUUAGAUUUAUUAGAUAUUGAAUUUUAUAAUUUUUUUUUAAAUUUUGUUUAAUUUUUUUAUUUUAAUUUUUUAAUUUAAUUUUGAAUUCACUAUUUUAUUGUUUAAUUCAUUGUUUAAUUUUGUUUAUUUUAAUUUUUAAUUCACUAUUUUAUUUUUGUAAUCUAAAUGAUGAGUUUUGGAGAUUAAUUUGAUUAACUUGAUAUUUUUUAUUUUUUUUUCAGUUUCUUUUUUUUUUUUUUUUGCAUAAAUCUGAUAGACUCAAUUAUAUAGCUGAUUGAUGUAGACAUAUAUAGACCAAUCUCUUUUCCACCUGGUGCUAUUUGAAGUUUAUGAUAGACUCAAUUAUAUAGCUAGUUGGUGCAUCAUUGACAGUUUCAUACUUGCAAUUAUUUUAUGUUUGAAGAAUGGUUUUAGAAAAAAAUUAAAUUUUUAUUUAUUUUUAUUUUAAAUUAAUAUUUUUAUAUCUUUUUAAUAUAUUUAUAUCAAAAAUAAAUUUUUUUUUAAACAAAACCUUUUUAAAGAAUAUGUUGUUAAUACUUUUUUAAACAAAACAAAAAAAUUUAAAUUAAUAUUUUUUAAUAAAUUACUAUAUCUGAUAAAGCCGCCCUCGGUUUUAAUACCUUUGCUAGCCAUCAUUUGCUUUGAAUUGUCGCACGUGUACGACGAAAAACAUCCACCCUUAAAUUUUAAUUUAAUGGCAAAUGUUUAAGAGACAAGGAAAUUCUCAUCUCUUUAUUAAUGAAAAGUUAGAAUGGAAAUCGCGACCUAGUAUUUUGGUCACUAGGAACCCUAACUAGUCUCAGAGAUCGGAUACGGAGAUUGAUUGUGUAAUGGGAAGGUAUUAGCACCCCAAAUACGCCCUACCUAUGGUAAGCUGUGCAUUGUUUUAUUGUUUGAUAAAAUUUAAAGUUUUGUUGUGUUUUCUAGUUGUUGGUCCGUCUAUGGUUUAAGAAAAAGUUCUCUUCGGUAAAGAAAUCUUUAUCUUAUUGGGUAAAACCUAAUCGUUCUAACAUCAAUAAUUUAAUAUCCGCAAUACAUCUUACGUAUAAGGUCGUAAUCCUAGAUAUUGAAAGAAAAAACUAUAAUUUUUUUGAAAUUUUUGAAAUAUUGGCCAGUUCUCGUGAGUUUAAUAAAUUGGUUAUUAAAGCUAAAAUGCAUGCUAAAAAUUUAUAUAUAUAUAUAUAUGAAGAUAUAAUAUGAUUAUAUAUAUAUAGGAUUCUAAUAUAGGAUGUUGUAAUCAUUACAGUAACUCAUGUAUCUAUCAGAAUAAUAGAAUGUGUUGGGUUGUGCCUUAGCCAACCUUCCUAUUUAUAUAGAGGCAGCAGAACAAUGCAGUAAUUGUAAUGAUUACAACAUCUUAUAUUAGAAUCCUAUUAUGAUAGAUACAUGAGUAACUGUAAUGAUUACAACAUCCUAUAUUAGAAUCAUAUUCUAUAAUAUGCCCCCUCAAGCUGAGGGUGGGGGAUCAACCCGAAGCUUGAAUCGAAAAGCAGUAAAGGAUGCAACAGGAAGCGGUUUAGUGAAGACAUUGGCAAGUUGAUCCCGAGAGGGAACAAAACGAAUCUAAAUUUCUUUCUUGGCAACACGGUCACGGAUAAAGUGAUAAUCUACUUCAACAUGCUUAGUACGAGCAUGGAAGAUAUGAUUUGUUGAGAGAUAGGUAACACCAAGAUUAUCACACCAAAUGGUAGGGGCAGAGACUGAGAGAACUUGCAAAUCUGUUAACAAGUAUUGAAGCCAAAUGCCUUCAGCGGUACCAUCAGUAAGGGCUUUAUACUCAGCCUCAGUAGAGGAGCAAGCAAUUUCAUAAUUUGUAUGGAGUUAUCCUAACUUUUGACACAAGUUCGAAAGGUUAAUUCGGGUUGAUUCAGAUUAUUUUUUUAAUUGAUAUUUAUUUUAUCUUAUUCUCUAGCAUUGAAUUAAUUAGGAAUUGAGAUUCAUAAUAAUUUUUUUUAUAGGAUUAUGUUAUGAAUCUUGAAUUUGACUUUUUUUUUAAUUGAAUUUUUUUUCAAUUACAUCAUUCUUUAUUGAGAAUUGAUCUUUAUAAUAUUUAUCGAUUUGUUUUUAAUAGGAUUAUAUUGGUCUCAUGAUCUAAGUUCGACAGGUUAAUCCAGGUUGAUUCAAAUUGUUUUUUUUUAUUUACUUUUAUUUUCAAUUUCAUCAUUAAACAUUGAGUUAAUUAAGAGUUAAGUGUUAUUUUUUUUAUUUUUUUUUAUGGGGUUAUCAUGAUCUCAUGACUCGGGACAUAAAUUUGAUAAGUUAACCCGAGUUAAUCUGAAUCAAUCUAAUAUUUUUUUUCUCAAUAUUUAUAUAAAAAAUAUCAUUUUAAAUUUUCUAGCAUGACAAUUACAGCUAGAUUAUAAAAAAUGACACGUGGGUUGUGUAUGUAUUAUAAAAAAUGGUCUCGUUAUUUUUCAGAAAAUACUUUGUGAAUGUAAAAUGUUUUCACUCGGCAACACUGAAGAAGUCCAUGCGGAGGCUGAAGCAUCACAAACACGUGGAGUGGGACAGAUUCUUAAAUUGGUGAGAAUGCCAUGUUUGUCGUUAUAAUGACAGGGAAGGAUCAUGUUUUCUUUUAUACGUCACAUCCAUGUACGUACAUACUUGUUUUCUAUGUCAUUUCUCUGCUGACCCGCCAUAUUUGAAUUCAAUUUUAACUUUUUACAGUCAUUAUAAAAGAUUUAUUUCUUUUUCAAGAGUUAUUGGUUUUUCCAUGUCAAUAAGUUUUUUAAUUUUUUAAUUACACAUAAUUUAUUUAAAAUCAUAAUAAUAUUCUAUGUAAAAAAAUUGAUUUUAAACAUUGAAUUCCAAUAAAAGUUUUCUUUUCAAAAUGAUUAAAUUCUACUUUUAAUCUAGUUUAAAAUAUACCUAUAUUAUAAAUCAAAUUCCAAUAAUCCUAUUCAUGAAUAUAUAUUGUCUGAAAAAAGUAAAAACAAUUCUAAGAUUUGUAGAGAGAUGUUGAUUUGGUGAAUCACUAUUUUAAAUGAAUAAUUUUUUACUUUAAUUUUUUUAAGUGAAAUACCAUUUAAUUUGCUUGGCUAAUUAAAAAACACAAUAUCUUAAUAUAUUUGAUUUUUUUAUAUAUAAAUCAAGAUAAUAAUAGUAGUAGUAUGAAUCUUCACCUGGUAUUUUCUAUGAUUCUCCUAGUUAGUUGCAGGUUGCAAGAUGUUGGAAUUUAAAAGAUAAGGAGGCAGGCAUGUAUCGAGGCUUGUGAGCCACAAAUUUAAUGACUACAAGCUAUGUUGAAUGAUCCACAUCACUAGCGUCGUCGGCUGCUAAAAAGCAUUUUCAUGGAAAACCUCUCAGAUAUUUAAACCCGACAUGUCAAUUUAUUGUACACCAAAAGAGACCCAUAUCGCUUGAAGUCCAUUCCAAACCGCUGUAAAGUGCACUGAGAACUCCAUCAUCAAUUGUUCACUAAUUGCAAGUUGAAUUUUCUGCUCUCUUUGUUUUUUUUUUUUUUGCAAAUACUGAUUGAUGUAGACAUAGACCAAUCUCUUUUCGACCUCGUCCUAAAGAACGACGAGCUAUUUAUUUCUCAAACGAACACACUCUCGUUAUAACACAAAAAUAGUUUAGUAUCGUGAGACGUGGGUGGUGCAUGUAUGAUAAAAAAUUAUAAUUAAUAAUUAUAGUGUCUACCUACCUACCAGUGAGUUGUGCAUGUAUUAUAAAAAAUAGUGUCGUUAUUUUUCAGAAAAUACUUUGUGAAUGUAAAAUGUUUUCACUCGGCAAAACUAAAGAAGUCCACGCGGAGGCUGAAGCAUCACAAACAUGUUGGGUACAGGAGAAAGACAGAUUCUUAAAUUGGUGAGAAUGACCUUUUAGCUACUUAGAUUUGAUUCCUUUUCAUUUCUAUCUCUCCAAACCGACAAGGGUUGAUUACAAGAAUAUUCCAGCUGGUAUAUAUCGCAACAGGUAAUUAAUUUCUCCACUUCUCUUUUCCUUGAUCAGCCUAAAUUAUUGAUAAAACCAACAACACUGUAAUACUAAGUCCAAUUAUGCCUUUUAUGGUAUUAAAUAUUUAUAUUAAAUAUCUUAUAAUUAUAAGAUAUUAUCUUAAAAAAUAAACAAACAUAUCCAAAGCAUAAAAAAAGAGGCUAGAAGGACAUAGCUCAUCUCUUUGAAUAACACAAUUCUACUAUAAAACUUAAACAAGGUUUAAGAAAUAUUUAAGAUUAGAAAAUACUCAUUCUCCCCGUCACCUGGUUAAAUAAUAUACUAACUUAAACAUUAUAAUGUUUUUCAUGCCGGCACACCAAGUCCUUUAAUUCCAAUUUUAUCAGCCAUAAAAACCACCCACAAUUUUGUCUUGUGGAUUUUUUCAAUCCUUUGGAUCCAUUUUUUAUCAGCCAUGAAAACCACUUGCAAUCUUUCUCUAAUGAUUUUUAUUUUGAAGUAAAAAAGUUUUAUUUUGAAAUAAAGAAAAAAAUAAAUUUUUAUUUUAUUUUUAUUUUUAGAAGAUAAAAAUAAACAUGCUUCAAUAACAAAAUUUAAUUUAAUUCAAUCUCAAAUAAAAAAAAUUAUCAUUUUUUUUUAACUUAAUGAGAAAGUAAAACAAAAAUUAAAGUCUUGGUCGCGCUGGGGUAUUAAUAAAAGAGACCCACAUUGCUUGAAGUUCAUUCCAUACUGCUGUAAAGUGCACCAAGGACUUCAUUAUCAAUUGUUCACUAAUUCAAAGUAGAAUUUUCUGCUUUCUUUUUUCUUUUUCUUUUUGCAAAUACUGAUUUUAUUGUUAACCCUCCUCAGAAUUCAUUGUUAAUUGGAAUAAUAAUUUUUUUAUUUAAUUUUAUUUUUAUUUUUUCACAUUAGAUUUAUUAGAUAUUGAAUUUUAUAAUUUUUUUAUAAUUUUGUUUAUGAUUUGUUUAUUUUAAUUUUGUUUAAUUUAAUUUUGAAUUCACUAUUUUAUUGUUUAAUUCAUUGUUUAAUUUUGAAUUCAUUGUUUAAUUUUGUUUAUUUUAAUUUUUAAUUCACUAUUUUAUUUUUGUAAUCUAAAUGAUGAGUUUUGGAGAUUAAUUUGAUUAACUUGAUAUUUUUUUAUUUUUUUUCAGUUUCUUCUUUUUUCUUUUUUGCAUAAAUCUGAUAUCUUUUAAAUAUGAAUUUCAUUGCAACUGUAAUAUCUCACCAUUCAAAUGGGUACAUCCAUCUAUAUUGGACCGGUCCUCCAGCUUUUGCCUCGAACGAUAGAUGUAUAGGGAGAUGCUCCAUUGAGUCAAAAAAUAAAAGAGGGAAUAUCAUCUCAAGUUUGCAUAGUGUCUCGAUGAUAUUCGUUUGAAGCCUCUCAAUGUGCUCAACAUUCAACUUGUUGGAGCAUAUAUCUCUGAAGAAAUGACUAAUCUCCGUCAGUGCAUCCCAUAUUCCCUUUGGCAACAAAUCACGAAAAGCUAAUGGGAUGAGUGUUUGCAUAAACACGUGGCAGUCAUGACUCUUCAUUCCAUAGAAUUUGCAGUCCUCUAUGUUAACAAGCCUUGAUAUGUUCGAUGCAUGUCCAUCCGGAAAACGCAGACUCUUAAGCCAUUUGUAGACUAGCAGUUGUGCGUUUUUCUCUAACACGAAGCUUGCCCUUGGUUUUGCGACCCGUGACUCCUCAUAAACCAACUCCAUAUUUUUACGGUUACAGUAUAAAGCUAUAUCCAAUCUAGACUUGAUGUUGUCCUUUGUCUUCCCCUUCACAUCCAUGACGGUGUUGAAAAUAUUCUCAAACACGUUCUUUUCGAUGUGCAUGACGUCAAGGUUAUGGCGAAGAAGAUUGGUCUUCCAAUAAGGAAGCUCCCAAAAAAUACUUCGCUUUACCCAAUUAUGGGUCAAACCAAAACCAGGAAACUUUUGCUUACCUGAUUGAAGGCCAAACACAAUGUCACAGUACUCUGAUACAACAUGAUGCAAUUCUUCACCAGAAAGACGCGGGGAUGCAACAUCUUUUUCAACUCUACCAACAAAGAAAUUUUUCUUUCUUUCUGAACCUGUGAUUAAGUGGCAAGAAGCGACGGUGACAGUCAAAAAGAAGCUUUACCUCGUUUGCUAGCGUGAAUGCCUUGUUGUUUUCCAUGCAGUAUGGACAUGCGAGUUUCCCAUGUGUGCUCCAACCAGAAAGCAUUCCAUAAGCUGGAAAAUCAUUGAUAGUCCACAUCAAAGCCGCCCUCAUAAGGAAAUUUUUUUCCUCGAUAUAUCAUAAGUCAGAGCUCCGGAGGACCACAACUGCGCCAGCUCAUCAAUCAACGGUCGAAGACAAACAUCUAUAUUCCGCCCGGCUGCUUGGACCGGGUAUGACAGUAGAUAAAAACAUGAACUCCGGCCUCAUACACAUUCCCGGUGGCAAGUUAUAAACUGUGAGUAUGACCGGCCAACAAGAAUAGGGAGCAGCAAAUGACCCAAAUGGGUUGAAUCCGUCUGUACACAACCCAAGACGGACAUUCCUUGAUUCAGCUGAAAAGUCAGGAUGCACACUGUUAAAGCGUUUCCACGCUUCGCCGUCAGAAGGAUGCACCAUCACACCAUCAACCGCAUCAUGUGUUUGGUGCCAUGUCAUGUGCUCAGCAGUCCUUCGUGACAUGAAUAACCUCUGCAGUCUAGGUGUGAUCGGGAAAUAUCUAAGUUUUUUAUACGCCACUAGAGUCUUUCCCCUGCCAGUUCUGGGUUUGUAACGGGAAUGCCCGCAUGUCAUGCACUCGGUCAUCUCAGCAUUUUCAAGGUAGUAUAACAUGCAGAAGUUAGGGCACAUGUCAAUUUUCUGGUAUCCUAAACCGAGGGGUUUCAUCAUGGACUUCGCAGCAUAAAAGUUCUCUUUGAGCCUGUUCCCUUCAGGUAAAAUGCUUCUUGCCCAAUCAAUAAUUUUGUCAUACCCGGCCUCACUCAGCCCGUGAUCUGACUUGAUGGUGAACACCUGUGCCACGGCCGACAAUUUACUGUGGUUUGUGCAGCCAUCCUAUAAUAGUUCGUCAGAAUCUUUCAACAAAUCAAAAAACCUAGCUGCCUCUGCAAUAGGUUCUUCUUCUACGAUUGGACAUUGACUGACAUUACCUUGAUUCAUGCUCAUUGCAUCCAUAACCAUGUUUCUAUAAGGAUUAGUGUUGUCAUUUGCCGCUUCAUGCACGUUGCUAGCACUAGAAGUUAACCCAACCACCGUUUCUCCCAUUCUCCUAUUACUAAUAAAUACCUCUCCAUGUGCAUACCAACACUGGUAAUCCUUCACAAACCCUUUGUGUAGAAGAUGCAUCAUUACAACAUCUAGAUGCAGAUACUUUUUAUUUUGACACUUCUUGCAUGGACACCUAAUACCGCCUCCAGUAAAAUUUCUGGGAAUAGAUGUUGCGAAAUUAAUAAAACCCUGAACCCCGUUACAAUAAUCCAUCCUCCGCAAUCCUUGGGGUGAAUCUAGAUACAUCCAUGAACGAUCAUCCAUGACUUCUAUCGAACCUCUAUAAAAUUAUGAUGACAUCAUGUAUAUAUUAAUUAACUAAGUUAGGUAAAUAAACUUGUAAAUAUAUUACUUUACCUCGAGAUUAUCCAACAAACCAAUCACAACUUCUCAUAAAUAUUAAAUAUUCAUUAUCAUUUAUCAACGUCCAUACAAAUUAAUAUAUAUUUAUAUAUAUAUAUAUAUAUAAAUAUAUAUAUAUAAAUUAACAGAAAUUACAACUCUGCAAUACCAUCGAUAAAACUUAAAAAGGAUCCAUUAAGCAAGCUAUUAAUUAUUUCAAAACAUAACAUGUAAUUCCACAAAGUUUUAACAAUUUACAAACAAAUACAAUCUUACAAAAUCUAAAACAAACCAUAACAGGUAUAAAAUUAUACAUUCAUAAACUACAAGUUUGUUUGAGAAAUAACAAUAAAACAUGUACAUCUACUAAUAAAAAUACAUAUACUAAAAAAACAAUAAAAUUGACAUUUAAAUGUUAAAAUUUAAAAAGAUAGAAUUACUUAUAAAAAUUGAUAAAAUCCGUCGGUAAAUCAGAACACGGAUAUUGUGACCACAAAACUUCAAGAAAUACAACUGCUGAGAUGAGAAAGAUUUUUAUUUGAGGGCGAGGGGCGGCUGGUUAUUUGCAGAUGGGGAGACUUAGGAUUAGGAAGAAGAAGGAGAAAUGGGGGAGGAGAGUGUCGCUGGGCGGCCAUAUAUUCACUUUUUCUGAUAGCCUCACCGACAGAAUAACACCGUCGGUGACUCCAUCGCUAAUUGUGACGGGGAAUCGACACGUCACCGCACGGACCUGCUUUUUCAAAUCCCUCGGUGAUUCCGUCGGUAUUUUUUGACGGUGCGCCUGUCACGUCACCCGUACGGAUCUGGCAUUCAAAUCCGUCGGUAUUUUUGACGGUGAAACGGUCACGUCACCCGUACGGGUCCCAGGUUUUGAAUCCGUCGGUGAUGCUGUCGGAAAAAUUACCCGCCAAAAGCUCCGCCUCAGGUACCCGCCCUUUUUUCAUUAAUUCUGAACUUUUCGUCCGUAAUUCGGUCGGUAAUUACCGACGGAAUCUAACCGUCGGUAAUUACCGAUGGACUUACAGACGAAAAUAUUAUGUCGGUAGUUUCGACCGAAAAAUACCGACAGAAAUAUGUCGUCGGGAUUCCGUUGGUAUUUAGUGAAUUUCUGGUAGUGUCUGAUCUCAAUAUAUAUGUAUGUGAAAACAAAGUAAUACAGUGCUAGCAAGGUUGUUCUUACCUUCUCCUGGAUGUAGCUGAUCAGAAGCAAGCAAAGUAAUAGAGCUCGAGAAACUGAUCAUCACCAUAACUUGGCAAAGCUGAAACAACAUUACCAUCUUGUGCUGAAAACUGGCAGAAAGAGCUCGAAUAAGUGUUCUCUUUGUCGAUAUUUGUAUUCAAUUUUAACUUUUUACGAUCAUUAUAAAAGAUUUAUUUCUUUUUAAAGAGUUAUUGGUUUUCCAUAACAUGUCAAUAGUUUUUUUAAUUUCUCUAUCAUAUAUAAUUUAUUUAAAAUUAUAUUGAUAUUGCAUCUUAAAAAAUUUAUAUUAAAGAUUAAAUUCCAACAAAUGUUUAACUCUAAAAAUAAUUGGAUUUCAUUUUUAAUUUUGUCUAAAAUGUACCUAUAUAAUUUUAAAUAAAAUUCUAACAAUCGCCUUCAUAAAUAUAAAUUGUCUAAAAAAAAUUAAAAUUGAUUCUAAAAUUUGUAGAGAAAUAUUGAUUUGGUGGAUCACUAUCUUAAAUGAAUAAUUUUUUAUCUUAAAUUUUUUUAAGUAAAAUACCAUCAGAUUUACUCAAUUAAUUAAAAUAUUUAUUUUUUAUAUAUAAAUCAAGAUAAUAAUAGUCAUAUGAAUCUUCUCCUCGUAUUUUCUUUGGUUCUCCUUAGUUGCAGGUUGCAAGAUGUUGAAAUUUAAAAGAUAAGAAGGCAGGCGUAUAUAGAGGCAUUUGUGCCACAAAUUUAAUGACUGCAAGCUAUGUUAGAGUGUUAUUUACAAUACAAAUACUCUAUAUUUACAAUGCAAUGAAUUUAUGCUCAUAGUAAAUGCCCAUUAUUUUCCCCUUGCGUUUUAAUAUAUAUAAGCAUAGCAACAAUAAAACACCGAUUGGGAACGUGGUGCAAACCGCGUUUCCAAAAAAUUCAAAAAAAUUCUUUUUGGUUACAAUUUAUUAUAGUUUGUAUAUUUUAGAUCGUUUUGAUGUGCUGAUAUAUAUAUAUAUAUAUAAAAGCAGAGCAACAAUAAAAACAGUGAAAAUCUUUUUUCUAUUUAUUUCUAUGUUUUAAAAAUGUUUUUAAAAAAAUUUAAAAGUGUUUCUUCUAUUAAUUAAUUAGCUAGCAAGGUUAUUCUUACCUUCUCCUGGAUGUAGCUGAUCAGAGGCAAGCAAAGUUAUAGAGCUCGAGAAACUGAUCAAUAUCACCAUAACUUGGCAAAGCUGAAACAUCAUUAACAUCUUGUGCCCAAAAUUGGCUAGAAAAGCUCCAAUCAGUUUUGAAAAAAAACAUAUUUUUGUGUUUUUUGAAAUUAGGAAAAAAAGUUUGAAUUUUUAUUUUGAAAUUCCAGAGAAAAAUAAAGUAUUUUUGAUAUCGGGUUUGUAUCUUAUAGUGUAAGUCUACAAUCUAAUAUUAGGCAAAAACUAUUUUCAAAAACACGUGAGGAACCCACAAAUAAUUUCAAAAUGGUCAUUGAAUUUGUUUUUCAGAAUCUUCUUUUUGAAAUUUUUAAGGGCCUCUUUUACUAAACCCCAAAAUAAAAACAAAUUUAAACUAAAAAAAAAAAAACUUAGGGUAGGUUUGCCAAAAGCGUUCUUAGCCUAAAAUUAGAGACAUUAAAAUUUCUUAAGGUUGUGUUUGGCAACACGCCUUAAGGACCCAAACAAAGCCUUAUUUCCUUAACAAAAUUGAUUGACACAAGUCAAAGGCACCUUUAGCUUUUGGGUUUGGCUUAGCCUAGCCACAUGGGUUGGCCUAUUGAGUUGGCUUGAGGCCUAAACCCCCACAUGGCUUAAGACCUACCCAACUUGAUUUUUGUUGGGCCAAAAGAUGUCCCAAAAGGCUUUUGUCUUAUAAACCUAUCCUAACCACAAGGUGAUAGGACCUUAAGUCAAGAAGAAAUGAACAUUCAAAAUCUUGCUUACAAAUUGUCUUCAGGACCUUAACUCCAAUAUACAAAAAUCUUUAAACUAAGGUAAACACAUUCCAACUAGGAACAUGAAGGUUUUUUUUUCCCCAAGUAAUAACCACACAAAACAUGGUUCAAUUUAGCUAAGGAAAAACUCUUGUCCAUUAAAUUCUAUAUUGGCUAUGAACUCGUAAAUAUUCUUAUUAUAUUGCUCACAUCUUAUAAGCCUUAAAAUUUCACCCCCUUCCAAUAUAGCUAAAUAUAUUUCCUGCUAGCAUAUCUUAUUUUUAAGUUCAACUCAGAAUCAAAACUCAUUAAUUAUAUGUAAGCAACACAAUUAAGGUUAAUAAAAUAAUGUCACACGAAAUUGUCUCAUCAAUAAUAAUCUUCAUAACUUUACUAGUUCAUAUCUUUUCCCAUAUCUUUGAUCUAAUUUGGCCACAUCAUAGGACUAGAGCCUCACAUUUGUUCUUAUUACGAUAUGAUCUAUGUCUUAGCAUGGUGGGUUGCAAAGAUCUUUAUUGUUUGUUUAUCAACAUGAUCUUCCUUACUAAUGAUUCCAACAUUAAGUUUCAACCACUCUUUUAAUGUUACAGAGAGAUGAUAAUUUGCUAACACCACUAUCAUCAUCUUAAGCAUUAAGUUGGUGCAAUUAUGAACACUUCUUCCUGUUAUGAUUGUCACAUUCGGACAUCGCGACAACCCGAUUAAAAAAUUUUCAAGGAAAAAGAAUAGAUAUCUGACAUCUUGUUUUUUAGAAGAAAAAAGUCUUGUUUAAAAAGUUGUCACCUAGUAUUAUGAUCAUUAGAAACCCUAAUUGGUUAACAUAGAUUCUAUGGUACGGGACUGCUUACGCGAAAGGGAAGAUACUAUUACCCCUUAAGUGUCCUACUUGAGGCAAGCUGCAUUGCUGGUUUUGUCUUAAAUUGCUAAAAGUUUUUUUUUUAUUAUGCUUUUCAUGGUCUGCCUAGGAUAUUCCUAACUCUAGCGUAAGUGAACACUUGACUACAAAUAUUUUCAACUCUAGCAUUAGUAAAUAUUACGCAACCCAAAAAGUAUAGCAUUCCUAACUCUAGUGCUAGUGAAUAAACCCAUAAAAUUUGGAUUAAAAGAAAAAAAAAACUAUUUUUAUUAUAUUUUUUGGGGGGCUAGAUCGAGCCUAGCUGCACAGCCUGUGCUGGACCCAAUUGGCCUGACCUAAUUAGCUCGACCUGGUCACUGGCCCAAGCUAAUGACCUGGCUGGUCACUGUUGCAUGUAUGCAUAAACUAUUCACGUAUGCUGUGCAUGGUGUGAAGGUAAUUUUAAUUACCUUCGCACAAUGUCAAAUACAAAUUACAAAGCAAAAAGAACAUGCUUGGUUCUGGAGACAAGAGGGUAUUUAGGAGUGUGGUAGCGCUUGCUUUCCAAAGUGAUUUUCAUUCUAAAAUACAUUAAAAUAAUUUUUUUAAAAAAAUUAUUUUUGACAACAACACUUCAAAAUGACAUGAAAACAUCAAAAAAUAUUAAUUUCAAGCAAAUAAAAAAAUAAAAAAUUUCAAUUUUUUUUUAAACACUUUUUAAAACGCAAUGCCUAACAUUAUUUAUUGUUUCUCGUUCACUUCCCCUAUGUUCUCUCUUUUGGUCUCCUAUUCUCUCUAUUUCUGUGCUUGCUAUGUUAUCUCUUUUGGUCUCCUAUUCUCUCUAUUUCUCUGCUUGCUAUGUUAUCUCUUUUGGUCUCCUUUCGCUCCCUAUUUCUUUGCUUGCUAUGUUAUCUCUUUUGGUCUCCUAUUCUCUCUAUUUCUCUGCUUGCUAUGUUAUCUCUUUUGGUCUCCUUUCGCUCCCUCUGUCCCUGUGUUUUCGUCCGUUUUUUCUGUCUCCUCUAGUAUUCUUCUGUCGUCCUGUACCUGUGUUUUCGUUCCUUCUCUUUCGUGUCUAUCUUCUCCUCUGGUUCUUUCUGUGUUUGUUUCUGUUUUGUCUUUCGUCUUUCAGUUCGUCCUCUCGGUUUCUUCGUUCUCUGGUUUUUUUUGUUGUGGCCUUCUCCUGGAAUGCUCUGUUUCUGGUGCAGUAGCUACUGAAUAUGGAGACCUAGCGUAAGGGCGUCCCUGCUGGUGAUCCUAGAGGCUGAUUUUCAGCUGAGGAGAAGAACUCUCGGAGUUUACAGGUUGCUGCUAUUGCUGGUUGGAGGCUGGUGUUCAGCUCUGCUAUGGCUGAUGAGGAACGGUAUUAUAGCUGCGCCUGUGGUGAGUGACCCGGCAGCCCUUAUGGUAUUCUUGUUGGGUGACUGAUCUACCGUGACAAUGAUUUAUGGACUGGUGCAGUCGCUGGUUGGAGCUGCUGCCAUUGGGAGAAGAGAGAUGGAGCAGCACCGGUUGAGAUGUGAAGGAACUGGCCACGGGGGAGAAAGCUGCGACCUUCGGUGAUGGCUCAAUGACCUGUAAUGGUUCUUAGUUUAAGAGAAGGUUGUGGUGGCCAUUUUUUGUUAGGGUUGCUCAGCCAUGCAACCGAUUGUGCCUUUUUUUUUUUUUUUAAAUUCUUCUACUUAGGUUUUCUUGUAAUGUAUUCCCCCAAAGGUUUCUUGUGAUGGUCUCUCCCUUCUUGUGCAUGUGGAGAUUUGUAUUUAAAUAAAAUAUAAUUAAAAAAUCCCAAAUAAAUUUAUUAUUUUUUUGAAAUUUAAAUAUAAUUAAAAAUCAAAUUUGAAAGAGAAUAAUUAUUAUUAUCUUGAUGAUAAUGAUAUAAUAAUUAAAAUAUAUUGUAUUAUCUAGUUUUUAUGUAAAUUAACAAAUUAUAUUUUUCAUUCAAACAAAUCUCAGAUCUUUUAAUUUUAUAUUUUAUCCCUUAUAAAAUUAAAUUAAAAACUAAUUAAUUAAAAUUGGAUUAUAACAAUGAUCAUCCAUCAUGUAUACCCUUUACCAUUAAUCCCUUUUAAAGUUACAAAGUCCACUAGAACACAAUCAGCCAUUAAUCUCUUUCAAACUCAGAAAUUCCGUUUCAGUACUCUAAAACCAAAUAUAACAAACCGUGAUUUCAUAAGUAAUUAAGACAAUAAUUCAACAUCACAUUCAUGAAAAUAUGGUCAUUUGUUUUAUCAUUUAACAACUCAUCAUGAUAAAAUCUUCCAUUUUACAAUUAACUCAAAUGAGUAAAUCCUUUUUCCCUUUUACUUUUUAUUUACAUUAACUUUUUUCCACACUUUAACAUAUGUUUCAUUUUUUAUUCAUAACUUUCACAUUUUUAGUCUUAGUGACUUCCUUUCUUAUAUGAAUCCACCUUAUAAGAAUUUCAUUUUUCUUUAGCCUUUCAUUUAGGAUUACCAACUCCAAUUGUUUAUAAUAUUCACCGGCAAGAUGGAAUGUUAAUGAUAUCUAACAUAUUGGAACAUUCAUUUAAUAUCCACCUCUUUUUAGCAUAAUUUACUCGAACAAACCUCAUUUUCUUAGGAAAUAUCCAUAUUACUUAUUUAGACCCUUUUUUAUAAUACUAUGGUUUUUAGGUAGAUUUGCUCGAUUUAAUUAAAUUUUGGUAAAGUUUUUUCUAUGUAGAACUCAAUCUACUUUUAACCUUAGAUAUGACCUACAAAUAGAAAUACAAAAUAGAAAAACAAUCAAUUAUUACAAUUAUAAGCUCAUAUACAAACAUUUCUAAUUUAUUAAAUUUAUAAAUUUACUAAAAGUAAUCCAAAAUCAUAUUAAAAGGAAGAUCUAUCAAUUCAAAUAUGCAAACAAAUUGAGUAAUAUGCAACUAAUAUUAAUAUUAGGGAAAUUCAACAAUUGUUCCCAAUACACCAUCAUUAAAACACAAUUCUUUUUAUUUUCUUUUUGGCCUUUUCUUGACUAUACUACCUAUUUCCUUAACUUUUCAUUUGUAAUUCUUUGCAAACAAGCCCUUACUCUUACACAUAAUUAUAAAUACUUCACACUAAUAACUUUAUAUCAUCUAUGUCGCACCCAAAAAAAAAAAAAAUCCAGCGCGCGAGAGCGGCUGUCGAUUUAAGUCUCGUUGUUGUGUUUGCUUUGAAUUCGUACGUUGGAGUCGCCACCUAGUAAUUUAUUGAGGGCUACUAGGAAACCUGAUGUACUGGUCUUAUCAGAGAUCGCGGGUAAGGGACUAGUUGUGGUUAGGGAAGGUAUUAGCACCCCUAACACACCCUACCUGAGGUAAGCUGCUUCGUGUCUUGAUGUGAUUUGAAAAUUUAAAAUAUUAAUCAAAUUCUAAGGCUUGAAUAAAUCAGUUAUUAAAUCCCCGAAUAUAUGUAGAAACUUGUUCUCACAUUUUCAUGGAAAAUACAACUUGAUUUUAUUUGUCCUUGAGAUAUUUAACUAUAUUUAAAUUAACAAUUAAAUCUUUUUGUCUUUUUUUUUUAUUUUUAUAAUUCAAUAACAUAAAUAAAAAAAAAUACAAACACACAACUUUUUUAUCAUUUAUUUUUCUUUUCUUUUCUCUUUUCUUUUACAUCACAAUACAAAUACAAAAUCAAAUACAAAUACAAAUUCAAAACAAAUAAAUAAAAAUUACAUUAAUUAAUUCCAAAUUUACACAAUAGUCCCUAAAAACUCCGGAAAUUGCAGGGAAGGACUUCUGCACCCGCAGGAACCUUGGCGGCGCGUCUCAACACGCGCCACCGUCACUGGCGGCGCGUGGGUUCACGCGCCGCCGUGAACAAAGACAGAACACGGGUAGAUCUGGUUCAACUUCCUUUCCCUUUCCCCUCUCUGCUGGUGGUGACAACCACCGUCACCUGCAAACGAAAAAAAAGAACACAGGCAAUCGAUUUUAAUUUUUUAGAUCUGUUUUAAUUUUUUUUCUUCUGCCCGUUUCAGGUCUGCUCAUUUCGAUUUUCUCUCCUCCUCCGGUGCUAGAUCGGGCAGUUGGUGGAUCUGUGGCCGGGCAUGGAGAUCGGAGGAGAAGGGAACUGCUAGGCGGUUGGAAGGAGAUGAAGAAAACGGCGGGGCCGCCGCUGCGUUUGGUUGAGGAGCUGGAGACGGCGCCGAAGGAGAUGACGAAGACUGCUGGAGGCAGUGAGCUGGGUGUGGCUGGAAAUGGCUGGGACUAUGGAGGCAACAACCGACCUCUGUUUCUGGGAGAACCGAGAGAGGGAGGUUGUAGAUGGGUGUGGCCUGGUUUGUGUUUGGCGAAAAUGGAGAUUGAAACCGUGUGGGGGGAGGAAAGUGGCUGUUGGGUCUGCUGAGGGGUUUCGGUGGAGGCCGGUUCGGUUGGUUCUUUCCUCUGCCAAGAAGAUGGAGAGACCAAUAGGAGAUGGGAGGGGCGGCUGGUUUCUUUUCCCAGUGAGAGGCGGCCUCAAGAAGAAGAAGAUCAAAAAUGGAGGGGGGGCUGUCUUUGGGUUUCUCUAAGUGUCGGCUCUGUGUUGGGGAAGAAGGGGGAAAAAAAAAAUGGUGAUGAAGGGGAGUCCUGAAAACCGGCUGUUGAAGGGGGGAAAAAAUCAAAGAGCUCAGGGGCUCUCUUGGGUGAGCGGCUGCAGGGGAGAAGAAGAAAAUCUCCAACGGGACUGGGGACUGUGGGUGCUGCCCCCUACUGCCGGGACCCGAAAAAUGACUCCCAUCCCCCCUUUUGCCCAGCUGGGAAUGAGAAGAAAUAGGGGAUUUUCUUGUCAUUACGAGGAGGGCCACCAUGUCGGCGGGAAACAAGGAAAAGAGGAUCAUGGGUGGGGCUGAGCUGCUAAUUUUUAGCCGAAAGAGAGGGAUUAAAUAAUGGUCUUGGGCCAUGGGCAACGACUAGUUUCGGGUGAAGAGAAAAAAAUUCUUAGGUUGCCCCUUCUUCCAAAAUUCAAAAUUCCAUAUACAUAGGCAAAAAUAUUGUUCCGGCCUCAAAAUUGGUCCCUUAAUUUUCUUUUUUUGUAAAAUUUGAUUUUUCUUGUUUUUUUGUAUUUUUUUGAAAACGAGCAAUAUCAACGUCGACUCAAAUACGGAAAAUCAAUUAUUUUAAAAAUGACGCGUGAAAAGUCGAACGCGUUCGAAAGACCCUUAAAAAUGUUUAAAAAUUUUAGACGACGUUGAAAAUGCUAAAAUGACAAAAAUAUAUUAAAAACAUAUUUUUUUUGGAUUUUCUUUGUUUUUCUUUAUUUUUGGAUUUUUUUGAAAAUCUAUCAAAAACAUGGGUCAAAAAUUGGGUAGCAACAAUCUAGUAUAUUGGAUUAUCAAAGUUAUGGCCUAACCAUGCAAUUAGCUUAGUUCUUUCUGAUAUCUUUGAUGUCCCUUUCUAAAAUCAUCCAAAAGACAUUUGAUAUGUAGAUUUCUACUCGAAUGACCAACUCAUAAAUGUCAAAGAACCAUCUCAAUCCAAUAACUUAAGCUGUUAGGUGAGGUUCUAGGAUAUGAUUUAUAUUAUUCUCUAACACACUCCCUCAAGUGAAAGCCCUUUGGGCUUGAAACUUGCAUAGACCCACAUUACCUUGUACUUAAUUUUUAUCAAAUAAAUGGAGAAUGUGAGAUUCGAACUCGUGACCGCUUGGUCAUCAAGGCUCUGAUACCAUGUCAAAGAACCAUCUCAACCUAAUAGCUUAAGCUGUUAGAUGAGGUCCCAGGAUAUGAUUUAUAUUAUUCUCUAACAAUAAACACUCGAUCCAUAGUCUCCACUCAUGUGGUUAGCUUAUCAAUUCAUGACAAGUAACCCCUAUUUAUGUGGUUGGCUUAUCAAUUAAUUUUAUAUAUCUUUGAUAUAUAUUUUUUUUAGAUGCAAACACAAUAAUAAGAAGUUUAAAAGUAACAUUGUUUUAAAUAUAAGUAAGGUGGAGAACAUCUAUUUGUUCUUUCGGAUGAUCUAGUUAUUAAAUACUGAUGCCUCUUUUUAUAAAAAAGAAGAUCCAAACAUUCACAUUUAUGUUAUCAUUGUUGAAUUCAUAACAAGACAUUUCAUUAUACCCUAAUUUCUACACCUUUCAAUUAGUCCAUUUCUUAUUUCCAUUAUCUUAUAUAUUAAUUUCCUUGUUUUACAAUAAUACACAAUAUUAGCAAUAAUAUUUACUAGCAUCAUUUUUCUCUUAACUUAUUUUAUUUGACACAUUCCGCAUCUUAUAACUUGGUCAAAUAUUUAAUUUUGUUUAAUAUGCUAAUAUUUUCCACAUUGCAUUGCAUAUACAACCUUUCAAAAUUCACAGCUUACCACUUAAUUUCCAUAACUACCUUGAAAUUUCUAAACACACGAAGUCAAUAUAAUAUAUUUUAAUGAGUAUGCAUGCACUCAAGAAUUUUUAUCAAUAUCAAUUUUAAUUUUUAUUCUUUUAAUUUUGUUUUUACAAUAAUUAAAAAUUAAAUUAUACAAAAUUAUCCUACCAUUUAAUAUGCAAAUAACAUCCAAUACAAUGGACCCAUAAUAAUAUACAAUAUGAAUAGUAUGAAAAAUAUGAAGGCAAUGAAAAUAUAACUUAUAAGAUCUAAAUUGUACAUUAUCAUUGUUCACUAACAUCCAAGCUGUAAAAUCUUAAAAAUCAUCUAAUCAUUAUCAGCUAAUAUUCUUUUAGUUUGAGAACUUUUUUUUUUAUCAUGUUCAAGGAGUCUGUUCUUUUUUAUAAAUCAUGUAUAUAAAUUUGCUGGUUCUCCAUAUAUUUUUUUUAUUUGAUAUAUAUAUUUUUGAUUAAAAAAAACACAAAAUCUAAAAAAUCAAAUAAAAAAAAUUAUAACACAACAUAAACAAGAGAUAAUUGCAUUAACAGUACAUGAAUUUUAUUUUAUUUUUGUUUAUAUACACCAACUUAAGUAAGAAUUCUAAUCAAGCACUUUCAUCCAAACUCUGUUAGUUCCUUUUUUGUUUACGUGUACUUUGGUAUUUAUUAAAAAAAAAUUGCAACAUUGAUAUACCAACUUUCAGUUUUCAUCAGUCAAGUAAAUAAACUUUUUUUUUUCCAUUAAAGUACACCAUUUUUAAAAAAUCUCAUACAAAAACAAGCUGAUUCCUUCUUUAAAUUUAAAUUUUAUUAAAAAUAUUCAUAAUAUCCAUCCCCAUAAAUCGGGAGUAAUAAUCACUGGCCAGGAACAGUGCCUUGGGCUCUGAAUUCUCACAACCACGGAGAUAGCUUUCAGAGACCGUUUACAUAUAUAGAAUUAUAAAUCCAUAACCAUACCAAGAUGGAUGGUAAGCAACAAAACGUUGUGUAGACGUCUAAAUAUUGAUCCUCUGUAUCAUCAUUAUAUGAUUACAAACGAAGCUCCCAGCAUGUCUUUGGCUUUUUUCAAAUUAAAGACGAGGUUUCCCUGAGGUUUAAACUUACGGACUUGGGAUUGAUGAGGUAAAGAUCAGGGGCAGAUGUAGAGGAAUUUCCAAUCCGUGAUUUAUCUGAUGGAGGAAAGAGGUCUUGUGUGCUGUUUAAACUCUGGUCUGUGACCUGCUGAUAGUGGCCUUUGACACGUUUGGAGUAUAAAUGCUAGGAUCUGAGGUCACCUCCGGGAUGCUGGUCUGUCCUUCAAGCAUGCUCACCACUUCUGACAUUGCAGGCCUUAUAGAUGAAGAAGCAUUGGUGCAUAAGAGAGCCGCUUUGAUCAUCCUCUCAGCCUCUUCCUUGUUGAAUUCAGACUGCAGCUUUGGGUCCACUAUCUCCAUUAAAUUUUCCUUUUUUCGCAAUACAUGAGCCUGUGACGACAAUUUCAAAGAAAAAUAAGAAGGAAGCUAUGAUAUUUUACCAAAUGUACCAUGUUUUGCAUUGAGAACUGAUGCCUCACGCGUCAUUAAUUCAGGAUAGCAACAGAAACAGACUGACGAUGAUUUACCCAGUCAAGAAGACAAACAUUUUCUUUCUCUGGCCUGUAACUUGAGUUGCUCUUUCCACUGACAAUUUCUAAGGCGACAACCCCAAAACUAUAAACAUCUGCUUUAUCUGUUAGAUAGCCCCACAGUGCUAUUCUGGAGCCAUAUAUCCUCUGAAAUAUAUAUAAAUAUAUUUUUAAAAUGCAGAAUUAGUGCCCUUCAGAGACUUGAGGAGUAUUACUAUCAAUAAACUUCACGAAUUAAAUUAGUCUCAAUACAACAUACAUAGUUCCAGCAACUCGAGUGCUAAUAUGAGUGUUCUCAUCUUCAUUGAGCUUAGCUAGUCCGAAGUCUGAUAUCUUGGCAUUUAGAUCUUUGUCCAGUAAUACAUUUGUACUUUGAUGUCCCUGUGAACGAUCCUGAUUGCAGAUCCUUCAUGGAGAAAUGCUAAACCUCUGGCUAUUCCAACACAUAUCUUAUACCUUGUUGGCCAAUCCAGCAUCAGAGCACUUGUUUCGGAACCUGCUCCUAAUAGGAUUGUUGAUAAGAUCAUUUCAUGUUUGCUAGUUGAUGCAGUGUUAAAAAAUAUAUUUACUGGAAAUUUAUCAACAAAUGCUACAUGGUUACCAAAAAGUGCACGAGAGAGGGAGUUGUUUUCCAUGUACUCGUACACCAGAAGCAACUGGUCUCCUUCAAUACAGCAUCCAUAUAGCCUUACAAGAUUGGGAUGCUGUAAACAAGAUAUCAUGCCUAUUUCGUUCACAAAUUCACGGUUUCCUUGCCUGGAUUUAGGAGAUAGCUGCUUAACAGCAAUAAUAGUACCAUCUGCUAAUUCACCCUGCAUUGGAAGUCAAUCACGCAUCUAAAUGCUAUAGUGUUUUGGGGGCGGAUUCACCCAUGCAUGAUUCCAAUAAUAAAAUUGUGAUAAUAUGAAAAAUUCAUUAGAUGACAAACCUUGUAUACAGAUCCAAAACCACCCUCUCCAAUCUUGUUUUCUGAAUUGAAAUUGUCAGUGGCCGCUUUUAGCUGCCUCAAGGUGAAGGAACCAGUUUUCAAAUCUAGCCCUUUAAGCUCUGCACGUAGCAGUUGAACAUCAUACAUCCAUGCACUACGCGCAUUCUUUAGUGUGAUUCGCCAUUAUUUAGAAAAUUAAGAGAAGACUCAGUGUGAGGAAAUGACUGAUUUUACAAUACCUCGUUCUUUUGUGUAUUUGUGUCCAUAGCAGAGCUUCCAAUAAAUGAAACCCAUUACCAAGAGAAUAAGGAACGCUGCUGAAGUGACAACUCCGAUCACAAUAGGUUUCUUGCUUGUUUCCUCAGGUUCUGAUAUUAAAUAAAAUUGCAAACGCAAAGAAGGCUAAACAUCCCAUCAAAUGGAUAAUAAACAUUAACGCUGUAAAGACCACUAUAGCACAGUUCAAUUCUCACCUUCACAAUAAGUUCUGUAACCUGAAAAACCACAGAUCACGGAAAGAUUCUUAGGAUGGGAUAAUGAAGUGAGUGGAAGAAGCUUACAGUUACAGUGACAACAAAAAUCAGGCUAAUCACUUAUGCAGAUUGGUUUAUGAGACACCUUAAAUGUGUUUAAUCUUGUUUCACAUUCUCUCAGAUAUUUCCUACAUCAGUUAGGGGAGGAUAAAAAACCCAGAAAGCUCAGAAAAUUGAAAUAGAAAUGAAUUCAAUGGUGUCCUACUGUAUAACUUAAACUCCUUGAAGUCUGUAAGUUUCAAAUGAGAGGCAGAAAAAGAACAUGUAACAUACCUGAACAUACGGAUAUAGCAGAAAUUAUAGGACCAUAAUUUCCUCUUAUUGGAAUGGUAGUAGUGCCUUUUCCAGCCCAGUAUAAUCGGAUCUCCAGGGUACGGUCUGUCACAGUGGUGUUGAAUGCUCUUGUGAAAUUUCUGUUAGAUCCUUUGGCUUCCUCUGUAAAGUUAAAAUCCUUUCGCACUUGUAUUCCCUGGAACAAAGUUUCCUACUCAAAAGGGUUUCUUUGAAAAAAAAAAAGAAGACAUCCACAAUCUCUUCGGAAGGAAAAGAUAAUUAAUUACUUGAAUGUAAAUAUCAAAAACACGCCUUGCAACUUUGUCGUACAGUUUUUCAUCUGUGAAUUGUAUCUCAGCAAAGUGGAGUCUGACAGUGUAAUUCCCAUUUUCUAGACAAUAUCCAUAAUAAGUGAUAGACAGUGGAGUUUUACGUGCUGUUGCAUACAAUCCAAAGUCAACUAGAGAAGUAUUAGAAUUUGAUUGAAGCGUAUAUUUGUUAUCAUAGAAAUUUUCAUCAUCCAUGAAAUCUCCUGUGCUGCUGAAUCCCCAGUUUGAUCCUGAUCUAUAAUAACUCCUUGCAGCAGCAUUACUUCCACUAUCUUGAUCACCUUCAUACAAGAUUUUCCCAUUCUUUACAUCUUGUCCACCACAGUUUAUAUGGAAUGAACGAUAAUCUGCAGCACAUAAAACUAGUAUACCAUUAGCAUAUCAAUGGGGGAAUGAAUUUACUUUACUACAAAGCUUCAAAACUAUGAUUAGUCACUGGUCAACACUUCAUCAUUGUCAGAUUAGUUCAACUCAAUGAAUUCACCCUGUCAAAAUUUUGGUUUCUGACGGUGAAACCAGUGGUCAAGUUCUACUUCAAACCUCGUUUUGAUUUAUAAAUUUUCCAACAAAGUGACCAUGAAUUGACCUUAUUAGUUUUUCGAGAUAGAAUCUAAUUAAAAAGCUAACAAUCAUCAAUGUCAUUCAAACAUUGAAGUAAACGAAUAAAUAUGGUACAUCGAUAAACUUUAAUGGCACACUCGGAUUUUAUGAAGUGCACAGGUUCUUAUUAUGAAAAAAAAAAAAAAAAACCAUACAUUUUGGGCACCGAGAUAUCUCUGAGCAUGGAAGAAGAUCGCUUCUGUAUAUCAUGGAAAUUAUAGUAUGUUAGAAUAAUAAAUGGUUUUGUAGAUUGAAUUCUAAGAAUCUGGUAUCAGAAAAUAGCCUCGGAAUCAGAAUCAAAACAUGCUUAAAAAAGUUGUAUCACUUGAGGAAAAUAUUCAAGAUGUGUUUGCUCUUUGAAAAAAUGAUAAGCAUUAUACUUUGAGCAUAAAUUAAUUUUGGAUAUCUAUCUAUUCUGCUUAGGUAGGAUUUAAAGAUGUAGUAUAGUUAUUAUUUAGUUACAAUAUCAAAAUAUGUUUUGUCUGAAUUCCACGUUCAUCCGAAGUAAUUGUAUCUGUCUCUGCAACUCUGUACUCAUGAUAGUAUAUUUUGUUAUUGCAAAUAGGUACAAGAUCUUGCUGGUAAUUCUUUUGACCCUGUGGGAUUUUUUGAAAUCACAUGCAGCAGAAUCUCUAUUGCUAAAUUUCAUCUCCAGAAAUAUAAAUACGAAAAACAUUGCAGUCCACAGAGUAUAAAAGAAGAUCUUACAAUUUAUUAUUGCUGGACGAGCUUCGGAACCAGUUUAUAUUAUUCCUGAUUUAUAAACUCAAAUCAUUCAGUUUCAAAACCACCAAGAAUAUCCCAUUUCAAAUAUUUAUGAGCAUCCUUACUCGUUACUGCUGCUGCAUCUUGGUGACCGUGAAAAGUUAUUGUACGAAACAUCGCUGGAAAAGAUCAAGAAAACCAUAAAUCUAAAUACAAACUUCCACAAGGUUAACAAAUAAAGAGAAUAUAUAAACUUCACGAUGCAAGCGCUAGAAAUGCACUAGCUUUCAUAUAAUGGUUUUUCUUUUAUUGAUGGUGAUGGCUUGGAUGACUAAGAUUUAAUUAUUUUCAAGGGAAAUGGUUUCUUAAUUUGUUUUAGAAUUGAUCUGCUAGAAUUGAUGGAUUAUUUAAGGGGUAUCAUCAAUUUUAUUAUUAGGUUGAAUUUUUUUUUUAAAAUGAUAUUUUUAUAUAAUUGAUGACAAUUAAAUUGUAUUAAUUUAGAUUGAAUAAGUUGUAGCAACUGAUGUAUCCGAUAGAAAUUAGGGAAUGAGAUAUAAGAGCAGAUUGUAGUGUAUAUAUCAUAAGCAUCCUACGAUCUAGCUCGGUCAAUCAGGAGUUGGUUCAACAAGAAAUUAUUGUUGUUACAGCCAAUCUAAGGGCCCAAAUAGAGGCGCAGUAUGAAGAAUGAAAUGGGAAGCAAUAGGAGAAGAUUAUGAUAAACAUGUCAACUCAUUAUCCUUCUUCUUAGAAGAGCAUCUUUAAGGAAAGAAACUGUUUAGAAGGGCUAAAUUGAUAAUGCAAAUAUGAUAUUUUUUUUAUGAAAAAAAAAGUCAUUUAGAAAAUCCAAUUGUAUUUUAAUAUAUUUGAAAUUUAUAUAACUAUUUAUUAAUUAUAAUUAACUAAUACAACUCCAUUGAAAUCCAAUUUUAUCUCUUAAAUAUAGCUCUCCCCUUGGAGCUAUAAACAUAAGGGAUGAAAACCAAAUAUUUCUUUUUCCUUUUGGCUUUCUUUUUUUUUCUCUUCCCUUAGAGAUGUCUUGAACCUUUAGGAGAUUUUCCUCCCCCUCCCCUCCCAAUCUCCGCUUGCAACUCCAACUUCUUUCUAAUAUAUAAUGAGAGUAGCUGUUGCACAAAUUGUUUACUUUCUAGAGAACAAUUGUAUUGCAAACUCUACACAAUACACAUGCCAGUGUUCUAUAUAAAUACAUAAAGUCAUAAACAAUAACAUCAACCUUCAAAUCAUUUAUGAAAAUUUUAUUGUUUCAAUGAAGUCAGGUUUCCAAACAUCUUAAAUGAAAACCACAGAUCAAUACAUGAUUUUCAAGAUUUAAGGAUAGUAUUAACUAAAAUAUUUUUUAAUGUUAAUUUGGACCAUUUAUUGAAAUUAGUGAAAUUUUUCUUUUAUAAAUUUUUACUUCAAGGAAAAUUUUGAAUAUGAGAGAGCUUAUAAUAAUUUUACGAGGAAGAUUUAAGAGAAUCACGCUCCAAGUAUGAAAGAUCCAAUCCAAAAUUAUUUUUUUUAUUCCAAAUAUUAAAAUUUUAUUUUUCAUUUACUAACAGAUAAUUAAUUUGUACCAUAUAGGUUGCAUGAUUUUUGGUAUGAGGCACAAAAGAAAGCCAAAAAUAUAUGAAAGAAAGAAAUCUUCCAUGCUAGAAUGACAUGAUAGGUUGGAAAGAUUUUGGAUCGCCAUACAUCUCAGAGGCUGUAUUGACAAAAUACAUUCAUUAUGUGACGUCCACACAUUUCACUUGAUGAUAGGAUAUUUUUUACUACAUCAAUUUUUUUAUUAGUUGUUUUUUUUAUAAAUAUAUUGAAUUGACAACAUUUUUUAUUGCAUGCUAUAGUUUUUGUAUGCGAGCCAAGCUUGAUGAAACUUUUUGUUGAAAUGCAUGUGCGGAGUGAUGACCGUAAAAAAGGGGUGUGGCAGUUCGUUGAUAGCCGAGCUCAAUAUUUUGUGGUAUGUUGGUGUUUAAUUAUUUUUUUUAUUAAGUUAUUAUGUCUUUGGAUUUGAUGAAUUUAUUUUUUCUUUACAUGAUACAUAUAACAGUCGGUUGACGGAGAGAUACGAGGAUGAACCUUCGACCCAUUUGGAUAUCGAUCUGGAUUUGUGGUUGGAGGGAGGAUCAUUUGGUGGAUCUGAUAGAAAUUGAGUGUAUGGAAUCUCUAACACUGACUGAGAUUUUAUGAAUGACCCGCACUACUUCAACUGUUGGAUGCUCGGAAUCAAUUCUAAGCAAUCAAACUUUAGAGUUCGUAGUGAUGUUGGACCAACAGGUACAAGAUCGAAUAACCUAUCUUAAUGAUAAAUAUGAUGACUCACUACUGGUUAUGGAGAAUUUUGUCGAUUGGUAAUGAAGAUGAGAUCAUAGAUGGAUGGUUCAUGUUUAGGGUGAGCAAAAAAACCAACAAACCGAGAAAACCAAAAAACAAACAACCAAAAAAACCGAACCCUAAAAAAAAACUAAGUACACUGAUUAGAAUAUUUUUUUAAAAAAUUCGAUCCGGUUUCGGUUUCAUAAGCUUGAAAUUAAAAAACUGAAUCGAACCAGUUUAGUUAAGAAAUAAACCAAACCAAACCAAACCGAACUAAACUGAAAAAACUCAUUAGAAAGACCAAAAAAACAAUAUAAUUUUCAGUUUUUAAUAUCAAAUAACCAAAUCGAAACCGAAUCAAAUCAAAUUGAAUUGAAACCGGGCAGUUGAGUUUCAGUUUUUAACUUAAAAUAACCAAAUUGAACCGAAACUGAUUUCAGUUUGAUUUUUUUUUUCUUUUACAAAAUUUCAAUUUGAUUGUUUUUAUAGGUACAAACCGAACUGAACUGAAAAUGAUCACCUCUAGUUCAUGUGCACCCCUUAAUUUCCCCUACAUUCCCGGUGACAACCUACCUCCUCCUCCUCGUCCAUUGUCGCCUUUAUUUUAGAUUUAUUGUAUUCAAUCAUUAAAAAAAAUUGAUAUGCUUUGUCUGUCUGUAAAUUCAUCGAUAUAUUUAUUAUCGAUAAGCUCACUGACAAUCUAUAAAUUUUUGACAAUAGUUUUUUCGAUAGACCAUUUCUAUCUUUGAGUCUUUUCGGUAACAUACAUAUCGAUAGAUUGCUAGUGUAAACACCAAAAAAAUUUAUGGGUAAAACAAUUAAAUCCGGUAACGUUCCAUGUUAAAAAAUAUAAUUUAUCUACAAGUUGUGGUUCUGGGUCUCUAUACUCAUUAACCUCUUAUGAGUAUGAAUAUAAGCAUAAUAUGAAGAAUUAUUUAGGGGUCUUCGAGAGUAUAGUAAUUAGAGACAAGCAUGAGAAUGAACUAAUCUCAUGAUGAAAUUGGGAAUGAACUUGUUCAUGAUGCAUAAGAGACAAGCAUGAUGAAAUUGAAUGCAGUGCUGUCAGCAGUGAGACUGCAGUGCAGAGUGUUAGCAAAGUGAAGUCAAACAAUGUCCCACCUCCACCAUAUACAACUGGGAAUAACUAAUCUCCCACUUAGCACAUGAUGAAGGCUUAAUUUAAGACAUAAAUCAUAGCAUGAUUUAUGCCCUUUGCUCCCAGCUUAGUGUGUAGAGAGAGUACAAAGAGAACAAGAUAGAGAGAGCUUGAGUGAGAGUGAGUUGAGUGGAGAAGAGUGUUUUUCUCUUCCUUUUUUAUUUGAAUUGUUUCUUUGAUUGAUUAAUAUAAAAUAGUAGUCCCGUAGAGAAGACAAGUUGCCCGAACCAUGUAAGUUUAUAUGUGUUUGAUAUCUGAAAUUUCCCAAUACAGAGAAGGCGAAAAAAGUAAAGAGGUUUUUUUAAAAUCAAAAUUAAGUACUUGCAGCUUCCCUCCCAGGUUAUAUUACUGUGUUUCAGCGCAGAGAGGUCAAAUCUCAUAUUUGUAUAUUCAGUUAAGGUCAUGCAGUUCAUAAACUUACAGGUAUUAGUCAUGGAUCUUCAAGGAAAAAAAGCAAAGCAUAUCAAUAUUCAAAUAAGUACUGAAUCCAAUGAUGGGUGUAAUUUAGGAACCUACAGAUUUGGGCUGUUUUGGAGGAAUGAGUCCUGCACUGUUCCAGUCAGCUUGUUGCCACUCAAAAACCUGGUAAGAACCACACUCAUACUAUCAGCAUAAUUUAUUGCGCCAUCCUUGAUAAGAUUUCAAUAACCAAAUUUCAAAUUAUCAGACUUUAGCAUUGCUCACGUAAACUGUCGUCGUCGUAUUGUAUUAGGAGGAAUCUCCCCAACCAACUUGUUAAAAGUUAAGUCGCUGCAAGAAAUUGCAGCAAACAAAAUUUUAGGCUUCAGUCUCUGAAGAAGAUUUUACAUCUUUGUAAAUAUAAUGGUAAUAAACAGGUGAAAAUAUAUAUAUAUAUAUGUAUAUAUGUCUCAUAAUUAAAGGUUAUUAAAUUCUUUGAAGUAGUCCUCUAUUUAUAUUCUUCCUUGGAGAGUUGCAGUUGCUUGAAAUUGUUGGUGGGAGGAACCACUGGUGGUGGCUUUGAAACACUCAGAGGGGAUAAAACACACUGGUUUUAUUACAAAAUCCGAAGCUUACAAAUAACACAAAAUAAAAGCUUAAUACACGCCCUCUCUCUCUCUCUUUCUCUUUCAAGUGUUUCUCUCUAUUCUCUCCACACGAAAUAACAUAACUGAGCACCCUAUUUAUACAUAAAUUCAGAAUACGAAAAUCUACUGUUCCAGGUGUGAAGGCGGCUGUUGACCGGUGGUGUGAAGGCGGCUGGCGGCUGGUGGCUGCGGUCGGCGGCUGGUGGUUGCCUUCCUUGACCAUCUAUGUGAGUUUAUUAUUCAACAAAUCUCCCCUUAAACUCAAUCGAGGGAUGUCAUGCCAAGCAUGAACUUUAAUCGGAUGAAUACUUCUCCUUCAAUGGCUUUGUGAAGAUGUCAGCAACUUGAUCAUUUGUGUUGCAAGAUAUCAGUUGGACUUCUUCAUUCUUCACAUGUUCCCGGAUAAAGUGAUGACGUGUAUCAAUGUGUUUGCUCCUCUCAUGAUACACUGGAUUCUUUGCUAAUGCGAUUGCUGAUCGAUUGUCAAUAUAAAUCUCCGUAGGACUUUCUUGAGGAAAUCCCAAAAACUUCAGCAUAUUCCUUAACCAUAUUGAAUGGCAUACGGCUGAGUUGGCAGCAACAUACUCAGCUUCACAGCUUGAUAAUGUGACAAUCGAUUGCUUCUUGGAUGACCAUGUGAAAGAUGUGUCUCCCAUGAAAAAGACAAACCCUGUUGUGCUUUUCCUUUCAUCCAGAUCUCUACCCCAAUCACUAUCCGAGUAGCCUACAAGAUUAAAGUCUUUACUUGAGGUAUAAAACAUACCUUCAUUCAUUGUGCCUUUGAUGUAGCGAAGAAUUCUCUUGGCUGCAUUCAAAUGAGACUGGUCUGGUGUCUCCAUGUAUCUGCUGACGAGUCCGACUCCGUAGAGUAUAUCCGGUCUGGUACAUGUCAAGUACCUUAAGCUUCCUACUAAGCUUUUGAAGUAAGUUGGAUCAACAUUUCCAACCUUACUCUUCCUCAAUUCCACUCCAUUCUCAACUGGAGUUGAUACCGGAUUGCAGCUUUCCAUCUUGAACCUUUCAAGAAUAUCUUUGGCGUAACCGCUUUGGGAUACAAAAAUCCCUUCUUCCUUCUGCGUUACUUCUAAGCCAAGAAAAUGUGACAUUAGACCAAUGUCAGUCAUUUCAAACUCCUGUACCAUGCUUCGUUUGAAGUCGUCAAACAUGGUAGGGUUGUUGCCGGUGAAUAUCAAAUCAUCAACAUACAGGCACACAAAUAAGAUGCUGCCAUCUGCUCCUUUCUUCACAUACAUUGCGUGUUCAUAUGGACAUUUUUCAAAUCCAUUAUCUUGAAAAUACCUGUCAAUUCUGGUAUUCCAAGCACGCGGAGCUUGCUUCAAACCAUAGAGAGCCUUCUUCAACUUGUAUACUUUGCCUUCAUUUUCAGCAUCAAUGUAUCCAAGUGGUUGUUCAACAUAGAUUUCUUCUUCUAGGAAGCCAUUCAGAAAUGCUGACUUCACAUCGAGUUGAUAGAUCUUCCAUCUAUGUUGUGCAGCUAGUGAGAUCAUCAGUCUGAUUGUCUCUAGCCGGGCUACUGGAGCAAAUACUUCUCCAUAGUCAAUGCCUUCUCUCUGUUUGUAGCCUUUAGCCACUAAUCUGGCUUUGUAUCUUUGCACUUCUCCUUUGGCGUUCUUCUUCGUCUUGUAGACCCAUUUGACACCUAUUGCUUUCUUGUUUUCUGGUAGAUAAGUCAGCUUCCAGGUAUCAUUCUUCUCAAUGGCAUGUAUUUCUUCAUCCAUUGCUUCUAUCCAUUUCUCUUCUGUGACAGCUUCAUUGAAGUUUAAUGGGUCACUAUCUGCAAAGAAACAAAACAGAGUUGUAUCUUCCAUGACCUGAGUGGUAUCGUACAACUCUUCAAGAUUCCGCAUCCUUCUUGGUCCUUCUGAUGAGGAUGCUGGUGGUGUUGAUGAUGAUGCUCCUGGUGUGUUCCUCCUGUUGAAUACAGGGAAACUGUGUGCCGGACUUUGUGGUUCAGCUGCUGGCACAAUCGGUUCUUCGACAAGUACUGUUGGUACUUCUUCACCUUCAAGGAUCAAAUCAAGUUGAUCCAUUGACUGCUUCUUGAUCACCAUUCCAUGCCCAAGAUUUAUCUUCUUCAAAGAUAACAUCUCUACUCGUAAUCACCUUCUUCGUGAUGGGAUUAUACAGCCUGUAUCCCAUCCUUCUUUCACCAUAUCCGACAAAGAUGCAUUUCUCGCUUUAUCAUCGAGCUUUCUCCUUCUUGCAUCUGGGAUCUUUGCAUAUGCCACACAACCAAAGACUCGUAGAUGAGUAACACUUGGUUUGUGACCACUCCAUGCUUCUUCUGGAGUGACUCCUUGCAAACUUCUGGUUGGGCAGCGAUUCAGUAGAUACACUGCACAUGAUACAGCUUCAGCCCAGUAUUGCUUGGGCAGCUUCUUUGCUUUGAGCAAACUUCUGCCAUGUCAAGAAUCGUGCGAUUCUUCCUUUCUGCUACACCGUUCAGCUGUGGUGUAUAAGCUGGCGUCGUCUGAUGUCUGAUGCCUUGUUGUGUACAAUAGGCUUCAAAGUCAUUUGCUGUAUAUUCUCCACCUUGAUCAGAUCUCACUGUUCUGAUCGUGUAACCAGUUUGCUUCUCCACAAUUGCUUUAAAAUCUUUAAAACAAUUGAAUACUUCUGACUUCCUCUUCAGAAAGUAUAUCCACGUCUUUCUACUAAAAUCAUCAGUAAAAGUGAGGAAGUACCUAUUUUGUCCAGUCGACAUAGGCGUAAUUGGGCCACACACAUCUGUGUGUACUAACUCCAGUGGCCUCUUUGCUCUCCAGUUGACUUCUUUGGCAAAACUGGAUCUGUGAUGUUUGCUGAGGACACAACUCUCACAGACUUCAUCUGGAUGAUCAAUGUGAGGCAAACCUUUGACCAUCUUCUUGCUUGCUAGCAUCUUCAUACUCGUGAAAUUCAGAUGUCCAAGCCUCAGGUGCCAAAGCCAUUCUUCACUGUUGGUGAUGGCACUCAAACACCUUGUUGCAUCAUACUGGAUGUUCAAAGGAAACAUCCUAUUCUUGGACAUUUUCACGUAGGCCAUUAAUCUCCCAUUGUUGUCUCUAAUUGUCAGAUGACAAUUCUUCGAGUAAAAACUAUAUCCUCUCUCCAAAAGUUGACCUAAGCUGAUCAGGUUCUGCUUUAUGGCUGGGACAUAAUACACAUCGGCGAUGUAGCUGGAAUCGCCAUUCUUCAACUUGACUGGGAUGUUGCCUUUACCUUUGAAUGGAACCUUUGUGGUAUCUCCAAAAGUAACUAGACCUUGCUUGGUCUCAUCUAGAUCACCAAAUAACUCUCGGUAGCCGCACAUGUGAUUGCUGGCUCCAGUAUCUAGAUACCAUAUAUUUUCUUGUUUCUCGCCAAGUUCUUGUUGGACAAGAAAUGCAGAUGCUUCUCCAUCAUGCUUCUCUACAUAGUUGGCUUGCUCACGUGUCUCCAACGGAGCUUUCCAUCUGCAUUCAGUGCUAUAGUGCCCAAAUUGAUUGCAGCUAUAACAUUUGAUAUUUCUCUUGUCACGGUUAUUGUAACUGCCUCCUCUUCUGGUGGUGUUUCUACCACCUCUUCCUCUAAAGCUUGUAUUCCAAGAACCUCUUCCUUGGAAUUGCUGGAAUCCUCCUCUGGAUUGUUGACUUCCUCCUUGAGUGGUGUAGCCACCUGUUGAAGUCUCCCCUUGCUCAUAUCUGUCCUUGAAAGACAGCUUUGCUUGUAAGGCAUGCUCAAUGGCCUUAUCUUCAUUUCGCAUUACAAUCUUCUGCUCAUGAGCUUGCAAAGAACUCAUAAGCUCAUCAACUGUCAACUUGUCCACUUCCUUGGACUCUUCAAUUGCGACAACAACAUGAUCAAAUUUUGGAUCUAUGGAUCUCAAAAUUUUCUCAAUAAUUCGAGUAUCUAUGAUGGCUUCUCCAUUUCUCCUCAUCUGAUUGACUAUCACCAUAAUCCUUGUAUGAUAAUCAGAAAUAGAUUCUGAGGACUUCAUUCGUAAUAAUUCGAAUUCUCCUCUCAAAGAUUGAAGACGAAUCUUCUUGAUUCUGUCAGCACCUUUGUAUUUCUGUUGGAGAGCCUCCCAUAUAUCAUGUGACGUUUCAGCGGAAGCUAUUAUCUCGAAUGUAUCUUCAUCAAGACCUUGAUAGAUGAUGGUCUUUGCUUUGUUGUCCUUCUUUCUGUUGACUUUAAGGCUUGCUUCUGUGCCUCUUGUAAAGCAUCUUCUCUUUCUUUGGACUCUGGUUCAUCAUAACCAGUUUGUACAAUAUCAAAACACUCUUGUGACCCAAGAAUGCCUUCAAUCUGAUGCACCAACUAUCAUAGUUGUCUUUGGUCAGCUUCGGGAUGAGUGUAUGUGUACCUUCUGUAGUCAUUUUGCUCUUUGAAUGACUAUAUCCUUUCUGGGAGCCGAAUUUGCCAAACGGACACUGUAGAUCGAUCCGGAAUGGUCCAAAUAGUAGGGAACCGGUCUGACUUUGUUGAAAUCGGGUCAAAAAUGGGUGAACCGGUCAAAAACCAAUUCUGUACGGCGGGCGGUUCGCUGGGUUGAACCGGGAAUAUUCUGUGGAAUAUCUGGAAUAUUCGGGAAUAUUCUGGGAAUAUUCCUUCGGCUCGGCUGGCUGGAACGCGGCUCGGCUGGCGCGGGGUACGCUCGGCUUAGGCGGCUUACACGGCUCGAAUAUGGCGCGGUGUGGCUCAGUCGUCUUCAACCUCGGGCGCGUGGGAUGCGCGUGGGCGAUCUGGCUGAAUAUUCAGGCGGCGCGUGUGGGCUACCCGGACUCCGAUGGCUGAUUUUUGCGGCAGUGAGUUCGUCUUGAUGAGCUCUACACUGUGGAAUGAUCAAAACUUGUUUUUGACAACUUUGAAAAUUCGGAUAUACCCCAAAACUCUUCUGUUUUCCGACGAACGGGGCUCUGAUACCAAUUGUUGGUGGGAGAACCACUGGUGGUGGCUUUGAAACACUCAGAGGGGAUAAAACACACUGGUUUUAUUACAAAAUCCGAAGCUUACAAUAACACAAAAUAAAAGCUUAAUACACGCCCUCUCUCUCUCUCUUUCUCUUUCAAGUGUUUCUCUCUAUUCUCUCCACACGAAAUAACAUAACUGAGCACCCUAUUUAUACAUAAAUUCAGAAUACGAAAAUCUACUGUUCUAGGUGUGAAGGCGGCUGUUGACCGGUGGUGUGAAGGCGGCUGGUCGGUUGGUGGCUGGUCGGUGGCAGCUGGUGGUUGCCUUCCUUGACCAUCUAGAUGUUGAGUUUAUUAUUCAACAGAAAUCACUACCUUCUCAUAGGAGCUAAUCCUUUGUGAAAAUGAGUCAAUGUUAUGUUAGAGGCUAGUUGUGAUUCUUCUACUCACUCUAGUAGGACUUUAGUUAUUAUAUACCCAGGAUUAUAUAUUAAUGUAGUAUCUUUAACUUAUACUAACGACCUGAUGAUUCAGGCAGAAAUUCUAAUUUGCUUAGCAGCAGAUGUAAGGCGAUGAGUGAAGUUCACACUUACAGUGUUUUUUCCACUUUCCAUGCGUUUUCUGGAAUUGUUCCAGUUAAAUUGAUGUUCCUCAGAACCCUUGCAACAAGUUACAGGUUGGUUAAACAGUUCUGAAUAGAACAUAUCCUCAACUUUGCUAUGAAAAGUUAUGAAGCAGUUCACAUACAAGAAUUGCCUUUCAAUCGGAGAGUUAGGUAACUGAAACUCUGGUCCAGGCAUAUCAGCAAUCCUCCUGCAUAACAGUAAGAGACCUUGAAUACAAGUUAAAUGUUGAAUUCCCUUCAUUUAUCUCUCCCUAUCUCUCACACACAGAGAAUUCUUCAAUAAUUAAUACAGCAGGAGGUAUGCAGCACAAUAAAGUGGUUUUACUCACAAAUCAGACAACUUUUCCAAAUGAAAAAUCGCAAGAGGUAUAGGUCCUUGCAAUCCAGUCGCGUACAAAUCACUUCAUUAGUCACGAAAAGAACAAAAAAUCUCAAUAAAGUGUAUCAUGUUGCAUUAGAAUGAAUUAAGAUCUUGUGAAGAUAAACAUCUCACAGCUUUUGAAGUUGAGUCCAGUUCCCAAUGAACUCGGGUACGGUGCCAUUAAGAUUAUUAUCACUUACGCGACUGCAUAUUGAAUAUGUUAAAUUAUCAACAAAAAAAAAAUGUGUUUAAGGAAAAUAAGUGAGGGCUUACAAAUCCUUCAAGUCUUUUAUCUGCGCAAGUGCCUCUGGCAAGGUUCCCACUAACUUAUUGCCGGACAGUAUCCUGCAAUUGUUAAUUCACGGCAUCAAAGCAAAGAUUUCAACUAAUGAAAACGAAAUCUCUAGCAAGUCUUCACAAUGAAGAAUUUAGUUAAAAUUUCUUACAGUGUUUUUAAGUUGACAAGCUUGCCAAGCUCAGGUGGGACAACACCAGAAAACUGAUUUGAUUCAAGGCUCCUAUAUUUUAUAAUUGCAUUUGAUAAAGUGAAAUAACCAUUAGAGAACAAAGUAAACUAGCAUUGCUUGCAAUAUUCGAAUAACUCAAACUAGAGGUAGAGCACUAUAACAGAUUCGAGCCAUACAAGUAGGUGAGGGCAGUAAAACUUCCCAAAUGUCCAGGAAUAUUUCCUGACAAGCGAUUUGCAGUAAGCGAGCUGCAUAAGAGGUUAGUUAGGAAGGAAGUUUUAAGCUCACUCUUACAUAGAAAAUAAGAUAAACCAAGAAGAGGGGUGGAUUUAUAAAUGAGCUUACAUGAAAGACAGAUUUUUCAUCGAAGCCCAUUCCACCGGAAUUGUGCCGUAUAGAUAGUUGCGAGUGAAAUCUCUGUCAUAGACAAUGUUGUUGUAUAAAAAUUAUUUUCCAUCUUGAAAAUUGCUCCAAAAAUUAAUAUAAACGCUUGAAAUUUUAACAUAAACUGUGACAGACAAUGGCAAACUCAUAAUCACAUAACAUCUGAUGAGUAUCAUCGAGGCAUCUCAAGAUUCAUAAUCAUUUAAUGGAUUCAGAAUUGAGGCCUCGAAGCAGAAACAUGAGCCAAAUAUAUAUGUCCUUAAUUAAGGGUUCUUACAUUUUUUGGACAUAAGUAAGGUUGGCCAAUUCCUGAGGAAGCCUGCCUGGAAGACUGUAAUCUUUGAGCUGGCUUUAUUGCAAGCAGGAGAGAGAGACAUCAUUGGUCACAGUUUAGGAAAGCUAAGAUAUAUAUAUAAGAAAGAAAAACAUAAAAAUGUAAACUAAUUAAGAUGCUUACAAUGAAGUAAUGUGACAGUAAUUAUCAUCAGUGAUGCUGCAGUUACAUUCGAUGGUGCUGUUCCCUUCUAAGUUUGGUGGAGCAGAAGUCAGUUCUGUCUUAACGAGUCCAUUCGGUCGACAACUAUCGACGAACUUCAAGGAUAGUUGGCCAUCCUCGUUUACUGUCUUACCGAUUUGUCUUAACGCUUCAACUGGUGGGUUUUUUUUUUUUUAUUAAUAAUAAUAAUAAUAAUAAGAAAUAAAUUAUUAUUUCAAAAAAUAAAUAAUAAAUAAAUAAUUUGGGCUUCUCUAACAAUAAAGAGCCUAUAUAUAUUGUAUAGUUAGAAAGAGUUACAAAAAUUAGAUAUGACCAAGCCCAACAAGGGUCCAAAUAUUGUCAAUAGUUAUCCAAAUUCAAACAAAGAUGAUGCUAGGAAGUGAAGGGGUUAACUUUCAUUUGGCCCAAAUCCUAGUUUUCACCGCUCUUUUUUUUUUUUUUUUUAUGUUAUUCUCGUUUCAUCUACUAAAGUCUAAAAUAUAAUAAUUAAAUAUAUGUCUUAAUUACCCUUUAAUUUUAACUUCCGAAAAAGAAGAAGUAACAAAGAAAACCUAUAUUUUAAGGAUUGGAUUUUAUCUUUGAUAUUUGUAUGUUUUUUUAAUUUACUAUAUAUAUUUUCUUAAAUAUUAUAUUUUGAAGAAUCUAAAUUAUCAAACUAAUUUAGAUAAUUCUAAUUGAAUUAUAUUUCUCUUGACUCUGAAAAAAAUCUUUCGAUAUUUGUAAUUGAAUCCUUUCGUUCCUAAUUUCCGAUUAAAGGUUACAAGUGAGAAGCAAAUCUGUUGAUGUUUUGAUCAGAUGAGUUGAACAAUUUGAAAGAUCUCACUGAUCUGAUCUCAAUAUACAUUACUGUGAAAACAAAGAACAGUGCUUGGGCAAUUAAUUAAUUAAGGAGGUAGCUACGUUGUUCUUACCUUCUCCUGGAUGUAGCUGAUCAGAAGCAAGCAAAGUAAUAGAGCUCGAGAAACUGAUCAUCACCAUAACUUGGCAAAGCUGAAACAUCGUUAACAUCUUGUGCUGAAAAUUGGCUGCAAAAGCUCGAAUAAGUUUUUGUAUUUGUCGAGAGACGGGCAGGGAAAAACUCUCAGAUAUUUUGAACAUGCUAAGAACAUACUGGAAACGAGAGAGAUUCCACUCAGAAAACAGAGAAAGAAAAAGGAUUUAUCCUUGUUUACAUUGUUUCAGACCAAUCUCUUUUCCACCUGGUGCUAAAGGACAUGCUAAAAUACUGAUUGAUGUAGACAUAUAGAGACCAAUCUCUUGUCCACCUGGUGCUAUUUGAAGUUUAUGAUAGACUCAAUUAUUUAAGCUGGUCAUCUCUCCAGCUGAUCGGCCUAAAUUAUUGAUAAAAUUAACUACACGGUAAUACUAAUUCUUAUGGUAUAUAUUUUAUACAAUAUCUAUACUUUCAUUAAUAUUUUUAUAAAUAUCUAGGAUAUUUUUAAAGUAUUUAUAUUAAAUAUUUAUCUUAAGACAAUUUAUAUAAACAAAUAAAGAAAGAGGCUAAAAUAAAAGAGCCAAUCUCUCUAGACAACAUAACUAAUAUAAAACUUAAAUAAGAUUUAAGGAAUAUUGAAGUUUAGAGAAUACAAAUGUUGUAUUACUUUUAAUUUUAAUGUUGUUAGAUAAUAAUAUAAAUCAUAUCUUUAGAUUUUAUCUAAAAUCUUAAGUUAUUAGGUUGAGAUGAUUCGUUAACAUGGUAUCAGAACUUUGAUGACUAAGUGGUCACGAGUUUGAAUCUUAUUAUUUUUAUUUAUUUGAUAAAAAUUAAGUAUAAUAUAAUAUUAAUUUAUACAAAUUUAAAUUUAAAAAAUUUAAAUUUAAAAAAUUUUCAUUUAAAAAAAUAUAUUAAAAAAAUAAUAUAAUUACACCUUAUCUAAAUCAUUAAACUAUUAGAUUAUUCUUCAUCAUUAAUUGUUCACUGAUUGCAAGUAGAAUUUUCUGCGUAAAGAGAUUGAUGUAGACCCAUCAAUCCCUUUUCCACCUGGUGGUAAAGGACAACAAGCUAUUUGUAGUUUAUGAUAGACUCAAUUAUAUAGCUAGUUGGUGCAUUGACAGUUUCAUACUUGCAAUUAUCUUUAUGUUUGAAGAAUGGUUUUAGAAAAAAAUUAUAAUUUUAUUUAUUUAUUUAUUUUAAAUUAAUAUUUUUUAAUGUUUUGAUAUUAUUUUAAUAUAUUUUAAAAAAAACUUUUAAAAACACCAAUUAUAUAUCUUAUAAAGCCGCCCUCGAUUUUAAUGCCUCUGUUAGCCAUCAUUUGCUAAUUGAAUAUUGAGUUUUUUCCCUACACUGUCACCGUGAGCAAAUUUAUUUCUCAAACGAACACUCUCGUUAUAACACAAAAAUAGUCUCGUUACACGUGGAUUGUGCAUUUAUUAUAAAAAAUAAAAAAUAAUAAUUGUAAUUGUCUACGUACCUACCUGUGGGUUGUGCAUGUAUUAUAAAACAUAGUCUCGUUAUUUUUCAGAAAAUACUUUGUGAAUGUAAAUUUUUUAUCAGAUGAACACACUCUCAAUAAAGUGUAAUCUUUUUUUUUUUGUUUUUGUGAAUGUAAUUUUUUUUAUUACUUAUCCAAUGGCUCUUCUAUUUUAUUUUUUCAAAUUUUUAAAUAAAGUGUAAUUUUUUCAAUUUCAAUAUCAAUUUCGCACCCCACAUUACAAAUGAAGUUUAGAAUGUAAACAGUGGAAGAGCCAUAAUGGAUCAAAAAGAGACAAUAACCCCCUUAAAUUGUUUUUUAUAUUAAUAUAUUAGUGGGUGUUAAUUAUUGCUACAAGAAAAAAAAGUUUUUUAUUUUUUUAUUUUUUUAUUAUUGUUGACUAACUUGACUCAUAUAUAUAUACACAUAUGUAUAUAUUAUAGCUCCUCAAUUUUUCCUCUUUUCUCUUUUGUUUUUUUUUAUCUUUCCCUGUAUAACAAAACAAAGAGGGUUUUUUUUCAGCUGUUGUUCCUACCUUUUCUAUAUGCAAAUUUCUCAUCAAUUAAUUUUUUUUGCCUUUUAUUUAAUGCUUUAGGUAAAUUUUUUUCAUCUUUCUAUUUGUUUCAUUGUCUAAUUUUAGUUUUAUUCUUUUAUAAUUAGUUAUUAAAAAUAUUAGGGUUAUGAUAAUAUUUUAGGGGUUUUGGUAUGAAUAUGUUCAAAAUAAAUGUUUAAAUCUAUUAAUUUAAUCAAUUAAGUGUUUCUUUUCUUAUUAUAAACAAAUAAAUUAAUAUUCAUGCAGAACCACUAUUCUUGACAUCUCUUGCAUUGACAGAGUUGUUUAUUGAAAUUUAAUAUUUUAACAUGAUUUGUUUGUAAAUAAAAUAUCAAGUAGAAAUCAUGUUUUUCAAGCAUUGUUCCUUAAUUAAAUGUCUAGAAAUGAUUAAGUAUAAUUUAAUCAACAUACUUAUUAUAUGCAUAUAGAUAUGAAUUGAAAUAGGUUUUGAUUUUGAUGAGUUGAUGUGUAUUUUGCUAUUAAUUUUAUAUGAAAGAUUUAGAAUUAUUGUGUAACUCAACUGACUUUUGUUUAACAAUGAAUUAUUGUGUAGUUGUGUUAAUUAUUAUGUAGACACUAAUGAUGAUAAAAAAAAAUCCAGUAGGUUUAUAUUAAUUUAACAUAUCACUAGACAAGUAUUUAAAGUGUAAAUCAUUUGAAGAUGGAGAGUUAAUCAAAGCUUCAAGUCAUGUAACUUAAUCAAGUUCAAAGAAAAGUCAUAUUGAAAUCAACCCCGACACUCUCCUUAUUGACCCUGGCUUAAGAAGAUCAAUUUAUGAGUACCAUAUAAAUGAUAAGGAUGAAAUCCGAAGAGCUUAUUUACAAAAAGGUCCUUGUCAACCUUCACACUAUGAUUUUCUUCAAAAACAAUUUGGGAAUAUAUCAACACUACGACGCUUUAAUCCGACUUGGUUUGCUGCAUACCCAACAUGGUUAGAGUACAACAUAGCCAAAGAUGAUGCCUUUUGCUUGUAUUGUUACCUCUUCAAGUCAAAAUGGGGUGUUGAUUCGUUUAUGGGUGAUGGGUUUUCAAAUUGGAAAGAAAAAAAGGGAAAGAUUUGAUCUUCAUAUUGAAAAGUCUAAUAGUAGUCAUAAUGCAGCUUGGAUAAAAUAUAAGAAUUUGAUGAAUGAAAAACAAAGUAUCAUGACUUUGUUAUAUGAGCAGACAGUAAAGAGUCAAAGUGAUUAUCGAACUCGAUUGAAUGCUUUAAUAGAGUGUGUUCAUUUUUUAUUGCACGAAGGACUUCCAUUUUGUGGUCAUGAUGAAUGUGAAUGUUCAAGCAACCAAGGAAAUUAUCUAGAGCUCUUGCAUUUCCUUUCCAAAAAUAAUGAAGCUAUUAAAAGAGUUACUUUCAGUGAAGCUUCUAAACAUAACAAAUUGAAUUCUCUAGAUAUUUAAAAAGACAUUACUCAAGCUGCUACAGAGGAGAUUACGAAUGUGAUUAUCAAAGAUGUAGGUGACUCAUUAUUUUCAAUUUUAAUUGAUGAGUCACGUGGUAUAUCAAUCAAGGAACAAAUGACAGUUGUUAUACGAUAUAUAGACAACAAUAGACAUAUAAUUGAACGUUUUCUUGGCAUUCAACAUGUGUCAGAUACAACUGCUAGUUCACUCAAGGCAGCUAGUUCACUUGGAUUGUUUUCAUAUCAAGAUUGCGUGGUCAAGGAUAUGAUGGAGCUAGUAACAUGUGAGGUGAAUUCAAUGGUGUGAAAGCACUUAUUCUAAAUAACAAUCUAAGUGCAUAUUAUGUUGUUUUGCUCACAAACUUCAAUUGACUCUUGUGACAGUUACAAACAAGCAUAAUGAAGUUGGAGAUGCUUUAAUUUUAUUUCUAGCAUUAUAAAUAUAGUUGGAGCAUCAUGUAAACGGAUGGAGGUGAUUAGAGAAAACAAAUAUGCUAAAAUUAUUGAAGGACAUGAAAAUUGAGAAAUUUCUAGUGGACAAGGCCUGAAUCAAGAAACUUCUCUUAGAAGGUAUGGUGAUACCCGUUACAGCUCCCACUAUGUUACAAUUAUUCAUCUAUUUGCAAUGUUUUCAUCAGUUCUUGAUGUGCUUGAGAUUAUAAGGGAGGAUGGGAUGAACUCAGAACAAAAAACAGAAGUGGUUGUUUUAACAGGUAUUAUGGAAUCAUUUAAUUUUGUGCUCAUGCUUCAUUGUUUGAGAAGGAUACUAGCAGUUACUAAUGAGUUCUCACAAGCAUUAUGUCGCACCCCAAAAAAAAAAUCAUCGCGCGCGGCAUCGGCUGGAGAUUAUUCGUUCUGUUUUGCUAAUUUGGUUCUUUGGAGUCGCCACCUAGUAAUUCAUUGAGGGCUACUAGAAAACCUGAUGUACUGGUCUUGUCAGAGAUCGCGGGUAAGGGACUGGUUGUGGUUAGGGAAGGUAUUAGCACCCCUAACGCACCCUACCUGAGGUAAGCUGCUUUGUUGACUUGAUGUGUUAAAGAAGUUUUAAAAAUUCUAUUCUUUCAUCGAAUUUUAGAAAAUACAACUUACAUGUAAGUUCAUGAUUCUUUAUCCGUGAUUAAAUCGGAAUAUUAAAUCCUUCUUUAUUCCUGCAAUUUUAUCAUAAAAAAAACAUUCAUAAACAAAAAAAACACACCACAUUCACUGUCAAGCUUCAUGGACUUGCUGUGAUAUUAAAAAUCAAUUUUUAGCCCAAUUCCAAGGCUUUGAUAAAUCAGUUAUUACUUUUCCAGACUAUAUGUAGAUACAUGUUCUACAUUUCCAUGGAAAAUUCAACAUGAUUUUUAUCUGUCCUUUAGAUAUUUGUGCAUAUAAAUAAAAUUCCCUUUUUUUUUUUAUUCAAUAACGUACAUAAAAAAAAACAUACAAGCACACACAAACAUUUUUCCUUUUUUUUUAUUCAUCACUUUCUCUUUUCUUUUCUUUUCCUUUUUCUUUUACAUCCACAUUUACAUAAUACAAAUAAAAAAUUCAAAACCAAAUAAAAAAUACAUCAAACAAAUUUUAAAUUACAAAACAGCCCCUAAACAAUCUAGAAACCACUUCUGCACCUCCGGAACAGUGUCAGCAGCAUUUACGGGGGCAGAAACACUGGCGGCGCGUGGAUCUCACUCACCACCGCCACUGGCGGCGCGUGAAUCCACGCGCCGCCGCCAGAAAAAAAAAUCCAGCAGCAGGGGUUCUGGAUCUCCUUCUUCCCUUCUUCAAUCUCCUGCUGCCCGUGAGAAAACUCAACACCUGCAAAUCCAAGAAACGCAAAUGGCAGUUGAUUUUAAUUAAAUUUUUUGUUUUCAAUUUAUUUCUCUUCCUCUUCGUUUCGGGUCUGCUUCCCUCUGCCGAUCUGUUCUUGUUUCUUCUUCUUCUCCGGUGGCUGAUCGUCGUGGAGGAGGAGACGAUCUGGUGAUGGGGAGGGCUGGAUGUUGGAGGAGGAUGGCGCUGCUGCCCGGGGAGCGGAUCUGCCCUCCUUUGGUCUUGGUGAGCUGGCGGCUGGAGAAGGGAGCAGCUGAGAGGGGAAGAUGCCCACGAUCGGGCUGGCUGCUGGGUCUUCGGCGAGGACGGCUGGUUCGGGUGGAGGCUGAGCUGGGUCUGUCCGUGGUCGUUGAAGCCGCGGUGGAGACGGGCGAAGGAGAAGAAACCCACGGGUCCAAACUAGGGAAACAACGGUCAUCUUCAACAGGAAAAGGGAAGCUUCGGCUGAGGGGAGAAGACUUGGGAGGCGCCGGAGCAUGCGGGGAUGAGGAAAGGAGGUCGGCGGUGGCUGGUUUUCUGGUGGCUGUAGGAGAAGAAAAUCAAAAUGAGGGGGGACUGUUUGGGGAUUUGAAAGUAAAAGGGGGGGGGGGCGGCGCCUCCGGUGAGUAAGAAAAAAAAGAAAAAAAAAUGUUGAUCAAGGGGCUGGGGAGGCGCCGGCCUAGCGGCUCAGAAAAGAAAAAAACAAAAAAGGCUUGUAGGGUUUUUCUUUUGUGUUUUUUGGAAGAAAGGAUAAAAAAAAAAAAUUCCAAGAGGGGGUGGCGGCUGCCUUUCGAGAGAGGGAGAAGAAAAAGUUCUAACUCCUAGGGUUUCUGCUUUGUGUUCCCUCUCCCCAAAAUUACCAAAUGAACCCCCCCUAGAUAUUGAGUUUUCAACCUAUAUUUAUAGGUAAAAGUUUGUUCAAACCACCAAAUUGGUCCCUCAAUUUUUUUUUAUAGAUUUUGAUUUUUCUUGUUUUUUUUUUUCUUGUAUUUUUAAAAACGAGCAAAAUCAACGUCAAUUCUAUGAGAAAAAUUACGAUUUUAAAAUGACGCGUGAAAAGUCGAACGCGUUCGAAAAAACAAUUUGAAAAUUAAAAUUCUUUUUUUUUAAAAGACGUUGAAAAUGCUAAAAACAUUGCAAAUAUAAUAAAAACAUAUUUUUUUGGAUUUUUGUUGUUUUUCACUAUUUUUGGAUUUUUUUGAAAAAUUUAUUAAAAAAGGUGGGUCAAAAAUUGGGUAACAACACAUUACAAAGAAAAGAUCAAGACAGAGAAAAUGCUAUGAGUUUGUUGGAAACAUCAAAAGAACGAUUCAAAAUGAUGAGAGAGGAUUAUUGGGAUCUUCAAGGCAUUAAUCAUGGAUCUUCAGGCAAAGCAUAUCAAUAUUCAAAUUAAUAAGUACUGAAUCCAAUGAUGGGUGUAAUUUAGGAACUUACAGAUUUGGGCUGUUUUGGAGGAAUGGGUCCUGCACUGUUCCAGUCAGCUUGUUGCCACUCAAAAACCUGGUAAGAACCACAAUCAUAGUAUCAGCAUAAUUUAUUGCGCCAUCCUUGAUAAGAUUUCAAUAACCAAAUUUCAAAUUAUCAGACUUUCGCAUUGCUCACGUAAACUGUCGUCGUCGUAUUGUAUUACGAGGAAUCUCCCCAACCAACUUGUUAAAAGUUAAGUCGCUGCAAGAAAUUACAGUAAACAAAAUUCUAGGCUUCAGUCUCUGAAGAAGAUUUUACAUCUUUGUAAAUAUAUCGGCAAUAAACAGGUGAAUAUAUAUAUAUAUAUAUAUAUAUAUAUAUAUGUCUCAUAAUUAAAGGUUUUUAAAUUCUUUGAAGUAAUCCUCUAUUUAUAUUCUUCCUUGGAGAGUUGCAGUGGCUUGAAAUCACUACCUUCUCAUAGGAGCUCAUCAGUUGUGAAAAUAAGUCAAUGUUAUGUUAGAAGCUAGUUGUGAUUCUUCUACUCACUCUAGUAGGACUUUAGUUAUUAUAUACCCGGCCCAGGAUUAUAUAUUAAUAUAGGAUCUUUAACUUAUACUAACGACCUGAUGAUUCAGGCAGAUCCCACGCACCAGCGUACAUGGAGAUCAUAUUGGAAAAAUGUGGCAGAAUUGAAAUGUAUAAAAAGAAAUUAUAAUUUGCUUAGCAGCAGAUGUAAGGCGAUGAGUGAAGUUCACACUUACAGUGUUGUUUCCACUUUCCAUGCGUUUUCUGGGAUUGUUCCAGCCAGUUUCCAUGCGUUUUCUGGGAUUGUUCCAGUUAAAUUGAUGUUCCUCAGAACCCUGACAAGUUACAGGUUGGCUAAACAGUCUGAACAGAACAUAUCAGUUAUGAAGCAGGAGGUAUGCAGGCACGUUAGGUAACUGAAACUCUACUGUGAAAAGUUAUGAAGCAGUUCACAUACAGGGUAUCCCUUCGAAUCGUCACGUUAGGUAACUGAAACUCUGGUCCAGGCAUAUCAGCAAUCCUCCUGCAUAACAGUAAGAGACCUUGAAUACAAGUUAAAUGUUCAAUUCCCUUCAUUUAUCUCUCCCUAUCUCUCACACACACAGAGAAUUCAUCAAUAAUUAAUACAGCAGGAGGUAUGCAGCACAAGAAAGUGGUUUUACUCACAAAUCAGACAACUUUUCCAAAUAAAAAAUCGCAAGAGGUAUAAGUCCUUGCAAUCCAGUCGCGUACAAAACACUUCAUUAGUCACGAAAAAAACCAAAAAUCUCAAUAAAGUGUAUCGUGUUGCAUUAGAAUGAAUUAAGAUCUUGUGAAGAUAAACAUCUCACAGCUUUUGAAGUUGAGUCCAGUUCCCAAUGAACUCGGGUACGGUGCCAUUAAGAUUAUUAUCACUUACGCGACUGCACAUUGAAUAUGUUAAAUUAUCAAAAAAAAAAAAAUGUGUUUAAGGAAAAUAAGUGAGGGCUUACAAAUCCUUCAAGUUUUUUAUCUUCGCAAGUUCCUCUGGCAAGGUCCCCACUAACUUAUUGCCGGAGAGUAUCCUGCAAUUGUUGAUUCACGGCAUCAAAGCAAAGAUUUCAACUAAUGAAAACGAAAUCUCUGGCAAGUCUUCACAAUGAAGAAUUUAGUUAAAUGUCUUACAGAGUUUCUAAGCUGACAAGCUUGCCAAGCUCAGGUGGGACAACACCAGAAAACUGAUUUGAUUCAAGGCUCCUAUAUUUUAUAAUUGCAUUUGAUAAAGUGAAAUAACCAUUAGAGAACAAAGUAAACUAGCAUUGCUUGCAAUAUUCGAAUAACUCAAACUAGAGGUAGAGCACUAUAACAGAUUCAAGCCAUACAAGUAGGUGAGGGCAGUAAAACUUCCCAAAUGUGCAGGAAUAUUUCCUGACAAGCGAUUUGCAGUAAGCGAGCUGCAUAAGAGGUUAGUUAGUUGUGUUAAGCUCACUCUUACAUAGAAAAUAAGAUAAACCAAGAAGAGGGGUGAAUUUAUAAAUGAGCUUACAUGAAAGACAGAUUUUUCAUCGAAGCCCAUUCCACCGGAAUUGUGUCGUACAGAUAGUUGCGAGUGAAAUCUCUGUCAUAGACAAUGUUGUUGUAUAAAAAUUAUUUUCCAUCUUGAAAAUUGCUCCAAAAAUUUAUAUAAACGCUUGAAAUUUUAAUAUAAACUGUGACAGACAAUGGCAAACUCAUAAUCACAUAACAUCUGAUGAGUAUUAAUUAUCAUCGAGGCAUCUCAAGAUUCAUAAUCAUUUAAUGGAUUCAGAAUUGAGGCCUCGAAGCAGAAACAUGAGCCAAAUAUAUAUGUCCUUAAUUAAGGGUUCUUACAUUUUUUGGACAUAAGUAAGGUUGGCUAAUUCCGGAGGAAGCCUGCCUGGAAGACUGUAAUCUUUGAGCAGGCUUUAUUGCAAGCAGGAGAGAGAGACAUCAUUGGUCACAGUUUAGGAAAGCUAAGAUAUAUAUAUAAGAAAGAAAAACAUAAAAAUGUAAAGUAAUUAAGAGGCUUACAAUGAAGUAAUGCGACAGUAAUUAUCAUCAGUGAUGCUGCAGUUACAUUCGAUGGUGCUGUUCCCUUCUAAGUUUGGUGGAGCAGAAGUCAGUUCUGUCUUAACGAGUCCAUUCGGUUGACAACUAUCGACGAACUUCAAGGAUAGUUGGCCAUCCUCGUUUACUGUCUUACCGAUUUGUCUUAACGCUUCAACUGGUGGGUUUUUUUUUUUAUUAAAUAAAUAAAUAAUUCAUGAGGAAUGUGCACUAUUCAAAACAUUCUCAAAUAGUUGUUAGAUUAAUAAUAAUAAUAAUAAUAAAUAGAUUAUUAUUUCAAAACAUAAAUAAUAAAUAAAUAAUUUGGGCUUCUCUAACAAUAAAGAACCUAUAUAUUGUAUAGUUAGAAAGAGUUACAAAAAUUAGAUAUGACUAAGCCCAACAAGGCCCAAAUAUCGUCAGCGUAGUUAUCUAAAUUCGAACAAAGAUGAUACUAGGAACUAGGAAGUGAAGGGGUAACUUUCAUAUGGCCCAGAUGCCUAGUUUUCACCCCCCCUUUUUUUAUGUUAUUCUCGUUCCAUCUACUAAAGUCUAAAAUAUAGUAAUUAAAUGUAUGUCAUAAUUACCCUUUAAUUUUAACUUCUAAGAAAUUCCUUUUAAACUACUCUCAAAAUAAUAAUAAGAAGAAGAAAAACAUUUACAAGAAAGAAGAAGUAACAAAGAAAACCUAUAUUUUAAGGAUUGUAUUUUAUCUUUGAUAUUUGUAUGUUUUUUUAAUUUACUAUAUAUAUUUUUUUUUUUUUCUUCUUAAAUAUUAUAUUUUGAAGAAUCUAAAUUAUCAAACUAAUUUAGAUAAUUCUAAUUGAAUUAUAUUUCUCUUCACUCUGAAAAAAAUCUUUCGAUAUUUCUAAUUGAAUCCUUUCGUUCCUAAUUUCCGAUUAAAGGUUACAAGUGAGAAGCAAAUCUGUGGAACAAUUUGAAAGACCUCACUGAUCUGAUCUCAAGAUAUAUUUACUGUGAAAACAAAGUAAUACAGUGCUUGGGCAAUUAAUUAAUUAAGUAGGUAGCUACGUUGUUCUUGAAAGUAAAGAAGGAAAUUUGGUAAUUGUAAAAUCUUUAUUAAAAUCUUACGUUUACACUGUUGUAGUAUAUAUACAAAAAAAAAAGAAUUUGUAACGUUCUAGGUUCCUAUUAUAAUUAGGAAAUUUACAACUGUAGAAUAAAUCAAUUCCUAGAAUCUCUCCAAUGACAGUAAAUGCUAACACUCCCCCUCAAGUUGGUGCAAAGAUAUCUUCGAUGCCCAACUUGUCAAGUGAAUUCUGAAAAAUUUUGCUGGAGACGGCCUUUGUAAGGAUAUCUGCGAGCUGGUUUUCUGACCUCACGAAUGGAAAAUUAAUCACCCCUUCUUCGAGAUUUUGUUUGAUGAAAUGCCUGUCUAUCUCGAUAUGUUUUGUGCGGUCAUGUUGAACUGGGUUGUGAGAUAUUUCGAUGGCAGCUUUAUUAUCGCAGUAUUAGGUUCAUCUUUGAUUCUGGACUGAACCCAAUUUCGGACAAUAACCUCUUGAGCCAUAAUAAUUCGCAUAGUCCCUUUGCCAUUCCUCGAAACUCGGCUUCUGCACUUGACAAGGCAACUACCUUUUGUUUCUUGCUCCUCCAUGUGACUAAGUUGCCGCCAACAAAUGUGAAGUAUCCCGACGUAGAUUUUCUAUCCGAUAUGCUUCCUGCCCAGUCAGCAUCUGUGUAUCCUUCAACCGCUAGAUGACCAUUUUUAGAAAAUAAAAGGCCUCUUCCAGGAGCUGAUUUUAAGUAACGUAGUAUUCUAAUUACAGCAUCCAUGUGUUCUUCAUUCGGACAAUGCAUACAUUUGCUGACUAUGCUUACUGCAUAACAAAUAUCAGGCGAGUAUGUGACAAAUAAAUUAAUUUUCCCACCAGCCGUUGAUACCUUUCCUUAUUAGUUGAAGCCCUUUCCGUAGAGUCCCCAAAUUUCUGAUUUUGAAUCAUGGGGUGUCAGCCGGUUUGCAGUCAAGCAUUCCUACUUCGGUUAGUAGGUCUAGCACAUAUUUCCUUUGUGAAAGAAAUAUGCCUCGGUUUGAUCUAGCCACUUCAAUCCCAAGAAAUACUUUAGUCCUCCUAAUUCUUCAUCUCGAAUUCGGUAGCCAUUGUCCUGUAGUUCAAAGAUUUCUCUGUAUCGUCUCCAGUAAUGAUCAUGUCAUCCACAUAGAUUAUCAAUGCAGUCACCUUUCCCUGUCGUUGUUUUAGAAAUAGAGUAUGAUCCGAGUUGCUUUGUUGAAAGCCAUAUUUCUUCAUUGCCAUACUGAAUCUCCCAAACCACGCGCGAGGUGAUUGCUUUAGCCCAUAUAAUGCCUUCUGUAGUUUGCAAACAAUUCCAGUAUUUGGGGAUGAGGUAUAUCCAGGUGGGAUGUCCAUAUACACCUCUUCUUCCAGGUCUCCAUGCAAGAAAGCAUUUUUUACAUCAAAUUGGUGUAGCGGCCAAUCUAGAUUUUCUGCUAGUGAUAACAGCACUCGAACAGUGUUUAACUUUGCUACCGGAGAAAAAGUCUCCUGAUAGUCCACUCCAUAUGUCUGAGUAUAUCCUUUUGCUACCAGUCUUGCUUUAAACCGCUCAAUGGUUCCAUCCGCUUUGUGUUUGAUAGAGAAGACCCAUCUACACCCAACUGUUUUCUUCCCCUUCGGCAGUGGAAUAAGUGCCCAUGUUUUAUUUUUCAUCAGUGCUUCCAUCUCCUCUUCUACUGCUCGUGCCCACUUAGGAUCGGUCAAGGCUUCCUGAAUUUCAUGCGGGAUAUGAUGAGCUGACAGCUUAUUGGUAAAGUCUCUAAGUGGUUUGGUCAGCAUUUGAGUUGUUACAUGGUUGGAGAUGGGAUACUUCGAUUGUUUUCCCUCUGUGCUAGGGGAGUAUCUAGCUGGAGGCUUUCCCCUAUUUUUCCUGGCAGGUAAUUUGUAACCAAUAGGAGUAUUCAAAACAGGAUUGGAGGAUGGAGCAAGAGAGUUUACCUCAUGGAUAUUCUCUGGCGAGGAAUGAUCAUCGUCGAGUACAGAGAGUAGAGGGGUCUGACUACUAGAUGUGUGUUCGACUGCCAAGUCUGCAAUUAAGUCCUCCUCUCCCAUGUCCACAGAUACACCCAUCUCUUCCUCAACCGUGGCUGCCCUUUUUGUUUCCAUGUCUUCUGAUGGAGUACCCGUGGCAUCAUCGUCAUCUUCCCUUUCCACGUUGAUGACUGCCCGUAUGUCCCUCUCUUCGUCUGCAUGUAUAGGCAGUAUGCCCAUCUCUUCGUUUCCUGCAUUGCCCGUUCCAUCAUCCGCGGGCAGUGCAGGUAUUGGUUCUAUAUUUGGGCAGCUCCACCACUUCUCUUCUUCCGUCCAUGUCUCCCCCUGAAGCUGAGAAGUGGACACUGGAGAAUAAUAAUUUUCAGCUUCUGAGAAGGUUACAUCCAUUGUGAUGUAUGUGCGUUUAGUUACUGGAUUGUAGCAACAAUAGCCCUUCUUUGAUGCGCCAUAUCCCAGAAAGAUGCACCGAUCAGCACAUGCAUCCAGCUUGUUUCGUUGGUUCUUGUGAAGAUGAACAAACGCUACACAUCCAAAUACACGUGGGGGCAACAUUAGUAUAGAUGGUAGUGUAGUAUGAGUGGCCAAGACUUGCAGCGGAGUCUUAAAUUCUAAGACUUUAGAAGGCAUCCGGUUCAUUAGGUGCACAGCCGUGACCACAGCUUUAUCCCAGUAUCUAUGGGGAACGUUUGCUCCAAUUAGUAGUGCACGAGCAGUUUCUAAAAUGUGUCUGUUUUUCCGUUCAGCUAUACCAUUUUGCUGUGGUGUUUGACUGCAAGAAAAUUCAUGUAGGAGACCAGCAUUGUGGAAGUAUUUCACAAAGUCUUGAUUGAUAUAUUCCCCUCCAUUAUCCGACCUCAAAAUUCUGAUUUUUGCUGAGAAUUGGUUCUGUAUCAUAGCAUGAAACGCACAAAAUACACCAAAGACUUCAUUCUUAUUUUGAGCAAAUAUAUCCACGUCAUCCGGGUGCAAUCAUCUAUAAAAGUCACAAACCAUCGAACACCAUGAACCGUGGUGAUCGGGGAUGGUCCCCAAACAUCCGAAUGGAUUAAUGCAAAAGGAAUAUCACUUUUAUUAUAGCUAACCGGAAAUGAUACACGGUGGCUUUUUGCAAAAAUGCAUGUAUCACAUUUGAGGUCUAAAUGUUUUUGACUAGAAAAUAAAUCUGGAAAUAAUUGCCUCAUAUAGCCGAAUGACGGGUGCCCCAAACGAGCAUGCCAUAGCCGAAUCUGUUUUUCUUGUGCAGUGGUUGAGUUCUUCACCAUAUUGAUUUUUCCGAUACUGAACUCAUCUAUGUAGUAUAACCCCUCUCUCUUAGUACCACGCCCAAUGAUCUUCUUCGUGAGAAUAUCCUGAAAAAGGCAAAAAUGUGGAUACAUUAAAACAAUGCAAUUUAGGUCUUCAGUAGCUUGUCCCACAGAUAUUAAUUUUGUUGUAAGAGAAGGAACUAAAAGAGUAUUAGUUAAGGAUAUUGAUGGUGAUAAUUGUACUGUUCCAGCCCCUGUUACUGGAUACAAGACCCCAUUAGCAUUUGAAAUAUUGUUCCUUCUUGGCGUUAUGUAUUCAUCAAGGUCGUCUGGAUUGUAGGUCAUAUGGUCUGUUGCACCAGAGUCUACAAUCCAGUCAUCAUCCUUUUGUUUCGGUAGAAACUACCAAAGCACUGCUGGUAUAACAGCAGCCUUUACCUUGAUCACUGCCAUUACUAGCCGUCUCUGCCUUUGUCUCUACACAGGGAAUGAGAGAAAGAGUAGGUUCUGCAUGUGCUAUUGCUGUCCGUUCAACUCCUCCAUGUGCUAUUGCUGCCCGUCCAACUCCUCCAUUAGCUUCCUGUGAUUUCUUUGCUUUAAAUUCAUUCCACCAUUCCGGAUAACCAUGUAGCUUGAAGCACGUUUCCCGUGUGUGUUUGGCAUUACCACAAUGGGAGCAGCCAAGUCCUCCAGACAGAUUUUUGCUUCCCCCCGUUGCUGCAUAUCCGGGUGCUCUUUUGGUCAUGCGCAGCAUUUGAUUUUGUUUCCCACUCUUCGUUGCCAUAACUGAAGCAGUAGGGCCACCAUUUGUUUCAAGCAUUACAGACUGCCUAAUGUCCUCUCUUCGAACAUAUGCGUAGGCCUGCUCAACAGAUGGAAACGGUUGUAAUUGUAGAACAUCACUUCUGAUUUUAUCUAGCCGAUCGUCCAGUCCAUCAAGGAACACAUACUCUUGAAGCAGGGUGUUGUGUCUGUACAUCAAUUGCACACUCCAUUGGGUUUGGUCGCGGUAAUCAAUUUCCCUCCAUAAGCCCUGAAGACAAUUGUAAUAUCCCUCAAUAGAUUCCCCAUUUUGUUUCAUUCGAGUGACCCUUCUCUUCAAAUCGUAUACCUGCGAUUUAUCAUUCCCAUCAAAAUAAGUUGUGGCAAUUGAUUCCCAUACCUGUUUUGCUGUUGGAAAUCGGAUAAAGUUGCCGACUAGAGAAGGGUCCAUUGAAUUAAUCAGCCAACCCUUUACAAUAGAGUUUUCUGUCCUCCAUCUUCUGAAUGUUGGAUCAUUCAAUUCUGGUUGCGGAAGAUCACCAUUGAUAUAUCCUAGUUUGUCUUUUCCUGAGAUAUACAUCUCGACAAUCUGAGACCAUAGAGCAUAAUUAGUUCCAUUGAGUUUGAUAGCAAUCGGUGCAGCAGUAUCAUAUGUUACUGCAGGGGUCUGGUUCAGGCUUUGUCUCAAAGCCUGGGUCAUUCUCGUAGUCAAAUCUUCCAGGAUAGCCUCUGUUCCUUGUUGAUUUUGUUCUACUAAAUCGGUAGGGGCUGCCAUCGUAUCUACUAAAUCAGUAGGAAUUUCCAUCAAGUUUCUACGCUAACAGGGAGAGAUAGUUUGUUCUGGGUGGCGGCUGCCUCUUUGUUUCACAACUCAAAGGAAAAAAAGGUUAAAAAAUUUAGGGUAUUUGCUCUGAUACCAUGAAAGUAAAGAAGGAAAUUUGGUAAUUGUAAAAUCUUUAUUAAAAUCUUACGUUUACACUGUUGUAGUAUAUAUACAAAAAAAAAAGAAUUUGUAACGUUCUAGGUUCCUAUUAUAAUUAGGAAAUUUACAACUGUAGAAUAAAUCAAUUCCUAGAAUCUCUCCAAUGACAGUAAAUGCUAACAGUUCUUACCUUCUCCUGGAUGUAGCUGAUCAGAAGCAAGCAAAGUAAUAGAGCUCGAGAAACUGAUCAUCACCAUAACUUGGCAAAGCUGAAACAUCGUUAACAUCUUGUGCUGAAAAUUGGCUGCAGAAGCUCGAAUAAGUUUUUAUUUGUCGACAUGAGAGGCAGGGAAAAACUCUCUGAUAUUUUGAAACAUGCUAAGAAUUUUCUGCUCUUUUUUUUUCUUUUUGCAAAUACUGAUUGAUGUAGACAGAGACCAAUCUCUUUUCCACCAGGUGCUAAAGGACAACAAGCUAUUUGGAGUUGAUGAUAGACUCAAUUAUAUAGCUAGUGGACAACAGGCAUAAUUGACAGUUUAACACUUGCAGCAGGUUUAUUUCUAUGUUUGAAAAAUAUUUUUAGAAAGAAAUUGAAUUUUGUUUUUAACUCAUAGAAUUGGUGACAAAUAAUAAAAUUAUUGACUAAUGUUAUUCCAUCAAUAAAUUAAUUAGUAAAAUUUUUAUCAAUAAAAUGAUAAUUUUAUUCCACACAAAAAUAAGGAAAUACAAAAAAAAAAUAUAUCAAAAAAUAUAUUCAAAAGAAAACAAAAAACAAAUAAUGGGAGCGAGAAAAAGAUGUUGGAAUGUCAAAAAAUAACUAAAAAUUGGUUGAAGAGGUUUAAAAAUACAAAAGAUUAAAAUUUGAUAGUAUAUUUUUAACUGGCGAGGGCCAUGUUAACAAGGAAAAUUCAGCUUGAGGACGAAAAGCUCGAAAUCAGAUGUUUAUGGACUUAAUUAAACUUUAUCUAAGGUUUAAUUGAAUUUAUGGAGGGUUUGAUUGUAAGAAAAAAUAAUAUCUAAGUCCAUUUAGGCUUUUUUUGAAAACAAUUAAAGUUCUGGGGUCCAAUUAUAAUUUUAAAGAGUUGAUUUGGUCAAAUCAGGGGUUUAAUUGCAUAGUUAUUGAAGUUUAAUGGCUAAUUAUAGACUUAAUUGAAACAAUAUGAAACCAAUAACCAAACCGGAAAAGACGCUAAAAUCAAGGGAUCCAAUUAUAAUUUAUAUCGGGGCUUGAUUACAACAUUGUUAAAACAUCCAAGGACCAAAUCAUAAAUAUCAUUAAGAGUUUCAAAACGGUGCCGUUGCCUUAAAACACUAUUCACUGUCUUCUUCCAGCCGUUACAGCAGUAAAGGCCGAAAAACGUUUUCUUGCAGCAACAGUGCCAAUUCUCUUCAAUUAUGGGGCAUGUGUCACAGCUGUCAUCCCUCUGCAAACCGUUACCAAGCCAACUGUUGCCAGCACAAAGCCUUCUCUGGCAUUAUAAAAGCAAAAGAACGCGACAGAGAAGAGGGAGAGAAAGAAGAGGGGGGGCGGAAGGAAGCAGAUGAUAGUGAGGAAAGAAACAAAAAGGGAGGGAAAAAAAAGAAAGAAAAGAACAAAAAAAAAAACGAGAGAGACAGAAACGAGUGAAGGAAAAAUGUAAGCAGCAGAGGAAAUCGUUGAGACCAGAACCAGCUGCCAUCGUCUUCGUCAUUUCAGAAAGCAAGAAACGAAGAGAAGAAGAAGAGUGCAGGAAUGAAACAGUAGAAGAAGGAAAGAAAAAGGUCGUCCGAUCAGCAUUGAUCCCUCAACUUCGUCUUCAUCUUCAGGUAGCUUCAGGGGACGUUUGAGACCAGAGAGGGAGAGAAAGAUAUAACAGGGAACAAGAGGAAGAGUAGAUCGAAGAAAAAAAAAAAGCAGAAGGGAAACGCAGAGAAAUAAAGAAGAACCGCCGGCCAGUCAGCACCACAGUUCGCAACCGCAUCAGCAGCACCUCUUUCAGAAGCCACCGCAGGUCCACCCCUUUUCCUUCUUCUUCUUCCUCCACUUCAUCUUCCUUGGUUUCGUCCCCCACUGUUCUGCGUGAACAGUGGAGAGUGAAUUAAUUCACUCUCCACUAUUUAUUACGAGAAAGAAGAAAAAUGAUGAACUGAGUAAUAUUCUUCUUAUUCAACUUGGCAACAUUGUUCACUGUUACAUUGUUUAUAUAGGCUCAUGAAUGAAUAAAGAUUAAUUAACAAUAGUAACUGAUUUGCAAUUAUCAGUUAACUAAAUCUUCUAAGUGUCUUAACUAACUUCCAACUGCUUUAAGAAACUCUAACUGCUGCAAUUGCGUGCUGAAGACGUCAACUAUGCAUUACUGGAGAGUGCUUCUGCUGAUGAUAACUCCUCUGCUUUGCUGUAGCUGCAUGUAAGUUUAAUACUCCCCCUCAAGAUGAGACAUAAAGAAUCAAGGGGAAUAGAUGUUAUGAAGGCUCAUCUUGGACACCAAAGGAAAGAAAAGAGAGAAACCAAGAGUCUUGGUAAACACAUCUGCGAUCUGAUUUGUGGAAGAAACAUGAAAAGUACACAGAAUGCCUAACUGAAUCUUCUCUCAAAUCACAUGGCAAUCAAUGUCUAUAUGUUUGGUUCGUUCAUGAUAUACAGGAUUAGCUAAAAUAUGGAGAACAACUUUACUGUCACAGUAAAGAAAGUAGUUUGUGAAGAACUUGGAGGUCCUGAAGAAGAGAUCGAAGCCACACAACUUCACAACAAGUAGAUGCCAUGCUCUGUACUCAGCCUCCGCAGAAGACCUGGACACAGUGGUUUGUUUCUUUGAUUUCCAAGAAAUUAAAGAAUGAUCAAGGAAAAUGCAAUACCCUAUCACUGAUCGUCUAGAAUCCACGCACCCUGCCCAGUCAGAAUCACAAAAUGCUUUCAUUUGUAAACUGAGAGGACUGGAAAGAACAAUCCUUGGGCUGGAGAAGCUUUAAUGUAACGUAAAACUCUAUAAGCUGCAGCUAAAUGAGGAGCACGUGGUUGAGCCAUAAACUGACUUAGCACUUGAACAACAAAUGAAAUGUCAGGUCUGCUGAUGGUGAGAUAAAGCAAGCGCCCAACAAGUCGUCUGUAAGCAGUAGGGUCGUCUAAGAGUUGUCCAGAGUCUUUAGAAAAUUUACAUUAGGUCCAUGGGAAAUGGUCUGGCUUUGAAGCCAACAACCCGAGUCUUCAAGAACUUCCAAUGCAUACUUUCUUUGACAAACAAGAUGCCAAGUUCACUACGGGCUAUUUCCAAACCAAGGAAAUAUUUCAGCUGGCCAAGGUCUUUGAGUUGAAAUUUAUCAUUAAGUAAUUGGAUAAACUUUGAAACCUCUUGCUGAAUUAUCACUAGCAACCACUAUGUCAUCAACAUAACUAAUAAUGCGAUGAAUGGUCCAAAGUUCUUGUAAAUAAAGUGUAGUCAGCUUUAGAUUGUAUGAAUCCAAACUCAAGUAGAGCAGUGGAGAAUUUAGCAAACCAUUGCCUAGAAGCUUGCUUUAAGCCAUAAAUUGACUUGUGAAGCUUGCAUACUUUGGACUCCCCCUUACUGGAAUCCAGGAGGUAAUGACAUGUAAACUUCUUCAUCUAAUUGACCAUGAAGAAAAGCAUUAUUCACAUCCAAUUGGUGAAGAUGCCAUGUUUUACUGCUGCCACUGCUAAAGUGCGCACAGUGGUGAGUUUAGCCACAGAGAAGUUUCAUAGUAGUCCAAGCCCUCACAUUGGUUAUACCCUUAGCAACUAACCUGGCUUUAUACCUCUCUAAAGUCCCAUCAGAUUUGCAACUUGACUUUGUAGACCCAUUUGCACCCAAUGACAUGUGUUAAGCAGGAAGGUCAACAAUAGUCCAGGUCUUAUUGAGCUCAAGUGCUUUAAUCUCAGUAUUCAUAGCCUCACGCCAUUCCUCAUGUUUGACAGCUUGAGUAUAAGAUGUUGGUUCAACAAGUGUAGAGACAGAAAGACUAAAAAUUUUUGAGAAGGGGAAAGAUGAUCAUAUGAAAGACUGAAGAAAGGAAUAAGGAAUACCUGAAGCUGUGGACGAAGAUGUGGGAUCUGAAGUGGAGGUUGCAAGAUGACAAUGAUAGUCAUGCAAAUAUCCAGGUGUCUGUUUUACCCUAGAAGAUUUUCUGCUAGGCUGAGGUAUAGAUGGUUCUGAAGUAGAAUUCCAAAGAGAUGAUAUGCAGGUUCUGAAGUGGAAUUUGGUUACUUGGACUAGUAGGUGAAGAAUUUGAAGCAGGGGAUCAAGUAAAGGAUAGUGAUUCAUGCAUUGCUGGUAAAGGUAAAACAGAAUCAUUAGCAGAUGGUGGAUUUUUGAGUGCAAAAGGAAAUAUAUUUUCGUGAAACACCACAUCUCUGGAGACAAACACAGUAUGAGAUUUAAAUCAUAGAGUUUGUAACCUUUCAUCCCAUAUGGAUAACCAAGAAGUAUGCAAGGCUUAGCUCUAGGAUCAAAUUUAUGUCUAUUUCUAAGAAGGUAUUGCAUAACAAAGACAACCAAAUACCCGCAGAUGAGAAUAUGAUGGAGAAGACUUGAACAAAACUUCAUAAGGGGAUUAUUUUGUAGUGAAGGAGUGGGAAUCGAUUUAUCAAGUGCACUGCAGUGAGAGUGCAAUCCCCCCAAAACUGUAAAGGUAAGUGUGAAUGAAAAAGGGAUCUAGCCACAUUCAAGAUGUGCUGGUGUUUGCGUUCAACAAUGAAUUUUGUUGAGGUGUUUCAACACAACUAAGUUGGUGGAUAACACCUUUUGUGGCAUAAAAUGAUUCAUGUUGAACUCAGCACCAUUAUCCGACCUUAAGAUUUUGAUUUUGGCAUUGAAUUGUGUUUCACUACCAGAAAUUCGCUAAAUACCAACGGAAUCACCGACGGCAUAUUUCUGUCGGUAUUUUAUGGUCGAAAUCACUGACGUAAUAUUUCCGUCCGUAAUUCGGUCGGUAAUUACCGACGGUUAUAUUCCGUCGGUAAUUACUGACCGAAUUACAGACGGAAAGUUCAGAAUUAAUGAAAAAAGGGCCGGUAGCUGGCGUAGAGGUUUUGGUGGGUGAUUUUUUCGAUAGAAUCACCGACGGAUUAAAAACCGGGGACCCGUACGUGUGUUUGGACCGGUUCAUCGUCAACAAUACCGACGGAAUCACCAACAGAUUUGAAAUGCCAGUUCCGUACGGAUGACGUGACCGGUGCCCCGUCAAAAAUACUGACGGAAUCACCGAGGGAUUUGAAAAGCAGGUCCGUACAGUGACGUGUCUAUUAACCGUUGUAAUUACCGAUGGAGUCACUGACGUAUUCACCGACGAUGUUAUUCCAUCGGUGAUUCCGUCGAUAAAAGUGAAUAUAUGGCCGCUCUGCCGACACUCUCCUCCCCCAUUUCUCCUUCUUAUUCCUAAUCCUAAGUCUCCCCAUCUACAAAUAACCAGCCCCCCUCGCCCUCAAACAAAAAUCUUCCUCAUCUCAGCACAACAAGUUGUAUUUCUUGAAGUUUUGUGGUCACAGCAUCCGUAUUCUGAUUUACCGACGGAUUUUAUCAAUUUUUGUAAGUAAUUCUAUCUUUUUAAAUUUUAACAUUUAAAUGUCAAUUUUAUUGUUUUUUUAGUAUAUGUAUUUUGUUAGUAGAUGUACAUGUUUUAUUGUUAUUUCUCAAACAAACUUGUAGUUAUGAAUGUAUAAUUUUAUACCUGUUAUGGUUUGUUUUAGAUUUUGUAAGAUUGUAUUUGUUUGUAAAUUGUUAAAACUUUGUGGAAUUACCGAAUUACAUGUUAUGUUUUGAAAUAAUUAAUAGCUUGCUUAAUGGGUCCUUUUUAAGUUUUAUCGAUGGUAUUGCAGAGUGGUAAUUUCUGUUAAUUAUAUAUAUAUAUAUAUAUAUAUAUAUAUGGACGUUGAUAAAUGAUAAUGAAUAUUUAAUAUUUAUGAGAAGUUGUGAUUGGUUUGUUGGAUAAUCUCGAGGUAAAGUAAUAUUUUACAAGUUUAUUUACCUAACUUAGUUAAUUAAUAUAUACAUGAUGUCAUCAUAAUUUUAUAGAGGUUCGAUAGAAGUCAUGGAUGAUCGUUCAUGGAUGUAUCUAGAUUCACCCCAAGGAUUGCGGAGGAUGGAUUAUUGUAACGGGGUUCAGGGUUUUAUUAAUUUCGCAACAUCUAUUCCCAGAAAUUUUACUGGAGGCGGUAUUAGGUGUCCAUGCAGGAAGUGUCAAAAUAAAAAGUAUCUGCAGAUGUUGUAAUGAUGCAUCUUCUACACAAAGGGUUUGUGGAGGAUUACCAGUGUUGGUAUGCACAUGGAGAGGUAUUUGUUAGUAAUAGGAGAAUGGAGAAACGGUGGUUGGGUCAACUUCUAGUGCUAGCAACGUGCAUGAAGCGGCAAAUGACAACACUAAUCCUUACAGAAACAUGGUUAUGGAUGCAAUGAGAAUGAAUCAAGGUAAUGUCAGUCAAUGUCCAAUCGUAGAAGAAGAACCUAAUGCAGAGGCAGCUAGGUUUUUUGAUUUGUUGAAAGAUUCUGAUGAACCAUUAUGGGAUGGCUGCACAAACCACAGUAAAUUGUCGGCCGUGGCACAGGUGUUCACCAUCAAGUCAGAUCACGGGUGAGUGAGGUCGGGUAUGACAAAAUUAUUGAUUGGGCAAGAAGCAUUUUACCUGAAGGGAACAGGCUCAAAGAGAACUUCUAUGCUGCGAAGUCCAUGAUGAAACCCCUCGGUUUAGGAUACCAGAAAAUUGACAUGUGCCCUAACUUCUGCAUGUUAUACUACCUUGAAAAUGCUGAGAUGACCGAGUGCAUGACAUGCGGGCAUUCCCGUUACAAACCCAGAACUGGCAGGGGAAAGACUCUAGUGGCGUAUAAAAAACUUAGAUAUUUCCCGAUCACACCUAGACUGCUGAGCACAUGACAUGGCACCAAACACAUGAUGCGGUUGAUGGUGUGAUGGUGCAUCCUUCUGACGGCGAAGCGUGGAAACGCUUUAACAGUGUGCAUCCUGACUUUUCAGCUGAAUCAAGGAAUGUCCGUCUUGGGUUGUGUACAGACGGAUUCAACCCAUUUGGGUCAUUUGCUGCUCCCUAUUCUUGUUGGCCGGUCAUACUCACAGUUUAUAACUUGCCACCGGGAAUGUGUAUGAGGCCGGAGUUCAUGUUUUUAUCUACUGUCAUACCCGGUCCAAGCAGCCCGGGGCGGAAUAUAGAUGUUUGUCUUCGACCGUUGAUUGAUGAGCUGGCGCAGUUGUGGUCCUCCGGAGCUCUGACUUAUGAUAUAUCGAGGAAACAAAAUUUCCUUAUGAGGGCGGCUUUGAUGUGGACUAUCAAUGAUUUUCCAGCUUAUGGAAUGCUUUCUGGUUGGAGCACACAUGGGAAACUCGCAUGUCCAUACUGCAUGGAAAACAACAAGGCAUUCACGCUAGCAAACGGAGGUAAAGCUUCUUUUUUUACUGUCACCGUCGCUUCUUGCCACUUAAUCACAGGUUCAGAAAGAACAGAAAAGAUUUCUUUGUUGGCAGAGUUGAAAAAGAUGUUGCAUCCCCGCGUCUUUCUGGUGAAGAAUUGCAUCAUGUUGUAUCAGAGUACGGUGACAUUGUGUUUGGCCUUCAAUCAGGUAAGCAAAAGUUUCCUGGUUUUGGUUUGACCCAUAAUUGGGUAAAGCGAAGUAUCUUUUGGGAGCUUCCUUAUUGGAAGACCAAUCUUCUCCGCCAUAACCUUGACGUCAUGCACAUCGAAAAGAACGUGUUUGAGAAUAUUUUCAACAUCGUCAUGGAUGUGAAGGGGAAAACAAAGGACAACAUGAAGGCUAGAUUGGAUAUAGCUUUAUACUGUAACCGUAAAAAUAUGGAGUUGGUUUAUGAGGAGUCACGGGUUUUUCAAAACCAAGGGCAAGCUUCGUAUUAGAGAAAAACGCACAACUGCUAGACUACAAAUGGCUUAAGAGUCUGCGUUUUCCGGAUGGACAUGCAUCGAACAUAUUAAGGCUUGUUAACAUAGAGGAUUGCAGAUUGUAUCGAAAAUAAUUACAACAAAAUGCCACAAUCACCGACAGUAACACCGACGGAACUCCAUCUGUCGGUAUCUCACAGAGAGUUUGAAAAUAAUUACAAUAAAAUGCCACAAUCACCGACGGCUUUUUCGGUCUCAAAUUUUACCGACAGAAAUACCGACAGCUCGUGCGAUUUCCAAAGAGUGUGAAUUGAAUGCACCGCUGACCGUGUCAGAUCGCCGACGGACUACGAAAAAUAUGGAGGGUAAUUAAAAAUUUCGGUGCGAAAUUCAAAAAUUACCGACGGAUUUAAAAAAAUUAUAAUAUUUUUUUAAUAUCCGUCGGUAAAUCUGCCAUAUAACCUAUAACUUCCAGCCCCCGCCACUUCGCCUCAUUUUUUCUUCUCCUCCGCUGCCCUAUAAUUUUCAGUUUUUUGCUCUCAAUCCUUUAAGGCUUUCACCUUGAAUAUCUUGCAAGAUUUGAAUAAAGGUAUGUGGUUUUUUCUAUUUUAUUUUAUUUUAUUUUUAGUUGUUUUUAUUUUUGUUAUUUUGUUGUUUUGGGGUAUUGUUUUGUAAUAUAGAUAAAGUUUUGAAUUGGACACAUUAUUAAGGUACGUAUAUUUCGUUCCUUUUCUUGAUGUAGUUUUUUUUUUUGAAUUUUUUGAAUAUUGUGUUGUCAUAAUUGUUAUUAGUUAAUUUGUUGAAUAUUUUUUGUUAAAGUUGAAUUUAACUUAGAAUUAGUAAUUGACUAUGUUAGAAUAAUUAGAAAUUUUACUCUAUUAUUGCAUGAUUUGUGUUUUAUUAUUUCCAUUGAUUUUAAUUGUUAGUCUAUAUAUGUUUUUUUUUUUAAUUUAUUGAAUAUAAUUUAUUGUUGUAUUGCCAUAUAUAAUUAUUGAUUAAUUUGUUGAAUUAAUAUUGUUAAAGUUGAAUUUACCUUAGAAUUAGUAAUUGCAUUUGUCAGAAUAAAUAGUAAUUGCAUAUGUUUUUAAUUGUUAGUUUAUAUAUAUUUUUUAAUUUAUUGAAUAUAUUUUAUUGUUGUAUUGCCAUAAUUAUUUAAUAAUUUGUUGAAUUAAUAUUGUUAAUGUUGAAUUUAUCUUAGAUUUAGUAAUUGAAUAUGUUGGGGAGAAUUAUUAAUUUUACUCUAACUUGAUGAUUUAUGGAUGAUUGUUUCUAUUUAUUUUGAAUUUAUAGUUUUGUUGUAUUGACAUAAUUAUUGAAUAAUUUUUUGAAUUGUAAUUGUUAAUGUUGAAUUUACCUUAGGAUUAGUAAUUGAAUAUGUUGGAAUAAUUAGUAUAGAUUGGGUCAAUUGGUUGUGGCUAUUAUUAAUACUUGCAGGUUUGUGGAUUUGGGUAGUAUCCAGUAUAGGGGAGGUGGUGCCAAAUUUUUUUAACUUUUGAAUUUAAUUGUAUAAUUAUUUAUAUAAAAUUGUUUAGAUGCGCAAAAUGAAAACCAAAGUUACACGUCCAGUCGAAUCAAGUUCGUCUAGUAGCGAUGCUGAUAUUUCCUUAGGUGCCUCUCAAGAAGAGGCACCUACACCACCUGGGCUGUCAACCGAUGCUGCCUCUUCCAGCGAUGUUUCACAUCGCAGAAGCGGCGUGCCUUCGCAGCGGAAUCAAUUUUCCCGCAAGUACGAGGCACAGUGGAAGGAAGAUCUUUCAAUGUAAGUUUGUUAAGGUUUUUUUUUUUUUAAAAAAAAAAACAAAUUUAAAACAUAAUUUAUGAAGUAAUCACUAUUUUAUUAAUUUCAUUUCUUUUCAGGUUCACAAACAUUGAGGCCGCCCGAGUAAUAUCAUCGGCAUUUAAAGCGUCGAUGGAGAUUCCAUUGUUUCAAUGGAGUCAGAUAUCCAGGCAUCCUGAAUGGAUGCCUCAAAUCAAUGCAUGGUUUCGCAGAUUUGAGGUUUGUGUUAAUAUAUAAUUUUCAGCUUAUUUCUAAUAAAUUCUACAUAUAAUUGCAAAUAAAUUAUUAACAUUUUAAAAAAUUAAUUUUUUAUACACAGCAUCAAUUCUGCUGGGACGAUGAACAUAACACUGUUGUGAGGAGGGUGUGGGAAAAUCACGCGGCAAUUAGGUAACAUCGAAAACAAUACAACUUUUUUUUACAUAAAAAUUUAUGUUUCAAAAUGUAAUUUUUGCUUGUGUGAAUUAUGUUGCGUGAUUUUUGGUACGAUACCCAAAAAAAAGCAAAAAAACUGCGAGGGAUAAGGGGUUCCAAGGCUGGAACGAUGUUGCGGUUUGGAGGGAUUUCAAACCGAUAUACAUCCCGGAAAAUAUAUGGCCGCACUAUCUUCAGCACAUGACGUCUGAGCGGUUCACACGACGCUCAUAGUCCGGUGCUGGCAACCGGAAUCGACAAUUCAUGGCUCAGUGACAACACACCGACGACUCUGUUCCGUUUGCUGCACAUGCAAAACGGAUAGUAAGAUUAAUUUAAAUGAAAUAUAUCGUUCAAUUAGUUUGUUGUUAAUAAUUUUUUUUCAUUAUAGGCUACGUCUCUUGGACGUGAGCUGAGCCCUAUGGAGCUGUUUGUGGAGACGCACGUUCGGAGUCAAGACCGCCAAAAGGGGGUGCAACAGUUCAUUGACAACCGCGCUCAACAUUUCUCGGUCGGUACUGCUUCAACCGUCGGGAGCUCCCAAUCAGUAUCGAGCUUCCAAUCUAAAGAGUUCGUGGCCUUGCAGCAAAAGUGUGACCACCUAUCAGAGGCGUACACACAACUCAAAGAACAGCAAAGAGUGGCGUCCGAACAACACAGAGUAGAGUCUGAACAACAUUACAAAAUAAAAAAUCAAAGUUAAAUAAUAUUCAUUACAAAAUGAAUGUGUUUCAAAAACACAUUAAACGAAAUUUUAAAUGUAAAUAAUAUUUAUUAAAAAUUAAUAUAAAGGUGGAGGAGGAGGAGGAGGAGGAGGGUGGGGGUUAGGCGUCCAAAAAGGAUUAGGCGCACAUGUUCCGCCUUGUGUCAUGUUCAUGACCAUUUGACGAAGCUCUUCAUAGGCCGCUCUUUGUUGUUCAGACUCUGCUCUGCGUUGUUCGUCCGCCAAUCUAUGUUGUUCGUUCGCCAAUCUUUGCUCUUCUUUGAGUUGUGUGUACGCCUCUGAUAGGUGGUCGCACCUUUGCUGCAAGGCCACAAACUCCUUAGAUUGGGAGCUCGAUACAGAUUGGGAGCUCCCACCGGUUGAAGCAGUACCGGUCGACCGCAACUUGGCAGCGGUAGUGUUGGAGAGCCCGUAAACCAGAUUUUUAUCGGGUCCACCUGACGAUCCAGCCUCCAUCCACAAAUCCGGAUCGAAUUCCGGAUGGGUCGAAGGAUCAUCCCCGUAUCUCUCCCUCAACCGAUUAUUAUAGGUCUCCUGAAAAAAAAAAUCAUAUUGAAUUCAAUAAACAUAAUAAUAACUUACAAAAUAAAAUGGUUGAACAAACACACCACAAACUGUUGAGCACGGUUGUCAACGAACUGUUGCGUCCCCUUUUGGCGGUCAUGACUCCGCACGUGCGUCUCCACAAACAGCUCCAUAGGGCUCGGCUCACGUCCAAGAGACGUAGCCUAUAUAUAAUGAAAAAAAUGUAUUAACAACAAAUUAAUUGAACGAUAUAUUUCAUUUAAAUUAAUCUUACCAUCCGUUUCGCACGUGCAGCAAACGGAACGGAGCCGCCGGUGUGCGUUGUAACCGAGCCAUGAAUUUGCCGAUUCCGGUUGCCGGCACCGGACUGUGAGCGUCGAGUGAACCGCUCAGACGUCACGUGCUGAAGAUAGUGCGGCCAUAUAUCUUCCGGGAUGUAUAUUGGUUUGAAAUCCCUCCAAACCGCAACAUCGUUCCAGCCUUGUAACCCCUUAUCCCUCGCUGUUUUUUUUGCUUUUUUCUGGGCGUCAUACCAAAAAUCACGCAACCUAAUUCACGCACGAAAAAAUUAUAUUUCAAAACAUAAAUAAUUAUGUAAAAAAAAGUCGUAUUGUUUUCGAUGUUACCUAAUUGCCGCGUGAUUUUCCCACACCCUCCUCACAACACUGUCAUGUUCAUCAUCCCAGCAGAAUCGAUGCUGUAUAUAAAAAAAUAAUUUUUUAAAAUGUUAAUAAUUUAUUUACAAUUAUAACUUGAAUUUAUUAGAAAUAAGCUGAAAAUUAUAUAUUAACACGAACCUCAAAUCUAUUGAAACCAUGCAUUGAUUUGAGGCAUCCAUUCAGGAUGUCUGGAUAGCUGACUCCAUUGAAACAAUGGAAUCUCCAUCGACGCUUUAAACGCCGAUGAUAUUACUCGGGCGGCCUCAAUGUUUGUGAACCUGAAAAGAAAUGAAAUUAAUUUGUGAUUACUUCAUAAAUUAUGUUUUAAAUUUGUUUUUUUUUUAUAUAAAAAAAACUAAAACCUUAACAAACUUACAUUGAAAGAUCGUCCUUCCACUGUGCCUCGAACUGGCGGGUAAAUUCAUUCCGCUUCGAAGGCAUGCCGCGUCUGCGAUGUGAAACAUCGCUGGAAGAGGCAGCAUCGGUUGACGGCGCAGGUGGUGUAGGUGCCUCUUCUUGAGAGGCACCUAAGGAAACAUCAUCAUCGCUGCUAGACGAACUUGAUUCGACUGCUUUUUUUGCUCUGGUUUUCAUUUUGCGCAUCUAAACAAUUUUAUAUUAAUAAUUGUAAAAUAAAAUUCAAAAGUUAAAAAAAAAUCGGCAGCACCUCCCCUAUACUGGAUACUACCCAAAUCCACAAACCUGCAAAUAUUAACAAUAGCCACAACCAAUCGAACCAAUCUAUACUAAUUAUUCCAACAUAUUCAACUAUUAAUCCUAAGAUAAAUUCAACGUUAACAAUUACAAUUCACAAAUUAAUCAAUAAUUAUAUUCAAAACAAUAAAAAAUAUAACAAAAAAUAAAUUCAAUAAAUUCAACAAAUUAUACUUCAACAAAUUAACAAUUACAAUUCAACAUUAACAAUUAUAAUUCAACAAAUUCAAAAAUUCAAAAAAAUUCAAAUAUUCAACUUUAACUAAUUCUAAGUUAAAUUAACUAAUAACAAUUCUAACAACACAACAACAAAAAAUAUUCAAUAAAUCAACAAUUAAAUUCAAUUAUUCAACAAUUAAAUUAACAAAUAUUCAACAAAUUCAAAAAAUAUUCAAAUAUUCAACUUUAACUAAUUCUAAGUUAAAUUAACUAAUAACAAUUCUAACAACACAACAACAAAAUAUUCAAUAAAUUCAACAAUUAAAUUCAAUUAUUCAACAAUUAAAUUAACAAAUAUUCAACAAAUUCAAAUUCAAAAAAUAUUCAAAAAAUUCAACUUUAACUAAUUCUAAGUUAAAUUAACUAAUAACAAUUCUAACAACACAACAACAAAAAUAUUCAAUAAAUUCAACAAUUAAAUUCAAUUAUUCAACAAUUAAAUUAACAAAUAUUCAACAAAUUCAAAAAAUUCAAAAAUAUUCAACAAUUCAACUUUAACUAAUUCUAAGUUAAAUUAACUAAUAACAAUUCUAACAACACAACAACAAAAAAUAUUCAAUAAAUUCAACAAUUAAAUUCAAUUAUUCAACAAUUAAAUUAACAAAUAUUCAACAAAUUCAAAAAAUAUUCAAAAAAUUAAAAAAAAAGGAACGAAAUAUACAUACCUUAAUAAUGUGUCAAAUUCAAAACUUUAUCUACAUUGCAACAAAAAACACCAAAACAACAAAAAUAAAAACAACUAAAAAUAAAAUAAAAUAAAAUAAAUUAGAAAAAAAACACAUACCUUUUGAUAUAAUGAAGAUUUACAACACCAAAUCUUGCUAGAGAUUAAAGGUGAAAGUGUUUAAGGAUUGAGGGGGAAAAAAAUGAAAAAUCUAAGGUGAAAACGGAGGAGAAGCGAAGAAGCGGCGGGGAGAAGAAGAAAAAAUGAGGCGAAGCGGCGGGGCUGGAACUUAUAGGUCAAUUUUACCGACGGAAUUAACAUCCGUCGGUAACAGGUGAAAAUUCCGUCGGUAACAGAUCAAAAUUCCGUCGGUAUUUUUCGAAUUUCGCCCCGAAUUUUUAAAAGCCCUCCAAAAUUUUCGCAGUCCGUCGGUGAUUCCAUCGGUAAUCUGACAAGUUCAGAGGCGCAUUAAUUAACGCACUUUGGAAAACGCGCGGUCCGUCGGUAAUUCUAUCGGUAAUAUGUGUAACCGACAAAUUACCGACGGACCUAAGCCGUUGGUAAUCCCGUCGAUGGUGGUGUUAUGUUUUCGAGCUUGCUGUGAGAUGCCGACAGACUAUAUUCCGUCGGUAAUCCCGUCGAUGGUGGUGGAUGUUUUUCGAGCUUACUGUGAUAUGCCGACGGACUAUAGUCCGUCGGAAUUCCGUCGAUGGUGGUGGAUGUUUUUCGAGCUUACUGUGAGGUGCCGACGGACUAUAGUCCGUCGGUAAUCCCGUCGAUGGUGGUGGCAUGUUUUUCGAGCUCACUGUGUGAUGCCGACAGAUUUCAUUCCGUCAGUAUAGUUGUCGGUGAAGCCGUCGGUAAUUGCGUCGGUGUUGGUGGCAUUUCGCGUAAAUAUUUUCGAACUCUCUGUGAGAUACCGACGGAUGGUGAUUCGUCGGUAUGGACGUCGGUAAGUUUGCAUUAUGCAGGAAAGGUUGUCUUUGUAUUGCCUGUUUACCUUCCUGCAAUAACUUAACUGAUAAACUGUCUAUCACAUAAAACAAUAACCACAUUGCUUAAACAAUAAAUAUUUUGUUUUACAAAAUACAUCAUCAAUAAUCUAAAUUACAUGAGACAAAUGUUUUUACAUAGGGCUUCAUUUUUAUAAUUAGUCAAGAAUUUUCUUCUUCUUCCUCAUCAAUUGAAUUGUCAUCAUCUUCAUCGCAAUCUUCAAUAUGGAUAUCAUCUUCUUCAUCGACAUUUGGUUGUCCACUAGAGCUGAGAACAACAUUCAACUCCUCUCCGUCAAUAUCAACAAGACUAUCAUCGAGAACUCGAAAAUUUGAAUUUUCUUCCAAUUCAAUCGAAGGAGCAACUCGAUAUGGUUCAACCAACUCACGAACUUGAAAGACUUCAUCUCGCACACUUGUGUCUUCGUUCUCAUCCUGAACAACCUCGACACGACCCCGUGGUUUCGUUUUUUAAAACGGACAACCAAUCAAAAUCCUUUCUAAUGAAGGGGUGUAUGUGUAAUAAACUUGUUGACAUUGCUUUGCGAAAACAAAGACAUCGUUUAUGUUGCGGAGUCUAGCUUUUGAGUUGAUUUUGACCAGACCAUGGUGCGGAUCAACUCUGAUUCCUCUGUCCGUCGUGUCAUACCAAUAGCAUUUGAAUAAAAACAAAUGAUAUUGCAGUUCGACGACCUCUUCUAAUCUACCAUAGUAGUCAACUUCUAACUGGCUACUUGUGGAUCCCUUAACACAAACACCGCAGUUGUAUGUCUUUCUUCCUUGCCCGUAUUCUUCAGUAUGGAAAACAUAUCAUUGACAAAAUACCCGUUGUAGCACUUAACUUUUCUUUCAGGGCCGAGGCUUAGUGAAGACAAUGACUUGGGCGCACUCCUUCCCAUUUGAUAAACCUUGUAAAUAUAUGUAAUUAAAUGUACAUCAAUACAUGGUAAAUGAACGAGAAUCUCGUAACGACAUGCAUACGUUAGAAUGAGUUUGUGAUAGUGCUUACAUGUGUUCUGAACCAUGUGGCAAAUUGUUCAUCUUGUAAUUGAAAGAUCUGGGAUUCGGUCAGCUGCGAGUUAUUGGAGAGCAAAUAUUGUUGAUGUUGCCUGCAAGUGAUAAUGAGUGUAUGAUAUUACAAUAUAUAAUUAACAGUAUAUUACUAACAAAGUUUAAUUACUAUUACACAUAUAUAGACUUACUGAACAAAUGGUCUCAGCUCAUCACAGUUAAAUAGAACAUAGUUGUGUGCUUGUUUGAAUUCUAUUUCCGACAAAUAUCUUCCUCUUACGGCAUUUUUAGGUGUGGGUCGUCCAGUAUUGGAGAAUAUUGACAAGUUCCCACUGGAAGGCACUUCACCGCCAUCGUCAUGCCGUGGAACGCGAUUAAGUCUUGUUCUCAGAUGAGGUUCGAAAUAGUACGAGAUAAAUGUUGAUAUCUCUUCAACAAUAUAGGCCUCAGAUAUCGAAGCCUCAACAUGCGCCUUGUUCUUAACCUUUUUUUUUAGAUUAAACAAGUACCUGCAUUGAAGUACAAUUCAAGUAUUUUCAAAUAAGAAAAACAUAGAAAAUACUUCAAGAUAUGAAUUCCAUUGCAACUGUAAUAUCUCACCGUUCGAAUGGGUACAUCCAUCUAUACUGGACCGGUCCUCCAGCUUUUGCCUCGAACGGUAGAUGUAUAGGGAGAUGCUCCAUUGAGUCAAAAAAUAAAGGAGGGAAUAUCAUCUCAAGUUUGCAUAGUGUCUCGAUGAUAUUCGUUUGAAGCAUCUCAAUGUGCUCAACAUUCAUCUUGCUGGAGCAUAUAUCUCUGAAGAAAUGACUGAUCUCCGUUAGUGCAUCCCAUAUUCCCUUUGGCAACAAAUCACGAAAAGCUAAUGGGAUGAGUGUUUGCAUAAACACGUGGCAGUCAUGGCUCUUCAUUCCAUACAAUCUGCAGUCCUCUAUGUUAACAAGCCUUGAUAUGUUCGAUGCAUGUCCAUCCGGGAAACGCAGACUCUUAGGCUGUGUUUGAUUGCAGGAAAGUGAAUUCCCGGAAUUCACUUUCCUGCUUUUCCUGUGUUUGGCAGCAACAAAGGAAAGUGGUCAAAGGAAAGUGGUUUCCGGUCAACUUAAAAUUAAUAACAUUGAGAAAGGAAAGUGUUUUCCUUCCGUUAAAGAAAGGAAAACACUUUCCUUUUUUCUACACAUUCUCAGUAGCUGAACGAGAAUACACAACUUUGAAAUUUUUUCUUCAAAAAUCACACCGUCUCUUUUCCUUCGAAAUCAAUCGGGAAGCUGAGCAAGAACAAGAGUAUUUCUCUGGACCAAAAAUAUCAGGUAUUUGUUUUCCUCUUUCAUUUCUCCUUUAUGUUUUCUUCUGCGUAGAUCUGAAAAAUGGAGGCAUAAAUCUUUGAUAUUCUGCUACUGCUACUGUUAUAAUUUUUCCAUAAUUCUUCUCAUCAAUCUCGUCACAUUCAACUCAUCAAGCAAUCCAAAAAAAAAAACACAUUUUACUACUACACUGUUACUGUUGUCUUCUUCACGAAGGAGGAAAAAUUCGGCAGCUCCCUAACCAAACAAAGAGACAAACCGGGGGGGGGAGAUAGGGGGAGAUAAUUGUGGGGGGGGGGGCGAUCGAUUUCCAUAACAUCAAAACGAAUGGGGGGUGGGGCGAUCAUUUCUGUGAGGGGGCGAUUUCUGCUACUGCUAAGAGACCGAGAGACAGAGAGACAGGAUCUUUGCUGAGGGAAGCGAGCACCUCCAUGAGCAGCACUGUGUGUUAGAAGAGAGAGGAGAGAAGAGAGAGAGGAGGAUGGUAUAAAACCGGUUUCUGUAAAAGGAAGUGAAAGUGCAGCACCGUGUGUUAGAAAAGAAAUGAUGCAUCCAGAUUCGUUAAGUCUUCCAUUCAGGAGGGCUCCAUAUCUUUUCUUCCUAACAGCGUGCGAUGAAAUGAUGGACUCUUUCAUAUAGCAAUAGAUGCCAUAGAGUAGGGCAGAAGAAGCACAGGCUAGCAUUCUAAGUGGGUCAGGGUCAAGUCGGAAAUUAAACAUAUACUCUUGUUAUCUCGUAGUAGAUAUACGUACACCUUCGUGUCUCCAUACCAAAGGUCCAGGGAGGAGAAUUUUCUUUUCGUCGUUUCUUAAACAUAUACUCUUGUUAUCUCGUAGUAGGAUGCAUAUUUUUGGUCUCCAUGGAUAGCACGUAGUUGCUUUUCGAAGGCAAGUUAAAAUCGAAAUAUUUUCAUAAAGGAGUGUUGGUGAACUUGUGAAUUGCUAGAGUAUAUGUUUAAAUAUUAAUUACCUACCAUACGUUUAAAUAUUUGUUCCUCCUCCCAUCAAAUUUUGAGCUGCUCCAGUAAAAAAGAGUAAAUAUAUGGAGGCACGUUUAAGUCUGCUUGAGAGUGAUACAUAAUAUGAGAAAUGAGAUAAAAGACGGUGGCCUCUUUAAUUGAAUGAUAGUUGUACUUCGAAGAAGGGCAGUCAACUGGGGGGGGGGUCAUGCAUUCAACAAACUCUACUCUGUCUGCCCAGUCUUUCUUGAUACUGAACUCACGCAGAUGGUGAUGCUCGUUGAGGGAUAGCAGCCGGUGAUUCUGUUGAAGAAGCAAAAAAUUUAAAUGAAGGAGGACUAAAUUGAAAAAAAUGUAUCAUAAAUUGGAAUUGAAUGAUAAAAUUGAAAAACAAAUCACUAAAGGACCAAGAAAAAAUAUACUUCUAGUUUUUUGCAUUUGAAAAUGAUGUAGAAGUUGAGGUAGAAGUCAAAUAUAAUCUAACCAUGCACAAAUAUAACCUGCAAAAAAAUCUACUUUUUUAACAGUGAAUAGUGUUUGAUUAGUGUUUGAUUAUAUUUGUUAUAUAUGGAUAAAUUUGUGUGACUAUGCCGGUAAUUUAUUGCAUUGAUUGUGUUAGUAUUUUAUAUGCUUUUUUUAAUAUUUAUUUCCCUAAAUUUUUAGGUUUCGUUAUCAGAAAACUUCACUUUCAUGUUAUGGAUAGUAAGAUAAUUCAUGCAGCAUGUAUGGGAGCAGCUGUAUCUGUGAUAGCUACAAGGGUAGUUAUUAUUGAACAAGAAAGAAAUAGAAUUAAUAUACCACGAGAACCACGUAUAAAUGCAAUUCCUCAACGAGAAUUCUAUAUUGACAGCAUUUUGAAUCGAGGUGAUAGACAUUGCGUUGAACAAAUUCGUAUGAAACCUGUUGUCUUCUAUAGAUUGUGUGAUGUUCUCACAAGUCGUAACCUAUUACGAUCAACUCAAAAUGUGUCUAUUAGAGAGCAAGUAAUUGUGUUCUUACAAAUUGUAGGCCAAAACCAAAGAUUUCGGGUUAUUAGUGGUAUAUAUUAUAGGUCUGUUGAAACUAUCCAUCGAUACUUUAGAAUUGUUUUAAAAGCAGUUCUUAAGUUAUACAAACACCUUAUUAAAGAUCCAGAGGAUACAGUUCCAGCAGAGAUAAUGAAUAAUAGAAGAUUCUAUCCUUAUUUUAAGGUAUGAAAACAAUACCACUAUUUUUAUGAAUUAAUUAAUUACAUUCAUAAGAAAAUGUUAUAAAUUAUUUUUUCAUGUUUGUAUAGGAUUGUGUGGGAGCAAUUGAUGGUACCCAUGUUCCUGCAAAUGUUCCUGUUGAGAUUCAAGGAAAGUUUCGAGGACGAAAAGAAGGAACAACACAAAAUGUUUUAGCAGCUAUAACUUUUGAUUUAAAGUUUAUAUAUGUUUUAGCUGGCUGGGAAGGAAGUGCCCAUGAUUCACGGGUUUUAGGUGAUGCAUUAUCAAGAUCUAAUGGUCUAAAAAUUCCAGAAGGUAUAUAAUAAAGUAUGUAUUAUAUGCAAUAAACAUAUAAAAUGUCUUAUUAGAUAAAGAUAGUAAUAGGUUUUAUUUUUUUGAAUUUGUAGGGAAAUAUUAUCUUGGUGAUGCUGGUUACGGUAUUCGAAAAGGAAUCAUUUCUCCUUUUCGUGGAGUUCGAUAUCACUUGAAUGAGUUUACAGAACGUGCACCAGAAAAUGAAAAGGAGCUAUUUAAUCUUCGACACUCUUCAUUGAGAACCGCUAUUGAGCGAGGGUUUGGUAUUUUGAAGAGUCGUUUUAGAUCAAUUGAUGGAAAAUCUUUUUGGUCAUAUGAAACACAAGUAGAUGUUGUGCUUGCAUGUUGUAUUAUUCAUAAUCAUAUAAUGGGGGUUGAUCCUUAUGACUUUAUUAUGGAAGAAAUAUGUUCGGAUAUGGAACCAAUUACACGAACAAUCAACUUAAGUCAACGGGAGGAAAGGGAAGAGAAUAGGGAGUGGGUAACAAAAAGAGAAUUGAUUGCAUCAACCAUGUGGAAUGACUAUAACACUCAAAGAAACAAUUAAUUGAGUGUUAAUUAUGUGUUUGUUUUUAUUAUGUAUUGCUUAAGUUUGUAUUAUCUUUGUUAUGUAUUUGGAGUAGAUGUUGACUUUAUUAUAAUUUCUCUUUUAAUUAUUAAUUGUAGUUUUUAUAUGAAAUUUAUUAAAUCUAAAUAUUGUAUGAUUUUAUUUUGUAUAAAUUUAUAAUUUCUUUUUUGUAGAAAUGAGUUCCACGCAGAAUGAAAAAUGCAAGGGCAAACACUUCAAUGGUCGAAGCCAAUGUCUCACAUGUUGCUUGCGAUAUUAGUGAGGAGACUUAAAGGAGGCAAACCUUCUUCGACCUUUAAAGCUGAAUCUUUUGUUAAGGUGGCUACAGAAAUCAGUCAAAAGUUCAACGUCCAAUGCGAGCCUAAGCAUGUGGACAAUCAUCUCAAGACUGUGAAAAAGAAUGGGGAAUAAUAACCAAACUUAAAAAUAAAAGUGGUUUUGGCUGGGAUGAUUGUUUGAAGAUGAUUACAGUUUCGAAAGAUGUAUAUGAUGAAGAAGUAAAGGUAUGAUAAAUAUUAUACUCUUUGUAAUUUUUUAUGUACUUUUGUUUAAAAUGCUAUACAAUGAACUAAAAAAUUGCAUAUUCUAAACUUUAUGAACAGGCACACCCCAAUCAUGACAAGUUUCUCAACAAAAAACUUGAUAUGUACGAGGCAAUGGCAAUUGUUGUUGGAAAAGACAUGGCAACCGGAAAUUAUGCCAAAUCAUAUGCUGAUGUCAACUUGGAAGAGAACACUGAAGAGCAAUCAAUUUCAAUUGAAAAUGAAGGUGAAUAUGAAGAAACUUCAAAGGGAAAAGACAUCUUCCUCUAGUAUACAAAAGAGGCAACAUAGGAAGAGAAAUCGCAUGUAUGAAGAUAAUGGUGUUGAAAAGUUGUCUAAACAGAUUGGAGAUGUAGCAUUUGCAAUUCAAAGUCUCAGCAAAAAUCAACUUGAUGUUAAUGCGUUGUAUGCGGAAGUGAUGAAAGUUGAAGGCUUUGAUGAGAUCACUCUUGGGGAUGCAUUCGAUCAUUUGGUCCAAAAUGAAAUGUUGGCAAAAGCAUUUAUGGCAAAAAAUGCUAAUUUGAGGAAAAUUUGGGUUCAGAAUUUUGUGAACCAACACUGCUACAGGCCUGCUUGCUAAGAUGGUUUUAAUAUGUCGAAAAUUUGGGUUCAGACUAUGUUUGUUAUUUGACAAGUAUGUUUACUUGUUUAAUUCGGUCUAGCAUGUUUAUGUUUGUAAUUUGAACUAAUAUGUAUGUAUAUGACAUCGAAACGUAAUAUUUAUGCAUGACUGUGUUUGAUGUUAGGUAUUUAUAUUUAUUUCUUAAUGAUUAUUUGAUAUAUAUUAAAGGGUAAUUGCCUUUACCCGUAAAAAAAAAUAUUUAUCCAAAAAACCAAUCAAAAUAUUUUUGUAUGUAUUUAUCUUUUAAUCAUACCAAAAAAAAAAACCCAAAUAUAUAACUAUUACCAUAAACUAAUUUGGCUUUCUUCAUAUGAAAAAAAAAACUUAUUUUAAGCUUUUAAAAUUGAAAAAAAUAUAUUACUAGGUUUUACUUCAAAAAUAUUUCACAAGCUUAUUUCUAUAUAAUAUGAUAUGACAUAUAUAGUUAUAUUUUAUAAAAUAAGCUAUGUAUGAAUAUAGGAUAUAAUAAUAAUAAUAAUAAAUUAUCAUUAUACUUUUUAGAUUUCAUUUUUUUAUUGUAAGUGAUUAAAUAUUUAUAUUAAAUAUUAUAUAUAUAUAUAUAGAUAAACUUGAAAAAAAAUUAAUUCAAUAAUAAAUUAUUUUCCAGUUCAUUUUCCAUAACACAAACAAACACCGGAAAGUGUUUUCCAGUUCAUUUUCCAUAACACUACCAAACAUCGGAAUUCACUUUCCCCGGAAUUCACUUUCCUGCAAACAAACGGACCCUUAAGCCAUUUAUAGACUAGCAGUUGUGCGUUUUUCUCUAACACGAAGCUUGCCCUUGGUUUUGCAACCCGUGACUCGUCAUAAACCAACUCCAUAUUUUUACGGUUACAGUAUAAAGCUAUAUCCAAUCUAGCCUUCAUGUUGUCCUUUGUCUUCCCCUUCACAUCCAUGACGGUGUUGAAAAUAUUCUCAAACACGUUCUUUUCGAUGUGCAUGACGUCAAGGUUAUGGCGGAGAAGAUUAGUCUUCCAAUACGGAAGCUCCCAAAAGAUACUUCGCUUUACCCAAUUAUGGGUCAAACCAAAACCAGGAAACUUUUGCUUACCUGAUUGAAGGCCAAACACAAUGUCACCGUACUCUGAUACAACAUGAUGCAAUUCUUCACCAGAAAGACGCGGGGAUGCAAUAUCUUUUUCAACUCUACCAACAAAGAAAUCUUUUCUGUUCUUUCUGAACCUGUGAUUAAGUGGCAAGAAGCGACGGUGACAGUAAAAAAAAGAAGCUUUACCUCCGUUUGCUAGCGUGAAUGCCUUGUUGUUUUCCAUGCAGUAUGGACAUGCGAGUUUCUCAUGCGUGCUCCAACCAGAAAGCAUUCCAUAAGCUGGAAAAUCACUGAUAGUCCACAUCAAAGCCGCCCUCAUAAGGAAAUUUUGUUUCCUAGAUAUAUCAUAAGUCAGAGAUCCGGAGGACCACAACUGCGCCAGCUCAUCUAUCAACGGUCGAAGACAAACAUCUAUAUUCCGCCCCGGGCUGCUUGGACCGGGUAUGACAGUAGAUAGAAACAUGAACUCCGGCCUCAUACACAUUCCCGGUGGCAAGUUAUAAACUGUGAGAAUGACCGGCCAACAAGAAUAGGGAGCAGCAAAUGACCCAAAUGGGUUGAACCCGUCUGUACACAACCCAAGUCGAACAUUCCUUGAUUCAGCAGAAAAGUCAGGAUGAACACUGUUAAAGCGUUUCCACGCUUCGCCGUAAGAAGGAUGCACCAUCACACCAUCAACGACAUCGUGUGUUUGGUGCCAUGUCAUGUGUGCUCAGCAGUCCUUGGUGACAUAAAUAACCUCUGCAGUCUAGGUGUGAUCGGGAAAUAUCUAAGUUUUUUAUAUGCCACACUAGAGUCUUCCCCCUGCCAGUUCUGGGUUUGUAACGAGAAUGCCCGCAUGUCAUGCACUCGGUCAUCACAGCAUUUUCAAGGUAGUAUAACAUGCAGAAGUUAGGGCACAUGUCAAUUUUCUGGUAUCCUAAACCGAGGGGUUUCAUCAUGGACUUCGCAGCAUAGAAGUUCUCUUUGAGCCUGUUCCCUUCUGGUAAAAUGCUUCUUGCCCAAUCAAUAAUUUUGUCAUACCCGGCCUCACUCAACCCGUGAUCUGACUUGAUGGUGAACACCUGUGCCACAGCCGAUAAUUUACUGUGGUUUGUGCAGCCAUCCCAUAAUGGUUCGUCAGAAUCUUUCAACAAAUCAAAAAACCUAGCUGCCUCUGCAUUAGGUUCUUCUUCUACGAUUGGACAUUGAUUGGCAUUAUCUUGAUUCAUUCUCAUUGCAUCCAUAACCAUGUUUCUGUAAGGAUUAGUGUUGUCAUUUGCCGCUUCAUGCACGUUGCUAGCACUAGAAGUUGACCCAACCACCGUUUCUCCCAUUCUCCUAUUACUAACAAAUACCUCUCCAUGUGCAUACCAACACUCGUAAUUCUCCACAAACCCUUUGUGUAGAAGAUGCAUCAUUACAACAUCUGGAUGCAGAUACUUUUUAUUUUGACACUUCCUGCAUGGACACCUAAUACCGCCUCCAGUAAAAUUUCUGGGAAUAGAUGUUGCGAAAUUAAUAAAACCCUGAACCCCGUUACAAUAAUCCAUCCUCCGCAAUCCUUGGGGUGAAUCUAGAUACAUCCAUGAACGAUCAUCCAUGACUUCUAUCGAACCUCUAUAAAAAGGACCCAUUAAUUAAGCAAGCUCUUAAUUAUUUCAAAACACAACAUGUAAUUCGGUAAUUCUACAAAUUAAGUUUUAACAAUUUUCAAACAAAUACAAUCUUACAAAAUCUAAAACAAACCAUAACAAGUAUAAAAUUAUACAUUCAUAUACUACAAGUUUGUUUGAGAAAUAACAAUAAAACAUGUACAUCUACUAAAAAAAAUAAUACAUAUACUAAAAAAACAAUAAAAUUGACAUUUAAAUGUUAAAAUUUUAAAAGAUAGAAUUACUUACAAAAAAUGAUAAAAUCCGUCGGUAAAUCAGAACACGGAUGCUGUGACCACAAAACAAAUACAACUUGUUGUGCUGAGAUGAGGAAGAUUUUUGUUUUGGGGCGAGGGGGGGGCUGGUUAUUUUGCAGAUGGGGAGGGUUAGGAUUAGGAAGAAGAAGGAGAAAUGGGGGAGGAGAGUGUCGGCAGAGGGGCCAUAUAUUCACUUUUGCCGACGGACUUACCGACGGUUUUAUUCCGUCGGUGAAUCCGUCGGCAAACCGUCGGUAAUUCUGACGGGCAAUCGACACGUCACCGCACGGACCUGCUAUUCAAAUCCCUUGGUGAUUCCGUCGGUAUUUUUAACGGUGCACCCGUCACGUCACCGGUACGGAUCUGGCAUUUCAAAUCCGUCGGUGAUUCUGUCGGUAUUUUUUGUUGGUGAAUAGGUCCCAUCACGCGUACGGGCCCCAGUUUUUAAUUCCGUCGGAAAAAUCACCCGCCAAAACCUCCGCGCCACUGCCCGCCCUUUUUUCAUUGAUUCUGAAUUUUCGGUCGGUAAUUACCGACGGACAUAUUCCGUCGGUAAUUACCGACCUAAUUACCGACGAAUAUUUACCGUCGGUGAUUUCGGUCGAAAAAUACCGACAGAAAAAAUUCCGUCGGUAUGUCCGUUGGUAUUUAGCGAUUUUCUGGUAGUGGUCGGCAUGUGACAAUAGCUGCCAAACGUAUCGACGAAUUUACAAACGGAUAUAUUCGGUCGGUAUCUCAAAAACACACCGACCAAUUUACGACGGAUGGUGCAAGUUUAAUACUGUUCACGCUGUAUUGUGCUGAAAAAGCUCGAAUACGUGUUCUAUUUGUCGACAUGAGACAGGCAGGGAAAAACUCUCAGAUAUUUUGAAACAUGCUAAGAACAUACUGUAAACGAGAGGGACUCCACUCAGAAAAGAGAGAAAGAAAAAGGAUUUAUCCUUUUAUACAUUGUUUCAAGAUUAAUAAAAGAGACCCACAUUGCUUGAUAGUGCAUUCCAUACUGCUGUAAAAGUGCACUAAGGACUUCAUCAUCAAUUGUUCACUAAUUCAAAGUAGAAUUUUCUGCUUUCUUUUUUCUUUUUGUUUUUGCAAAUACUGAUUGAUGCAGACAUAGAACAAUCUCUUUUCCACCAGGUGCUAAAGGACAACAAGCUAUUUGGAGUUCAUGAUAGACUCAAUUAUAUAGCUAGUUGGUGCAUAACUGACAGUUUUAACACUUGUAGCAGGUUUUUUUUUUAUGUUUGAAGAAUGGUUUUAGAGGAAAAUGUUUUUAAAUUUUUUUUUUAAUUUAAAUUAAUAUUUUAUACUGCUUUUAUAUUAUUUUAAUAUAUUUAUAUCAAAAAUAUUAUUGUAGUAUAUUUUUAAACAAAAAAACUUUAAAAAACACCAAUUAUAUAUCUUAUAAAGCCACCCACGAUUUUAAUGCUUCUGUUACGUACCCAUCAUUUGCUUUGAAUAUUGAGUUUUUUUCCUACACUAUCACCGUGAGCAAAUUUAUUUCUCAAACGAACUCUCUUGUUAUAUCACAAAAAUAGUCUCGUGACACGUGGAUUGUGUAUUUAUUAUAAAAAAUAAAAAAUAAUAAUUGUAAUUGUCUACUUACCUAGCUCUGGGUUGUGCAUAUAUUAUAAAACAUAGUCUCGUUAUUUUUCAGAAAAUAAUUUGUGAAUGUAAAUUUUUUAUCAGAUGAACACACUCUCAAUAAAGUGUAAUUUUUUUUUUAAUGUAUUUUUUUUUAUUACUUAUCCAAUGGUCUCUUCUAUUUUAUUUUUCCAAAUCUUUUAAUAAAGUGUAAUUUUUUCAAUUUCACUGUCGAUGUCGCACCCGACAUUACGAAUGAAGUUUAGAACGUAAAAAUGGAUAAGAAAUCACCAUAAUAGAAGAAGUUGAGUUUACAGUGUGGGUUAACGGCUGGCUAGGGAUGAUGGUGCCGGUGAGAGGGCUGAUUCGGCAAGAAAGGAGCUGGAAUUUUUGGGUAUGAUUCUGGUUAAAUGCGGGACACAAUUUAUGCCUUGUGUCUUGUGUAUUUCUUUCUGGCCACCAAGCUUUAUACACAGGUCUAUAUUUAUAAUUCAAGAGUCCGUAGUCAUAUGAAAUUCAAGAAUCUCAUACAAAAACAAGCUGAUUCCUUCUUUAAACUUAAAUUUUAUUUAAAAUAUUCAUAAUAUCCAUCCCAUAAAUCGGGAGUAAUAAUCACUGGCCAGGAAAAGUGUCUGGGGCUCUGAAUUCUCACAACCACGGAGAUUAGAUUCCAUAGACCGCUUACAUUACAUAGAAUUAUAAAUCCAUAACAUACCAAGAUGGAUGGUAAGCACAAGACGUUGUGUAGACGUCUAAAUAUCGAUCAUCAGUAUCAUCAUUAUAUGAUUACAAACGAAGCUCCAAGCAUGUCUUUGGCUUUAUUCAAUUAAAAGACGAGGUUUCACUGAUGUUUAAAUUUAUGGACUCGGGAUUGAUGGGGUAAAGAUCAUGGGCAGAUGUAGAGGAAUUUCCAAUCCAUGAUUUAUCGGAUGGAGGAAAGAGUCUUGUUUGCUGUUUAAACUCUGGUCCAUGAACCUGCUGAUAGUGGCCUUUGAGAAGUUUGGAGUGUAAAUCAUCACCAUAAAUGCUAGGAUCUGAGAUCAUCUCCUGGAUGCUGGUCUGUCCUUCAAGCAUGCUCACCACUUCUGACAUUGCAGGCCUUAGAGAUGGAGAUGCAUUGGUGCAUAAGAGUGCCAAUUUGAUCAUCCUCUCAGCCUCUUCCUUGUUGAAUUCAGACUGCAGCUUUGGGUCCACUAUCUCCAUUAAAUUUCCCUUUUUUUUGCAGUACAUGGGCCUGUGAAAGCAAAAGGUAAAGUAUUUGCAGAGAGGAGUAGUGCCUAAUGCAUCAUGGAUUCAAGAUAGCAACAAGAACAGACUCGUAACUUACCCAGUCAAGAAGACAUACGAAUUCAUUUGUUGUCCUGUAGCUCGAAUUGCUUCUUCCACUGACAAUUUCUAAAGCAACAACUCCAAAACUAUAAACAUCUGCUUUGUCUGUUAAAUAACCCCACAGCGCAUAUUCUGGAGCCAUAUAUCCUCUGAAAUCAGAACCAUGCCAGAUUAGUAACUCUACCGGAGUAUAUUGCGAUCACUGAAUAAAGGAAGCUGCAAAUUAAGUCUGAUUAAAACUUACAUGGUUCCAGCAACACGAGUGCUGAUGUGAGUGUUCUCCUCUUCAUUGAGCUUAGCUAGUCCAAAGUCUGAUAUCUUGGCACUUAGAUCUUUGUCCAGUAAUACAUUUGUACCUUUGAUGUCUCUGUGAACAAUCCUGAUUGCAGAUUCUUCAUGGAGAAAUGCUAAACCUCUGGCUAUUCCAACACAUAUCUUAUAUCUUGUUGGCCAAUCCAGCAUCAGAAAACUUGUUUCUGAACCUGUAGCUAAUCCAGUAAAGGAGGUUCACUAAAUAAAAUGACUUCAACUUUGCUAGUCGAUGCUAUUAUUCAAAAAUAAAAAUAAAAGAUUUUACUGGAAAGUAAUCAGAUGCCAUUAUGGUUACCAAAAAGUGCUUUUGCGAGGGAGUUGUUCUCCAUGUAUUCGUACACCAGAAGCAACUGAUCUCCUUCAAUACAGCAUCCAUAAAGCUUUACAAGAUUGGGAUGCUGUAAACCAGAUAUCAUGCCUAUUUCAUUCACAAAUUCUCGGUUUCCUUGCCUGGAUUUAGGAGAUAGCUGCUUAACAGCAAUAAGAGUUCCAUCUGACAAUUUACCCUGCAUUGAAUUUAUUGUAGACAUUUUGCAUGAUCAAACAAAGGUCCAAUGAUCAACUGGGAUAAUAUGCAAGAGAAUAUUAGAGUGACAGACCUUGAAUACGGAGCCAAAUCCACCUUCUCCAAUUUUGCCAGCAGAAUCAAAAUUGUUAGUGGCAGCUCUCAGCUGCCUCAAAGUGAAGGAACCCGUUUUCAGAUCUAGCCCCUUGAGAUCUGCACAUAAUUGUUAUAUUCUGAAUGUUUGCGUGUGUAAUAGCUGCUAAUUAACUAAUUAAGGAAAAGGCUUUAGCACGCAGAUGAUUGAUUUCAAUGUACCUCGUUCUCUCAUGAACUUGUCUCUAAAAUAGAAUUUCCAACAAAUUGUUGGUGGGAGGAACCACUGGUGGUGGCUUUGAAACACUCAGAGGGGAUAAAACACACUGGUUUUAUUACAAAAUCCGAAGCUUACAAAUAACACAAAACAAAAGCUUAAUACACGCCCUCUCUCUCUCUAUUCUCUUUCAAGUGUUUCUCACAAUUCUCUCCACACGAAAUAACAUAACUGAGCACCCUAUUUAUACAUAAAUUCAGAAUACGAAAAUCUACUGUUCCAGGUGUGAAGGCGGCUGUUGACCGGUGGUGUGAAGGCGGCUGGCGGCUGCGGCUGGUGGCUGGCGGCUGGUCGGUGGCAGCUGGUGGUUGUCUUCCUUGACCAUCUAGAUGUUGAGUUUAUUAUUCAACAAAUCUCCCCCUUAAACUCAAUCGAGGGAUGUCAUGCCAAGCAUGAACUUUAAUCGGAUGAAUGCUUCUCCCUUCAAUGGCUUUGUGAAGAUGUCAGCAACUUGAUCAUUUGUGUUGCAAGAUAUCAGUUGGACUUCUUCAUUCUUCACAUGUUCCCGGAUAAAGUGAUGACGUGUAUCAAUGUGUUUGCUCCUCUCAUGAUACACUGGAUUCUUUGCUAAUGCGAUUGCUGAUCGAUUGUCAAUAUAAAUCUCCGCAGGACUUUCUUGAGGAAAUCCCAAAAACUUCAGCAUAUUCCUUAACCAUAUUGAAUGGCAUACGGCUGAGUUGGCAGCAACAUACUCAGCUUCACAGCUUGAUAAUGUGACAAUCGAUUGCUUCUUGGAUGACCAUGUGAAAGAUGUGUCUCCCAUGAAAAAGACAAACCCUGUUGUGCUUUUCCUUUCAUCCAGAUCUCUACCCCAAUCACUAUCCGAGUAGCCUACAAGAUUAAAGUCUUUACUUGAGGUAUAAAACAUACCUUCAUUCAUUGUGCCUUUGAUGUAGCGAAGAAUUCUCUUGGCUGCAUUCAAAUGAGACUGGUCUGGUGUCUCCAUGUAUCUGCUGACGAGUCCGACUCCGUAGAGUAUAUCCGGUCUGGUACAUGUCAAGUACCUUAAGCUUCCUACUAAGCUUUUGAAGUAAGUUGGAUCAACAUUUCCAACCUUACUCUUCCUCAAUUCCACUCCAUUCUCAACUGGAGUUGAUACCGGAUUGCAGCUUUCCAUCUUGAACCUUUCAAGAAUAUCUUUGGCGUAACCGCUUUGGGAUACAAAAAUCCCUUCUUCCUUCUGCGUUACUUCUAAGCCAAGAAAAUGUGACAUUAGACCAAUGUCAGUCAUUUCAAACUCCUGUACCAUGCUUCGUUUGAAGUCGUCAAACAUGGUAGGGUUGUUGCCGGUGAAUAUCAAAUCAUCAACAUACAGGCACACAAAUAAGAUGCUGCCAUCUGCUCCUUUCUUCACAUACAUUGCGUGUUCAUAUGGACAUUUUUCAAAUCCAUUAUCUUGAAAAUACCUGUCAAUUCUGGUAUUCCAAGCACGCGGAGCUUGCUUCAAACCAUAGAGAGCCUUCUUCAACUUGUAUACUUUGCCUUCAUUUUCAGCAUCAAUGUAUCCAAGUGGUUGUUCAACAUAGAUUUCUUCUUCUAGGAAGCCAUUCAGAAAUGCUGACUUCACAUCGAGUUGAUAGAUCUUCCAUCUAUGUUGUGCAGCUAGUGAGAUCAUCAGUCUGAUUGUCUCUAGCCGGGCUACUGGAGCAAAUACUUCUCCAUAGUCAAUGCCUUCUCUCUGUUUGUAGCCUUUAGCCACUAAUCUGGCUUUGUAUCUUUGCACAUCUCCUUUGGCGUUCUUCUUCGUCUUGUAGACCCAUUUGACACCUAUUGCUUUCUUGUUUUCUGGUAGAUAAGUCAGCUUCCAGGUAUCAUUCUUCUCAAUGGCAUGUAUUUCUUCAUCCAUUGCUUCUAUCCAUUUCUCUUCUGUGACAGCUUCAUUGAAGUUUAAUGGGUCACUAUCUGCAAAGAAACAAAACAGAGUUGUAUCUUCCAUAACCUGAGUGGUAUCGUACAACUCUUCAAGAUUCCGCAUCCUUCUUGGUCCUUCUGAUGAGGAUGCUGGUGGUGUUGAUGAUGAUGCUCCUGGUGUGUUCCUCCUGUUGAAUACAGGGAAACUGUGUGCCGGACUUUGUGGUUCAGCUGCUGGCACAAUCGGUUCUUCGACAAGUACUGUUGGUACUUCUUCACCUUCAAGGAUCAAAUCAGUGUUGAUCCAUCUGACUGCUUCUUGAUCACCAUUCCAUGCCCAAGAUUUAUCUUCUUCAAAGAUAACAUCUCUACUCGUAAUCACCUUCUUCGUGAUGGGAUUAUACAGCCUGUAUCCCAUCCUUCUUUCACCAUAUCCGACAAAGAUGCAUUUCUCGCUCUUAUCAUCGAGCUUUCUCCUUCUUGCAUCUGGGAUCUUUGCAUAUGCCACACAACCAAAGACUCGUAGAUGAGUAACACUUGGUUUGUGACCACUCCAUGCUUCUUCUGGAGUACCCUUGCAAACUUCUGGUUGGGCAGCGAUUCAGAUACACUGCACAUGAUACAGCUUCAGCCCAGUAUUGCUUGGGCAGCUUCUUUGCUUUGAGCAAACUUCUGCCAUGUCAAGAAUCGUGCGAUUCUUCCUUUCUGCUACACCGUUCAGCUGUGGUGUAUAAGCUGGCGUCGUCUGAUGUCUGAUGCCUUGUUGUGUACAAUAGGCUUCAAAGUCAUUGCUGUAUAUUCUCCACCUUGAUCAGAUCUUACGGUUCUGAUCGUGUAACCAGUUUGCUUCUCCACAAUUGCUUUAAAAUCUUUAAAACAAUUGAAUACUUCUGACUUCCUCUUCAGAAAGUAUAUCCACGUCUUUCUACUAAAAUCAUCAGUAAAAGUGAGGAAGUACCUAUUUUGUCCAGUCGACAUAGGCGUAAUUGGGCCACACACAUCUGUGUGUACUAACUCCAGUGGCCUCUUUGCUCUCCAGUUGACUUCUUUGGCAAAACUGGAUCUGUGAUGUUUGCUGAGGACACAACUCUCACAGACUUCAUCUGGAUGAUCAAUGUGAGGCAAACCUUUGACCAUCUUCUUGCUUGCUAGCAUCUUCAUACUCGUGAAAUUCAGAUGUCCAAGCCUCAGGUGCCAAAGCCAUUCUUCACUGUUGGUGAUGGCACUCAAACACCUUGUUGCAUCAUACUGGAUGUUCAAAGGAAACAUCCUAUUCUUGGACAUUUUCACGUAGGCCAUUAAUCUCCCAUUGUUGUCUCUAAUUGCAGAUGACAAUUCUUCGAGUAAAAAUAUCCUCUCUCCAAAAGUUGGCCUAAGCUGAUCAGGUUCUGCUUUAUGGCUGGGACAUAAUACACAUCGGCGAUGUAGCUGGAAUCGCCAUUCUUCAACUUGACUGGGAUGUGCCUUUACCUUUGAAUGGAACCUUUGUGGUAUCUCCAAAAGUAACUAGACCUUGCUUGGUCUCAUCUAGAUCACCAAAUAACUCUCGGUAGCCGCACAUGUGAUUGCUGGCUCCAGUAUCUAGAUACCAUAUAUCCUCUUGUUUCUCGCCAUGUCCUUGUUGGACAAGAAAUGCAGAUGCUUCUCUCAUCUUCUCUGCAUAGUUGGCUUGCUCACGUAUCUCCAACGGAGCUUUCCAUCGGCAUUCAGUGCUAUAGUGCCCAAAUUGCAGCUAUAACAUUUGAUAUUUCUCUUGUCACGGUUAUUGUAACCGCCUCCUCUUCCUCUAGGAGUGAAUGCUUGUUGGCCUCGGCCUCCUCUGGUGGUGUUUCUGCCACCUCUUCCUCUGAAGCUUGUAUUCCAAGAUCCUCUUCCUCUUCCUUGGAAUCUAUGAAAUCCUCCUCUGGAUUGUUGACUUCCUGCUUGAGUGGUGUAGCCACUGUUGAAGUCUCCCCUUGCUCAUAUCUGUCCUUGAAAGACAGCUUUGCUUGUAAGGCAUGCUCAAUGGCCUUAUCUUCAUUUCGCAUUACAAUCUUCUGCUCAUGAGCUUGCAAAGAACUCAUAAGCUCAUCCACUGUCAACUUGUCCACUUCCUUGGACUCUUCAAUUGCGACAACAACAUGAUCAAAUUUUGGAUCUAUGGAUCUCAAAAUUUUCUCAAUAAUUCGAGUAUCAUGAGGCUUCUCCAUUUCUCCUCAUCUGAUUGACUAUCACCAUAAUCCUUGUAUGAUAAUCAGAAAUAGAUUCUGAGGACUUCAUUCGUAAUAAUUCGAAUUCUCCUCUCAAAGAUUGAAGACGAAUCUUCUUGAUUCUGUCAGCACCUUUGUAUUUCUGUUGGAGAGCCUCCCAUAUAUCAUGUGACGUUUCAGCGGAAGCUAUUAUCUCGAAUGUAUCUUCAUCAAGACCUUGAUAGAUGAUGGUCUUUGCUUUGUUGUCCUUCUUUCUGUUGACUUUGAGGGCUUGCUUCUGUGCCUCUUGUAAAGCAUCUUCUCUUUCUUUGGACUCUGGUUCAUCAUAACCAGUUUGUACAAUAUCAAAACACUCUUGUGACCCAAGAAAUGCCUUCAAUUUGAUGCACCAACUAUCAUAGUUGUCUUUGGUCAGCUUCGGGAUGAGUGUAUGUGUACCUUCUGUAGUCAUUUUGCUCUUUUAAUGACUAUAUCGCCUUCUGGGAGCCGAAUUUGACCAAACGGACACUAUAAAUCGAUCCGGAAUGGUCCAAAUAGUCGGGAACCGGUCUGACUUUGUUGAACUCGGGUCCGAAAAUGGGUGAACCGGUCAAAAAAACAAUUUUGUACGGCGGGCGGUUCGCUGGGUUGAACCGGGAAUAUUCUGUGGAAUAUUCGGGGAAUAUUCUGGGGAAUAUUCCGGGGAAUAUUCCUUCGGCUCGGCUCGGGGGGUACGGCUCGGCUUGUGGCUCGGCUGGACUCGGCUUGUGGCUCGGCGUAUACGGCUCGGCGCGGCUCAAAUAUGGCGCGCGUGUGGCUCAGUCGUCUUCAACCUCGGGGCGCGUGGGAUGCGCGUGGGCUAUCUGGCUGAAUAUUCAGGCGGCGCGUGUGGGCUACCCCGGACUCCGAUGAGGCUGAUUUUUGCGGCGUUGAGUUCGUCUUUAUGAGCUCUACACUGUGGAAUGAUCAAAACUUGUUUUUGACAAUUUUGAAAAUUCGGAUAUACCCCAAAACACUUCUGUUUUCCGACGAACGGGGCUCUGAUACCAAUUGUUGGUGGGAGGAACCACUGGUGGUGGCUUUGAAACACUCAGAGGGGAUAAAACACACUGGUUUUAUUACAAAAUCCGAAGCUUACAAAUAACACAAAACAAAAGCUUAAUACACGCCCUCUCUCUCUCUAUUCUCUUUCAAGUGUUUCUCACAAUUCUCUCCACACGAAAUAACAUAACUGAGCACCCUAUUUAUACAUAAAUUUUCAGAAUACGAAAAUCUACUGUUCCAGGUGUGAAGGCGGCUGUUGACCGGUGGUGUGAAGGCGGCUGGCGGCUGCGGCUGCGGCUGGUGGCUGGCGGCUGGUCGGUGGCAGCUGGUGGUUGCCUUCCUUGACCAUCUAGAUGUUGAGUUUAUUAUUCAACACAAAUGACACCCAUUACCAAGAAAACAAGGAGUAAGGCUGAAGUGACAACUCCAACCACGAUAGGUAUUUUACUUGCUUCUCCAGGUUCUGAAAUUAAACAAAGUUAAACACAGAAAGCCAAUGGGACAAUAAAUCACUGUAGGGCAGCAGUUUACUUCUCACCUGGACAAUAAGUUCUCUGGCCUGAAAACAACAAACCAUAAAGUGCUUCUUAGAUAGUAUAAUGAACUGAGUAGAAGCUUACAUACAGUUAUGAUGAAAAUCAAAGCCAGGUUCAUAAGGAAGAAUUUGUUUGUUAAUUAUGUAACCGGUAGGGGAAAUUAAUGACCAAGUCUGAGUCUAAGGGGUGAUGAGAUUUGAAUUCAUAAGUACUUGAUCAACAAAGCUAUGAUAUCAUUGCUCGGUUUUCAUUUUAACUUAAUUGAUAAAGGUCAUUGUAUAUGAUUGAAAUCGCAAAGUCAGUGACUUUCAAAUGAAAUGCUGGGAAUAUAUAUAUAAAACAUGCCUGAGCAUACAGUUAUUGCAGAAAUAAGAGGACCGUAAUUUCCUCUUGUUGGAAUGCAAGUAGUCCCUUUUCCAUUCCAGUAUAAACGGAUCUCCAAGGUUGUGUCUGUCACAAUGGCAUUGAAUUUUAUAGAAUAAGCUUUGUUAGAUCCAUUGGCAGCCUUCUGAAUAUUAAAAUCUUGUUUCUCUAGUUUCCCCUGCAAAACAAAUCCCAAGUUAAAAGGAUCUUUUGGAAAGAAAGAAAAAAUCUUUUUGGAUAAUUUAAUCUCAAUUACCUGAAUAUAAAUGUCAAAAAAGCGUUUUCCAACUCUUUUGUACAAUUCGUCAAUAUCUGUGAAUUGUAUCUCAGCAAAGUCGAGUUUAACAGUGUACAUCCCAAUUUCCAGACAAUAUCCAUAAUAAGUGAGAGAGAUGGCAGCUCUGCGUGCUGUAGAAAACAACGGUUCAGUCAAGUAGUUUGAAGUAAGUGUAUAUCCGGGGCUAUCACCACCGUCAUCCAUAAAAUCUCCAGUGUUGCUGAAUCCCCAGUUUGAUCUUUUAUUGGAAUAAAUCGUAGCAGCAUCACCUAUAAUACUAUCGUCGCCUUCAUACAAGAUACCCCCACUGGUUACAUCCGGUCCACCACAGUUUACAUGGAAUGAACGAUAACCUGCAAUACGUCAAAUUAGUACAGAUGCAAAUAUUCCCUUUGUAGGGGCGUGUAAGUGUUGAGAUUUUUGGAUCCGUUUGCUCUACAACAAGAGCUAUUACUCUACUAUAUAGCUUCAAAUCGAUUAGUCAUUGGCUAAUACUUUUCCAAGUGGCUUGUCACAAUCAGUGUUCAACUCGAGUCGGUGAAAACGUGUGGUGCUCAAGUUCUGCUUGAGGCCAUGUUUUGGUUACAGAUAAAUCCUUACUUGUCCAACAAAAACUGAGAAUGAAUACAUCCUUAAUAGAUCUGUGUGCAGAAUAGAACGUAUAAUUUAGGCAAAAAAAUCUACGUUGAAAUUAGUACUCGUUCUCAAAUAAAUACACAGACACUGAUAUUAUAGUAGAUCACUGAUUUCGGUAUGCUGAUAAAUUUGAAACAGAUUUGCUUUGAUUUUAAUGAACUUCGUUACUUCUUAAUUAAGGAGGAAAAAGAAUAUCAUACUUUUGGGGCACUCAUGUAUGCCUGAGCAUGGAAGAAGUCCGCUUCUGUAAGACAUGGAAAUUAUAGUAAGAAUUUCAAAUGGUUCUGCAAACUGCAAUAUAAGAAUCAGAUAUCGAAACCAUGCUGUUCAUUAUAGUAAGAAUUAGCAUUAUUUCACCCCCCAAAAAAAAAAUCAUAUUAUUGAAGUAAAAUAUUCAUUUUAUGUUUGCUCAUUGAGAAAAUCGGUGCAUUGCUGUUCCCUCUUCAUGAGUGUUUGUGCUUAUAUCUUGGGGUAAAUGAAUAAUAAAGCAUGUCACAUUCUUAUGUUCUUCAUUCAUUCAUUCAGCAUUAAUGAUAUAAGUAUAUCUGAUCCUAGGAUACCAAGUUUGCGCUGAGAAAGAAAAUCCUGCUUAGGGUUUAAAGAUAUAAGUAUAAAUUGCAGAUUUAACUCCAAAGAUAUUCAGUUAAAAUACUGCUUAGCAUCUGAUAUAUAAUGUAUUUUUUUCCCCUCAAAACUAUAUAUGAACAUGACAUGGUUUACAUGAUUAGCAAAGAUGUUUUUAGUCUACGGGGGUGAGUUUUUAUAAGGGAUAUUUACCUGCCUGUAAGCAUUUAAGAAAUCCGUUUAAAAUAUCCCAAAAGGGAAUUUUGAAAUUUUAUCCUGCAAGAGCUCCAUUUCCAAAUUAAGGUUAUCCAUAGGGACCUCAUUUCAUCCUAGAUUUCUGCUAAGCAUAAAUACACCUCUUUUACAUUGUAUCAGUUGUGGUUCUUUUUCCUUGGAACAAGAUUAUUGGACUUGGUAUGACAACUACCAGAUUGGAUCUCCAACAACAUGAAAUACCAAAAAUAUCGCUCUCCAGAGUGUAUAAGAGGAGCCUUACAAGCUAUUCUUGAUGAAUGAACUCCUGUACGUGUUUGUACCCCUGGUUUAUACAUUCAAAUCAUUAAGUUUCGCAGCAACCAGGAGUAUCCCAAAUUUAAGAAAAUAGAUAUCCUUACAGGUGAUCUGGACAGCUUGGCGGCAAUGAAAAGUUAUUGUAGGAAACAUCACUGCAAGAAGCCAAGGGAAUCAUAAAUAUGAAUAUGAACCUCAACAAAAUUAAUAAUAAGUGGAACAAAUGAAAUGCUAAGCAAGAUUAAAAAAAAAUAAAAACCACAUUUUUUCAGAAACCAGGCUUUCGUUGAGGCGCCACCGGGGAUAGAUAAAAAUGCCUAUGGCAUGAAUAUAUAUGCAGCCUUAGAUUAUCAAGAUUCACUCAGAAGACCACUUUAAAAAUAUUAAUGGUUGAUCAAUCAUCAGCAGUUAUAUCUUCGCAAGAGAGCAGAGAAGUUGAACAGAAUAUCUAAACUGAAAUAACUGAAACCUGUGAUACAUUUCAGAAACAUACAUUUUUUUGUCUGUUUUGAAAAAUGAGUCUGGGACACUUCCAGUCAGCUUGUUCCCACUCAAAAACCUGGUUUUCAAAAGCCAGAUUGAUUCUUUCAGCAUAAUUCAGUCAUCCAUCCAUGGUCAGAUUUCAACAUUCUGAUUUACAAUAUUCAAAUCUAAAUACUUACAUAAAUUCAAGUAUUUUUGCAUCCUGAGGAAGGCCUCCUUCCAUCUUGUUGAAGGUUAAAUCCCUGAAAAAGAUUACAGUAAAAGAUUUUCCAGCUUUAGUUUUCAGAAUAUCCCUUGUACCUUUGUAAGUUUUUUCAAUAGACAAGCUCCUUCUGUGAAAUGCAAAUACCUGCAUUGGUUUUGUCAAAAAACCAUCUCAACUCAAAAGCUUAAGCUGUUAGGUGAGGUCCCAGGAUAUGAUAUAUAUUAUUCUUUAACACACCCCCUCAAGUUAAAGCCCUUUGGGCUUGAAACUUGCACAGGGCCAUGUUACCUUGUGCUUAAUUUUUAUCAAAUAAAUGGGGAUAGUGAGAUUCAAACUCGUGACCGCUUGGUCAUCAAGGCUCUGAUACCAUGUCAAAGAACCAUCUCAACCCUAAAGCUUAAGCUAUUAGGUGAGGUCCCAGGAUAUGAUUUAUAUUAUUCUCUAACAGUUUUUACUUAGGUUGCAUUUGGUUCAUGGUGAAACACAAACCGAGUUAAAUAUCAAGGGUGUAAAAGUGCUUAGAAUGUUUGGAAGAAAGUUUAGAAAUAAAGUUCUAAAUGUUGAAAGUAAGAUUUUUAGAUAUUAGUUGAUCGGUUAGGAACAGGUCAACCGGUUAAAACACAGCGACCAGUUGAAUUAAAUGAAUCGGUCGACCUGUUCAGUCGACUAAAUACAAUUCCUGUUCAAAUUAAUAUUUUCUAGUUUUAGUUUAAUUCCUUGAUUGUUUAUGACUUUUAUGCUUAUAAAAAGGCUUGCAAUUUAGCAUUAUUAUAAGUACAAAAAGAGAGAGAAAUAAUUAAGGGAACUUAAAGAUAAACACUUAAAAAAAAUAUUUAUUUUUCUCAAACUUCUUCUUAUUCUUGAGUUUUUUUGCCGGAAGAGCAUUUGGUUAGGAUAGAGAGAGUAUAGUCAUAUGGAGCUCUCUCAAACUUCCUGCUAUGAGAAUUAAUGCCAUAUGUCUCGUAGUACGUAGAUGGUUAGUGUAUUAGAAUUUCAAACCCAUCAGUAACAUAUCCCGAUGAAUAGAUUUCUACUUGUUUCUCACCUUUGAGCAAGUUAUGAGAGGAUUUCAUUAGAAAUUUUGCAUCCCAUACAGUACAUGGAGAUCAUAACCCGGUAGUGAGGCAAUUUUUGCAGUGUUAUUAAAAUAUAUUCAUGUUAUUAACUUCUAUCACAUUAUAGCACAUAUAAGGUGAUGAGUGAAGGUGUUAAGACUUACAGCAUUAUCAGAAAACCCGAUCUCCACACAUCUGUUGGGAUCCCUCCAGUUAAAUUGAUGUUUCGCAAAACCCUUCAAAGAAAUUAAAGAUAGGCUUAAUUAGUUCUCAAUAGAACAUGUUAAUUCUCAAGUUUAUUUAUUUUAGACAUUUUACGGACAGUUGACGAACAAAUAAUUCACUAUGGGGGGGAUGUUGGUUAAAUUAGACUCUGGUCCAGACAUAUCAGUGAUCCUCCUGCAGUACAUUGAAAAGAAAAGAAUGUGUUAUAGUUCCCUUUAUUCUUUCUGUCUUCUUCAAAGAGGAAACACCAAAAUUAUUGUUUUAUAUAUUGCUAUGCAUCUCAGGAAGUAGUUUCACUCACAAGUCUGUCAGCUUCUCUAAAGAAAGAAUGGCAGGAGGUAUGGGCCCUUGUAGUCCACUUGCGUAUAAUUCACUUCGUUAGUCCAAAGAGGAAAAACAAAAUAUCAGAAUAUUGUGCAACAUGCAGCAGAGAAAUGAAUUAACGAAAAUAUCAUGCAGAUAGAGAUCCUCACAGUCUACCAAGAUUACUCCAGUUCCCAAUGAAAUCAGGUAUUCUGCCACUAAGAUUAUUAUCACUUGCACGACUGCACAUUGCAAAACCGAAUUAAGGAAACCAGAUGCUAUUUGGAUGGAUUUUGUAUGGUUUUCUUUGCUUUGGUUUAUCUUAAGCUGCGCUUUAUCCUUCAUAUGACUUUAUGCCAUAUUCAGAUAUUAUGUAGCUUUUGUACUAUUCCCGUCAGACUUUGACGCUUAUAUAAUAUACACAUCUUUCAAAAAAAAAAAAGGAAACCAGAUGCUAUUGAAUUAUCAAAAACUGUGUUUAAAGAAGAAAGGAAUUGAUUGCUUACAAAUGAGUCAAGUUUAGCUUAGCGAGAGUCUUUGGCAAGGUUCCCUCCAACUGAUUGGAGGAAAGUACCCUGCAACCAUUAAUUCAUAGCACAGCAUCAAAGAUUGCAACUAAAAUGUCUAGCUUGCGUUGGUUUAAUAAUGAUGAACAGUUAAACGCCUUACAGGAAUGUUAAGUUGACAAGAUCACCAAGCUGAAAAGGAAUAGUACCAGAAAACUGAUUUGCUUCAAGGGACCUUCAUGUAUUUGUAUUUGAUUAAUUGACAAAAAUGAAAUUAGUCUAGCAUUGUCAAAAACAGAAACAGAAAACAAAACAAAUGAUAAAUCAGGCAGAACAUAUAUUUAUGACUUCAAUACAUACAAGUCAGUCAGGCUACGAAACCUUCCCAAGUACCCAGGAAUAUUCCCUGACAAGCGAUUGGAUGUAAGGAAGCUGCAUGCAUAAAAUGUUAUCUAGUUAUGGUGAAUUCUGCCUUGAGUAUGAACUGGUAAGCAAAGAUAUUGAGGUGAAUGAACUUACAGUUUUGUCAAAUGUUUCAUUGAAGCCCAUUCCUCAGGAAUAUUGCCAGAAAUGUAGUUGCGAGUUAGGUCACUGUGACAGAUAAUAUAGCAUCAAUACUUGAGAAUUUAACUUGUUCAACUUAUAAAUUAGUCGAUAAAAGUUACUUUGAGGUUAUAAAAUUAAUACAAAUAAAUUAUAUCCUGGAAAGGUUCUUACAAACUUUCAAGAUAUGUAAGGUUGGCUAUUUCAGGCGGGAGCUUGCCUGGAAGACUGAGCCGUUUUAGAUUUCUGUUAUUGAAAGAGGAAAACACCAUCAGUAUAUAAAAAAAUGUUUAGACGAUUGAAAAACAAACUCAAAACUACUUGUGCUAAUUUACUUAUAUUUGAUCCCUGGUACUGUGAUCUUUAACUUUUCUAUGUAUAUUCUGUUAAUCACUUAUUUUUUGACAUUUGAUAACUUCAAAAACUGUAAUUUUUUUUAUAUUUAAUCUCCUUUGCUGUAAACUAUAUAUAUAUAUAUAUAUUUGUUUAUUUAUUUAAUUCCUUCAUCACUUAACCCCCCUCAAGGGUUGGCGUAAUAACAUUUCAGAUUUAAAAUUUAAACAAUUAAUUUAAAUCCAAUACCAAACACAACUUUAAGAUUAGAGAUAUUUUCAGACAAUUAAUUUAAACAUGGGAGAAAUGUAUCCAAUCUAUUUAAAAAUGGGCUAUCCAUACUACAACUAAUUCAACACCAAAACAUUUAUUUUAUCAACAAGUAUUCAAAUAAAUAUGGAAGGAAAAAAAAUAAAAAUCUUACAGUGAGGUGAUAUGACAAUAACCAUCAUUAUUGAGGGUGCAAUUGCACAUGACGGUGCUAUUGGCUUCUGAAUCAACUUUUUUCGUUUCGUUUUUCAACAGAUUCAUAUUGUACAGAGUUCCUGGUUGGUUGCAAGCAUCGCCCACCUCGAAGGGUUGCCCACCCAGCAGUGUCUCGACAAUAUGUUUUAACGCCGUCACUAGUUCAAGGAUCAUGCAUCCACGGAAAAUUUUAUCAAAAUAAAUUCAUAUCCAUAACAUCGGUUAAUAUUAACUCUUAUCACCGAAAAAAAAAACUAAUAGUUUUCGAGUGGUACAAAUCCAGUAAAAAUAGAAAUAAAUAGUGAAAAUAUAUAAAUAUUGGAUCCAAAAUUUUUAAGUGUUUUUCAUUUAAUAUUGGAUCCAAAAUGAUCGGAAUCUUGUAUUUAUAAUUUUAUAGAGGUAUGGCCGUAUUGUGUGUAUUUACACAGGCUAUCAAAUGAUGUACGAGAGACAAUAAUUAACUUUCCUUCUUGUUAAUGUAUCGACCAUGUGAUAACAUUUAUAGAAUUGAAGAAAAUUACAAUAUUCAUGAAAUAACAAAAAUUAUCCAAAAGUGAAAAACAAAACUCCUUAUUAUACCCUAGAUCCGCGUAAUUACUAUAUAGUAAAAAAAAACAAUAGUUAAAUAAGGGAAUUUUAAAAAUUAGACAAAAUACUUAAAAGGAAACUCAAAAAAUAAAAACUAACUUGAACUAAAUAUUAAUAUUAAUAUUAUUCAUAUAUUGAAAAAUCAUGCCCCAUUUUCUUAUAUUCUUUUUCUCUAAGUCUUUUUUUUUAGUUCUUGAUUUAAAUAUCUCUUAAAAAUAAUAAUUAAGGGCAUUUUUUGGUAUAAAAAAGGUUUUAUUAAUUAGAUAUUCAAACUUCUUUUCAUACUCUUUGUAGUUCCAAAUACCUCGAGAAUUAUUGUAAUUUGUAGAAAAAAGAAAUCUGACACACAUUAAAUAAUUUAUGCAUCUUUAAUAUCAUCCCCACAUGAGCUACUUCCCGUUGGAUGCACAGUUGAGAGUGAAUGUACGGAUUUGGGGCUUUUUUUUUUUCAGAAUUUCCUUUUAUGUUCUUACCCCAUUAGUUAUUUUUCUGUAGCUGCAGUGUAAAGUGAAGAAAUGAUUCUCCAAUAAAGUAAUUAAUGAACUAUAAAUUUAUAUUAAUGAAUUUCUUAAUCUUAAAGUAUGAGGUUGUAGUUGUAAGCAAAUCUGUGGAUAUGUGACUUAGCACACCAAUGGAAUGGAAAGUGUGGAAAUUAAUUAGCUCAGAUUAUUACAACACUCCAUUAUUGCAAUAAAAACAAAGCUUACUCUCUUACCUUCGUCUGGAUGUAACUGAUAUGGUAUAGCUGCACUGAAAGUAGCAGAACUGAAAAGAGUGAUCACGACCACCAUAACUCGGCAAAACUGAAGAAGUCCAUGCGGAGGCUGAAGCGUCGUGAACAUGUUGGGUGCAGGAGUAGGGAAGAAGAUUGAAUAAGUUUUCAUUUUAUGAGGAACGUACUUGAUUUAUACUGGACGGACGUGGGGACAAAUCAUUCAUGUUUUUAAAAAUCUUUUUUCAUGGCUGAGAAUACAUCUACGGCUACACCAACAACACAUGAUGCUUGUAACUUUUGGUUGUGGUAACUUUUGUAGUUGUAGUUUGAAAAAAAUUAUUUUAUAAAAAGAAUUUUUAGUUGAGAUUGAUUUGAUGUUUAUAUAUAUUUGGUUAAAACUGUGGUUGAAAUUGAGGUUGAAUAAAAAGUAGUUUAAUGUGUUUGGUUAAAUAUUCUUUUCAAAUUGAGGUUAUAAAAUAACUAAUAUAUAUAUAUAUAUAGAUAUAUGAUUAGUACUUAAAAGUGCAUAUUUAUCAAGGUUUUAUAUCAUCAUUUUACACUUAAAGUAUCAAUAACUCCUUAACUAAAGCAUGUUUUAUAAUAACAAGUCUAAUAUUAUAAAAUGCCUUAAUAUAUGGUAAAUGUUCAUCUUAAAUGCAGGCUUAUCACAUAAAUCAAAGGAUUGAUUGAUGAAUUCAACUACUAAAAUUUUGAAGAUAAAGAAGGGUGAAGCUUAGAAAAGAGAUGUUGGUGCAGUCCAAACUGGAACACUAUUCGGUAUUUGGGUCAUAUCUCAAGUUCUAGAUGUACAAAUGAUCUCAAAUUUUUACAAAAACUUGGUGAGACAUAGGCCUACAACUUUCAUGUGAACAUAAAAAUCUAACAAGGCCAUUUUCAAGUCCAAAUCAUAGCAACAACGGAGAAGUCUGAAUCUGUCCUGCACCCCGAACACUUUUCAGUGUUUGGCCCAUAUCUGGAGUUCUAGAAGUCUAAAUCACCUCCAACUUUCAUGGAAAGCUGAGUCAAUUUCCUACAACUUUCAUGUUUUCAAGUGGACCCAGUUCUGAUGCUAGAAUUUUCGUUUUAUUCAGACAAGAAGAUAAAGAUUUUCACAAAGUCAAGAGUUGGCCACCCACUCAACAAUUAGUCAUCAAAUCAAUAAUUCCAAAUUUUGGCCUAUAAUACUAUUAUUAUUAUUAUUAUUAUUACUAUUAUUAUCAUAAAAUCAGUAUAUAAGCUGGAAACUUGUGACCCGAUCUUUUAAAUCAUUCUCAUGUAUAACAACGCCACGUACUGAGUAUUAUUAUUAUUAUUAUUCCUACUACUACUAUUAAUAUUAUUAUUACUAUUACUAUUAUUAUUCUUGUUGUUGUUGUUGUUGUCUUGUUAUUUAUAAUUUAUACAAUUAACCUCUCUGUGGUUGGACCCCGGUCUUGCCGGGUUAUUUAUUACUUUGACACUCCUGCACUUGGGAGAAGACAUCAAUCUUUUGGUCGUGUCAAUAUAUAUAUAUAUAUAUAUUGAUAAUUUUAAUUUAAAUACUGUAGAUUUAACCACCAAUAUUACAUCAUUAAAUAAAUAAUACUUUAUAUCAAAUAUUUUUUAUUGUUCCAUUAGCUUAUCUAUAAUUUCAUCACAUAUGAAAUUCAUCCGAUAAGGACUACAGUUUUCAUUGUCUUUUGAGCGUACAAUAAAAUAAGGUAAAAUAUCAUCAUAAAUAAAAUUAGAAUUGCGAUCAAAUUCUAAAAAUGAUAUGUCAUCAUGCGAUCUCCUUCUAAUUUAUAUAGUAUUAUUGAAUAAUAUUAAACACUAAUUUUUUGAGAAAAAAUACAAUUAUAAAAAAAAAUGUACAGUUACUCAUGAAAAAAUAUACAAUUAUUAAACACUAGUUUUUACCGGGUAAAACGCGAUCAAUGAAUAUUAACUCGUGAAUUAAUUCACCUGGUACUAUUUAAGUGAACAGUAGUUAAUUCACUCUACACAUAUGGCAAUGGGGUGGGUAAUGAAAAGCAGCAAUUUUUUGCUUUAGCAUUUAAAAAAAUAAAUGCAAAAAUCAUGGAAAAAAAACAUGUAAAAAAUGAAAAUAAAAAUAUUAGUAUAACAAAAAUAAAAAGGUAGAAAAAACUAGAUUAUUUUCCCUACAUUUUUUAAGUAUUGUUAAUAAUAAUCUGGACAGGCUAGGUCUACCUGAUCUGGUUUCUGGUUCAGAUCAGUAACCAGCUUAGACAGCAGGUUCACGCGUGCACUGUACAGUGCGAAGAUAAUUAAUAUUACCUUAUCUUCGCACUGUUUAACAAUUUAGAAAUGCAGAAAGUGGUCAGAAAGAAAGGCGUACCUGGAGUUGUCACUUGAAGAUGAAGAUGAUGGUGAUGGAAAGCUUGAGGUUGCUGGCCGAACAGACACUUUCUUCUCUGUCAUUCUCCUGUUUUUUUUUUUUUUUUUUUUUCCUUUGGUUGUCUAUUCGUCGUCCGCCCUGCGUGCCUCUGUUUUCUCCGUCUGUGUUCUGUUUCUUUUUUGUUUGUGUUUUUCUUCUCCUCUGAUCGCCUCCCAGUUGUAUAACCCUCAGUCCUGUUUCUAGUGUCCUGUUUCUUAUUUUUUUAUUUUUUGCCCGUAUUGUUCUCUUGUUAGAAGUCUUUUUUUUCUCUCCUUUCUCUCUCUUUUCUCCUUUGAUCUCCCCCCCUGCGAUGGCUGCUUAGUUAGCUUUUUAUAGGGGCUUGUGUGAUAGUCUUCCAGCACGCCUCUUCCUUCCGGGGAGGAGGAUAAAGCUCGCUGGGGUGUUAGUAUCCUGCUGGGUCUCGGAUUUCAGGAGUCCUGCCACUACAGGGCUGUUGGUGGUGGCUAUCUUCACGCCUCCAAUGGCGUCUCGUGGGAGAUGACCUGGGAAAACGGUGAUGGAAGUCGUGGGGAUUGCCUUGCGUUUGUGGGUUGUCCGUGGUGAUCGGCCCUUUUGGCUAAAUCAGUUCUGAAUUUUAAUAUUUCUUCGAUUAAGCUAGUUGGUUUUGUUAAACUAAUUCUAAGCGUAAUUAUAUGCUCUCACUUAUCGAUUCUUUUAAUUUUUUUAAAAAGUGAAUCCUAAAUUUAUAAAUCUAUAUUAUUUUAUAAUAAUAAUUAACAAGAACUAAAAAAAAACGACGUACUUUAAUAACACUGUUAAUUGAAAUAAUGAUUUUUUUUAAUAUAAUUUUAUUUUGAUUUUUCAAUAUUAGAUUUAUUAUAAAUUAAGGUUUUUUUAUUUUUUUUCUAUAGAAUUAUUCUAUUUUCAUGACUCAAGUUAUGAGUUUUACAAAUUAAUUUAAUUAACUUAUUUUUUUUUUAUUGAAUAUUGUUUUUAGUUUCUUCUUCAAUAUUGGGUUAAUUGUAAUUAAAUUUCAUCAUUUGUAUGGAGUUAUCCUAACUUGUGACACAAGUUUAGAAGGUUAAUUCGGGUUGAUUCAGAUCAUUUUUUUAAUUGAUAUUUAUUUUUAUUUUUUUCUAGCAUUGAAUUAAUUAGGAAUUGAGAUUUAUAAUUAUUUUUUAUUUAUUUUUUAUAAAGUUAUCACGAUCUCUCAUAACAUGUAUGUUGGAUUUUACUUUUUUUUUAAUUGAAUUGUUUUUUCAAUUACAUCAUCAUUUUUUAUUGAGAAUUGAUCUUUAUAAUUCUUUUAUUUCCAAUUUCAUCAUUAAACAUUGAGCUAAUUAAGAGUUAAGUGUUAUUUUUUUCUUAUUAAAUUUUUAUGUGGUUAUCAUGAUCUCAUGAUUCGGGAUAUAAAUUUGACAAGUUAACACGAGUUAAUCUGAAUCAAUCUAAUAUUUUUUUUUCUUAAUAUUUAUAUAAAAAUAUCAUUUUAAAAUUUUCUAGCGUGACAAUUACAGCUAGAUUAUAAAAAAUGACACGUGGGUUGUGAAUGUAUUAUAAAAAAUGAUCUCGUUGUUUUUCAGAAAAUACUUUGUGAAUGUAAAAUGUUUUCACUCGGCAACACUGAAGAAGUCCAUGCGGAGGCUGAAGCAUCAGAAACAUGUGGAGUGGGACAGAUUCUUAAAUUGGUGAGAAUGACUUUUAGCUACUUAGAUUUGAUUCCUUUUCUUUUCUAUCUCUCCAAGCCAACAAGGGUUGAUUACAAGAUUCCAGCUGGUAAAUAUCGCAACAGGUAAUUAAUUUCUCCCCUUUUCCAACGCCAUUGCGUCCUCGUGCAACGAACCAGCAAUCCUUUUUUAUUUAUAAUCAUGAAAAACAAUACUUAUCACAGGUAUUAUAGUAUCGUCUAUUUGCUUUUUAAUGUAGUAUAUAUAUAUAUAUAACUUAAAAAAAAACAGAGCAACAAUAAAAACAAUUAAGUUUAGAUAUUUUUAAAAAUAUUUUUAAAACACGGCUCCAAACGGUUAAGUUUUUGUAUUUGUCGUUAUGACAGGCGGGGAAGGAUUAUGUUUUUUUUUAUAAGAUCACAUCCAUGUACGUACAUACUUGUUUCCCAAGUCAUUUCUCUGCCGACCCGCCAUAUUUGAAUUUAAUUUUAACUUUUUACAAUCAUUAUAAAAGAUUUAUUUCUUUUUCAAGAGUUAUUGGUUUUUCCAUGUCAAUAAUUUUUUGAAUUUUUUAAUUACACAUAAUUUAUUUAAAAUCAUAAUAAUAAUAUUCUAUGUAAGAGAAUUUAUUUUAAAGAUUAAAUUCCAGUAAAAUUUUUCUUUUCAAAAUGAUUGAAUUCUACUUUUAAUCUACUAUAAAAUAUACCUAUAUUAUAAAUAAAAUUCCAAUAAUCCUAUUCAUGAAUAUAUAUUGUCUGAAAAAAGUAAAAACAAUUCUAAGAUUUGUGGAAAGACAUUGAUUUGGUGAAUCACUAUUUUAAAUGAAUAAUUUUUUACUUUAAAUUUUUUUUUAAAGUGAAAUACCAUUUAAUUUGCUUGGCUAAUUAAAAAACACAAUAUCUUGAUUUUUUUAUAUAUAAAUCAAGAUAAUAAUAGUAGUAGUAUGAGUCUUCACCUGGUAUUUUCUUUGGUUCUCCUAGUUACAGGUUGCAAGAUGUUGAAAUUUAAAAGAUAAGGAGGCAGACACGUAUCGAAGCUUUUGAGCCACAAAUUUAAUGAUUAAUAUCAUACAUCAAUAAUUCUCGACUUGUCAAUUUAUUAUACACUAAAAGAGACCCGCAUUGCUAGAAGUCCAUUCCAAACCGCUGUAAAGUGCACUGAGAACUUCAUCAUCAAUUGUUCACUAAUUGCAAAUUGAAUUUUCUGCUCUUUUUUUUUUUGGCAAAUACUGAUUGGCGUAGACAUAGACCAAUCUCUUUUCGACCUCGUCCUAAAGAACGACGAGCUAUUUAUUUCUCAAACGAACACAGUCUCGUUAUAACACAAAAUAGUUUAGUCCCGUGACACGUGGGCUGUGCAUGUAUGAUAAAAAAUAAUAAUUAAUAAUGGAUUUUGAAAACGAAGCUGAAGAAACAUGGCGGAGUAGAGCCCAACUUGUUGCAAAGGGGUACAAGCACGAAUUUGGUAUUAAUUACAAAGAGAUGUUUGCACCAGUUGCAAAAAUAGACACUAUUCGGUUGGUAUUAUCAAUUGCUAUUCAGAAUUUAUGGUCAAUAUAUCAACUUGAUGUAAAGUGUGUGUUCUUACAUAGAACAUUGGAAGAGGAGGUGUAUAUUGAUCAACCUCCUCGAUAUGUGAAACAAGGUCACGUGGAUCAGAUAUAGAAAUUAAAGAAAGCGUUAUAUGGACUGAAACAAGCUUCAAGAGCUUGGUACAGCCGUAUAGAUGCUUACUUUAACAAGGAAGGUUUUCUUAAAUACCAUUAUGAGCACACUCUAUAUAUUAAAUCUGUAGUUGAUAAGAAGGUGUUAGUUAUGUGCUUAUAUGUUGAUGAUCUCAUUUAUAUGGGUAAUGAUAGUUCCAUGUUUACUGAGUUUAAGAAUUCUAUGAUGAAGGAAUUUGAUAUGAUAGAUUUGGGGAUGAUGCAUUAUUUUUUAGGCAUUGAAAGAGGAGGUGUAUAUUGAUCAACCUCCUGGAUAUGUGAAACAAGGUCAUGUGGAUCAGGUAUACAAAUUAAAAAAAAACAUUAUAUGGACUGAAACAAGCUCCAAGAGCUUGAUACAGCCGUAUACAUGCUUACUUUAACAAGGAAGGUUUUCUUAAAUGCCCUUAUGAGCACACUUUAUAUGUUAAAUCUGGAGUUGAUAAGAAGGUGUUAGUUGUGUGCUUAUAUGUUGAUGAUCUCAUUUAUAUGGGUAAUGAUAGUUCCAUGUUUACUGAGUUUAAAAUUUCUAUAAUGAAGGAAUUUGAUAUGACAGAUUUGGGGAUGAUGCAUUAUUUUUUAGGUAUUGAAAUAGUGCAAUCAUCUGAUGGUAUAUUUAUCUCACAUAAAAAAUAUGCUCUGGAGAUAUUAGACAGGUUCAAAAUGUCGAAUUGCAAUUCAAUUUCCAUCCAAAUUGAUCUCAACUUGAAACUUGUCAAAGAUGAUGCAGGAAAGAAAGGAAUGCUACUCUUUAUAAGCAAAUAGUUAGGAGUCUUAUGUAUUUAACAACAACCAGGCCGGAUAUCAUGUAUGUUGUCAGCUUAAUCAUCAGAUAUAAAGAGUGUCCAACUAAAGCUCAUUUCUUGGUUGCAAAAAUAUUUUUUCACUACUUGAAAGGCACUGUAGACUAUGGAAUCUUGUAUAAAAGGGAUAUCAAUUCAGCUAUGAUUGGUUUUUCAGAUAGUGAUUAUGCAGGAUCUCUUGAUGAUAGAAAGAGUACUUCCGGAUUGGUGUUCAUGUUAAAUUCUGGAGUUGUUUCAUGGUCAUCAAAAAAAUAACAAAUAAUAGCUUUAUCAACCACUAAAGCUGAAUUUGUUGCUGCAACAUCAACUUCAAGUCAAACAAUUUGGUUACACAAGCUACUUGAGUUCUUACAAAACAACUAGCAACAAGGUCCAACCUUAAUCUACUGUGAUAACAUGUCCACCAUAAAGCUUUCAAAGAAUCCAGUACUUCAUGGGAGAAGUAAACACAUUGACGUCAUGUUUCAUUUCUGACGUGAUCUAUGUAAAGAAGGUAUUAUUGAUCUAGUGUUUUGCAAGAGUGAAGAUCAGAUUGCAGAUAUAUGAACUAAGCCUUUUAAGCCUGUAAUUUUUGUUAAGCUUCAAAAUCUACUUGGAUUGUGCUCUUCAAAAGAUGUCAUUAGAGAGGAGUAGCAGCUGUUAAUUUCUAAACCAAUAUCUACAUAUAUUAAUUUAAGGGAAGGUGUUAAAAUAAGUUAUGUUAUGUUGCUUAUGUUUUUGAGUUAUCUGCAAUAAGUAGUGGAAGACCUAUUUUAUACGAGUUCAAUCCACGUUUUAGUUAGUGGAGAUUUUAUUGUUAUUCUGUUGCUAUUUGAUUGUUACUGCACAACCUAUUUAAAGGCUUGUUGUUGCUAUAUUCAAUACACUAAGUGCAUUAAUCUUCUAUUUAUUUUUAUUAUCGUAACAUAAAAUAUACCUAUAUUAUAAAUAAAAUUCCAAUAAUCCUAUUCAUGAAUAUAUAUUGUCUGAAAAAAGUAAAAACAAUUUUAAGAUUUGCAUAGAGAUAUUGAUUCGAUGAAUCACUAUUUUAAAUGAAUAAUUUUUUACUUUAAAUUUUUUUAAAGUGAAAUACAAUUUAAUUUGCUUGGCUAAUUAAAAAACCCAAUAUCUUAAUAUAUUUGAUUUUUUAUAUAUAUAUAACUCAAAUAAUAAUAGUAAUAGUAGUAUGAAUCUUCACCUGGUAUUUCCUAUGGUUCUCCUAGGUGCAGGUUGCAAUAUGUUGAAAUUUAAAAGAUAAGGAGGCAGGCACGUAUCGAGGCUUUUGAGGCACACAUUUAAUGACUAGAAGCUAUUAUGUUGAAUGAUUCACAUCACUAGCGUCGUCGGCUGCUAAAAAGCAUUUUCGUGGAAUAACUCUCAGAUAUUUAAACCCGACAUGUCAAUUUAUUGUACACCAAAAGAGACCCACAUUGCUUGAAGUCCAUUCCAAACCGCUGUAAAGUGCACUGAGAACUUCAUCAUCAAUUGUUCACUGAUUGGACGUAGAAUUUUCUGCUGUUUUUUUUUUUUUUUUUGCAAAUACUGAUUGAUGUAGACAUAGACCAAUCUCUUUUCCACUCGGUCCUAAAGAACGACAAGCUAUUUGAAGUUUAUAAUAGUCUCGUGACACGUGGGUUGUGCAUGUAUGAUAAAAAAUAAUAAUAAUAAUAGUUGUCUGCCUACCUACCAGCGGGCUGUGCAUUUAUUAUAAAAAAUAGUGUCCGAAAAAAAAUACCAUUUAAUUUGUGGAGAGAUAUUGAUUUGUUGAAUCAUUAUUUUAAAUGAAUAAUUUUUUACUUUAAGUGAAAUACCAUUUAAUUUGCUUGGCUAAUUAAAAAACACAAUAUCUUAAUAUAUUUGAUUUUUAUAUAUAUAAAUCAAGAUAAUAAUAGUAUUUUCUUUGGUUCUCCUAGUUGCAGGUUGCAAGAUGUUGAAAUUUAAAAGAUAAAGAGGCAGGCACGUAUCGAGGCAUUUGAGCCACAAAUUUAUUGACUACGUACAAGCUAUGUUGAAUGAGUAUUAUCAUUUUUUUGUUUUUGGCAAAUACUGAUGUAGACGUAGACCAAUCUCUUUUCCACCCGCCGGUCCUAAAGAACGACAAGCUAUUUGAAGUUUAUAAUAGUCUCGUGACACGUGGGUUGUGCAUGUAUGAUAAAAAAUAAUAAUAAUUAUAGUUGUCUGCCUACCUACCAGCGGGCUGUGCAUUUAUUAUAAAAAAUAGUGUCGUUAUUUUUUAGAAAAUACUUUGUGAAUGUAAAAUGUUUUCACUCGGCAAAACUGAAGAAGAGCAUCACAAACAUGUUGGGUACAGGAGAAGGACAUAUUCUUAAAUUGGUGAGAAUGACCUUUAGCUACUUAGAUUUGCUUUCUCUCUCUCCAAACCGACAAGGGUUGAUUACAAGAAUAUUCCAGCUGGUAUAUCUCGCAACAGGUAAUUAAUUUCUCCACUUCUCUUUUCCUCGAUCAGCCUAGACUAUUGAUAAAACCAACAACACUGUAAUACUAAGUCCAAUUAUGCCUUUUAUGGUAUUUUGUACAUUUUACAUAUUUUUAUAAAUAUCUAGGAUGUUUAUAAAAUAUUUAUAUUAAAUAUCUUAUACUUAUAAAAUAUUUAUUUUAAAAAAUAAACAAAUAUAUCCAGAGUAUAAAAAGAGAGGCUAAAAGACCAUAGCUCAUCUCUCUACAUAGCAAAAGUGUACUAUAAAACUUAAACAAGGUGUAAGAAAUAUUUAAGAUUAGAAAAUACUCAUUCUUAAACACUAUACUAACAUAAAUAUUAUAAUGUUUUUCUUGCAACUGUCACCGGCACACCAGGUUCUUUGGAUUCAAUUUUAUCAGCCCAUAAAAAGUGUCCACAAUCUUUCUCUUGUGGAUUUUUUCAGCCUUUUGGAUCCAAUUUUAUCAACCCAUGAAAACCACACAAUCUGAUAUGAUUUUUAUUUUGAAGUAAAAAAGUUUUAAUUUCAAAUAAAAAAAGGAAUUUUUUAUUUUUAUUUUUAGAAGUAUUUUAAAAAGAUAAAAUCAAGCAUACUUUAAUAACAAAAUUCAAUUUUACCGUAUGAGAAAGUAAAACAAAAAUUAAAGUCUUGGUCGCGCUGGGGUAUUAAUAAAAGAGACCCACAUUGCUUGAAGUUCAUUCCAUACUGCUGUAAAGUGCACUAAGGACUUCAUCAUCAAUUGUUCACUAAUUCAAAGUAGAAUUUUCUGCUUUCUUUUUUCUUUUUCUUUUUGCGAAUACUGAUUUUAUUGUUAACCCUCCUCAGAAUUCAUUGUUAAUUGGAAUAAUAAUUUUUUAAUUUUAUUUUGUAACAUUAGAUUUAUUAGAUAUUGAAUUUUAUAAAUUUUGUUUAUGCUUUGUUUAUUUUAAUUUUGUUUAAUUUAAUUUUGAAUUCACUAUUUUCUUUUUAUAAUCUAAAUGAUGAGUUUGGAGAUUAAUUUGAUUAACUUGAUAUUUUUUUAUUGUUUUAUUCGUUAUUUUUUUUCAGUUUCUUCUUUUUUUCUUUUUUGCAGAUACUGAUUGAUGUAUACUUAGACCAAUCUCUUUUCCACCUGGUGCUAAAGGACGACAAGCUAUUUGAAGUUUAUGAUAGACUCAAUUAUAUAGCUAGUUGGUGCAUCAUUGACAGUUCCAUACUUGCAAUUAUUUUUAUGUUUGAAGAAUGGUUUUAGAAAAAAAUUAAAAUUUUAUUUAUUUAUUUUUUAUUUUAAAUUAAUAUUUUUUUAAUGUUUUUAUAUCUUUUUAAUAUAUUUAUAUCAAAAAUAAUAUUUUUUUAAGCAAAACCAUUUUAAAAAACACCAAUUAUAUAUCUUAUAAGCCGCUCUCGAUUUUAAUGCUUCUGUUAGCCAUCAUUUGCUAAUUGAAUAUUGAGUUUUUUUCCUACACUAUCACCGUGAGCAAAUUUAUUUCUCAAACGAACACUCUCGUGAUAACACAAAAAUACUCUCCUGACACGUGGAUGGUGCAUUUAUUAUAAAAAAUAAUAAUUAAUAAUUUUAAUUGUCUACGUACCUACAUGUGGGUUGUGCAUGUAUUAUAAAAAAUAGGCUCGUUAUUUUUCAGAAAAUACUUUGUUAAUGUAAAUUUUUUAUCAGAUGAACACCCUCUCGUGAUUUUUUUUUGAUUACUUAUCCAACUUGUGAUGGAGCUAGAAUUUUUUAAAUAAAAGGAUGAAUAAUUAAUAAAUAUUUGAUAUUAUAUACUAUACAAACAUUUGUUAUGUAAAGAAAUUAAUUAAAAAUAUAUAUACAAACUCAAGUCAAGUAAAAUUAAUUUAAGAAUACUUUUAAAAUAAAAAAAUUUAUAUUAUAAUUGUUCUCUUCGAUAUUUUAUAUUUUAAAACUGCUUUAUAAUAAUUUAUUUUUAAUCUUAUUAAAAAUAUUUUUCUCAACAUAUACAACAAACUUUUAUUUAUCUAUUUCUAAAUCUUUCAAGGACUAAAAAAGUUUUUUGCAACAAUUCUAUGCUGACAUAUGGUACAUAACAUUUAAAAUCAUUGCUUAAAAGAAUUGUCAUAAAUUGAUGUUAUUCUUGCUGACUUGUUGUUUUGUACAAGUACAGAUUAAACAAAAAUAUUAAAUGUUUUUUUUAAUUUAUCUAUUAUGUUCCUAAUUUUUUUAAGUUGUCCCGUACUUCAUUUUUAAUCACUAGUAAAUUCAUCACCAUUAUUUUUCAUAUGAAAUUCAUAGUAAAAUACUUAUCAAUUCAUCAAAACUCAUUUCAAUUCAUAUCCAUUAGCAUAUAAUAUUACCCAUAAACAUAUUAAUUCAACAAACCCAUAAAUUAUUGUAAACCUCAACAUUUUCAAUAACUAAUUAUAAAGAAAUAAACCUAAAAUUAGAUAAUGAAAUAAAUAGAAAAGAUGAAAGAAACUUCCUUAAAGCAAAAAGUAUAAAAGGUUAUUUCUUAACUAAUUAAUAGCUGAGGGCUUGACAGAAAUUUUAUAUAUAAAAAAGAGAGGCAGAGAUAAUAAUAAAAAAAAGAAAAGGAGCUUGGAUUAAUCAGUAGCUAACAAAAAAAGAAUUAACCUAGAAAAGCUAUUAUAUUAAUAUUUUAAUAUAAAUCAAUACUUAAAAAAAAAAUAAAAAAAUUAAGGGCAAUUGCUCCCUAUUGCUCUAUUGUGGCUCUUUCACGGUAUCCAAUGAUUUCUUCUAUUAAUUUUAUUUUUCAAUUUCAAUUAAUGUCGAUUUCGCACCCCACAUUACGAAUGAAGUUUAGAAUGUAAAAAUGGAUAAGAAAUCACCAUUUGUGGAGAAGAUGAGUUUACAGUGUGGGUUAAUAGAUGGCUACGGGAGGUUUUCGUGAGAGGAAGUGAAUGGAGGAGGCAAGAUGAUGGUGCUGGUGGAGAGGGCUGUGUUUGUGUCUUGUGUAUUUCUUUCUGGCCACCAAGCUUUAUACCAGUUCUCUAUUUAUAAUUCAAGAGUAUGUAGUCAUAUGAAAUUCAAGAAUCUCAUACAAAAACAAGCUGAUUCCUUCUUUAAAUUUAAAUUUUAUUAAAAAUAUUCAUAAUAUCUAUCCCCAUAAAUCGGAAGUAAUAAUCAUUGGCCAGGAAAAGUGUCUGGGGCUCUGAAUUCUCACAACCACGGAGAUAGCUUCCAUAGACCAUUUACAUAUAUAGAAUUAUAAAUCCAUAAGCAUACCAAGAUGGAUGGUAAGCAACAAGACGUUGUGUAGACGUCUAAAUAUUGAUCCUCAGUAUCAUCAUUAUAUGAUUACAAACGAAGCUCCAAGCAUGUCUUUGGCUUUAUUCAAUUAAAGACGAGGUUUCACUGAUGUUUAAAUUUAUGGACUCGGGAUUGAUGGGGUAGAGAUCAUGGGCAGAUGUAGAGGAAUUUCCAAUCCACGAUUUAUCAGAUCGAGGAAAGAGGUCUUGUGUGCUGUUUAAACUCUGGUCCAUGACCUGCUGAUAGUGGCCUUUGAAAAGUUUGGAGUGUAAAUCAUCACCAUAAAUGCUAGGAUCUGAGAUCAUCUCCUGGAUGCUGGUCUGUCCUUCAAGCAUGCUCACCACUUCUGACAUUGCAGGCCUUAGAGAUGGAGAUGCAUUGGUGCAUAAGAGAGCCAAUUUGAUCAUCCUCUCAGCCUCUUCCUUGUUGAAUUCAGACUGCAGCUUUGGGUCCACUAUCUCCAUUAAAUUUCCCUUUUUUUGCAGUACAUGGGCCUGUGAAAGCAAAAGGUAAAGUAUUUGCAGGGAGGAGUAGUGCCUAAUGCCAUCAUGGAUUCAAGAUAGCAACAAGAACAGACUCGUAACUUACCCAGUCAAGAAGACAUACGAAUUCAUUUGUUGUCCUGUAGCUCGAAUUGCUUCUUCCACUGACAAUUUCUAAAGCAACAACUCCAAAACUAUAGACAUCUGCUUUGUCUGUUAAAUUACCCCACAGCGCAUAUUCUGGAGCCAUAUAUCCUCUGAAAUCAGAACCACCAGAUUAGUGACUCUAACGGAGUAUAUUGCGAUCACUGAAUAAAGGAAGCUGCAAACUAAGUCUGAUUAAAACUUACAUGGUUCCAGCAACACGAGUGCUGAUGUGAGUGUUCUCCUCUUCAUUGAGCUUAGCUAGUCCAAAGUCUGAUAUCUUGGCACUUAGAUCUUUGUCCAGUAAUACAUUUGUACCUUUGAUGUCUCUGUGAACAAUCCUGAUUGCAGAUUCUUCAUGGAGAAAUACUAAACCUCUGGCUAUUCCAACACAUAUCUUAUAUCUUGUUGGCCAAUCCAGCAUCAGAAAACUUGUUUCUGAACCUGUAGCUAAUCCAGUAAAGGAGGUUCACUAAAUAAAAUGACUUUAACUUUGCUAGUCGAUGCUAUUAUUAAAAAAAAAAAAAAAGAUUUUACUGGAAAGUAAUCAGAUGCCAUUAUGGUUACCAAAAAGUGCUUUGGCGAGGGAGUUGUUUUCCAUGUAUUCGUACACUAGAAGCAACUGAUCUCCUUCAAUACAGCAUCCAUAAAGCUUUACAAGAUUGGGAUGCUGUAAACCAGAUAUCAUGCCUAUUUCAUUCACAAAUUCUCGGUUUCCUUGCCUGGAUUUAGGAGAUAGCUGCUUAACAGCAAUGAGAGUUCCAUCUGACAAUUUACCCUGCAUUGAAUUUAUCGUAGACAUUUUGCAUGAUCAAACAAAGGGUCCAAUGAUCAACUGGGAUAAUAUGCAAGAGAAUAUUAGAGUGACAGACCUUGUAUACGGAGCCAAAACCACCUUCUCCAAUUUUGUCAGCAGAAUCAAAAUUGUUAGUGGCAGCUCUCAGCUGCCUCAAAGUGAAGGAACCCGUUUUCAGAUCUAGCCCCUUGAGAUCUGCACAUAAUUGUUGGUGACACAAGGGAAAUGCUUCAACAUCAUCAAUGCGCGGAUGUGUUAUAUUCUAGAUGUUUGCGUGUGUAAUAGCUGCUAAUUAACUAAUUAAGGAAAAGGCUUAUGCACGCAGAUGAUUGAUUUCAAUGUACCUCGUUCUCUCAUGAACUUGUCUCUAAAAUAGAAUUUCCAACAAAUGACACCCAUUACCAAGAAAACAAGGAGUAAGGCUGAAGUGACAACUCCAACCACGAUAGGUAUUUUACUUGCUUCUCCAGGUUCUGAAAUUAAACAAAGUUACACGUACAAACACAGAAAGCCAAUGGGACAAUAAAUCACUGUAGGGCAGCAGUUCACUUCUCACCUGGACAAUCAGUACUCCGGCCUGAAAACCACAAACCAUAAAAUGCUUCUUAGAUGGUAUAAUUAAUGAACCGAGUAGAAGCUUACAUACAGUUAUGAUGAAAAUCUAAGCCAGGUUCAUAAGAAAGAAUUUGUUUGGUAAUCAUGCAACCGGUGGGGGAAAUGACCACGUUUAAAGGAUAAUGAGAUUUAGACUCCUAACUAUUUGGUCAACAAAGUUAUGAUAUUAUUGCUCGGUUUUCAUUUUAACUUAAUUGAUAAAGGUCAUUGUAUAUGAAUGAAAUCGCAAAGUCAGUGACUUUCAAAUGAAAUGCUGGGAAUAUAUAUAUAUAUAAAACAUGCCUGAGCAUACAGUUAUUGCAGAAAUAAGAGGACCGUAAUUUCCUCUUUCUGGAAUGCAAGUAGUCCCUUUUCCAUUCCAGUAUAAACGGAUCUCCAAGGUAGUGUCUGUCACACUGGCAUUGAAUACUAUAGAAGCUUUGUUAGAUCCAUUGGCAGCCUUCUGAAUAUUAAAAUCUUGUUUCUCUAGUUUCCCCUGCAAAACAAAUCCCAAGUUAAAAGGAUCUUUUGGAAAGAAAGAAAAAAUCUUUUUGGAUAAUUUAAUCUCAAUUACCUGAAUAUAAAUGUCAAAAAAGCGUUUUCCAACUCUUUUGUACAAUUCGUCACCUGUGAAUUGUAUAUCAGCAAAGUCGAGUUUAACAGUGUACAUCCCAUUUUCUAGACAAUAUCCAUAAUAAGUGAGAGAGAUGGCAGCUCUGCGUGCAGUAGAAAACAACGGUUCAUUCGAGUAGGUUGAACGAAGUCUAUAUCCGGGGCUUUCAGCUUUAUCAUCCAUAAAAUCUCCAGUGUUGCUGAAUCCCCAGUUUGAUCUUUUAUUGGAAUAAAUCGUAGCAGCAUCACCUAUAAUACUAUCGUCGCCUUCAUACAAGAUACCCCCACUGGUUUCAUCCGGUCCACCACAGUUUACAUGGAAGGAACGAUAACCUGCAUUACGUCAAAUUAGUACACCAUUAGAACAGUUGCAAAUAUUCUUCUCAUAUCGUAGGGGCGUGUAAGUGUUUAGAUUUUUGGAUCCCUUUGCUCUACAACUAGAGCUAUUACUUUUCCAAGUGGCUUGUCACAAUCAUUGUUCAACUCGAAUCGAUGGAGGUUGUUCUAUCAACCUUUGGUUUCCGAUUAGUGAUAUUGAUGGUGAAAACGUGAGGUGCUCAAGUUCUGCUUGAGGCCAUGUUUUGGUUACAGAUAAAUCCAUACUUGUCCAACGAAACUGAGAAUGAAUACAUCCUUAAUAGAUCUGUGUGCAGGAUAGAAUGUAGAAUUAAGGCAAAAAAAUCUACAUUGAAAUUAGUACUCGUGCUCAAAUAAAUACACAGACACUGAUAUUAUAGUAGAUGACUGAUUUCGGUAUGCUGAUAAAUUUGAAACAGAUUUGCUUUGAUUUUAAAGAACUUCGUUACUUCUCAUUUAAGGAGGGAAAAGAAUAUCAUACUUUUGGGGCACUCAUGUUUGCUUGAGCAUGGAAGAAGUCCGCUUCUGUAAGACAUGGAAAUUAUAGUAAGAAUUUCAAAUGGUUCUGCAAACUGCAAUAUAAGAAUCAGUUAUCGAAACCAUGCUGUUCAUUAUAGUAAGAAUUAGCAUUGUUUCACCCCCAAAAAAAAAAUAUCAUAUUAUCCAAGUAAAAUAUUCGUUUUAUGUUUGCUCAUUGAGAAAAUCGGUGCAUUGCUGUUCCCUCUUCAUGAGUGUUUGUGCUUAUAACUUGGGGUAAAUGAAUAAUAAAGCAUGUCACAUUCUUAUGUUCUUCAUUCAUUCAUUCAUUCAGCAUUAAUCAACAACGUAUAUAAUUGAUGAUUUCUAUUGGUAUUUUUGCAAGCAGUACGUUUACAUAACAUGAUCUAAAUUAAAAAGUUCAAAAUGCACAAGUUAGCAUAUAUACGUUUCACUCCUACAUGGAUUUAAAAACAUAUAAAAUUUGCAUAACUGAUUUGAAAUAGUAAAAAUAUUUUGAGCAUAAAAGCUACAAGGACAUGGCCUGGUAUAUCUGAUCCUAGGAUACCAAGUUUGUGCUGAGAAAGAAAAUCUGGAUAGGAUUUAAAUGUAUAAAUAUAAAUUGCAGAUUUAACUCCAAAGAUAUUCAGUUAUAAUCCUGCUUAGCAUCUGAUAUAUAAUGUAUUUUCCCCCCCUGAAAACUACAUAUGAACAUGAUAUGGUUUAUAUGAUUAGCAGCAUAUUCUGUUAACGCAGGUUCCACCAUUGCAAAGAUGUUUUUAGUCUACGGGAGUGAGUUUUUAGAAGGGAUAUUUACCUGCCUGUCUGCAUUUAAGAAAUCCCUUUAAAAUAUCCCAAAAGGAAAUUUUGAAAUUUUAUCCUGUAAGAGCUCCAUUUCCAAAUUAAGGUUAUCCAUAGGGACCGCGUUUCAUCCUAGAUUUCUGCUAAGCAUAUAUGAGUUUUAUAUGUACAAACAUACAUACACCUCUCUUACGUUGUAUCAGUUGUGGUUCUUAAUUUUUCCUUGGUAUCAUGACAACUACCAGAUUGGAUCUUCAACAACAUGAAAUACCAAAAAUAUCGCACUCCAGAGUGUAUAAGAGGAGCCUUACAAGUUAUUCUUGAUGAGUUGACUCCUGUACGUGUUUAUAUCCCUGGUUUAUAGAUUCAAAUCAUUAAGUUUCGCAGCAACCAGGAGUAUCCCAAAUUUAAGAAAAUAGAUAUCCUUACUGGGCAUCUUGACAGCUUGGCAGCCGUGAAAAGUUAUUGUAGGAAACAUCACUGCAAGAAGCCAAGGGAAUCAUAAAUAUGACUAUGAACCUCAACAAAAUUAAUAAUAAGUAGUGGAACAAAUGAAAUGCUAAGCAAGAUUAAAAAAAAAAAAAACCCACAUAUUUUCAGAGAAACUAGGCUUUUGUUGAGGCCCUAUAUAUGGCUUGAAAAUAUAUGUAGCCUUAGAUUCACUCAGAAGACCACUUUAUAAAUAUUAAUGGUUGAUCAAUCAUCAGCAGUUAUAUCUUCACAAGAGAGCAGAGAACUUGAACAGAAUAUCUAAACUGAAAUAAUUGAAACCUGUGAUACAUCUCAGAAACAUACAUUUUGUUGCCUGAGUUGAUAAAUGAUUCUGGGACAAUUCCAGUCAGCUUGUUUCCACUCAAAAACCUGGUUUUCAAAAGCCAGAUUGAUUCUUUCAGCAUAAUUCACUCUAUCCAUGGUCAGAUUUCAAAUAUUCAAAUUUAAAUACUUACAUAAAAUCAUAUCUUUUUGCAUCUGGAGGAAUUUCUCCUUCCAACUUGUUGAAAGUUAAAUCCCUGCAAAAGAUUACAUUAAAAGAUUUUCCAACUUUAGUUUUCGGAAUAUUCCUUGCGCCUUUGUAAGUAGUUUAGCAAUAGACAAGCUGGAGCUUCUGCGAAAUGCAAAUACCUGCAUUAUUUUUACUUAUGUUUCAUUUGGUUCAUGGUUAAACACAAACCAAGUUAAAUGUCGAGGAUGUAAAAGUGUUUAGAAUGUGUGGAAGAAAGUUUAGAAAUAAGGUUCUAAAUGUUAAAGGUAUAUUGAUUUCUAGAAAUUAGUGGAAUUGGUCGACUGGUUGAUAAUAGGUCAAUCAGUUGAGACAAAGCGAUUUGUUGGAUUAAGAAACGGUCGACUGGUUCAGUCAUCAUAAUACAAUUCUUGUUUAGAUUAGGAUUUCCUUGUAUUAAUUUAAUUUCUUAAUUAGUUAGGACUUUAUGUUUAUAAAAAAGCUUGUAAUUCAACAUUACUAUAAAUACAAAAGGAGAGAAAAUAGCUAAGGAGGCUUAAAGAGAAACACUUAACAAAAGUAUUCAUUUCUCUCAACGUACUUUUCUUGUUCUUCAGUUUUUCACCUUACAUUAUUGUGUUGAUCUUAUACCGCACUUGUUUUACUUUCAACAAGUGGUAUUAGAACUUAGGUUUGAUUAUUUGAUAUGGUCAAUCCAAACUUCUCACUUCAAUGUCAUAGAUUGAUAAAGGGCAACUAUGAAAUUUAGUGUAUUUGAGUAAAAGCUUAACUAAGUUUCCAAAUAUAUAUGGGAGACAUUUGAAAAAAGCUUUGAGAAGCCUAUAGAUGAAGCAACAUUAACUUCAUCCCAAAAGGAGGUCGUGCAAAAGGCAUGAAGGAAGAAUCAACAAGCACUCACAAUCAUCUAUCAAUGUCUAAAUGAUGCCACUUUUGAGAUAGUGGCUAAUGCAGUCGCCGCCAAACAUACAUGAGAAAUUUUGGAAGAAUCAAAUCAAGGAGUUGAGAAUGUGAUAAAGGUAUGUUUACAAAAGCUAUGUGGUGACUUUGAAAAGGUACAUUUGCUUGAAUCAAAGAAUAUUUCAAAAAUACUUUGCAAGAGUAUUAGUCAUAUACAAUCAAAUGAGGAGAUAUGAAGAGAAGAUGGAAGAGACACGUGUGGUACAAAAAAAGUUUUAUAAUAUGGUUAUCAUGAUAGAGGAAUCACAAAAUAUAAUGUUCUCUCAAUAUAAAGUCUCAUAGGAAAAUUACAAGUUCAUAAAAAAGUCAAUGAGAUUCAAAAGGAUGUGGAUGCACAAGCACUUAUUUCAAAGAAAGAUGGUUUAUAUUCCUAAAGGGGUAGAGGACAUGGACAAAACAAAUAAAGAGAAGUAAGAGGCAGAUUUGAAAAAGGAGGUCAAGACAACCUUAAUAGAUCAAUCAGUCGAUCGCAUAAAACAAACUGGUCAAUCGGUUACACCGAAAAUGACAAUCUAAGAUCCAGGUUUGACAAAUCAAAAGUUAAAUGUUAUAACUGUCAAAAGAUAGGUCAUUAUGCUAGGGAUUGCUAGAUUCCAACCAAGAGGUUUGAGGAGAAUGAAAAUAUUAUAAUAUAAGAAUAGAAAGAAGCCACCUUACUAUAAGUGCAUAAUAAAAGAAUGCAAGACAAAGAGAAUUGAUGGUAUCUAGAAAAUUGAGCUAGCAACCACAUGUGUGGAGAUAAAAACAAGUUCAUAGAGCUUGAUAAAGCAAUUAGAGGCAAUGUCACCUUUGCAGAUCAUUCAAAAGUUAUCAUCAAAGAAAAAUAAAUGAUUUUGAUUAAAUUAAAAGAUGGAAUUCAUCAAUGUAUUGGUGAUAUCUAUUAUAUACUAACAGUGAAAAGCAACAUAGUGAGCUAAGGACAUCUGUUGUAGAAGGGAUAUGAGAUUAAGAUGAAAUAUCAUACUUUAACAUUACUUGACACUAAAAGUGUUAUGAUUGCAAAGGUAACCAUGACAAAGAAUAUAAUAUUGUUGUUAAAUGUCAUAACUUAUUUUUGGAUUAUUUUCCAAGUUUACUUAUUUUUCUUCCAAAACAAAAAUAAAAAAAUAAAAUGAAGACCGGUGACGCGGAGAAAGAAGGUUGAGGAGGUUCUCAAACAUAUAGGAAAAUCAAGCUGUAAUUUUGAAUGAAAUUCAAAGCUUAAUUAUACUCAUUAUACCCAAGACUAAGGCAACAAUGUAGAUUCAAUGUCAAAUUAAAUGAUUAUUGAACGAAUCUGUAUAGAAAUUGUUAGAGAAUAAUAAUAUUAAUUAUAUCUUGAGACCUCACCUAAAAGUUUAAACUAUUGGGUUGAGAUGGUUCUUUGACAUGAUAUUAGAACCUUGAUAACCAAGCGGUCACGAGUUAAAUUAGGGGCUUAACAAGUGGAAAAUUAAAUUUGAAAGCUCAAUUUAGGUUUAUUUGAGAAGAUUGAAAUUUUAAGAAACCAAAUUUAAUUUUUACCAAGUCAGUUGAUUGAAAUUAAAGACAAAAUUACAAGAAAAUUAAAAUUUUAUAAUACAUUAAAAAUUAAAUUAAAAAAAUUCACAGUUAAUGACCAUUUUGCAGUGUUAUUAAAAUAUAUUCAUGUUUUUAACUUCUAUAACAUUACAGCACAUAUAACGUGAUGAGUGAAGGUGUUACGACUUACAGAGUUUUCAGAGAAUCCGAUGUCCACACAGCUGUUGGGAUCACUCCAGUUAAAUUGAUGUUUCGCAAAACCCUUCAAAGAAAUUAAAGAUAGGCUUCAUUAGUUCUCAAUAGAACAUGUUAAUUCUCAAGUUUAUUUAUUUUAGACAUUUUACGGACAGUUGACGAACAAUUUUUUCACUAUGGGGGGGAUGUUGGUUAAAUUAAACUCUGGUCCAGACAUAUCAGUGAUCCUCCUGCAGUACAUUGAAAAGAAAAGAAUGUUAUAGUUCCCUUUAUUCUUUCUGUCUUCUUCACAGAAAUUAUUGUAUUUAUUGCUGUGCCUCUCAGGAAGUAGUUUGACUCACAAGUCUGUCAGCUUCUCUAAAGAAAGAAUGGCGGGAGGUAUGGGCCCUUGUAGCCCACUUGCGUAUAAUUCACUUCGUAAUUAGUCCAAAGAGGAAAAACAAAAUAUCAGAAUAUUGUGCAACAUGUAGCAGAGAAAUGAAAUGAAAAUCUCGUGCAGAUAGAGAUCCUCACAGUCUAUCAAGAUUCCUCCAGUUCCCAAUGAAAUCAGGUAUUCUGCCACUAAGAUUAUUAUCACUUGCACGACUGCACAUUGCAAAACCGAAUUAAGGAAACCAGAUGCUAUUGCAUUAUCAAAAACUGUGUUUAAAGAAGAAAGGAAUUGAUUGCUUACAAGUUAGUCAAGUUUAGCUUAGCGAGAGUCUUUGGCAAGGUUCCCUCCAACUGAUUGGAGGAAAGUAUCCUGAAACCAUCAAAGAUUGCAACUAAAAUGUCUAGCUUGCGUUGGUUAAAUAAUGAUGAGCAGUUAAACGCCUUACAGGUCUGUUAAGUUGACAAGAUCACCAAGCUGAGAAGGAAUAGUACCAGAAAACUGAUUUGCUUCAAGGGACCUUCAUGUAUUUGUUUUUGAUUAAUUGACAAAAAUGAAAGUAGUAAGCUAGCAUUGUCAAAAACAGAAACAGAAAACAAAACAAAUGAUAAAUCGGCAGAACUUAUAUUUAUGACUUCAAUACAUACAAGUAAGUCAGGCUACGAAAACUUCCCAAGUACCCAGGAAUAUUUCCUGACAAGCGAUUGGAUGUAAGUGAGCUGCAUGCAUAAAAUAUUAUCUAGUUAUAGUGAAUUCCGCCUUGAGUAUGAACUGGUAAGCAAAGAUAUUGAGGUGAAUGAACUUACAGGUUUGUCAAAUGUUUCAUUGAAGCCCAUUCCUCAGGAAUAUUGCCAGAAAUGUAGUUGCGAGUUAGGUCACUGUAACAGAUAAUAUAUCAUCAAUACUUGAGAAUUUAACUUGUUCUGUCAAAGAAUCUUCUCAACCCAGUAGGUUAAGCUGUUAGGUGAAGUUGCAGUAUAUAAUUUAUAUUAUUCUCUAGCAUAAUUUCUUAAAUAAAAACGUUUUAGACUUGAAACUUGCAUAUAUUCAUAUUACCUUACACUUAAUUUAACUUGAGAAUUUAACUUAACUUGUUCAACUUUAUAAAACGUCAUGUAGACAUUGCUUUGGAGUAUAAACCUUGCUUGUUGAAAAUAAAGUUUCUUUUACAACAUAAUUUGAAUUAGACGAUACUUUUGUUUCUGUUAAGGUCGUGUCUAUGAUGCAAAUCUUGCAUGUUAGAUUUUGAAUGCACAUAUUAUUACCAAAUACUUCAUAGGUGCAUGCAUUCAAUACCUUUAAGCAGUUGAAGUAUGCAGAUUAGUGAAUGCUCAUGCAGAAAAUAUUCUCAAGACGUUCACCCUUAGGAAUUUUUUUUAUUCUCAUUUGUUAGAUUUAGCUGCGUCAAAUAUGCUUCUUCUUUUUAUUAUUAUUAUUAAGGUAUUUCCAUUCCACAAUUUAUAAAUUAGUCGAUAAAAGUUACUUCGAGAUUCUUCAAUCAAUACAACAUAGAAACAGAAAUAAAAUAUAUCCUGAAAAAAUUCUUACAGAUUUUCAAGAUAUGUAAGGUUGGCCAUUUCAGGCGGGAGCUUGCCUGGAAAAUUGAGCGUUUUGAGAAAUCUGUUAUUAAAAGAGAAAAACACCAUCAGUACAUAAACUCAACUUUAAGAUUAGAUGAUUGAAAAACAAACUCAAAAAUUUACUUGUGCUAAUUUACAUCCAAUUCCAAACACAACUUUAAGAUUAGAGAUAUUUUCAGAUAAUUAAUUUAAACAUUGGAGCAAAGUAUCAAAUAAAUAUAGAAGGCAAAAAAAAAAUCUUACAGUGACGUGAUAUGACAAUAACUGUCAUUAUUGAGGUUGAGGGUGCAAUUGCAUACGAGGGUGCUAUUGGCUUCUGAAUCUUGUUCCGACAGAUUCAUAUCAUGCAGAGUUCCUGAUUGGUUGCAAGCAUCGCCCACCUCGAAGGGUUGCCCACCCUGCGUCAGUGUCUCGACAAUUUGUUUUAACGCCGUCACUAGUUCAAGGAUCAUGCAUCCACGGAAUUUUUUAUCAAAAUAUGCAUAUCCAUAACAUAACAUCGGUUAAUAUCACCAAAAAAAUUAACACUAAUAGUAUUCAAGUGGUAUUCUAACACAAUAAAAUGGUCGGAAUCUUGGGUGCAAAUCCAGUAAAAAUAGAAAUAAAUAAUGAAAAUAUAUAUAUAAAUAAAGUAAACGGAUUGUAUAUUAACUCCAGAAUUUAAUUAGAAAUAAUUCAAAGUUCUCCUUUUCAAUUGGUUGCAUGUAUUUUAGGAGAAUUGGAAAUCAAAAAACACUUUUUUAUUAACUCAUUUACAUGUUUAAUUUUUUUUACUCAAUAUAUUUUAAAAAUCAUGUCCCAUUUUCUUAUAUUCUUUUUCUUCAAGAAUUGUUUUUAGUUCUUGAUUUAAAUAUCUUUUUUAAUAAUAAUUAAGGGCAUUUUUUUUGGUAUAAAAAAGGUUUCUGUAAUAUUUUCUUAAAAGUGAGAGAGGAUUUAUUAAAUAUUCAAACUUUUUUUCAUACUCUUUGUAGUUUCCAAAUACGUCGAGAAUUAUUGUAAUUUGUAGAAAAAAGAAAUCUGAUACACAUUAAAUAAUUUAUUCAUCUUUAAUACCAUCCCCACAUGAGCUACUUCCCGUUGGAUGCACAGUUGAGAGUGAAUGUACGGAUUCGGGCCCUUUUUUUUCAGAAUUUCCUUUUAUGUUCUUACCCCAUUACUUAUUUUUCUGUAGCUGCAGUGUAAAGUGAAGAAAUGAUUCUCCAAUAAAGUAAUUAUUCAUGAGCAAUGAACUACAAAUUUAUAUGAAUGAAUUUCUUAAUCUUAAAGUAUGAGGUUGUACUAUUACGCAAAUCUGUGGAAAUUAAUUAGCUCAGAUUAUUACAACACUCCAUUAUUGCAAUAAAAGCAAAGCUUACUCUCUUACCUUCGUCUGGAUGUAACUGAUAUGAGACAACCAAAGUAGCAGAACUGAAGAGAGUGAUCACGAUCACCAUAACUCGGAAAAACUGAAGAAGUCCAUGCGGAGGCUGAAGCAUCGUGAACGUGUUGGGUGCAGGAGUAGGAAAGAAGCUUGAAUAAGUUUUCAUUUUAUGAGGUACGUACUUCAUUUAUAGCCACUUGAUUUGAUUGCUUUUCAUUUAUACCAACUGGUAAAUAUCGCAACAGGUAAUUAAUUAUAAGUUGGACAAGUUUAAGCUGGUCAUCUCUCCAGCUGAUCAGCCUAAAUUAUUGAUAAAAUUAACUACACGGUAAUACUAAUUCUUUGGCCGAGUCCAAACAGACUUAUGGUAUAUAUUUUAUACAACAUCUAUACUUUCAUAAAUAUUUCUAUAAAUAUCUACUAGGAUAUUUUUAAGAUAUUUAUAUUAAAUAUUUUAUAAUUAUAAAAUAUUUAUCUUAAAAAAGUUUAUAUAAACAAAUUAAUAUAUGUAGGAACAUAAAGAAAGAGGCUAGAAGACCAGAGCCAACCUCUCUAGACAACAUAAUUCUUAUAAAACUUAAAUAAGGUUUAAGGAAUAUUGAAGUCUAGAGAACACAAAGAUUUUAUUACUUUUAAUGUUGUUAGAUAAUAAUAUAAAUCAUAUCUUGAGAUUUCAUUUAAAAGCUUAAGCUAUUGGAUUGAGAUGGUUUGUUGACAUGGUAUCAGAGCUUUGAUGACUAAGUGAUCACGAGUUUGAAUCUCAAUAUACUUAUUUAUUUGAUAAAGUCUAAAAAAUUUUAACUUGAAGAAAUAUAUUAAAAAAUAAUAUAAAUUAUAUUUUGAAAUCUUAUCUUAAAAAUUUAAGCUAUUAUAUUAAAAUGGUUAUUUAUAAGUGAUUCAUCAUCAAUUGUUCACUGAUUCCAAGAAGAAUUUUCUGCCUAGAGAGAUUGAUGUAGACAGGGACCAAUCUCUUUUCCACCUGGUGGUAAAGGACAACAUGCUAUUUGUAGUUUAUGAUAGACUCAAACGCAUGCAUUUAUAUAGUUAGUUGGUGCAUAAUUGACAGUUUAACAGUCACCGAUCUGAUCUCAAGAUAUAUUUACUGUGAAAACAAAGUAAUACAGUGCUUGGGCAAUUAAUUAAUUAAGUAGGUAGCUACGUUGUUCUUACCUUAUCCUGGAUGUAGCUGAUCAGAAGCAACCAAAGUAAUACUAUUGUAGCACGUGUGCGGUGUCGCGUUGAUCGUCUACCCUCAAGGAAAAUAUAAAUGGUUUGUUCCUGGCAAAUGUUGUGAGAUAAGGAAUUCUUGUCUCUUAUCAGUAAAAUAUGGACUGGGAAUCGCUACCUAAUAUUCUGGUUAUUAGGAACCCUAACUGGUUUUAGAGAUCUUUCCUUAUAUAUAUAUAUAUAAAGAAAAGUAUUUAUUGGCCUUUUAACAAAACAGCAACGUCCACCAACCCAGAAAAGUAUUAUUCUACAUGCAACAAUCCAAACAAACCUAGUAAAGUGUAAUUUAUUAUAAUUGCUUUCAACAGGUACAAGUGAUCUUUCCUUAUAUAUAUAUAUAAAGAAAAGUAUUUAUUGGCCUUUUAACAAAACAGCAACGUCCACCAACCCAGAAAAGAAAAGUAUUUAUUGGCCUUUUAAGAAAACAGCAACGUCCACCAACCCAGAAAAGUAUUAUUCUACAUGCAACAAUCCAAACAAACCUAGUAAAGUGUAAUUUAUUAUAAUUGCUUUCAACAGGUACAAGUGAUCUUUCCUUAUAUAUAUAUAUAUAAAGAAAAGUAUUUAUUGGCCUUUUAACAAAACAGCAACGUCCACCAACCCAGAAAAGUAUUAUUCUACAUGCAACAAUCCAAACAAACCUAGUAAAGUGUAAUUUAUUAUAAUUGCUUUCAACAGGUACAAGUGAUCUUUCCUUAUAUAUAUAUAUAAAGAAAAGUAUUUAUUGGCCUUUUAACAAAACAGCAACGUCCACCAACCCAGAAAAGUAUUAUUCUACAUGCAACAAUCCAAACAAACCUAGUAAAGUGUAAUUUAUUAUAAUUGCUUUCAACAGGUACAAGUGAUCUUUCCUUAUAUAUAUAUAUAAAGAAAAGUAUUUAUUGGCCUUUUAACAAAACAGCAACGUCCACCAACCCAGAAAAGUAUUAUUCUACAUGCAACAAUCCAAACAAACCUAGUAAAGUGUAAUUUAUUAUAAUUGCUUUCAACAGGUACAAGUGAUCUUUCCUUUUAUAUACUGUUGAAAGCGAUCUUUCCUUUUAUAUAUACUGUUGAAAGCAAUGCUUUCAACAGUAUAUAUAAAAGGAAAGAUCACUUGUACCUGUUGAAAGCAAUUAUAUUUUAAAGCAGCAAAAAGAAAGGGCAUAGAAUUUUCCGCAAAGACUUUUCACAACGAACUCAAGUAAUCUCAUGGAUGCAUGGAUCAAUCAAUAUUGAUGCUAGUCUUUCUCUCUCUCCAAUAAAGACAUAGGUAGAAAUAACUUGCUGCUUUUAAAUGCUGAUAGGUUGAUUGAUGCAAACAUGACUUCUUUUUUCCACGUUGGUUCCUGUUAAUCUCAUGGACUUGAUCAAAAAGAUGCAUGGAUCGAUCGAUCAAUAUAGGCGGAGUCAGAGUAUUUAAAAUGAGGAGUAAAUUAAUUAACAAAUAUUAUAUUAUAUUAUUUAGAUAUGUAAUAAAAAUCAAUGUAAAAAUCAAUUCAACCAAAUAUACUAAGCAAAAUUAAUGUAAAAAUAUUUUUAAAAUGAAAAAACUUAUAUUAUCAUUAUUCUCUUUAAGUUUUCGUAAUAAAAAAAUUCAGUUUAGUUAUAUAACAAUUGUAAAUCCUUCAUAUAAAAUACAUAUUAAUUUAUCAAAACUCAUUUUACACCCCAUUACCAUGUAGCAUGCUGUAAAUAAUGUAUGGAUGUGGAUCAUCAUUGAUAGUUUAAAUUUAUCAUGAUAGAUCAUUUUUUAAAAUAAAAAAAUAGUUUCUUUCUUUUAUUUUUUAAGAAAAAACCAAGCUUUAAUUUUAUAAAUAUCAAUAUUUACUCUCUGACAACAAUUGAAAUGUUUGCUUAUUUAUCUCAUGAAAAAAUUUAAUUUCAUACCGUAACCAAUUCAAUUAGAAAUAAUAUAACCUUUAAUUAAUUUAAAAUAAUUAAAUCAAUACCUAUUCUUUAAAAAAAAUUAAAAAAAAUUAAGGGGGCAAUUGCCCCCUUAAUCUCCUAUGUGACAGUGUUGAUUAAUUUUAGUAAUUCCCAUUCCCGUCCUUCUUAUUUAUUGGUUAAUUUGUCUCAAAUAUUAAAAAUUAUUUGGUUGACUCAAGUAGUCUUAACAUGAAGAAGAAGAAGAAAAGAAUUGGGCAACUGGCAAGUCCUAAAAGAAAUAAGAUUGCAACUCACACUGCUAGCUUAAAGGGCAAAUAUUUUACCACUGUGCUAUAUCUGAAAGCUAAUUGUGGUAAAUCAAUCAAUAUUCCAUUAGAGAUAACUUUUGACCUAUAUCUAAAAGUCAUUUUGGCUGUGGUUGAUAUAUAAUGCCAUAGCUAGUGAGUGAGUACCUUGCCCUUCUCUAUAGUCUGCAUCGUUCGGCCCCAUGCAGCAGGACCCAGACUUAUCAUCUUUGAUUCGGUGAGUUCAUCAAGUCACAAUAAAUUAUAACAUGCUCUAUACUAGGAAUAAUUUUAAAAUAAUAACAAAUGCAGCAUAGAUUUAUAAUAACCAAUCCAGCAUAAAUUUAUUAGAAAUUAAAAAUAUUAUAUUAAAAAAAAAUAAUUUAAUGCAUCAAAAUAUCAUAUUUUCAAUGUGACACAUCGUCAGUUAAAUUAAGAGAUUCGAAUGUUAAUAUAAUAUAUAAUAAAAGGACCUUAUUAUAUAUGUUCAUAAUAAAAAGACCUAAAUUAAAAUUUAAUAAUAAAGGGAUGUUGGAUAUAAUUAACCUUGUCGUUCCACUUACACUAGAAAAGCAAUGGAGAUGCUACUUCUAUAUAUAUAUAUAUAUAUAUAUAUUGCUACUCGCGUGUUUUGAGAAGAAGCUAUCCUUAUUGCUGUAAGCUUGAUUAAUACAAUCUCAUCUUCUUAUAAUUCAGGUUUUUCUGCUUUUGAAAAAUUAUAUGGGUAUAUUCCUGAUUAUUCCUUCUUUAGAGUUUUUAGUUAUACUUGUUUCAUUCUUCAUCCCCAUGCAGAAUGCAGUAAGUUUUCCUCUCGAUCUGUUAUGUGUGUCUUUUUGGGUUAUUGUGAAGGUAAAAAGGGGUAUCGUUGUCUUGAUUCAAUAACUCAGAAAUUUUAUGUGUCUCGUCAUGUUGUCUUUCUCGAGCAUAUACCUUUCUUUUGUAUUCCAUCCACUACUCAUAGCUUGACUAGACCUGAUAUUAUUCAUAUAGAUCCCUUUUAUGAGGAUUUUGAUAGUUUAUCAUCUCAAGUUCAUAGUACCUCAAAUACUCCUUCCCAUGUUUGACCAAUUUGUACUCAUCAUUAUGUAGGUACUGACACUUUACUCUUCGACACACUUGUAGCUCCAUUCUUAUCUACAUCCCCCCAAGCUUCUUCUAAGAUUGUGGAUCCACCUUUACGUUAAUCCACACGCAUUCGUAAGUCCACAAAACUACUAGAUUUUGCUUAUUCUUGUUAUUCUUCAUCUUUUACUUCAUUUUUAGAUUCUAUUCAUUGUCUCUCUAAGCCCUCUUCCUAUAAAGAGGCAAUUCUUGAUCCUCUUUGACAACUAGCUAUGGAUGAGGAACUUUCUGCUUUGCAUAAGACAGAUACUUGGAAAUUGAUUCCUCUACCUCCUGGUAAGAGUGUUGUUGGUUGUCGUUGGGUGUACAAGAUCAAAUCUAAUUUUGAUGGAUCUAUUGAUUGAUACAAAGCUAGGUUGGUUGCAAAAGGAUACUCUCAAUAGUACGGUAUGGAUUAUGAGAAGACAGUUGCCCUUGUUGCAAAAAUGACUAUUAUUCGUACUCUUCUUGUUGUAGCUUUGGUUCGUCAAUGACAUAUCUCACAACUUGAUAUUAAAAAUGCUUCUUGAAUUAAGAUCUUUAAGAAGAAGUUUGUAUGGCGCCUCCUCCUAGUGUUUCACAUGACUUUGACUAUGUAUGUAAGCUCAAGAAAGCAUUAUAUGGUCUCAAACAAACACCUCGUGCUUGGUUUAAGAAAUUUUAUAUUGUGAUCUCAUCUCUUAGAUUUGUUUCUAAUAGUCGUGACUAUGCUCUUUUUAUUAAUUGCACUAAUGCAAGUCGUAUCAUGUUUUUUGUAUACGUUGAUGACAUGAUUAUUACUGGUGAUGAAAUUGAUGGUAUCUUAGUUUUGAAGACAGAGCUGGCCAGAUAGUUUGAAACAUAGUUUUGAAACCCGGACCGGCCCGGCGGGUGGACCCGGGACCCGGCCGACCCGGUCAUGGGACCGGUCCGGGUCUAAGCAAAAACCCGCCUGGGAGUUGGCCCGUUGAAACCCGGUCGACCCGGGUAAACCCGGAUGAGACCCGACCCUUUUUUUUAAUAUGCAUAGAGGUUAACGACGUCGUUUUGGCCUUUUAAAAGGCCAAAACGAUGAAGAUAAAUGAUGCACUGAUGCUGAAUUGCUACAAGCCUGCAAUUGCAAAUAGAGAAAACCUAAUACAGAAAAACAAUUUCAAUCGCCAAUUGCAGAGCAGAAGAUUAUUGAUUCCUUCAAUAAGGUUAGACUUUGGUUUCUCUUCACGAAUCUCCUACUUUCACUCUCUCUUUUCUUUGUUCGUUGCCUUUUUUUGAACUCACAGAUCUUGAUUCAAUCAUCAAGAUUCAAAACUCCCUUCAUCUCCCACCAUUUUCUCAACAACCCCAAAAGCAUUUAAAGAAGUAAGAGAACUGAUACAUUACCCGAAGAAAAGGUGCACUUCGUCUUGUUAUGAUCACCACUACUUCUUUUUCUCUUCCCCGUAACAAAAGAAAAACUUUGAUAGUUUAGUCCCUUUAUGGUUGCUGAUGAUAUUUACUGUUAAAAGGGUUUUAAUUUGCGAUGAUACGAACUUUUAUGUGUUCUGACUUCUGAAGUACCUACGAUCAUCAAAACACAUAGGAAGGGAAAGAGAAGUGAUUUUAAAAAGUUUCAAGAUAGUUUAUGUUUGAAAAAAAACAAAAAGAAAGAAAAAACGUGUGAAACGGUGGGUUAGGGAAUUUGGAGUGGCUAUUUUUCUUGUUAAAAACAAAUUAAUGUAUUGAUAAUAAGAAUGAAUUAAAAAAAUAUAUAGAAAAAAUAUUAUAAUUAUAUAAGAAUGAAUUAAAAAUAUUUUUUUUGGUUGACCCGGGCCAACCUGGGUCAACCCAUCUGACCCAUGACCCGAUCACUGGACCGGGUCGAUAACCGGGUUGGGUUUCAAAACUAUGGUUUGAAAUGAAGGAUUUGGGUUCUAUUUAAUAUUUCCUGGGUAUUGAGGUAGCUUACUCACCUAGAGGUUACUUUCUUUCUUAGUUGAAAUAUGUUGCAGAUAUUCUUGAGCGGGCUAGACUUACUGAUAACAAGAUUGUAGCCACUCCCAUUGAAGUUAACGCAAGGUAUUCUUCUUCCGAUGGUUUACCUUUGAUAGAUCUGACUUUAUAUCAUACUAUUGUUGAGAACUUGAUAUACCUCACUAUUACUUGUCCAGAUAUUACAUAUGUUGUUCAUGUGUUAGUCAGUUUAUUGCUUCUUCUACUACUGUUCACUGGGCAACUAUUCUUCAUAUUUUACGAUAUCUUUUAGGGUACAGUCUUUUACUUUCAUCCACCUCUUUCUUGGAGCUGCGUGCAUACUUUGAUGUUGAUCAUUGUAGUGAUUCCACAUAUCGAAAUUUGUUACUGGUUUCUAUAUCUUUUUAGGUGAUUCUUUUAUUUUUUGGAAGAGCAAGAAACAAUCUAUCUUUUUUUAAUCCUCAACCGAAGCAAAAUAUCGUGCUAUGACAUCUACUACUAAAGAGAUUAUUUGUUUACGUUAGUUACGUGCAGAUAUGGGAGUUUCACUCUCUUAUCCUACUCUUAUUUAUUGUGACAACCAGAGUUCUAUUUAGAUUGCUCACAACUCGAUUUUUCAUGAACGAACUAAGCACAUUGAGAUUGAUUGUCAUCUUACUCGACAUCUUCUCAAGCAUGGCACCACUACUUUGCCUUUUGUUUCUUCUUCAUUGCAGAUUGCAGAUUUAUUUACCAAGUCGCAUUCCAUUUCUUAUUUUCGUUUUCUAGUUGGCAAACUCUUGAUGCUUGUAGCUGCCGCAUCGUGAGUUUGAGGGAAGAUGAUAAAUAAUACAUUUAUCUUGUUUUAUUUAUUAAGGGUCACUACUAGAAAUUCGCUAAAUACCAACGGACUCACCGACAGAAUUUUUUCUGUCGGUAUUUUUCGGUCGAAAUCACCGACGGACUAUUUUCGUCGGUAAUUCGGUCAAUAAUUACCGACGGAUAUGGUCCGUCGGUAAUUACUGACUGAAUUACCGACAGAAAAUUCAGAAUUAAUGAAAAAAGGGCAGGUAGGUGGCGCAGAGGUUUUGGCGGGUGAUUUUUCCAACGGAAUCACCGACGGACUAAAAACCGGGGAGCCGUACGCGUGAUGGGACCUGUUCACCGUCAAUAAUACCGACGGAAUCACCGACGGAUUUGAAAUGCCAGAACCGUACCGGUGACAUGACCGGUGCACCGUUAAAAAUACCGACGGAAUCACCGAGGGAUUUGAAUAGCAGGUCCGUGCGGUGACGUGUCGAUUGCCCGUCAGAAUUACCGACGGUGUCGCCGACGUAUUCACCGACGGAAUAAAACCGUCGGUAAGGCCGUCGGCAAAAGUGAAUAUAUGGCCACUCUGCCGACACGCUCCUCCCCCAUUUCUCCUUCUUCUUCCUAAUCCUAACCCUCCCCAUCUGCAAAUAACCAGCCCCCCCUCGCCCCAAAACAAAAAUCUUCCUCAUCUCAGCACAACAAGUUGUAUUUCUUGAAGUUUUGUGGUCACAGCAUCCGUGUUCUGAUUUACCGACGGAUUUUAUCAUUUUUUGUAAGUAAUUCUAUCUUUUAAAAUUUUAACAUUUAAAUGUCAAUUUUAUUGUUUUUUUAGUAUAUGUAUUUUUUUUUAGUAGAUGUACAUGUUUUAUUGUUAUUUCUCAAACAAACUUGUAGUAUAUGAAUGUAUAAUUUUAUACUUGUUAUGGUUUGUUUUAGAUUUUGUAAGAUUGUAUUUGUUUGUAAAUUGUUAAAACUUAAUUUGUAGAAUUACCGAAUUACAUGUUAUGUUUUGAAAUAAUUAAGAGCUUGCUUAAUGGGUCCUUUUUAUAGAGGUUCGAUAGAAGUCAUGGAUGAUCGUUCAUGGAUGUAUCUAGAUUCACCCCAAGGAUUGCGGAGGAUGGAUUAUUGUAACGGGGUUCAGGGUUUUAUUAAUUUCGCAACAUCUAUUCCCAGAAAUUUUACUGGAGGCGGUAUUAGGUGUCCAUGCAGGAAGUGUCAAAAUAAAAAGUAUCUGCAUCCAGAUGUUGUAAUGAUGCAUCUUCUACACAAAGGGUUUGUGGAGGAUUACGAGUGUUGGUAUGCACAUGGAGAGGUAUUUGUUAGUAAUAGGAGAAUGGGAGAAACGGUGGUUGGGUCAACUUCUAGUGCUAGCAACGUGCAUGAAGCGGCAAAUGACAACACUAAUCCUUACAGAAACAUGGUUAUGGAUGCAAUGAGAAUGAAUCAAGAUAAUGUCAAUCAAUGUCCAAUCGUAGAAGAAGAACCUAAUGCAGAGGCAGCUAGGUUUUUUGAUUUGUUGAAAGAUUCUGACGAACCAUUAUGGGAUGGCUGCACAAACCACAGUAAAUUAUCGGCUGUGGCACAGGUGUUCACCAUCAAGUCAGAUCACGGGUUGAGUGAGGCCGGGUAUGACAAAAUUAUUGAUUGGGCAAGAAGCAUUUUACCAGAAGGGAACAGGCUCAAAGAGAACUUCUAUGCUGCGAAGUCCAUGAUGAAACCCCUCGGUUUAGGAUACCAGAAAAUUGACAUGUGCCCUAACUUCUGCAUGUUAUACUACCUUGAAAAUGCUGAGAUGACCGAGUGCAUGACAUGCGGGCAUUCCCGUUACAAACCCAGAACUGGCAGGGGGAAGACUCUAGUGGCAUAUAAAAAACUUAGAUAUUUCCCGAUCACACCUAGACUGCAGAGGUUAUUUAUGUCACCAAGGACUGCUGAGCACAUGACAUGGCACCAAACACACGAUGUCGUUGAUGGUGUGAUGGUGCAUCCUUCUGACGGCGAAGCGUGGAAACGCUUUAACAGUGUUCAUCCUGACUUUUCUGCUGAAUCAAGGAAUGUUCGACUUGGGUUGUGUACAGACGGGUUCAACCCAUUUGGGUCAUUUGCUGCUCCCUAUUCUUGUUGGCCGGUCAUUCUCACAGUUUAUAACUUGCCACCGGGAAUGUGUAUGAAGCCGGAGUUCAUGUUUCUAUCUACUGUCAUACCCGGUCCAAGCAGCCCUGGGCGGAAUAUAGAUGUUUGUCUUCGACCGUUGAUAAAUGAGCUGGCGCAGUUGUGGUCCUCCGGAUCUCUGACUUAUGAUAUAUCGAGGAAACAAAAUUUCCUUAUGAGGGCGGCUUUGAUGUGGACUAUUAGUGAUUUUCCAGCUUAUGGAAUGCUUUCUGGUUGGAGCACGCAUGGGAAACUCGCAUGUCCAUACUGCAUGGAAAACAACAAGGCAUUCACGCUAGCAAACGGAGGUAAAGCUUCUUUUUUUUACUGUCACCGUCGCUUCUUGCCACUUAAUCACAUGUUCAGAAAGAACAUAAAAGAUUUCUUUGUUGGCAGAGUUGAAAAAAAUGUUGCAUCCCCGCGUCUUUCUGGUGAAGAAUUGCAUCAUGUUGUAUCAGAGUACGGUGACAUUGUGUUUGGCCUUCAAUCAGGUAAGCAAAAGUUUCUUGGUUUUGGUUCGACCCAUAAUUAGGUAAAGCGAAGUAUCUUUUGGGAGCUUCCGUAUUGGAAGACUAAUCUUCUCCGCCAUAACCUUGACGUAAGUUUCUUGGUUUUGGUUCGACCCAUAAUUGGGUAAAGCGAAGUAUCUUUUGGGAGCUUCCGUAUUGGAAGACUAAUCUUCUCCGCCAUAACCUUGACGUCAUGCACAUCGAAAAGAACGUGUUUGAGAAUAUUUUCAACACCGUUAUGGAUGUGAAGGGGAAGACAAAGGACAACAUGAAGGCUAGAUUGGAUAUAGCUUUAUACUGUAACCGUAAAAAUAUGGAGUUGGUUUAUGAGGAGUCACGGGUUGCAAAACCAAGGGCAAGCUUCGUGUUAGAGAAAAACGCACAACUGCUAGUCUACAAAUGGCUUAAGAGUCUGCGUUUCCCGGAUGGACAUGCAUGGAACAUAUCAAGGCUUGUUAACAUAGAGGACUGCAGAUUGUAUGGAAUGAAGAGUCAUGACUACCAUGUGUUUAUGCAAACACUCAUCCCAUUAGCUUUUCGUGAUUUGUUGCCAAAGGGAAUAUGGGAUGCACUAACGGAGAUCAGUCAUUUCUUCAGAGAUAUAUGCUCCAGCAAGAUGAAUGUUGAGCACAUUGAGAUGCUUCAAACGAAUAUCAUCGAGACACUAUGCAAACUUGAGAUGAUAUUCCCUCCUUCAUUUUUUGACUCAAUGGAGCAUCUCCCUAUACAUCUACCGUUCGAGGCAAAAGCUGGAGGACCGGUCCAGUAUAGAUGGAUGUACCCAUUCGAACGGUGAGAUAUUACAGUUGCAAUGGAAUUCAUAUCUUAAAGUAUUUUCUAUGUUUUUCUUAUUGAAAAUACUUGAAUUGUACUUCAAUGCAGGUACUUGUUUAAUCUAAAAAAAAAGGUUAAGAACAAGGCGCAUGUUGAGGCUUCGAUAUCUGAGGCCUAUAUUGUUGAAGAGAUAUCAACAUUUAUCUCGUACUAUUUCGAACCUCAUCUGAGAACAAGAAUCAAUCGCGUUCCACGGCAUGACGAUGGCGGUGAAGUGCCUUCCAGUGGGAACUUGUCAAUAUUCUCCAAUACUGGACGACCCACACCUAAAAAUGCCGUAAGAGGAAGAUAUUUGUCGGAAAUAGAAUUCAAACAAGCACACAACUAUGUUCUAUUUAACUGUGAUGAGCUGAGACCAUUUAUUCAGUAAGUCUAUAUAUGUGUAAUACUAAUUAAACUUUGUCAGUAAUAUACUGUUAAUUAUAUAUUGUAAUAUCAUACACUCAUUAUCACUUGCAGGCAACAUCGACAAUAUUUGCUCUCCAAUAACUCGCAGCUGACCGAAUCCCAGAUCUUUCAAUUACAAGAUGAACAAUUUGCCACAUGGUUCAGAACACAUGUAAGCACUAUCACAAACUCAUUCUAACGUAUGCAUGUCAUUACGAGAUUCUCGUUCAUUUACCGUGUAUUGAUGUACAUUUAAUUACAUAUAUUUACAAGGUUUAUCAAAUGGGAAGGAGUGCGCCAAGUCAUUGUCUUCACUAAGCCUCGGCCCUGAAAGAAAAGUUAAGUGCUACAACGGGUAUUUUGUCAAUGGAUAUGUUUUCCAUACUGAAGAAUACGGGCAAGGAAGAAAGACAUACAACUGCAGUGUUUGUGUUAAGGGAUCCACAAGUAGCCAGUUAGAAGUUGACUACUAUGGUAGAUUAGAAGAGGUCGUCGAACUGCAAUAUCAUAGCGAGCAGAAUAAAGUGUUUUUAUUCAAAUGCUAUUGGUAUGACACGACGGACAGAGGAAUCAGAGUUGAUCCGCACCAUGGUCUGGUCGAAAUCAACUCAAAAGCUAGACUCCGCAACAUAAACGAUGUCUUUGUUUUCGCAAAGCAAUGUCAACAAGUUUAUUACACAUACACCCCUUCAUUUAGAAAGGAUCGUUCAAGAGUUGAUUGGUUGUCCGUUUUAAAAAAAACCACGGGGUCGUGUCGAGGUUGUUCAGGAUGAGAACGAAGACACAAGUGUGCGAGAUGAAGUCUUUCAAGUUCGUGAGUUGGUUGAACCAUAUCGAGUUGCUCCUUCGAUUGAAUUGGAAGAAAAUUCAAAUUUUCGAGUUCUCGAUGAUAGUCUUGUUGAUAUUGACGGAGAGGAGUUGAAUGUUGUUCUCAGCUCUAGCGGACAAGCAAAUGUCGAUGAAGAAGAUGAUAUCCAUAUUGAAGAUUGCGAUGAAGAUGAUGACAAUUCAAUUGAUGAGGAAGAAGAAGAAAAUUCCGACUAAUUAUGAAAAUGAAGCCCUAUGUAAAAACAUUUGUCUCAUGUAAUUUAGAUUAUGGAUGAUGUAUUUUGUAAAACAAAAUAUUUACUGUUUAAGCAAUGUGGUUAUUGUUUUAUGUGAUGGACAGUUUAUCAGUUAAGUUAUUGUAGGAAGGUAAACAGGCAAUACAAAGACAACCUUUCCUGCAUAAUGCAAACUUACCGACAUCCAUACCGACGGAUAACCAUCCGUUGGGUAUCUCACAGAGAGCUCGAAAUUGAUUACGUGAAAUGCCACCAACACCGACGACAUUACCGACGGAUUCACCGACACAUACACCGACGGAUUCUAGUCCGUCGGCAUCUCACAGAGAGUUCGAAAACAUUUACAACAAAAUGGCAUAAUCAUCGACGGGCAUACCGACGGAAUAUAUCACCGAGAGACAACAAAAUGUCACAAUCACCGACGGAUUCACCGAUAGAUUUUUCGAUGCUAAUACCGACGGAAUAUUUCCGUCGGUAAUUUGUCGGUCACACAUAUUACUGACAGAAAUACCGAUGGACCACGCGAUUUCCAAAGUGUGUGAAUUAAUGCGCCUCUGAACUUGUCAUAUUACCGACGGAAUCACCGACGGACUCUGAAAAAUAUGGAGGGCUUUUAAAAAUUCGGUGCGAAAUUCAAAAAUUACCGAUGGAUUUUUGACCUGUUACCGACGGAAUGUUUGACCUGUUACCGACGGAUAUUAUUUCCGUCGGUGAGUCCGUUGGUAAAACUGCCCUAUAAGUUCCAGCCCCGGCCGCUUCGCCUCAUUUUUUCUUCUUCUCCCCGCGCCACUUCUCUUCUCUUCUCCUCCGUUUUGCACCUCAGAUUUUUUAUUUUUUUGCCCUCAAUCCUUCAAGAAUUUCACCUUCAAUCUCUAGCAAGAUUUAGUGUUGUGAAUCUUCCUCAUAUUAAAAGGUAUGUAUUUUUUUCCAAUUUAUUUUAUUUACUUUUAAUUUAUUUUUAGUUGUUUUUAUUUUUGUUGUUUUGGUGUUUUUUUUUGUAAUGUAGAUAAAGUUUUGAAUUUGUCACAUUAUUAAGGUAUGUAUAUUUCGUUCUUUUUCUUGAUGUAGGUUUUUUUUUGAAUUUUUUGAAUAUUUUUUAUUGUUUUGUUGUCAUAAUAACAUAUUAGUUAAUUUGUUGAAUAUUUGUUGUUAAAGUUGAAUUUAACUUAGAAUUAGUAAUUGAAUAUGUUAGAAUAAUUAUUAAUUUUACUCUAUUAUUGCAUGAUUUGUGUUUAAUUAUUUUCAUUGAUUUUAAUUGUUAGUCUAUAUAUUUUUUUAAUUUAUUGAAUAUAAUUUAUUGUUGUAUUGCCAUAUAUAAUUAUUGAUUAAUUUGUUGAAUUAUAAUUGUUAAUGUUGAAUUUACCUUAGAAUUAAUAAUUGGAUAUGUUGGAAUAAUUAGUAUUUUUUUAUAUAUUAUUGCAUGAUUUGUGUUUAAUUGUUUCCAUUGAUUUUAAUUGUUAGGCUAUAAUUCUUUUUUAUUUUAUUGAAUAUAUUUUAUUGUUGUAUUGCCAUAAUUAUUUAAUAAUUUGUUGAAUUAAUAUUGUUAAUGUUGAAUUUAUCUUAGAUUUAAUAAUUGAAUAUGUUGGAAGAAUUAUUAAUUUUACUCUAACUUGAUGAUUUGUGUUUAAUUGUUUCUAUUUAUUUUGAAUUUAUAGUUUUGUUGUAUUGACAUAAUUAUUGAAUAAUUUGUGAAUUGUAAUUGUUAACGUUGAAUUUAUCUUAGGAUUAAUAGUUGAAUAUGUUGGAAUAAUUAGUAUAGAUUGGGUCAAUUGGUUGUGGCUAUUGUUAAUAUUUGCAGGUUUGUGGAUUUGGGUAGUAUCCAGUAUAGGGGAGGUGCUGCCGAUUUUUUUUAACUUUUGAAUUUUAUUAUACAAUUAUUUAUAUAAAAUUGUUUAGAUGCGCAAAAUGAAAACCAGAGCUGGUCGUUCACGUCCAGUCGAAUCAAGUUCGUCUAGCAGCAAUGCUGAUGUUUCCUUAGGUGCCUCUCAAGAAGAGGCACCUACACCACCUGCGCCGUCAACCGAUGCUGCCUCUUCCAGCGAUGUUUCACAUCGCAGAAACGGCGUGCCUUCACAGCGGAAUCAAUUUACCCACAAGUACGAGGCACAGUGGAAGGACGAUCUUUCAAUCUAAGUUUGUUAAGGUUUUAGUUUUUUUUAUAUAUAUAAAAAACAAAUUUAAAACAUAAUUUAUGAAGUAAUAACUAUUUCAUUAAUUUCAUUUUUUCUUAGGUUCACAAACAUUGAGGUCGCCCGAGUAAUAUCAUCGGCGUUUAAAGCGUUGAUGGAGAUUCCAUUGUUUCAAUGGAGUCAGAUAUCCAGGCAUCCUGAAUGGAUGCCUCAAAUCAAUGCAUGGUUUCGUAGAUUUGAGGUUCGUGUUAAUAUAUAAUUUUCAGCUUAUUUCUAAUAAAUUCUAGUUAUAAUUGUAAAUAAAUUAUUAACAUUUUAAAAAAAUAUUUUUUUAUACACAGCAUCGAUUCAGCUGGGACGAUGAACAUGACACUGUUGUGAGGAGGGUGUGGGAAAAUCACGCGGCAAUUAGGUAACAUCGAAAACAAUACAACUUUUUUUUACAUAAUUAUUUAUGUUUCGAAAUGUAAUUUUUUCGUGCGUGAAUUAGGUUGCGUGAUUUUUGGUAUGAAACCCAGAAAAGGCCAAAAAAACAGCGAGGGAUAAGGGAUUCCAAGGCUGGAACGAUGUUGCGGUUUGGAGGGAUUUCAAACCGAUAUACAUCCCGGAAGAUAUAUGGCCGCACUAUCUUCAGCACAUGACGUUUGAGCGGUUCACUCGACGCUCACAGUCCGGUGCUGGCAACCGGAAUCGGCCAAUUCAUGGCUCGGUGACAACGCACACCAGCGGCUCCGUUCCGUUUGCUGCACAUGCGAAACUAAUGGUAAGAUUAAUUUAAAUGAAAUAUAUCGUUCAAUUAAUUUGUUGUUAAUAAAAUUUUUUUAUUAUAGGCUACGUCUCUUGGACGUGAGCUGAGCCCUAUGGAGCUGUUUGUGGAGAUGCACGUGCGGAGUCAUGACCGCCAAAAGGGGACGCAACAGUUCGUUGACAACCGUGCUCAACAGUUUGUGGUAUGUUUGUUCAACCAUUUUAUUUUGUAAGUUAUUAUUAUGUUUAUUGAAUUGAAUAUGAUGAUUUUUUUUUUCAGGAGACCUAUAAUAAUCGGUUGAGAGAGAGAUACGGGGACGAUCCUUCGACCUAUCCGGAAUUCGAUCCGGAUUUGUGGAUGGAGGCUGGAUCGUCAGGUGGACCCGAUAAAAAUCGGGUUUACGGGCUCUCCAACACUACCGCCGCCAACUUGCGGUCGACCGGUACUGCUUCAACCGUUGGGAGCUCCCAAUCUGUAUCGAGCUCCCAAUCUAAGGAGUUUGUGGCGUUGCAGCAAAGGUGCGACCACCUAUCAGAGGCGUACACACACCUCAAAGAAGAGCAAAGAUUGGCAAACGAACAACACAGAGCAGAGUCUGAACAUGACACAAGGUGGAACAUGUGCGCCUAAUCCUUUUUGGCCGCCUAACCCCCACCCUCCUCCUCCCCCUCCUCCUCCACCUUUAUAUUAAUUUUUAAUAAACAUUAUUUACAUUUAAAAUUUCGUUUAAUGUUUUUUUGAAACACAUUCAUUUUGUAAUGAAUAUUAUUUAACUUUGAGUUUUUGUUGCUUAAUAUAAAUUUUAUUUGCAUAAUUGGUUUGUAUUACCAUUAAUUUAUAUUAUUUUUUCUAAAUAAUUAAAAAAACAUUUUAAAAAAAAUUACACAGGGCUUUACCGACGGAAUAACUCCGUCGGCAUUGGACAAUGUCUGCCACCAUCACCGGACGAAUAUUCAGACGGACAGAUUCGGUCGGUAUUCCAUCCCAUCACCGACAUAUUCACCGACGGACAUAAUCCGUCGGUAUAAACUUACCGAUGAAUUUACAGACGGAAAUAUUCGGUCAGUAUGAAAUAUCACCGACACUUUUACCGACGGAUGUAGUCCGUCAGUAUUUACAUAACACCGACGGAAUAUUUUCCGUCGGUAUAUUCCAAGCGGGAAACCUUUUUUUUUUGGCGCUCACGGUCCGUCGGUAAAACCGUCAGUAAAUGUUUUUUUUGUAUUUCCGACCGAUAUAGCGACGGAAUGUGAAAUCACCGACAAAAGGUAUUCCGACGGGCGUAUUCCGUCGGCAAUAUAGUCGGUAAAUAAUUUACCGAUGAACGUUCUAUCACACACCGACAGAAUAUUUCCGUCGGUAAAACUGUGAAAUCUUGUAGUGGGUAAAAUAAUAUUUUUAGCUAACCUAUAUAUAAGCUCUUUGUAUUUAGGUUAAAAGAUGUAAUUUUUACAAAUCAAGAGAAUUCUAGUCUCCCCUCUCUUUUGUGUUCGCAUUUAUUUUAUGUUAAUUGAAUUGUUUUAAUAGCAUCACCCAAAAAAAAUGAGAGGAGUAAUCUUUGUUGAUGUAGAGGCUAGGAUGGCGCUGAGAAUAAGUUUGUCCUGUCUAACCCAAUGUGUUUUGUUUGGGUUGAUAGCAAAACUGAGAUCAGUUGCAGGGCAGGAAAUAUCACCAUUUACAUAAUCAAGCAGGUCGUAUCCAAUCAAUAAUGCUUCAAACUGAGCACGCCAUUGAGGGAAGGUAGAUGGAGUUAAUUUUUCGUUGAUCUGUGCAGUAAUAUUUAGAGCAAUUAAAGAUUUCCCAGAUUCAGAGGAGGGGAAUGUAUUGGGGCUGAGAUUUUGGCUUUGCUGUGUAGGUGAAGACAUGUUGAGAUCUGAGUUAUUCUCGUUGGAGAUUUCUGGCUCUGAUACCAUAUAGAAUAUUAAACUGAUGUGCACAGAAUUAACUCUCUCGCUUGUAUUGCUCUGUGCAUGUAUCAUGCAUAUUUAUAUACAUUAGUUAUUCACUGGUUGUAGAAGUCCUUUGGUGAAUAGGACUUGUAUAAAGCUAGACUUUGUCUUUAGAUAAAAUUACAUUAAAACAGAAUUGUAUUAGAUGUUAAACUGCAGGAAUGUUAAGAAUUGACCCUGCAACUGAUCUCUGUUAAGAAUUGCACAUAGUUGUGACAUAAAAGAGAGAGAGGAGGGGGCAGAGGAUACUCCAAACAGGAUAGUUGAGAUCUUUUGCAAAGUACCUUGUAUACAGGACCAAAACCACCUUCUCCAAUCUUAUUAGAAGCAUCAAAGUCAUUAGUGGCAGCUCUAAUUUGCUUAAGAGAAAAUGUUCCCUUCGGAAAAUCAAGUUCUUUAACAUCUGUUCAAGUAGGAGACAGGACAUAAAGUGCCAACGAAUUGUCAGUCUUUUGAUAUAUUUACGAGUCAAAAUCAGUUCUGGAGAAAAGUAGACCAUGAAACUCUAUUGAAAAGAGGCAUUUUUCAUUCUCCAACAUAAGCAUGUCUACCCUGAACUUUCCUCCUCCUCAGGAAAGCACCCUUACUACAUACAAUGCCAAUCAAACUUGUACAAUUAAUAAUUGUGUGUAAAUCUUGAGGUGAAAUAUCGCAGCCACUUGUAUCAGAAUAAAAGAUAAGCCCAUGAAACUUGAUGCUUCUUUUGCUUUUCUUUUCCCUAAAUGUCCAUGCAUAAUUUUAGCAAAGAAAUCUCAAGUUGUUUCCAUCUAGUUCACAAUCUCAUACUAGAAACAAAAAUCCAUAGGAUGCUGUUUGAGGCUGCAGUGUUUGGGCAGCUAUGUAAGUUAUACCCACAUACAAUUUUUCCUACAUCUGGCAAACAUGGAUGCAGCGUGGAAUUUUAUUAGACUACUAACACAAACAUGGGUAAAUAAUAUAUAUGGCGUUACCUCUUUUCCUGUGCAAUUUUCCUGGCAAGUUUCCUUUCCACCAAAGAAUUACCAGUAUAAUGGCAACCAGGCAUGAUGCUCCAACAGCUCCAACAACCACAUAAACAGUUCCCUUCUUUUUCCCACUAGAACAAACUUUCAAAUCUGCCCAUUAAACAGAAAAAUUAGUCACAAUCACACACACAGAUUGGAUAUUUAAACUAAAAUAUGACACUUCCUUAAAUUACACGAGUUUCUCUGUAAUAAUUUACCCAAAUGGGACUUGGAUGCCAGAAUCUGAAUAAUACUCUCUUGAGGUACCAAACUAUUUUAUCAUAAUAUUGGAGAACUUAUAAAUAAAAUAGUUGUUUCAUACUAUCCACGCCUUCCUGAGUCUCUGUUACCCUACACUACAUUUACAUUUACAGGGGAAGGAGAGGAGAGGAUAAGUGACCAGGAGAGAGGAGAGGAGAGGUAGGCAUAUUGUUGUGGAUCUCAACCCAUAAUUUAAACAGAGACCAAGUGCUAUCCAGCAAGGGAAGGUCAAAUAUAAGAAACAUAUCAAAAUUUGUUAUGCAGCCCUAAAAUCUUCUUCUUUAGCACAUUGGUGCUGAUUUUAAAUCAAUCAUAUGUACAUGCACUGCUGAUAAUUGUAUGAUCGAGAAUAAAUGUCAAACAGACAACUUACCAGAAAAUACAGAGAUGGCUGAUAUGAUGGGACCGUAAACUCCCCUAUCAGGAAUCCUUGUUGUCCCUUUUCCGGCAAAAUAGAAUCUGAUCUCCAACAUAUUAUUGGUCACAUUGACAUUCAAUACUUGCUUCACUAAAGGCUUUUCAGCACUGCCAACCUCAUCUUCAAUAUUGAAAUCUUUCGAAACCAAUCUUUCCUGUGACACAGUAGUCCAGCUAAGUCCUUGCUUCCAACUUCAAAAAAAAUUAAGUUUCACAUUAGAGUGACUACUUACCUGAACAUAAAUGUCAAAAACACGCCUGCCUAAGCUGUUAUAUGUAUGGUCAUUAGUGAACUGUAUCUCUGCAAAGUGAAGGUUUACUGUGUAGUUCCCAUUUUGUAAGCAAUAAUGGAAAUAGGUAAGAGAAAUUGGGGAUAUGCGAGCUGUUUGGUAUAAUUCAGGGAUGGUUGAUGAUUGCAGAGAUACAGUAUAACGAGUAUUUUGGUAAUCAUAAUCAUCCAUAAAGUCCCCAGUGCUACUGAAACCCCAGAAGCUUUGGUCAUUUACAAAAUAUUUAGCUGCACCACCUUCUACUUGUCCAUCUCCUUCAUAUGACAAGGUUGUUUUGUUUUCAUUGAUAGUUAUGUCCUUUCCACCACUGUUAACAUGUAAACAGUUUGAAUCUGCCUACAAAGAAAUAAAAUGAGAGCAGAUAAAAGACAUUUGAGCAUUUUAUUUAGUCCAUUGUUCCAGUCUAUGUUAGUUGAUUGAAGUACAUUGUUUACUUGUUACAGCCGCAAGUGUUAUUACACCUGUGCAGGCUGAAACAGUAACUAUUAUACCCAGUUUAUUAAUGAAAAAGCGACCAUUUUUUGCAGUUGUGGUUAGGACAUAGACAAUCCUAUAUGUCAUUGUAGCUUUUCUGCAUGAGAUAUAACACUUUUAAAGGAAAAACACUGCAUUUACUAUGAAUAUAGAAUCAUUGCACUAUGAAUCAUGCUAUAAAGAUAGUGUGUUUGCCCUAUAAAUGACAUUGUAGUGUCAUGAAGGCAUUAUUUUUACUGCUUUUUAGUCAAAAAAUAUUAUUAAAAGUGUUGUCUUUUUUGUUUUUUGCGCCAAAAGUUGUUGGGUCUAGUUAUAAAAGUGUUGGGUUUGACUUGGCAGCUAGACUCAAUGCUAUUAGAUCCGACUUUUAGCCACACUCACCAAUCUUAGUUUGUCUGGGCCGCCAGAUAUUUUUUUAUUUAUUUUUUAUGGGGUUAUCACAAUCUUAUGACUCGGGACGAGAAUUUAACAGGUUAACCUGAGUUAAUCCGAGUCAAUCUAAUAUGUUUUUUUUUUCCUUAAUAUUUAUAAAAAAAAAUAUCAUUUUGAAUUUUUCAAGCGCGACAGUUACAACCAGAUACUAGCUAAAUUAUUGUUCAAACCUAUUAAAAAGUUUAGAAGACACUUGCAAAUAAACAAUCACACCAAAAGACAAAUAAGAAAUGAUAAUAAAUAAAUAAAAAGAAUUAAUUAAUAAUAUCACGGAAUUACCCAGAUUCAAAUUUAAAAUCACAAUCAAUUGAGUCCCAGUAAGCAACUAAUUUCCUUCACUCUCUCUCUCUCUCUGUCUCACUAAACCUUUCUUAGUUAUUUUAUUCUGAUUUUAUUUUUAUCCUCUUCUAAUUUUGUUUAUUUUUAUACUUAAUAAUUGAACAUGUUAAUGUUUUGACAAAAACCCUAUAUUUAUUUAUGCAAUCUACACAGAAUAGAAAACACGUCAUCACUUUCUCAAUGAAUGUUAGCAAAAGUACUCCAUUAAUAACAUUUCAAAAAGGAGGAAAGAGAGAAAGAAAUGAGAGAAGAAGGCAGGUUCAACCGAGCUCAAACAGGGAGAAUGAGAGAAAGAGGAGAGGAAAUGAGAAAGAAAAGAGAGGAGAAGAGAGGUCCAAACUCGAAGAGAGGAUAAAUGAGAGAAGAGGAAAAGGAAAGGGAGGAAGAAAUGUGAGAAGAAAGCAGGCCCAACCAGUGUAAUUAAUCACUACAUUAAUAUAAAUUGUCUGACUUGUUUAAAAAACCACUCUAAAAUUUACAGAGAGGUAUUGAUUUAGUGGACCAUUAUUUUAGAUGGAUAGUUUUUGGUUUGAAAUUUUUUUAAGUGAAAUAUUAUCAGAUUUAUUUAGCUAAUAAACAUAAUAUCUUAAUAUAUUUGAUUUUUUUAUAAAUAAAUCAAGAUAAUAGUAGUAGUAUGAAUCUUGACCUCGUAUUUUCUUUGGUUCUCCUAGUUGCAGGUUGGAAGAUGUUGAAAUUUAAAAGAUAAGGAGGCAGGCACGUAUCGAGGCAUUUGAGCCACAAAUUUAUUGACUACGUACAAGCUAUGUUGAAUGAUUAAUAUCACUAUAGCGUCGGCUGCUAAAAAGCAUUUUCAUGGAAAAGAAAAGUCUCAUAUACUUUUCAAUUUAUUGUGCACUAAAAGAGACCCACAUUGCUUGAAGUCCAUUCCAAACUACAGUAAAGUGCACUGAGAACUUCAUCAUCAAUUACUGUGAAAAAAAGAAGUAAUAGAGGUACAAUGGUCGUGAUCACACUUGGUUUUGAUAAGAUGAGUUGAAAAGUUUGAAAGACUUGCUGUAUACUUACAAGACCUCACUGAUCUCACAACAAGAAUUCACAGUUUUACUGACGGACAUAUUCUGUCGGUCUGUGAUUGAUAGGACGUCGGUAAAAUAUUUACCGAUUAAAUUACCGACGGAAUACGUCCGUCGGCUUAUCUUACGUCGGUGAUUCCCCAUUCCGUCGCUAUAUCGGUCGGCAAAACAAAAAAACCAUUUAGCGACGAUUUUACAGACAGAAAUUUUGCGCCAAAAAAAAAAAUUCCCGCUUCAAUAAUACCGACGGAUUGUUAUUCCGUCGGUGAUAUCACAGUGCACCGACGAUUACUAUCUGUCGGUAACUUAGUCGGUGAAUUGUUGAAAUACCGACAGAAUAUAGCGUCUGUAAAUUCGUCGGUAAGUUAUCAUACCGACGGACGUAAUCCGUCGGUAAAUCUGUUGGUGAGUCAUGAAAACACCGACAUAAUUUAUCCGUCUGGAAAUUUGUCGGUGAUGGUCGCGGCUACUAUCUAAUGCCAACGGAUAUAUUCCAUCGGUAAAUCCCUUUGUAAUGUUUUAUUUUUUUUAUUUUUUUAUAAUUAUUUAGAAUACAUAAUAUAAAAUGAUAUAAAUUAAUGGUAAUAAAACCAAUUAUGCAAAUAAAAUUUAUAUUAAGCAUCAAAAACAAAAAAUGAAAGAUAAAUAAUAUUCAUUACAAAAUGAAAUGUUUCAAAAAAACAUUAAAUGAAAUUUUAAAUGUAAAUAAUGUUUAUCAAAAAUUAAUAUAAAGGAGGAUGAGGAGGAUCAGGAGGAGGAGGAGGCUGGCUGUUAUGCGGCCAACUUGGAUUGGGUGCACAUGUUCCACCUUGUGACAUGUUUAUGACCAUUUGACGAAGCUCUUCAUAGGCCGCUCUUUGUUGUGCAGAUUCUGUUGGGUAUUGUUCUUUGAGUUGUGUGUACGCCUCUGAUAUCUGGUCGCACCUUUGCUGCAAGGCCACGUACUCCUUAGAUUGGGAGCUCGAUACUGAUUGGGAGCUCCCGACGGUUGAAGCAGUACGGGUCGUCCGCAAGUUGUCGGCCCUAGUGUUGGAGAGCCCGUAAACCCGAUUCUUAUCGGGUCCACCUGACGAUCCAGCCUCCAUCCAUAAAUCCGGAUCGAAUUCUGGAUGGGUCGAAGGAUCGUCCCCGUAUGUCUCCCUCAACCGAUUAUUAUAGGUCUCCUGAAAAUAAAAAAAAGUAAUCAUCAUAUUCAAUUCAAUAAACAUAAUAAUAACUUACAAAAUAAAAUGGUUGAAUAAACAUACCACAAAAUGUUGAGAGCGGCUGUCAACGAACUGUUGCACCCCCUUUUGACGGUCUUGACUCCGCACGUGCGUCUCCACAAACAGCUCCAUAGGGCUCGGCUCACGUCCAAGAGACGUAGCCUAUAAUUAAAAAAAUUUAUUAACAACAAAUUAAUUGAACAAUAUAUUUCAUUUAAAUUAAUCUUACCAUCCGUUUCGCAUGUGCAGCAAACAGAAUGGAGCCGCCGGUGUGCGUUGUCACCGAGCCAUGAAUUGGCCGAUUCCGAUUGCCAGCACCGGACUGUGAGCGUUGUGUGAACUGCUCAGACGUCACGUGCUCAAGAUAGUGCGGCCAUAUAUCCUCCGGGAUGUAUAGCGGUUUGAAAUCCCUCCAAACCGCAACAUCGUUCCAGCCUUGGAACCCCCUAUCCCUCACAGUUUUUUUUGCUUUUUUUUGGGCUUCGUACCAAAAAUCACGCAACCUACUUAACGCAAUCAAAAAUGACAUUUCAAAACAUAAUUUGUUUUGUAAAAAAAAAUUGUAUUGUGUUCGAUGUUACCUAGUUGCUGCGUGAUUUUCCCACACCCUCCUCACAACAUUGUUAUGUUCGUCGUUCCAGCAAAAUCGAUUCUGUGUAUAAAAAAUAAUUUUUAAAAAUGUUAAUAAUUUAUUUACAAUUAUAUUAAGAAUUUAUUAGAAAUAAGCUGAAAAUUAUAUAUUAACACGAACCUCAAAUCUGGAAAACCAUGCAUUGAUUUGAGGCAUCCAUUCAGGAUGCUUGGAUAUCUGACUCCAUUGAAACAAUGGAAUCUCCAUCGACGCUUUAAACACCGAUGAUAUUACUCGGGCGGCCUCAAUGUUUGUGAACCUAAAAAGAAUUCAAAUUAAUUAAAUAGUGACUUCAUAAAUUUGUUUUAAAUUUGUUUUUUUUUUAAAAAAAAAAAGUAAAAUCGUAACAAACUUACAUUGAAAGAUCGUCCUUCCAUUGUGCUUCGUACUUGUGGGUCCAUCGAUUCCGCUGCGAAGGCAUGCCGCUUCUGCGACAUGAAACAUCGCUGGAAGAGGCAGCAUCAACCGACGGCGCAAGUGGUGUAGGUGCCUCUCAAGGAGAGGCACCUAAGGAAAUGUCUUCGUCGCUGCUAGACGAACUAGGUGCGACCGUACGUGAAGCUCUGGUUUUCAUUCUCUGCAUUAUCUAACCAAUUUUAUAUAAAUAAUUAUAUAAUGCAAUUGAAAUGUUAAAAAAAAUUCGGCAACACCUCCCAUAUACUUGGAUACUACCCAAAUCCACAAACCUGCAAAUAUUAACAAUAUCCACAACCAAUUGACCCAAUCUAUACUAAUUAUUCCAACAUAUUCAAUUACUAAUCCUAAGGUAAAUUCUACAUUAACAAUAUUAAUUCAACAAAUUAUUAAAUAUUCAUUAUGGCAAUACAACAAUAAAAUAUAUUCAAUAAAUUUUAAAAAAAUAUAAACUAACAAUUAAAAACAUAUGCAAUUACUAAUUAUUCUAACAAAUGCAAUUACUAAUUCUAAGCUAAAUUCAACAUUAACAAUAUUAAUUCAACAAAUUAAUCAAUAAUUAUAUAUGGCAAUACAACAAUAAAUUAUAUUCAAUAAAUUAAAAAAAUAUAUAGACUAACAGUUAAAAUCAAUGGAAAUUACUAAUUAUAUUCAAUAAAUUAUAUUCUAAGGUAAUUAUUCAAUAAAUUAAAAAAAUACAAAUCAUGCAAUAAUAGAGUAAAAUUACUAAUUAUUCUAACAUAGUCAAUUACUAAUUCUAAGUUAAAUUCAACUUUAACAACAAAUAUUCAAUAAAUUAACUAAUACCAAUUAUAACAACACAACAAUAAAAAAUAAUCAAAAAAUUCAAAAAAAAACCUAUAUCAAGAAAAGGAACGAAAUAUACAUACCUUAAUAAUAUGUCCAAUUCAAAACUUUAUCUACAUUACAAAAAAAUACACCAAAACAACAAAAUAACAAAUAUAAAAAAAACUACAACUAAAAUAAAAGAAAAUAAAAUAAAAUAGAAAAAACCACAUACCUUUAUUCAAAUCUUGCAAGAGAUUCAAGGUGAAAGCCUUGAAGGAUUGAGAGUAAAAAAUUGGAAAUUAUAGGGCAGUGGAGGAGAAGAAAAACGGAGGAGAAGAAAAAAUGAGGGGAAGCGGCGGGCGCUGGAAGUUAUAGGUUUUAUGGCAGAUUUACCGAAGGAAAUUAAAAAAAUAUUAUUAAUUUUUUAAAUCCGUCGGUAAAAGUUAAAAAAUCCGUUGGUAAUUUUUGAAUUUCAAACCGAAUUUUUUAAUUGCCCUCCAAAAUUUUUGCGGUCCGUCGGUAACAUGACACGGUCAAAGGUGCAUUUAAUUCACACCAUUUGGAAUUCGCGCAUUCCGUCGGUGUUUUUGUCGGUAAAUGUGCCCACCGACAACUUACCGACGGAUACAUUCCGUCGGUAUAGACGUCAAUGAUUGUGGCAUUUCGGUGUGAUUAUUUUCGAACUCUCUGUGAGAUGCCAACAGACAUAAGUCCGUCAGUAUACACGUCGGUGAUUGUGGCAUUUCGGUGUAAUUAUUUUUGAACACUCUGUGAGAUGUCGACGGAUGUUUUUCCAUCGGUAAGGGCGUCGGUGAUUGUGGCAUUUCGGUGUAAUUAUUUUCGAACUCUCUGUGGGAUGCCGACGGACGGUGGUCCGUAUGUGUUGGCGUCUAUAAAUUCGUCGGUAUGGACGUCGGUGAUUGUGGCAUUUCGGUGUAAUUAUUUUCGAACUCUCUGUGAGAUGCGGACGGACUUACGUCCGUCGGUAUGGACAUCGGUGAUUGUUCAAUGUACAAGAGGUGUUGUGUUUGUAUUUUCUAUUUACCUUCCUGCAAAAAUUUCAAUGAUAAACUGUCCAUCACACAAAACAAUAGCAACAAUGCUUAAACAAUAAAUAUGUAUUUCAUGUUUAAAAAUAUAUCAUCCAUAAUGUAAAUUACAUGAAGAAAAGGGUUUUACACAGGGCUUCGUUUUGAUAGUUAGUCAGAAUUAUCUUCUUCUUCGUCAUCAAUUGAAUUGUCAUCACCUUCAUCACAAUCUUCAAUAUGGAUAUCAUCUUCUUCAUUGACAUUUGCUUGUCCGCUAGAGCUCAAAACAACGUUCAACUCCUCAACGUCAACAUCAACAAGACUAUCAUCGGAAACACGAAAAUUUGAUUUUUCUUCCAAUUCAAUCGAAGGAGCAACUCGAUAUGGUUCAACCAACUCACUAACUUGAAAGACUUCAUCCCGCACACUUGUUUCUUCGUUCUCAUCAUGAUCAACAACCUCGACACGACCCCGUGGUUUCGUUUUUAAAACGGAUAACCAAUCAACUCUUGAUCGAUCCUUUCUAAAUGAAGGGGUGUAUGUGUAAUAAACUUGUUGACAUUGCUUUGCGAAAACAAAGACAUCAUUUAUGUUGCGGAGUCUAGCUUUUGAGUUGAUUUCAACCAGACCAUGGUGCGUAUCAACUCUGAUUCCUCUGUCCGUUGUGUCAUACCAAUAGCAUUUGAAUAAAAACAAUGUAUUCUGCUCUCUAUGAUAUUGUAGUUCGACAACCUCUUCUAAUCUACCAUAGUAGUCAACUUUUAACUCACUACUUGUGGAUCCUUUAACACAAACACCACAGUUGUAUGUCUUUCUUCCUUGCCCGUAUUCUUCAAUAUGGAAAACAUAUCCAUUGACAAAAUACUCGUUGUAGCACUUAACUUUUCUUUCAGGCCCGAGGCUUAGUAUUACACAUAUAUAAACUUACUGGAUAAAUGGUCUCAGCUCAUCACAGUUAAACAGAACAUAGUUGUGUGCUUGUUUGAAUUCUAUUUCCGAAAAAUAUCUUCCUUGUAUGGCAUUUUUAGGUGUGGGUCGUCCAGUUUUGGAGAAUAUUGACAAGUUCCCACUGGAAGGCACUUCGCCGCCAUCAUCAUGCCGUGGAACGCGAUUGAUUCUUGUUCUCAUAUGAGGUUCGAAAUAGUACGAGAUAAAUGUUGAUAUCUCUUCAACAAUAUAGGCCUCACAUAUCGAAGCCUCAACAUGCGCCUUGUUCUUAACCUUUUUCUUGAGAUUAAACAAGUACCUGCAUUGAAUUACAAUUCAAGUAUUUCCAAUUAAGAAAAACAUAGAAAAAACUUUUAGAUAUGAAUUCAAUUGCAACUGUAAUAUCUCACCAUUCGAAUGGGUACAUCCAUCUAUACUGGACCGGUCCUCCAGCUUUUGCCUCGAACAGUAGAUGUAUAGGGAGAUGCUCCAUUGAGUCAAAAAAUGAAGGAGGGAAUAUCAUCUCAAGUGUGCAUAGUAUCUCGAUGAUAUUCGUUUGAAGCCUCUCAAUGUGCUCAACAUUCAACUUGCGAGAGCAUAUAUCUCUGAAGAAAUGACUGAUCUCCGUCAGUGCAUCCUAUAUUCUCUUUGGCAACAAAUCACAAAAAGCUAAUGGGAUGAGUGUUUACAUAAACACGUGGCAGUCAUGACUCUUCAUUCCAUAUAAUUUGCAGUCCUCUAUGUUAACAAGCCUUGAUAUGUACGAUGCAUGUCCAUCCGGAAAACAUAGACUCUUAAGCCAUUUGUAGACUAGCAGUUGUGCAUUUUUCUCUAACACAAAGCUUGCCCUUGGUUUUGCGACCCAUGACUCCUCAUAAACCAACUCCAUAUUUUUACAGUUACAGUAUAAAGCUAUAUCCAAUCUAGACUUGAUGUUGUCCUUUGUCUUCCCCUUCACAUCCAUGACGGUGUUGAAAAUAUUCUCAAACACGUUCUUUUCGAUGUGCAUGACGUCAAGGUUAUGGCGAGAAGAUUGGUCUUCCAAUAAGGAAGCUCCCAAAAGAUACUUCGCUUUACCCAAUUAUGGGUCAAACCAAAACCAGGAAACUUUUGCUUACCUGAUUGAAGGCCAAACACAAUGUCACCGUACUCUGAUACAACAUGAUGCAAUUCUUCACCAGAAAGACGCGGGGAUGCAACAUCUUUUUCAACUCUGCCAACAAAGAAAUCUUUUCUGUUCUUUCUGAACCUGUGAUUAAGUGGCAAGAAGCGACGGUGACAGUAAAAAAAGAAGCUUUACCUCGUUUGCUAGCGUGAAUGCCUUGUUGUUUUCCAUGCAGUAUGGACAUGCGAGUUUCCCAUGUGUGCUCCAACCAGAAAGCAUUCCAUAAGUUGGAAAAUCAUUGAUAGUCCACAUCAAAGCCGCCCUCAUAAGGAAAUUUUGUUUCCUCGAUAUAUCAUAAGUCAGAGCUCCGGAGGACCACAACUGCGCCAGCUCAUCUAUCAACAGUCAAAGACAAACAUCUAUAUUCCAGCCCGGGCUGCUUGGACCGGGUAUGACAGUAGAUAAAAACAUGAACUCCGACCUCAUACACAUUCCCGGUGGCAAGUUAUAAACUGUGAGUAUGACUGUCCAACAAGAAUAGGGAGCAGAAAAUGAACCAAAUGGGUUAAAUCCGUCUGUACACAACCCAAGACGGACAUUCUUUGAUUCAGCUGAAAAGUCAGGAUGUACACUGUUAAAGCGUUUCCACGCUUCGCCGUCAGAAGGAUGCACCAUCACACCAUCAACCACAUCAUGUGUUUGGUGCCAUGUCAUGUGCUCAACAGUCCUUCGUGUCAUGCAAGUUUUUUUAUAUGCCAUUAGAGUCUUUCCCCUACCAGUUCUGGGUUUGUAACGGGAAUGCCCGCAUGUAAUGCACUCGGUCAUCUCAACAUUUUCAAGGUAUUAUAACAUGUAGAAGUUUGGAACAUGUCAAUUUUCUGGUAUCCUAAACCGAGGGGUUUCAUCAUGGACUUCGCAGCAUAGAAGUUCUCUUUGAGCCUGUUCCCUUCAGGUAAAAUGCUUCUUGCCCAAUCAAUAAUUUUGUCAUACCCGACCUCACUCAGCCCGUGAUCUGACUUGAUGGUGAACACUUGUGCCACGGCCGACAAUUUACUAUGGUUUGUGCAGCCAUCCUAUAAUGGUUCUUCAGAAUCUUUCAACAAUUCAAAAAACCUAGUUACCUCUGCAUUAGGUUCUUCUUCUACGAUUGGACAUUGACUGACAUUACCUUGAUUCAUUCUCAUUGCAUCCAUAACCAUGUUUCUGUAAGGAUUAGUGUUGUCAUUUGCGCUUCAUGCACGUUGCUAGCACUAGAAGUUGACCCAACCACCGUUUCUCCCAUUCUCCUAUUACUAACAAAUACCUCUCCAUGUGCAUACCAACACUGGUAAUCCUCCACAAACCCUUUGUGUAGAAGAUGCAUCAUUACAACAUCUGGAUGCAGAUACUUUUUAUUUUGACACUUCCUGCAUGGACACCUAAUACCGCCUCCAGUAAAAAAAGAGAUGUUGCGAAAUUAAUAAAACCCUGAACCCCGUUACAAUAAUCCAUCCUCCGCAAUCCUUGGGGUGAAUCUAGAUACAUCCAUGAACGAUCAUCCAUGACUUCUAUCGAACCUCUAUAAAAUUAUGAUGACAUCAUGUAAUUAAUUAACUAAGUUAGGUAAAUAAACUUGUAAAAUAUAUUACUUUACCUCGAGAUUAUCCAACAAACCAAUCACAACUUCUCAUAAAUAUUAAAUAUUCAUUAUCAUUUAUCAACGUCCAUAAAAUUAAUAUAUAUAAUAUAUAUAAAUUAACAGAAAUUACCACUCUGCAAUACCAUCGAUAAAACUUAAAAAGGACCCAUUAAGCAAGCUAUUAAUUAUUUCAAAACAUAACAUGUAAUUCGGUAAUUCCACAAAGUUUUAACAAUUUACAAACAAAUACAAUCUUACAAAAUCUAAAACAAACCAUAACAGGUAUAAAAUUAUACAUUCAUAAACUACAAGUUUGUUUGAGAAAUAACAAUAAAACAUGUACAUCUACUAAAAAAUACAUAUACUAAAAAAACAAUAAAAUUGACAUUUAAAUGUUAAAAUUUAAAAGAUAGAAUUACUUACAAAAAUUGAUAAAAUCCGUCGGUAAAUCAGAACACGGAUGUGUGACCACAAAACUUCAAGAAAUACAACUUGCUGAGAUGAGAAAGAUUUUUUUUGGGGCGAGGGGGGCUGGUUAUUUGCAGAUGGGGAGACUUAGGAUUAGGAAGAAGAAGGAGAAAUGGGGGAGGAGAGUGUCGGGCAGGCCAUAUAUUCACUUUUUCGACGGCCUCACCGACGAAUAACACCGUCGGUGACUCCGUCGCUAAUUGACGGGGAAUCGACACGUCACCGCACGGACCUGCUUUUUCAAAUCCCUCGGUGAUUCCGUCGGUAUUUUUGACGGUGCACCUGUCACGUCACCCGUACGGAUCUGGCAUUCAAAUCCGUCGGUAUUUUUACGGUGAACGGUCACGUCACCCGUACGGGUCCCAUUUUGAAUCCGUCGGUGAUUCUGUCGGAAAAAUCACCCGCCAAAAGCUCUGCCUCAGGUACCCGCCCUUUUUUCAUUAAUUCUGAACUUUCCGUCCGUAAUUCGGUCGGUAAUUACCGACGGAAUCUAACCGUCGGUAAUUACCGAUGGACUUACGGACGAAAAUAUUCCGUCGGUAGUUUCGACCGAAAAAUACUGACAGAAAUAUGUCGUCGGGGAUUCCGUUGGUAUUUAGCGAAUUUCUGGUAGUGUCUGAUCUCAAUACAUACAUAUAUAUAUAUAUAUAUAUAUAUAUAUAUAUAUAUAUAUUACUGUGAAAACAAAGUAAUACAGUGCUAGCAAGGUUGUUCUUACCGUCUCCUAGAUGUAGCUGAUCAGAAGCAAGCAAAGUAAUAGAGCUCGAGAAACUGAUCAUCACCAUAACUUGGCAAAGCUGAAACAACAUUACCAUCUUGUGCUGAAAACUGGCAGAAAGAGCUCGAAUAAGUGUUCUCUUUGUCGAUAUUUGUAUUCAAUUUUAACUUUUUACGAUCAUUAUAAAAGAUUUAUUUCUUUUUAAAGAGUUAUUGGUUUUCCAUAACAUGUCAAUAGUUUUUUUAAUUUCUCUAUCAUAUAUAAUUUAUUUAAAAUUAUAUUGAUAUUGCAUCUUAAAAAAAUUUAUAUUAAAGAUUAAAUUCCAACAAAUGUUUAACUCUAAAAAUAAUUGGAUUUCAUUUUUAAUUUUGUCUAAAAUGUACCUAUAUAAUUUUAAAUAAAAUUCUAACAAUCGCCUUCAUAAAUAUAAAUUGUCUAAAAAAAUUAAAAUUGAUUCUAAAAUUUGUAGAGAAAUAUUGAUUUGGUGGAUCACUAUCUUAAAUGAAUAAUUUUUUAUCUUAAAUUUUUUUAAGUAAAAUACCAUCAGAUUUACUCAAUUAAUUAAAAUAUUUAUUUUUUAUAUAUAAAUCAAGAUAAUAAUAGUCAUAUGAAUCUUCUCCUCGUAUUUUCUUUGGUUCUCCUUAGUUGCAGGUUGCAAGAUGUUGAAAUUUAAAAGAUAAGAAGGCAGGCGUAUAUAGAGGCAUUUGUGCCACAAAUUUAAUGACUGCAAGCUAUGUUAGAGUGUUAUUUACAAUAUAAAUACUCUAUAAUUACAAUGCAAUGAAUUUAUGCUCAUAGUAAAUGCCCAUUAUUUUCCCCUUGCGUUUUAAUAUAUAUAAGCAUAGCAACAAUUAAACACCGAUUGGGAACGCGGUGCAAACCGCGUUCCCAAAAAAUUCAAAAAAAUUAUUUUUGGUUACAAUUUAUUAUAGUUUGUAUAUUUUAGAUCGUUUUGAUGUGCUGAUAUAUAUAUAAGCAGAGCAACAAUAAAAACAGUGAAAAUCUUUUUUCUAUUUAUUUCUAUGUUUUAAAAAUGUUUUUAAAAAAAUUUAAAAGUGUUUCUUCUAUUAAUUAAUUAGCUAGCAAGGUUAUUCUUACCUUCUCCUGGAUGUAGCUGAUCAGAGGCAAGCAAAGUUAUAGAGCUCGAGAAACUGAUCAAUAUCACCAUAACUUGGCAAAGCUGAAACAUCAUUAACAUCUUGUGCCCAAAAUUGGCUAGAAAAGCUCCAAUCAGUUUUGAAAAAAAACAUAUUUUUGUGUUUUUUGAAAUUAGGAAAAAAAAUUUGAAUUUUUAUUUUGAAAUUCCAGAGAAAAAUAAAGUAUUUUUGAUAUCGGGUUUGUAUCUUAUAGUGUAAGUCUACAAUCUAAUAUUAGGCAAAAACUAUUUUCAAAAACACGUGAGGAACCCACAAAUAAUUUCAAAAUGGUCAUUGAAUUUGUUUUUCAGAAUCUUCUUUUUGAAAUUUUUAAGGGCCUCUUUUACUAAACCCCAAAAUAAAAACAAAUUUAAACUAAAAAAAAAAAAACUUAGGGCAAGUUUGCCAAAAGCGUUCUUAGCCUAAAAUUAGAGACAUUAAAAUUUCUUAAGGUUGUGUUUGGCAACACGCCUUAAGGACCCAAACAAAGCCUUAUUUCCUUAACAAAAUUGAUUGACACAAGUCAAAGGCACCUUUAGCUUUUGGGUUUGGCUUAGCCUAGCCACAUGGGUUGGCCUAUUGAGUUGGCUUGAGGCCUAAACCCCCACAUGGCUUAAGACCUACCCAACUUGAUUUUUGUUGGGCCAAAAGAUGUCCCAAAAGGCUUUUGUCUUAUAAACCUAUCCUAACCACAAGGUGAUAGGACCUUAAGUCAAGAAGAAAUGAACAUUCAAAAUCUUGCUUACAAAUUGUCUUCAGGACCUUAACUCCAAUAUACAAAAAUCUUUAAACUAAGGUAAACACAUUCCAACUAGGAACAUGAAGGUUUUUUUUUCCCCAAGUAAUAACCACACAAAACAUGGUUCAAUUUAGCUAAGGAAAAACUCUUGUCCAUUAAAUUCUAUAUUGGCUAUGAACUCGUAAAUAUUCUUAUUAUAUUGCUCACAUCUUAUAAGCCUUAAAAUUUCACCCCCUUCCAAUAUAGCUAAAUAUAUUUCCUGCUAGCAUAUCUUAUUUUUAAGUUCAACUCAGAAUCAAAACUCAUUAAUUAUAUGUAAGCAACACAAUUAAGGUUAAUAAAAUAAUGUCACACGAAAUUGUCUCAUCAAUAAUAAUCUUCAUAACUUUACUAGUUCAUAUCUUUUCCCAUAUCUUUGAUCUAAUUUGGCCACAUCAUAGGACUAGAGCCUCACAUUUAUUCUUAUUACGAUAUGAUCUAUGUCUUAGCAUGGUGGGUUGCAAAGAUCUUUAUUGUUUGUUUAUCAACAUGAUCUUCCUUACUAAUGAUUCCAACAUUAAGUUUCAACCACUCUUUUAAUGUUACGGAGAGAUGAUAAUUUGCUAACAUCACUAUCAUCAUCUUAAGCAUUAAGUUGGUGCAAUUAUGCACACUUCUUCCUGUUAUGAUUGUCACAUUCGGACAUCGCGACAACCCGAUUAAAAAUUUUUUAAGGAAAAAGAAUAGAUAUUUGACAUCUUAUUCUUUAGGAGAAAAAAGUAUGUUUUCAGAAGUUGUCACCUAGUAUUAUGAUAAUUAGAAAACCUAAUUGGUUAACAUAGAUUCUAUGGUACGAGACUGCUUACGCGAAAGGAAAGAUACUAUCACCCCUUAAGCGUCCUACUUGAGGCAAGCUGCUUUGUUGGUUUUGUCUUAAAUUGCUAAAAGUUUUUUUUUUAUUAUGCUUUUCAUGGUCUGCCUAGGAUAUUCCUGACUCUAGCGUAAGUGAAUACUCGACUACAAAUAUUUUCAACUCUAGCAUUAGUAAAUAUUACGCAACCCAAAAAGUAUAGCAUUCCUAACUCUAAUGCUAGUGAAUAAACCCAUAAAAUUUGGAUUAAAAGAAAAAAAACUAUUUUUAUUAUCUUUUUUGGGGGGCUGGAUCGAGCCUAGCCGCACAGCCUGUGCUGGACCCAAUUGGCCUGAUCUAAUUAGCUCGACCUGGUCACUGGCCCAAGCCAAUGACCCGGCUGGUCACUGUUGCAUGUAUGCGUGAACUAUUCACGUAUGUUGUGCAUGGAGCGAAGGUAAUUUUAAUUACCUUCGCACAAUGUCGAAUACAAAUUACAAAGCAAAAGGAACAUGUCUGGUUCUGGAGACGAGGGGUGUUUAGGAGUGUGGUAGCAGUUGCUUUCCAAAGUGAUUUUCAUUCUAAAAUACAUUAAAAUAACUUUUUUAAAAAAUAAUUUUUGAUAACAACACUUUAAAAUGAUAUGAAAAUAUCAAAAAAUAUUAAUUUAAAGCAAAAAAAAAUAAAAAAAAUUAUUUUUUUUAAAACACUUCUAAAACGCAAUACCAAACAUUAUUUAUUGUUUUUCGUUCACUUCCUCUAUGUUCUCUCUUUUGGUCUCCUAUUCUCUCUAUUUCUGUGCUUGGUGUGUUAUCUCUUUUGGUCUCCUUUCGCUCCCUCUGUCCCUUUGUUACAUUAAAAUAAUUUUUUUAAAAAUUUUUUUUGAUAACAACACUUUAAAAUGAUAUGAAAAUAUCAAAAAAUAUUAAUUUAAAGUAAAAAAAAAAACAAUUUUAAAAAAAACACUUGUAAAACGCAAUACCAAACAUUAUUUAUUGUUUCUCGUUCCUAUUCUCUCUAUUUCUGUGCUUGGUGUGUUAUCUCUUUUGGUCUCCUUUCGCUCCCUCUGUCCCUGUGUUUUCGUCCGUUUUUUCUGUCUCCUCUAGUAUUCUUCUGUCGUCCUGUACCUGUGUUUUCGUUCCUUCUCUUUCGUGUCUAUCUUCUCCUCUGGUUCUUUCUGUGUUUGUCUCUGUUUUGUCUUUCGUCUUUCAGUUCGUCCUCUCGGUUUCUUCGUUCUCUGUUUUUUUUGGUUGUGGCCUUCUCCUGGAAUGCUCUGUUUCUGGUGCAGUAGCUACUGAAUAUGGAGACCUAGCGUAAGGGCGUCCCUGCUGGUGAUCCUAGAGGCUGAUUUUCAGCUAAGGAGAAGAACUCUUGGAGUUUACAGGUUGCUGCUAUUGCUGGUUGGAGGCUGGUGUUCAGCUCUGCUAUGGCUGAUGAGGAAUGGUAUUAUAGCUGCGCCUGUGGUGAGUGAACCGGCAGCCCUUAUGGUAUUCUUGUUGGGUGACUGAACUACGGUGACAAUGAUUUAUGGACUGGUGCAGUCGCUGGUUGGAGCUGCUGCCAUUGGGAGAAGAGAGAUGGAGCAGCACCGGUUGAGACGUGGAGGAACUGGCCACGGGGGAGAAAGCUGCGACCUUCGGUGAUGGCUCAAUGACCUGUAAUGGUUCUUAGUUUAAGAAAAGGUUGUGGUGGCCAUUUUUUGUUAGGGUUGCUCAGCCAUGCAACCGAUUGGGCCUUUUUUUUUUUUAUAUAUAUUCUUCUACUUGGGUUUUCUUGCAAUGUAUUCCCCAAAGGUUUCUUGUUAUGGUCUCUCCCUUUUGGUGGAGAUUUGAAUAGGGUGAGAUAUUAGAAAUAAAAUCCAAAAUAAAUUUAUUAUUAUUUUUAAAAUUUAAUUUUGAUUAAAAAAAUGGAUAUUAUUAUCUAAGAUAAAAUAAUUAAAAUAUAUUGUAUCUCUUCUUUAAUUUUUUAUUAUUAUAAAUCUUAAAUUUUAAUUUUGAUUAAAACAAAUCUCAUAUCUUUUAACUUUAUAUUUUACCCUCUAUAAAAUUGAAUUAAAAACUAAUUGGCUAAAAUUAGAUUAUAACAAUGAUCAUCCAGUAUGUAUACCCUUUACCAUUAAUCCCUUUUAAAGUUACAAAGUCUACUAGAACACAAUCAGCCAUUAAUCUCUUUCAAAUUCACAAAUUCCAUUUCAGUACUCUAAAACCAAAUAUAACAAACCGUGAUUUCAUGGUAAAAAUUCCACCCCGAAUAAUUCCAACUCUGGCGUUGGUAAAAAUUACAUAGCUAUAAAAUAAAUUAGAUCAAUAUUUUUUUAUUCCCGACUCUAGCGCCAGUGAAUAAAUAAAUAAAAAUAAAUUUAUUUUUACUCAUGCAAAUAUUUUUAUUUAUUAUUUAUUUUUCUAGCUAGAUAAAAUAAAAUACAAGGAAUAAAAAUAAUAUAAAUUUAAACCGGUAUUUUUAUUCCUGACUCUGACGUCAGUGAAUAAACCAAUAAAUUUACAUUAUUUUUAUUCAUGCAUACACAUUUUUUAUUUUUUUAUUUUUUGGGGCUCGACCCAGUCAGCCCGGCCCGGUCACUGGCCCAAGCCCAUGACCCGGCUGGGCCAAGGACUCCAACUAAGUCCCUUCUGCGUGUGCACAGUGCUUGUGUAAUUAAAAUUGCAUGUGCACAGUGCUUGUGUAAUUAAAGAUGGAAAAAAGAAGGAAAGAUGCAAACUUACCUGGUGCAGCUGCGGGCUGAAGACGAAGACGAUGGUGUCGACCGGUUAGCUCUGGCCGGCAGACACUACUUCCUCUCCUUUGUCCUUCUUCUAUGUUUUUUUUCUUUUUGUGUUGGAUCCCUCUGCUCUGUCUCCUCUGCGCGUCUUCUCCCUGCUCGUUCGUGCUCUCUGUUUUUCUUUGUAUUCGUCUGUUCGGAGGGGAGGGGGUGCCACAACCGGAGACGAGGCUGAUGCUCAUGCGUUGGCUGGCCGAUGCUCCUCUCCGCUUCUGUCACGUUUUCUUCUCCAGUUUUCGUGUUCUCUCUGCUCUCCCUUUUCUCCGUGGCCUCCUCUGUUUCUUUGAGAAGAAACAGGGGAACGAAAGUCUGCUCUCUAUUUCUCUUCACUCCUUCGUUUCCCCUGGUUCCUCAGUCCUUGUGAUAGAGAACAGAGGACGAUGCUAGCUUCUCCUUUGAAUUUGGGACUGGGUUUUUGCUCUGUGUGUGGCUUCCUUCCCCGUUUCCCCCUGUUUCUCUGCCCAGUCUUCUCCGUUCAAGACAAAGACGAUGGUGGUAACAGCACGAGGUGCUGCUGGUUGAUGGACCAAAAUAUUCACUGGUUCUGUUUCUCUCCCCUCAGCCCCUUUGUUCUGUCCCCUGGUUCUUUUCCCCCCCUGUUCUUUCGUCUCCUCUGUCUCUUUUUUAAGAAACCAGAGGCCACAAACGUCCGCUCCUUUUCUUUUCCUCUUAGUCUCCUCCACCCCCUCGUCGGUUCUCCUUCUCUGGUUUUUAAAACCAGAGAAUGCCAUGCGGUGGCAUGAUUUUAAUGCAGGGCAUCCGUUUCUUUCUUUCUUUUAUUUCCGGUGAAGAAGAUGAACAGUGUUGAUUGCCAUUUGCAUUUUGGUCAUUGAUGUUUUGAAAGGUUUGUAAUUAAGCCCCUGGAUAAAUUUUAAUUGGACCCCUGCAUUUCAGUAACCUUUACAAAACAGUCCCUGGAUUUUAAUUCAUUGCAAAUUUGACAAGAAUCAACCCUAUACUUUGAUAAUUUUCAAUUAAACCCCUGAUUUGAUUAAUUAAAUUAAUUCCAAGCUCAAUCAAGUCUCAAAACUUAUCAAUUCUCCAAUUAAACUCUUGAUUUGAUUAAUUAAAUUAAUUCUAAAGUUUAACUAAACCUCAAAACUUCCAAUCAUGUUGCCAUUAACCCAAAUUUCAAUUCAUUCUUCAUUUAUUUUAUUUUUACUUGUUUUUCUUCAUUUUUUCAGUAAUUAAAAUAAAAGGAUAAAAAAUUGGGUUAUGACAGCUACCCCCUUUUUAUAAUAUUUACUAUGCAAAGAUAUUAGAAAAUUUCAUUUUCUUUUAGCUUUGUGUAGUAAAUUUAUAAAGAAAAGUUGAUACAAAAAAAACUUUUGCUUCCUUUUUUGGAGUCUUGAAAACUUCAAAAAUAGUAGAUCGACUUAUGACUUUUACAGGGAGAUGUAGAAAUCAAGAAACAAGUCAUUUGGGAGAUGACUCACUUUUUUUUGUUUUUUUUUUUUUAAAUAUGGAUUAAAUUGUUUUGGGCAACCUGCCCGAUGAUAAAACAACGCGAAGAAUUUUGCGAGUGGUCUAAUUGUUCCAGACGACCUGCUCGAUGUUUGAAAAAUACGAGGAUUUUUCAGAUUGGUCACAUUGUAAUGGGUUACCUGCCCAGUGAAAAAAUACGAGGAUUUUUCAAAAAAUAAUCACAUUGUAAUGGGUUACCUGUCAAAGGAGAAAAAUACAAGAAUUUUUCAAAAGUGGUCACAUUGUAAUGGGUUACCUGCCCAGGGAGAAAAAUACGAUGAUUUUUCAAAAAGUGGUCACAUUGUAAUGGGUUACUUGCCCAGUGAAAAAAUACGAGGAUUUUUCAAAUGUGGUCACAUUGUAAUGAGUUACCUGCCUAAUGGAAAAAAUACGAGGAUUUUUUAAAAGUGGUCACAUUGUAAUGGGUUACUUGCCCAGGGAGAAAACUACGAUGAUUUUUCAAAAGUGGUCACAUUGUAAUGGGUUACCUGCCAAGUGGGAAAAAUACGAGGAUUUUUCAAAAGUGGUCACAUUGUAAUGGGUUAUCUACCUAGGGAGAAAAAUACGAUGAUUUUUCAAAAAUGAUCACAUUGUAAUGGGUUACCUGCCUGGUGAAAAAAUACGAGGAUUUUUCAAAAGUGGUCACAUUGUAAUGGGUUACUAGCCCAGUAAAAAGAGAAAGGAAAAAUACGAAGGCGCACUCGAAGGAGGUGAGGGCUCGAAGGCGCACUCAAAAAAAUGGUUGAGGGCUUGAAUGCACACUCAAAAGAAUGGUUGAUGGCUCAAAGGCGCACACGAAAAGAAGCGAGGGCUCAAAGGCGCGCUUGAAGCGAAGCGAGGGCUCAAAAGCGCGCUCGAAAAGGAAGCGAGGGCUCAAAGGCGCGCUCGAAAAGAAAGGUAGGGUUAGGAAACGCAAUACCUUGGAUGAUCAAGGGCUUGAAGGCGCACUUGAAAGAAAAUGAGGGCUCGAGAAGGUGCCUUAAAAAAGAUGAUAGAAGGCUCGAAGGCGCAUUCGAAGGAGGUGGAAAAACACAGAGAUUUUUCAGGUGGCCUAAUUCUCAUGGGUGGCCUGUCCAGAUUGAAAAAUUCUCAAAAAUAAAAAUUUUCAACAUCAAUUUUGAUCUUUGGCCAUUUCAAGUUAGCCUUCCACUUGAUGGAUUCCGCCAGAAUUUUCUCUUACGAAAUUUACAAAACUCAUUAUCCAAUGUCUCAAAGUUUAGAUGAUAAUGCAUGCAUCUUUACCUGAUUUGAAAUAUAGGCCCCCAUUUCUUCUUAGUCUUCUUGUUGCUUGACUGAUGAGGACUUGCUACCUCUGAUUUGGGUCAUCUUUGUCGUUUGGCUUCUAGCCCACUUGAGUUGGCCCAUGUAAGUUUAUUUUCAAAUUUAUUUGCACAACUCAGCCUUUGUGGUGCCCAUAUUAACCCACUUGUUUGCUAAAAAUUUUAUGACUCGUCAAAUAAUUUGAGAGGAUCAUUUAUUACUCCUCGUCUCACUACUAAAAACAUUCGGUGUCACUAGCUGAAAGGAUUAAGUUGUCUUUUGUAAACCAAAAUGCCCCCCUUAUCUGGUUGAAGGAAAUUACCAUCUCAUUUUCAAGAAUUUUUCCUUCUAAACACAAUGUUGCCCCCUUGUAUUGGUUAUUGCCCCUAAGUGUUCUUUGUCAGCGACUUAGACAAAUAAUGAUUUUAAAAGGCCAUUCUUUCAUUUCUCUCCUUUUCACUUUGGUGAAGAAAUAUGGGUCUAGAAUGAAUCUUGAAAUAAUGAUCUUGCAUUUGAAAACAAAAAUUAUUUUGAUGUGAGUCGAAAACAAUUUGCACUUGUUUCAAAGAAAAUCUAUCGUGAGAUGACUUUUUGUUUCAAAGUAAAGGGCUCGAGAUAAAGCUCGAGGUUUUGUAUGAGAAAAAUUUAUUUCUUUUUGAACAUUCAUUUUAAUACUACCUAGUAUUCUCCCUUAAAUGUUUUUGAAAAUUCAAAAAAAAAUCUCAAAAUUUUUAAAAAUUAAUUUUCUCUGACAAAAACAAAAAAUAUUUUAUUUUCAUGCAUAUGACCAAACCCUAAAAGUUUUCCAAGCAUAUUUUCAUAAAAAAAAAACAAAAAUUACAUCUUUCUCAUGUUUGAAAAUGUAAAAUGGAUGACAUGACCAGUUUAUGAUUAUCUCUUAGGGUUUAGCUAAAGCACCAAAAAUCCUUCACUAAUCAUUUUGUUCAUUUUAUAUUUAAAGUGUUAGGAUUUGGCGGUAUAAAAUUACAUUGUAAAACAUACUCUUAGAUAUUAAAGAUACAAAAUACAAAAUAAAUAUGAUGCUAAAAUUUAGACUUUAGAACGGUUAGGAUUUAGCUCGAUAAGAUAGAGACUUCCUUACGAAGGGAAAUCUACUUUAAACCUUAGACGAGACCAACAAAUAUAAACACAACCUGUAAAAACAAUCAAACAACAAUGCAGUUUACCUUAUGUAAAGUGCACCGUGGAUGAUGUAUCUUCCCCUUACACAACCAGUCCCUUAUCUAGACUCUUAUAGAUCAUAGAUUUUCUAGUAACUAUAAUACUAGGUGGUGAUUCCUGAAUCCAAUAAUUAUAAUUUUAUGAUUAUACCCAAACCCUUUUUUUUGACACACACCACUCAAGAGCUAGACGUUGCCGUCCCUCGACGCCCUCCCUCUCGCUCGCCCCGCAACAAUAACAAAAGUGAAUAUCAUUAUUGGUUAUUGGUUGAUAACACGACCAAUCAGAGUCUCACUCAAAUGAAACUAAACUUAAAAUACCAUAAUGAGAGCAGAACAAAAGUGAUGCUCUCCAAAUUAAAGUUUCUUUAUUAUACCAAAAUGUAUUAAGCACUUGUCCUUGCAAAGACUUUGUCACCACGAAGAUUGUUGUGACAUGUACGUCGUUGAAUGACAAAGCUACCUCCUAGAAUGAAAGAGUUUGAGUUUAAUCAUAAAGAUAUGAUUUAAGGGAGUCGUUACCUAUUAUUCUGGUUACUAGAAAACCUAUGGUCUGCGAUAAUCUGAAUAAAGAAACUAGUUGUGCAAGGGAAAAACAUAUUAUCCCUAGUGCACCCUACCUAAGGUAAGCUACAUUGAUGAUUGAUUAUUAAUCUAAGUCAUGUUUUUGUCCGUUGGUCUCAUCUAAGUUUCAAGGUAGAUCUACCUUAUCUGGUUAUAUCCUAACCGUUCUAAGGCUAUAUUUUACCAUCACAUUUAUUUUCUCUUUUGUAUCUUUAAUAUCUGAGGGUAUAUUUUAAAGUGUAAUUUUAUACUCCUAAAUAUUAAAGUCUAUAACUAAAUCCUAAUACUUUGAAUAUUAAUUAAAAAUAAUAAUUGUUGUAAGAUUUUUGGUAUUUUUGUCAAAUCCUAUAGUAUAAUCAUAAACUAAUUACGAUAUCUAUUUUGUAUUUUUAAAAUAUGAUAAAAAUACAAUUUUGUUUUUUUAAAAAAAUAUACAUGAAAAAAACUUUAGAAUUUGAUCAUAUGCACGAAAACAAAAUAUAUUUUUUAUGUUUUUGAAAUGAGGAAAUAUUCUUAAAAUGUUUUGGAUCUUUUAAAUUUUUUUUGGAGAAAAUAAAGUAUUUUAAAUAUCGGGUCUGUAUUUUAGAGUGCAAGUUUACAUUACGAUAUUAAAAGAAAUUCUUGAAAAAAAACAUAUUUUUGUGUUUUUUGAAAUUAGGAAAAACAUUUUGAAUUUUUAUUUUGAAAUUCCAGAGAAAAAUAAAGUAUUUUUGAUAUCGGGUCUGUAUCUUAUAGUGCAAGUCUACAAUCUAAUAUUAGGAAAAAACUAUUUUCAAAAACACGUGAGGGACCUACAAAUAACUUCAAAAUGGUACUUGAUUUUUUUUUUCAGAAUCUUCUUUUUGAAAUUUUUAAGGGCCUCUUUGACUAAACCCCAUAAUAAAAACAAAUUUAAACUAAAAAAAAAAAAACUUAGGGCAGGUUUGCCAAAAACAUUCUUAGCCUAAAAUUAGAGACUUUAAAAUUUCUUAAGGUUGUGUUUGACAACACGCCUUAAAGACUCAAAUAAAGCCUUAUUUCCUUAACAAAAUUGAUUGGCACAAGUCAAAGGCACCUUUAGCUUUUGGGUUUGGCUUAGCCUAGCCACAUGGGUUGGGCCUAUUAGGCUGGCUUGAGGCCCAAACCCCAACAUGCGGGUUGGGCUUAAGACCUACCCAACUUGAUUUUUGUUGGGCUAAAAGAUGUCCCAAAAGGCUUUUGUCUUAUAAACCUAUCCUAACCACAAGGUGAUAGGACCUUAAGUCAAGAAGAAAUGAACAUUCAAAAUCUUGCUUACAAAUUGUCUUCAGGACCUUAAGUCUAAUAUACAAAAAUCUUUAAACUAAGGUAAACACAUUCCAACUAGGAACAUGAAGGGUUUUUUUUUUUCCCCCAGCUAAUAACCACACAAAACAUGGUUCAAUUUAGCAAAGGAAAAACUCUUGUCCAUUAAAUUCUAUAUUGGCUAUGAACUCGUAAAUAUUCUUAUUAUAUUGCUCACAUCUUAUAAGCCUUAAAAUUACACCCCCUUCCAAUAUAGCUAAAUAUAUUUCCUGCUAGCAUAUCUUAUUUUUAAGUUCAACUCAGAAUCAAAACUCAUUAAUUAUAUGUAAGCAACACAAUUAAGGUUAAUAAAAUAAUGUCACACGAAAUUGUCUCAUCAAUAAUAAUCUUCAUAACUUUACUAGUUCAUAUCUUUUCCCAUAUCUUUGAUCUAAUUUGGCCACAUCAUAGGACUAGAGCCUCACAUUUGUUCUUAUUACGAUAUGAUCUAUGUCUUAGCAUGGUGGGUUGCAAAGAUCUUUAUUGUUUGUUUAUCAACAUGAUCUUCCUUACUAAUGAUUCCAACAUUAAGUUUCAACCACUCUUUUAAUGUUACGGAGAGAUGAUAAUUUGCUAACACCACUAUCAUCAUCUUAAGCAUUAAGUUGGUGCAAUUAUGAACACUUCUUCCCGUUAUGAUUGUCACAUUCGGACAUCGCGACAACCGAUUAAAAAAUUUUCAAGGAAAAAGAAUAGAUAUCUGACAUCUUGUUUUUAGGAGAAAAAAGUCUUGUUUUAAAAAGUUGUCACUAGUAUUAUGAUCAUUAGAAAUCCUAAUUGGUUAACAUAGAUUCUAUGGUACGGGACUGCUUACGCGAAAGGGAAGAUACUAUUACCCCUUAAGUGUCCUACUUGAGGCAAGCUGCAUUGCUAGUUUUGUCUUAAAUUGCUAAAAGUUUUUUUUUUAUUAUGCUUUUCAUGGUCUGCCUAGGAUAUUCCUAACUCUAGCGUAAGUGAAUACUUGACUACAAAUAUUUUCAACUCUAGCAUUAGUAAAUAUUACGCAACCUAAAAAAUAUAGCAUUCCUAACUCUAGUGCUAGUGAAUAAACCCAUAAAAUUUGGAUUAAAAGAAAAAAAACUAUUUUUAUUAUAUUUUUUGGGGGGCUAGAUCGAGCCUAGCUGCACAGCCUGUGCUGGACCCAAUUGGCUCGACCUAAUUAGCUCGACCUGGUCACUGGCCCAAGCUAAUGACCCCGGCUGGUCACUGUUGCAUGUAUGCGUAAACUAUUCACGUAUGCUGUGCAUGGUGUGAAGGUAAUUUUAAUUACCUUCGCACAAUGUCAAAUACAAAUUACAAAGCAAAAAGAACAUGCUUGGUUCUGGAGACGAGAGGGUAUUUAGGAGUGUGGUAGCGCUUGCUUUCCAAAGUGAUUUUCAUUCUAAAAUACAUUAAAAUAAUUUUUUUUUGAAAAUUAUUUUUGACAACAACACUUCAAAAUGACAUGAAAACAUCAAAAAAUAUUAAUUUCAAGCAAAUAAAAAAAUAAAAAAUUUCAAUUUUUUUUUAAACACUUUUAAAACGCAAUGCCUAACAUUAUUUAUUGUUUCUCGUUCACUUCCCCUAUGUUCUCUCUUUUGGUCUCCUAUUCUCUCUAUUUCUUUGCUUGCUAUGUUAUCUCUUUUGGUCUCCUAUUCUCUCUAUUUCUCUGCUUGCUAUGUUAUCUCUUUUGGUCUCCUUUCGCUCCCUCUAUCCCUGUGUUUUCGUCCGUUUUUUCUGUCUCCUCUAGUAUUCUUCUGUCGUCCUGUACCUGUGUUUUCGUUCCUUCUCUUUUGUGCUUUUCCAUUGCUACUAGCUUCUCGUCUAAAUACUUUGAUUUUUCCCAUUCUUUGUCAAGCUUUAUCCUCAUGACUUUUAUCUCAUUCUUCUUGACUGUUAACUCUGCUUUAACAUCCUCGAAUCCUCCCUUUUCGCUUUCCAACUCCAUAUAUUUCUUAUUCAAAUCCUCAUACUUCCUAAUCCUAUCCAUCAGCUCGAAUUGCACUUGCACAAAUUUUUCUUGGUAAUAUUCUGCACUUUCUUGGCAAUCGCUAAAGUCCAUCUCCAUUGCUUCAAGUUCAGAGCAACUUUGCAUCCAAUCCAAACUCAAACCCUUUAAGCUCCUUCUCACUUCCUUCCUUAGCAAUCUUCUCCUCAACCAACUUUAACUCCAGCUUUGUUAUUUUCGCAUCUCUAGACUGUAUUUGCUCAUCUAGAAAUGUUUUAUCCUGUUCUAGCAUCAUUUCUUCCAACAUUGCUUUGUCUUUUCUGCUCUUGCUCAAUUCUAUUCGUAGUUUCUCCACUUGCCUUCUCAAGUCUUCUUCAUUACUAACCCUCUUUCUCUUGAUAGGCUCCUCUACAGUUGGAGAAGAUUUGACUUCUACACAAGGCAUGGCUGAAGCAGCUGAAUCAUCUUCAAUGUUCACCCUUUUUCUCUUAAUAGGCUCCGCUACAUCUUGAGGAGAUUUAGCUUCUACGCAAGGCGUGGCUGAAGUAGCUGAGUCUCUCCAUUUUACAUAUCCUUCGCUCACACUUGGAUCUCUAACCCUUCUAUCUCCACCAACACUAGAUGCUUCCAAUCUUGCUUGAUGAUCUCCAAAACCUCUUCUGCCAUGGGAUCUUUGAACAAACCAGAGAAUUGAGCAAUUCCCAUAGUCCUGGGAACGAACUGCAUGCCCCCAAGUUGUCUUACCACUAAGGCAGGAGCAUAACUCACAUAACCCGUGAUCCCCACCAAUGGUACCCAACGCCUUUGUCCACAACUCAUUAGGACCUUCACUGACGUUACCCAUGGGGCCCUCCACUUAAACUCGCUAUUAGGUAAACCUUCUAAUUUAUCAACCCAACCCUGGUUGUCUAGAUCUCCCCAUUCUUCUUCUUCUACUAACUUGAGGGGUUUUUGGGUGAACCACCAAAAAUUAUUGAAGACAGGUUUCUUUGUCUCGAUAUGGCUAACCAUCCAAAUAUACAACAGUUGCGUGCAGCAUCUCAUUGCUCCUUUUCCGGCCCUCCUACAAUGGUUAAGUGUCAAAAUUGUUUCGGCUAAAAUAGCAGCCACUGGAUUGAUUCGUGUAUUCUCAUACUCCACAUAAGCAGCAGCGGCCUCCAAACUCACUAAACCAAUCUGACUUGGGAACAACACAAGGCCAAAUAUACCUAGGGCAAUCAAUCUCUCUUUUUCUACUCCUGACUUCUUUUCCAAUUCUAACAUCCUCCAUUUCAAACCGGUACCAUUCUUCUCUUGAAACUUUUCCAAGUUGGAGAUUCUGAGCAGCUUUGACAGUUCAGGGAUGAUCUUGUCGGAUCUUAAAGGAGAAUAAAUCCGAUACAGGUCGUUGGGAAACUCGGUCAACAAUCCAUAUUCCUCAACCGUGGGGCACAAGUCUAUGCUUCCAAAGGAAAAACAUCGGUAGUCUGGAUCCCAAAAAUGAACUAAAGCUCGCACAGCUGGGCUUAAAACUUCUACCUUUGCAAUUUCCAUCAAACGUCCGUAUUUCCUAAAAAAUGCAUCUUUAUCCACAUUCUGAAAAUGAGUCGUUAACUUGUUCGCCUCAUUCAAUAUGCAAUUCAGGUUCUUGAUUGGUGACAUCUUCUUAGCAUCGCUUCUAAGGCAGUCUCCUUCAGUCAAUUGUGACAGUUCAGAAUUUUUUCCAUACUCUAAGAUGGAAGAUUUAGUGAUGAUGGCCAUUUCGUUCACAAAUCCUGCAAUUCAAAAAUGCAUGGGGUUUAGACUUGUUUUGAUGCAAAAGAUAGGGUAGGUUUACGUGAGACAUAGGGUAGGUUUACUAUUGGGUCUCUAAAAGAGGGUCUCUUGCUGUUCCAGUGACCACCUUCAUAAAGGCGAUAUGGAGGUCUAGCAGAUAGUGGGAUGGUACGUGUACCAAUCACAAUCAGUCUAAACACUCAGCAAAGAGUUGGGGUUUACACAAACUUAAACCUUGACUCAAGUCAUAAGGCAAGCUGCUAGUCCCCCACUUAUUCUUAAAGUUACAUGUGUGUGCACUCCAAAACAUAAUAAUAAUAAUAAAGUGAUGCAUGACUAUGCCAUGUAUGAUAGAAUGUAAAGAUAUAUGCUAAAGCUUUUAAACAAAGCAUCAUAAGAAAAUAAAAACCAAUAACACAUAGCAUAAACAAACAAACAAAUCAAGCUUAGUCCAAGGGUCCCCAGUGGAGUCGCCAUUCUGUCGCACCCCAAAAAAAUAACUAAAAAAAAAAUUUUGUUUUGCGACAUUCGACUGGUGACUUUCGUUUUGUUCUGUUUUGCUGAUUUGGUUCUUUGGAGUCGCCACCUAGUAUUUUGGUCACUAGGAACCCUAACUGGUCUUUCAGAGAUUCUAAGGCCAGGGAUUGGUUGCGUAAAGGGAAGGUAUUAGCACCCCUAGUACGCCUUACCUAAGGUAAGCUGCUUGGUGUUUUGGUUUGCGCUAUAAUUGCUAUGGUGUUGGUAUUUUCUAGGCUCGUCAAUUGAUUUUGGAUAGAAAUCUAAGGAGAUUCCAUGUGCUUUGAAAGCUCAUUUUUCCCUUAGUAUUUCAAAAGUUUGCGACUCAUAAAUCGUGGAUAAAAAAAAAUUAAAUUUUGAAAUGUCCUCGAUUAUAAUCAAGGCUUCUUUCAAGAAUGUGUGCGGAUUUAUUACUCCCAAUAAUAUUUUGGAUAUUCAUCCUUUUAAGGAUUUCUUUAUCCAAACAUUAGCGGUGAAUAAUAAAUAAAUUUACUCCCCAAAAAUAAGAUUGUUAUAGUUUUUGGAAUAUUGGCCAAUAUCCUUUGGAGUUUUACAAACAUGUUGUAAAAUCCAGAAAUGCAAGAAAAUAAUUUGUGUUUAAGAAAUCUAUGCGAAAACACACUUUCGAAGCUUCCAAUAUAUUUUUUUUAUAAAAGAGAACAUUCAAAACAUGUUAGAGUAUUGGCCGUAUGCAACCUAUAUGGAUGCAGAACGCCUCUGCAUGCAGGAGACGAAAUCUAUAAAUAAUACAAGAAAAUUGUGAAGGGGGGGGGGAAGAAACGUACCUGGCGCGGCGGAGACGGUGGCUUGCUGGCGGUGCUGCUGUGGAGGUGGUGGCGGCGUCCUAGCUCACGGCGAUUUCCAAAGCAAAUCCGGCGAAGUCCUCUCGGUUUGUUUUCUGUAUUUUUGUUUUCUAAAUUUCCUCCUGGUUUCAAACUUUCACUCUUCUCUUGUUUUUUUUUAGUUUUCGUUGGCUCUCUCUCUUCGGGUGGGUGUUUCUCUCUCUUCCUCUCUCUCUUCAGUUUUUUUCUUAGUUUUCUUCGGUUUCCUCUUCUGUUCUGUUUUUUUCGUCCCUUGUUUUCUCUUUCGGUUCUCUAUUUAUAGAACCAGCGGGUGUGGCUUCACCGUGGAGCCAAGGAGCGGGUUGAGGAGCGGUUGUCCAGGCAGGCCUCCCUCGGCUUCGGCAGCGCGACGGGUGGUCGGCCAGCGUCUUCUGUCGGUGGCCCACCGGUGUGGGGCCUCGGUCGGUGGCAAGAGGGACCUGCAAAAAAAAUAAAAAAAUACAAACUUUUCCUUCUUCCCUGCUGUAAUGUUCGGGGGGAAGAAGAAAGUGAACAAUGCCGUUCAAAACGGCACCGUUCGGUCUCUCUUUUUUUUUUUUUUUUCUUAUUAUGCAUGAAACGACGUCGUUUUGGAUAAAACGCGCCAUUUCAUUUUAAAAUAAAGGCGCCAGAACAUUUUUUGAAUCAGUCCUUAAUUUAUCAUUGUUCUAUUAAGUCCUUCAAUCGAGUCCUUCAAUCAAGAAUAAAAUUCAAUUGCGUCCCUGCCAAAUUCGUCCCUACCCUAUAGUUGGCCACGUUUUUCACUUUGGUCCUUGGCCUCUGAUUUUCACAAUUAAGCCCCUAAUUGAUCAAUAAACUUCCAAUUUCUUCAAUUAAGCCCCUGAAAACAAUUCCAAACAGCCCCCUCUAUCUUUUGCCUUCUCCAAAUUGGUCCCUGGUUUCGGAUUUUCACAAUUAAGUCCCUAAUUGGCCAAUAAACUCAAUAUUUAUGCAAUUAAGCCCCUGAUUUGACCUAAUAAAUUCCAAAAAAUAUAUUUAGGCCCCAGAACUUAAAUUCUUCUAAUUAAAGCCGCAAAUUGACUUAAAAAUUAAUUUUCAUUGCAAUCAAAUCCUCUAUAAAUUCAAAUAAAAAUCCAAUUAAGUCCAUAAACAUCCAAAUUUGGGCUUUUCUCCUCAAAAUUCAAAUUUUCCUUCUCAAUAGGGCUUUCAUCCUUCAAGAAUAUACUGUCAAAAAUCAAUCCUUGUAUUUUUAAAUUCCUUGAUCAAUUUUCUGACUGUUUUCUGAGCGUUUCUGCCUCCUGUUAUUUUUUUAAAACUCUUUUGGCUAUUUAUUUUAUUUUUCAUGGGGACCUAAAAAUGGGUUACAACAAUGUAUACCCUUUACCAUUAAUCCCUUUUAAAGUUACAAAGUCCACUAGAACACAAUCAGCCAUUAAUCUCUUUCAAAGUCAGAAAUUCCGUUUCAGUACUCUAAAACCAAAUAUAACAAACCGUGAUUUCAUAAGUAAUUAAGACAAUAAUUCAACAUCACAUACAUGAAAAUAUGGUCAUUUGUUUUAUCAUUUAACAACUCAUCAUGAUAAAAUCUUCCAUUUUACAAUUAACUCAAAUGAGUAAAUCCUUUUCCCUUUAUUUUAUACAUUAACUUUUUUUCCACACUUUAACAUAUGUUUCAUUUUUAUUCAUAAUUCACAUUUUUAGUCUUAGUGACUUCCUUUCUUAUAUGAAUCCACCUUAUAAGAAUUUCAUUUUUCUUUAGCCUUCAUUUAGGAUUACCAACCAAUUGUUUAUAAUAUUCACCGGCAAGAUGGAAUGUUAAUGAUAUCUAACAUAUUGGAACAUUCAUUUAAUAUCCACCUCUUUUUAGCAUAAUUACUCGAACAAACCUCAUUUUUUUAGGAAAUAUCCAUAUUACUUAUUUAGACCCUUUUUUUAUAAUAUAUGGUUUUUAGGUAGAUUUGCUCGAUUUAAUUAAAUUUUGGUAAAGUUUUUUCUAUGUAGAACUCAAUCUACUUUUAACCUUAGAUAUGACCUACAAAUAGAAAUACAAAAUAGAAAAACAAUCAAUUAUUACAAUUAUAAGCUUAUAUACAAACAUUUCUAAUUUAUUAAAUUUAUAAAUUUACUAAGUAAUCCAAAAUCAUAUUAAAAGGAAGAUCUAUCAAUUCAAAUAUGCAAACAAAUUGAGUAAUAUGCAACUAAUAUUAAUAUUAGGGAAAUUCAACAAUUGUUCCCAAUACACCAUCAUUAAAACACAAUUCUUUUUAUUUUCUUUUUGGCCUUUUCUUGACUAUACUACCUAUUUCCUUAACUUUUCAUUUGUAAUUCUUUGCAAACAAGCCCUUACUCUUACACAUAAUUAUAAAUACUUCAUGUUGCUACCCAAUUUUUGACCCAUGUUUUGAUAUAUUUUCAAAAAAUCCAAAAAUUGAGAAAAGCAAAGAAAAUCCAAAAAUAUGUUUUUUAAUAUAUUUUCGUCAUUUUAGCAUUUUCAACGUCGUCUAAAAAAGGAAUUUAAAUUGUUAAAAGAUUUUCAAACGCGUUCGACGUUUCACGUGUCAUUUUUAAAUCAUUGAUUUUCCGCAUUUAAGUCUACGUUGAUAUUGCUCGUUUUCAAAAAUACAAAAAAAUAAAGAAAAAUCAAAAUUUACAAAAAAGAAAGAAGUUGAGGACCAAGUUGAAAAAACCUAGCAACAUUUUGCCUAUAAAUACUGGUUUCCUCAACACAUUCAAGGGGGGGCAAUUUUGAAAUAUCAGAAAAUACAAAAAAUAACCUAACCCUAAAACCUAUCUCUACCAAGCUUGCAGCCCCUCCUUCUCCCUUGGUUUGAAUUUUUUUUCCACAGCCGCCGGCCACAAACCGAAGCCAAAGCAGCCCCUCCCCCCGGGCUCAAACUUUUUUUUUUUUCCAGCCGCCGGCCAAGACUUGGCUCCCCAUUUUUCAACGUUCCAGACCACCCCCCCCCCCCCGAAGGCUCUGAUUUUUUUCUCUUCUUCUGGCCGGCCACCUGAGACUUUCCCAUUUUUCCCUACACCAUUUUCGGUUUCUUCUCCCUUCACCCGCUCACGACCCAAACAGCCCCAUCGCCGGUCUCCUUCCCUCUCGGUCGUUCCUCCUUCUUCACCAUCAGUGACCCGCAGCCUCACAACCGACCCCCAACAGCCCCGCCGCUCACUAUCUUCUUCUCCUGUCUCUCGCCGGUCAGCCUUUCCCAACAGUACCGAUCUCCUCUGCACCGCCCCUUCCACCGCUAACAGAAACCACCCGACCACUGCAGCAAGAGACGACCGAACGGAGACACAUCCUCACUCUGCCUCCAGCACACCGAACCCGCCACCGAUCUGUUUUCCUCGCAUCAACACCACCGGCAACCUCUCCCAUCUCUGCAGUAGGCGACAGCAGCAAGGACAGCUGAAGUCGACGAUCAGACCACUGUUUCUCCUCCCCUGACCGGACAGCCACCCGAUCUCCAUAACAGCUUCAACAGCCACGGACAAAACCGCCAGAUCCAGCACCGGAGGAAGAAAGAAAACAGAAAUGAGAUGAAUCUGAAGAGGAGAAAGAACCAGAUCUGAGAAUGAAAAAAUAAAAUUAAAAUCAACUGUUUGGGCAUUUUUCUCUUGUUGCAGGAGGCGGUGAUCCUCACCACCGGCAGGAAAGUGAAGAGGGGAGCAAGCUGUGACUGACCCCUGUUUUUUUUUUUCAGCAUUUCUGGCGGUGGCGCGUGCACCCACGCGCCGCCAGUGACGAUGGCGCGUGGGAAGACGCGCCACCACUGUUCAUGUUCCACAGAUCUGGUCCCAGCAUUUUCAUGGAUUUUUGAAUGGCUGUUUUGUAAUUUUAGAAUUGUUUAAUGUAAUUUUUGUUUAAUGUAAUCUUUGGUUUAAUGUAAUAUUUGUUUAGUUUUGAGUUUUUUUUGUAAUUUGUAUUUUGUAAAUAUGGAAGCAAAAAAAAAAAGAAAGGAAAAGAAAAAAAGAAAAGAAAAGAAACAAAAUAGUGAAACUGUAUGUGUAUAUGUGUUUGUAUUUUAUUUUUAUUUAUUUGUAUUUUAUUUUUAUUUUUUUACGAUAAAAUUGCAAAAUAUAUUAAAGAAGAAUUUAAUAUUUUGAUCGGAUCACGGUUAAGAAUUAUUAACUUAUACGUAAGUGAUAUUUCUAAUUUCCGACGAAAAGACAAUUAUUAAAACUUCUUUAACACGUCAAAAGCCACGAAGCAGCUUACCUCAGGUAGGGUGCGUUAGGGGUGCUAAUACCUUCCCUAACCACAACCAGUUCCUUACCCGCGAAUCUCUGACAAGACCAGUGCAUCCGGUUUCCUAGUAGCCUUCAAUAAAUUACUAGGUGGCGACUCCAACGAACGAAUUCAAAGCAAACGCAACAACGAGAUGAAAAAUCGCCAACCGAUGCCGCGCGUCGAUUUUUUUUUGGGGUGCGACACUUCACACUAAUAACUUUAUAUCAUCUAGUAUAUUGGAUUAUCAAAGUUAUGGCCUAACCAUGCAAUUAGCUUAGUUCUUUCUGAUAUCUUUGAUGUCCCUUUCUAAAAUCAUCCAAAAGACAUUUGAUAUGUAGAUUUCUACUCGAAUGACCAACUCAUAAAUGUCAAAGAACCAUCUCAACCCAAUAACUUAAGCUGUUAGGUGAGGUUCUAGGAUAUGAUUUAUAUUAUUCUCUAACACACUCCCUCAAGUGAAAGCCCUUUGGGCUUGAAACUUGCAUAGACCCACAUUACCUUGUACUUAAUUUUUAUCAAAUAAAUGGAGAAUGUGAGAUUCGAACUCGUGACCGCUUGGUCAUCAAGGCUCUGAUACCAUGUCAAAGAACCAUCUCAACCUAAUAGCUUAAGCUGUUAGAUGAGGUCCCAGGAUAUGAUUUAUAUUAUUCUCUAACAAUAAACACUCGAUCCAUAGUCUCCACUCAUGUGGUUAGCUUAUCAAUUCAUGACAAGUAACCCCUAUUUAUGUGGUUGGCUUAUCAAUUAAUUUUAUAUAUCUUUGAUAUAUAUUUUUUUUAGAUGCAAACACAAUAAUAAGAAGUUUAAAAGUAACAUUGUUUUAAAUAUAAGUAAGGUGGAGAACAUCUAUUUGUUCUUUCGGAUGAUCUAGUUAUUAAAUACUGAUGCCUCUUUUUAUAAAAAAGAAGAUCCAAACAUUCACAUUUAUGUUAUCAUUGUUGAAUUCAUAACAAGACAUUUCAUUAUACCCUAAUUUCUACACCUUUCAAUUAGUCCAUUUCUUAUUUCCAUUAUCUUAUAUAUUAAUUUCCUUGUUUUACAAUAAUACACAAUAUUAGCAAUAAUAUUUACUAGCAUCAUUUUUCUUUUAACUUAUUUUAUUUGACACAUUCCGCAUCUUAUAACUUGGUCAAAUAUUUAAUUUUGUUUAAUAUGCUAAUAUUUUCCACAUUCCAUUGCAUAUACAACCUUUCAAAAUUCACAACUUACCACUUAAUUUCCAUAACUACCUUGAAAUUUCUAAACACACAAAGUCAACAUACGGACUUUGGGAUUGAUGAGGUAAAGAUCAGGGGCAGAUGUAGAGGAAUUUCCAAUCCAUGAUUUAUCUGAUGGAGGAAAGAGGUCUUGUGUGCUGUUUAAACUCUGGUCUGUGA
Molecule: long non-coding RNA, 311014 nt
Filed under: Populus tremula
Lineage: Eukaryota; Viridiplantae; Streptophyta; Magnoliopsida; Malpighiales; Salicaceae
Description: long non-coding RNA (PTRE_LNC000618)
Rfam family: MIR478 microRNA precursor family (bases 119274-119355)
Source: RNAcentral